RNAcentral lists this long non-coding RNA (289918 nucleotides) under Vitis vinifera (wine grape). Its description in RNAcentral is "long non-coding RNA (VVIN_LNC006593)". Lineage: Eukaryota; Viridiplantae; Streptophyta; Magnoliopsida; Vitales; Vitaceae. The record is from RNAcentral.
UGGACCAAAAGGUCGUCUAUUUGUACAAUCGCUUGUUUUCUUUUAGGAUUCAUUUUUUCUUUCUUUUUUAAAUGUUGACGAGUAUUCCACUCAUGUCAUUCCCUCCUAGGAAGGUUAGGGUAUGAAUGCGACACUUGCUUCUUGCAAAGUCUUCUUCGUGUCACCAAUGUCCAACCUUCUUCGUCAUAUGACAUUGAUUUAUUAUCAAAGCAAAGGCGAAGAAGGCUAUCUUAACAUGACACUUGUGUUUGCUUUGGUUUUGGUGACUCACAUUGAAUAGUAUUGGCACAUGUCCCUAGUUUCUUAAGUGGAACAUGUAAUGGAACAGGAUCAAAUGACUCAAAUGUGACUGUAGCAUGAUUUGACUCCACUACUUCAUCCAAAUCUAAAUGAAUUCUUCUUUGCUUUGCAAGUUUCAUUAUGAGAUCUUUUAAAAUGAAACAUUUCUCCACAGGAUGUCUGACAAUUCAAUGGUAAUGAUAGUAGUUUGGAUCAUUAACACAACCCAUUCCUUUUGGACCCUUGCACUCAGGUAACUUAAUAACCUUUUUCUGGAGUAUGUCUUCCAACAUGUUAGGCACAUUAGAGUCAAGAAAAUGAUACUUCUUCUCCUCUAAUUCCUUCAAGGUGAAUCGAUGCAUCUCAUUUUCCUAGGUUGGUCCGACCUCUUUUACUUCCUUUUUUUUUUAAUCUCUUCUUAAGAUUUUGACAGGAGUUGUAUUUAUCAUCAUUGACUCCUGAAUAGGUUUCUUCGAGGUCUUGUCACUCCUUUUCCCAUCAUGCCUUUCUCUUUGUCGAUCAACGGUAAGGUCCUUCUUAGAACCAUGGUUGUCUAUGUUGAGCUCCAUGUCAUGUGCUUGGGUAGCUAAUUCUUCAAAGGUACAGGGUCUUAUCCCUUAGAGAAUGUAUAAGAGACCCCAAUGCAUUCCUUGUAUGCACAUUUCCAUGGUUGAUACCUCAGAUAAUCUAUCUUUUCAGUCAAGGCUUAAGGAACGUCAACGGUUGAUAUAGUCUAUAACCGGCUCGUCUUUCCAUUGCUUAGUGUUAGUAAGUUCCAUCAUGCUUACAGUUCAUCGGGUCCUAUAGAAACGGUUGAGGAAUUCACAUUCCAUUUAGUCCCAACUAUCGAUACACUCAGGUGUAAGGUCUAUGUACCAAUUGAAAGCAUUCCCUCGGAGAAAACAGACGAAUUGUUUAACUAAUAAGUCACCAUUUGUACCUGCAUUGUUACAAGUUUCAAUGAAAUGGGCAAUAUGUUGUUUUGGAUUUCCCUUCCCAUCAAAUGAUUGAAAUUUUGAAGGUUGAUAACUCGCAGGCAUACGUAGGUUAUCAAUCCUCUUAGUGUAAGGUUUAGAGUACAUGAGCGUACUCUAUAAGGGUCCACCGUACUACGCUCUAAUGGUGUUAGUUAUCAUGUCCUGAAGUUGUUGGAUAGAUAAGGAUGCCACUAAGGCAGAUUCCGCCGUUUGUCUCUCAACUUGGAUUGUCCUAUACGCAUGUGGUGCAUCAUCGAGAGGAGAUGCAACAUUCGGAAGGUGGUUGAGCCCUUGACUUGACUCACCCAUAAUUUGUUCUUAUGUCUUAACCUUGUUUAUGAGGGAGGCUAUUUGCAUAUCCUUCUCCUGGACCGUUUUGGUGAGUUUAGCGAUGCCAUGAGCCAUCUCUACUAACUGUUCCUCUACGAAUGUAGUGCCGAUUGCCAUUACCAGCAUAGUCAUUGAGAAGGGAGAAGUAAAAGAGUCGAAAUGAUUGGAGUAGUUUUCCUCCUUUGACAUUCCAGUUAGCGAAUCGGAGUAUGAGUCGGUGAUAGAGUUGGCAUUGGUAAUAAAGCUAGGAGAUUUAUCCCUAAAGUCCUGUAGUGUUGAAGGGAGUUUUCCCCUACUACAAGGACUAUGGCUCUUUGCCCCCAACAUACUCACUUAUUUGUUUUAUUGAGAGUGAAGAUGUUGAUUUUGCUUUUCUACGAGUCAUGAGGCCUGUAGCGGCGUCAUGUGUUGAUUGUGCAUUGACGAUCUUGUCAUUGCCCUUGUUUACAUGCACAACUUGAGUUCUUUUGGGUGUCAUCGAUGAAGUAGAGAUUAAUCUUCUAAAAAGAUACGAGAGACAGAGAGGUCCCAUUGGGUGUGCCAGAAAUUUGUACGCACAAAUUUCGUAAAUGGUCCUGCCAAAUUAACAAAAUAAAUAGGAAAAUAAUGCAAACAAAAUAUUUAUUAAAAUUGAAAAUAUUGUGGGUAAAAUCUCAAAAAUAAUAUUAUUUCCAAAAGAAUAUUAUCCCUUUGAUUCUUUUGCCUUGAUCACACUUUGAAAGACGAUGAUGAUGUUUUCUUGAUUUCGAAAAUCAAUCGAGGGUCACAAGUGGCUUAUUCCCGAAUGAACUCGUUAAAUGGCAAAGAACGUGUUUAGCAGUUCUACCGUUUACCAAACUUGUAGAGAAAUUUGAUGAAACUUUUUCUUUUGUUGUGAAACCUUUUUUUCCUGUACAAAAUUGCCUUUGGAUUUUCUCCUUAAGAUUUUCCUUUCUGAAUUUUUUUUUUAUUUCUCAAAUUCUUCCUCUCAUUUCUUGAAAGAAAACACCUCUAUUUAUAGGUGAAGAUAUGGAAUUGGAAUUUCAAAUUCUCGGAGUUUAGUUGCUUAAUUCAAAGGAUUUAGUUCCUUGAUUUUAGCAAAUUUUCUUCUCCCGAGAGGUUUUACCAACAAGAUAAUAAUAAUAAUAAUAAUAAUAAUAAUAAUAAUAAGAAAAUUAUUAUUAUUAUUAUUAUUAUCCUUUUUAUAGUUGGAGAUUAGGGAAACUUAUCUAUAAGAGGAUACAUAUAUACUCAUUUUGAAGACCAAAUUAGUGGUAAUUUAAUCCACAAAUUUUUUUAUGUUUACAAAGUAGUACCAUUUUUUCCAAGGAUUUGUGUUGAUCAGUGUUAUUGUGAAAUAACACCAUCUCAUUUCACAUUAUUUCAUCAUCGCAUAUGACAUUGAGCAUGUAAUGAAUAGUAACAAACCUCGCCAUAAACCAAAGAAGAGUGGUACAUUUUUCCUACCAUGGUAGAAAUUAAAGACAAGUGAUACAUUCUUCCUACUAUAGUAGUACUUUUGACAUAGUAGAUUUUUCAUAAAGGAGUGGUACCCUCUUUUUCUAAGGGUUGUGUUGAUCGGUGUUAUUGCAUAAUAACAUUCACUCAAUUCACGUUAUUUCAUCAUUACCUAAUACGUCGAACACAUAACAAAUGGAAACAUAUCUUAAACCAAAGAAGAAUAGUACAACAUUCACACUACAAUGAUACUUUUAAUACACUUUAGUGGUGUUUUUUAUUUAUAAAAGGGUGGUAUUCAUUUUUUCAAGGGUUGUGUCGAUCAAUGUUACAUUAACACCCUUUGAAUUCAAGUUAUUUCACCAUUAAUAAGACGUCUAGCACGUAAAUGAUGGUAAAAUAUCUUAGUUUAAACCAAAAAAGAGUGAUACAUCCUUCCUACCAUAAUAUUACUUUCAACAUUUUUAUAAGUACUUUUUCAAAAAGGAAUGGUACCCUUUGAAUAAGCAGAGGUAUGAAACUUGAGUUGUGCAAUGCUUUGAGGUGCACCAACUCAAUGCUCCAAGUGUAUGUUAUUUUUUUUCUAAAUCACUUGAAAGGUGCACAAGUUCAGCUUGCAAAAAUUUAAAUUUAAAUCAAAUUAAGAGAAAAUUAAUAUAAAUGAUUGAAUACAACUUUUUAUGAAAAAAAAAAUAGAUUUUAUUAUUUUAUUUUAUAUAAAUAAAAAAAUUUAAAUUUGAACAAAACAAAAUUUUAGAACCAUAACUAAGUUUUUAUCUUGUAUAAUUAAAAAUAUUAAACAUUUUAACCAAGAAGAAAGUUAAAAAUUGUGAUCAAGUUACAUCCAUAAGAAAAAAGCUAAAACCAUGAUUAUCAACUUUGAUUUUCACAUGAAUUUUUUUUUAAAAAAGAAUAUAAACAAUUAAAUAAUAUGAUAAAGUAAUAAGAUUUAUAAAAUAAAUAAAUAUUUUAUUUAGGAUAAAUAUAAAAAAAUUUAUGUCCUAAAUCACAAUUUAUUAUUUUUUAUUAUUAUUAUUUUUAUUUGUUUGUUUUUAUAUUAAAAUUUUUUUUAUUAAUUAUUUAUUUUAUAUUAUUAUUUUAUAUUUAAAACAUCUAUAAAUAAUUAAAAUCAAUAAAUAUGAGAAAAUGAAAUAGUGAAAAAAAAUUGAAAAUAGAAAAUUUUCAUGAAGUCAACACAUUAAAAAAAUGUGGAGAUAUUAUGGAAUAUAUAUAUAUAUAUAUAUAUAUAUUCUUGUGAAAAAAAAAAAAAAAAACCAACAAGGACAUGCUCUUUGACUUCUCAUAUCAAAGUUUUUUUUAAUAAAAAAUAUUAUGGUAAUAAGAGAAGGUUAGAUAUAUGCAUUUCAUGACUCACUUCUAUCUAUUUCUAUCUAGGGCAUGUCUUAACCAAUUUGUCUUAAUAGUUGUUCAUGUGACAUGACACGAUGGAAAGGUAGUCAAAAGACUUUUAUUUCUUUAAUACAAGAACACAUCUCUAGUCCAAAAAAAUUCAAAACAUUUCUUUCCAACCACAUAGCUCAGCAAACCCAUAUCACUUAGCAAACUUAAGCAAACACUCCUCUUACAUUACCAAUACAACACUACUCAAUAGAGCAUAGACCGUGAUAUUUCCCUUUUAUUCAAUACCAAACUUCUUUCUCAUCCACGUGACAAAGUCAUGGACCUUGCGGGGUCUUCGAGGGAAGACCCAUGUGCCCCUUCUACUCUAUACCAAACCUCUUUCUCAUCCCCAUGAUAAAGCCAUGGACCUUGUGUGGGUCUUCCAGAGAAGACGACACGCUCUCCUUUUCCAUGCACCUCUUGGUCCAAGCGAUCAACUUGGGGCACUCCGCCUCCAUGCUGAAGUUGCCAAAGGUCUCGUAUGCAUAAAACCAGCAAGAGAAGGUCACCAGAGCCACAUCUACAAACCCAAUUUUUUCACCACCGAAGUAAGGCUUCUCUCCAAGCUCUCCUUCCAAAAGCUUAAGGCACUCUAUGAAUUCCUUCUUGGCUGUUUCCUGCUCUUCUCCUUUGGUUGACCAUAUCUUCCUUCCAAGUUCAUAGAGCUGUGGAAAACAAUAAAGUCAAAGAAAUUUAUGUAUUCGCCUUGCUUGGGGAAAAAAGGUAUUCUUGAGAUCUGUUUUUCCUGAUGGAACGAACAGAAUUCGUAUUCAACAUAACAAAGAAAUUUAAACCCAUAUCAGAAAUGCAGAGUAGAGUCCUGUUGAACAAACAGCAAGGAGAAUCAGUAAAAGUUCUAGUUUGGAACCCCAAAGCCCACAAAACUCAAUAGCAGAAGGGAACGUGUGAAGAAACCCAGCAUUUUGGACAACUCCCUCACCAUAAUCAAAAUCUGAGUCAAUCGCCAUGAAUAAAUGGAAAAGAAUGCUUUAAAUCAACAGCAAAGGCAUACCUUCUUGUCUAUGUAGUCCGCCCAGAACCUGGCCUGAGCUCUCUGGUAUGGGUCACUAGGCAAAAGCGGAGAUUUAUCGCACCAAACCUCAUCAAUAUACUGAACUAUUAUCAGAGACUCACAAAUGGGCUUUCCAUUGUGGAUCAGAACUGGGAUUUUCUUAUGAACUGGGUUCAUCUCAAGAAGCAAAGGGCUCUUGUUCCACAGGUCCUCCUCUCUAUAUUCAUACUUGAGACCCUUCUCUGCCAGGGCAACUCUGACCCUCAUACCAAACAUGCUAGGCCAGAAAUCCAACAAGAUAAUCUCGUCUGCCAUUGCUACUAAUGUGAUUGAUAAGAUUCAAUCUCUUUAGUAUUGAUGAACAACACAGGGCAAAUUGCUGAGUAUUUAUAGCAAAUUUCAGAGAGUGGGUUAAACCCUUGGAUACUUCUAGGAGGUGGUGAUGCUCAUUCCUUAUCUCAGCUUUCAUUUUCAUUUUCCAUUCUAUCUGGGUUUCGUAUCUCCAGAAUUUGUGAAUUAUGCAAACUUUUGUUAUGGCAUGGUAAAAUAUAGAAGCGUCACGAUAGUUGGUUGCUUCCACGACAUCUCAUUGCUUUGAUCAUUCCACGUCAUCGCUUUCGCCAGCCCUGUCAAUUAAGUACACUGGUCCUCCGCAUAAUUUCCACCACAAAAAUGAUGUUGCAAGGAAAAAAAAUGAUAUUGUAGGGAAAAGAAAAUAGAACUUGUAUACUUUUAGAUCGACAAGUCACUAUUGGUCCCUUCCUUAGUUCUUAGAUUCCUGAAAUUAAAUAAAUAUUUAAACUUUAUGUGUAUUAUAAAUAUUUAAAAUUUCAGUGGUGAUUGUAUUUUUAUCUAAGAUCUAAUUUUUUUUUUAAUUUGAAUAAAUUAAGUAUUGUUAAAUAUUUAAAUUUUUUAUAUUUUAAUUAUUAGUAAAUGUUAAUAAAUAUUAAAUUACUGAUCUUUUACAUUACAAAAAUAUUUAUAAAAUAUAAUAUUUUAUUUCUUGUUAAAUUAGUUUGCAAUCCAGCAUAUUUUUUAAUAUUUAAAUAUCAUAAUUCAUUAACAUAUUAAAAUUUUAUAAUAAAUAAUUAUGUAAUUGAUAAGAAAUUGGUAGUAUGAUAAUAAGUAUAAUUAUGGGGUAUUUGGUAAACUCAAUAAUUAUUAUUUAAUGACUUAAGUUGAUUUUAAGUAAAAUUAUAUUUAAGUUAUUGACUUAAAACUUAUCACUUAAUUUUUACUUUAAAUAUUAAGGUUGUUUAAUAAAAUUAAUUUAAAAUUUAUUCUAAAUCAUCAAAUUGAUAUACUUAACCCCAUAAUUAUAAUGAGGGUAAAUGAGAUCGAGUAACGAUGGAAGUUGUAUAAUAGCAAAAGAAAUCGUGGAACUAAGAUAAAUGAGGGUAAAAAGAUAAAAUGAAAACAUGGAUUUAAGAAUAAAUUAAUUAUUUUUACUUAUUACUUAAAGUUGUUUUUUACUUUUAAGUUAUACCAUUAAAUUAUUUUACCAGCUGUAUUUAAUUUGUUUAAUAACUUGAAUUAAGUUAUUAAGUUGAUUUACCAAAUUCCCACUUAGACUUGUUAGAAACUAUUAGAACUUUUUCUAAGUUAGUAUAUGUUUAGAUUUGAAGAUUUGUGAUUGAAAUAUAUAUUCUUUUUUAAAUUAAUCAUUGAUUUUUGGAAUUUUAUCGGAGUAUCAACUUUUAAUUUAUAUUUUUUAAAAUUAUUAAUUCUAAUAAAUAUUUAGAUGAAUGUGAAUUAUGCUUUAGAAUUUUGAUUAAAAAAAUCUUAUUAGAAUUGAUAACUAUUUUUAUUUUUUAUAAAGCUGAAUUUUAAAAAUUUAUAUUAAAUAUUUUUCUAAUUUAAAUUUUAUGAUUUUUAGUGUAAUUUACUUUUUAAUUUUGAAUGAGUAAUCAAUAAUAAUUUGCGGAAUUCAAUUUUAUUAAGAAUGGGAUAAAUUAUGGGGUAAAAAUAAUGGAAACAUGUGGGGAUUUGAAAUUUUGUAAAUUUAUCUUUUAGCUAUCAAUUUAUGAGAAAAUUUUAAAUCUGAUUUUUCUUUAAAAAAAAUGAAAAAUGAAAAUGAAAAAAAAAAAACAAAAAAAAAAAUCAAAUAUAUUUGAUGCUUUUUGUGAAUGACAACUUUGUUAAUUUCUAAUAAAUUUAUUUCUCACUCAAAUUAUAUAAAAUUAACAUAGUUUAACUAUUUUUUAAAACAAGUUAUCUAUUCUUUUUUAAAGGAAUUUAGUUUAAAUUUUUGUGAAAAUUUGUAUUUAAGCAAGUACUCUUAAUUAAUGAUUAAAAGCUUUUUUAUUUUUUAGUUUUUCCCCAUAAAGAAUUAAAUAUUAUAAUUAAUCCUAGUUUUUUCAAACUCUUAUAAAUAGGAGACUUGGGUCAAUGAAAUGGAUACCUCAAAGUUAUUUUAGAAAUCUGUCUUUUCUCUAAUUCUAGUCUCUCCAAAAGAAAACUUUUUUUUAUCAUCUAAAAGGUAUGUGAUAAACUUCUACUUUUAUAUUAUUUUCUAUUUAAUUUAUCCUUUUUUCGAUGAAGAAACUAGAAAAUAUUUUUUUAUAGACAAAAAUUAUGAAAAAAAAAAAUCGCAACUAGAAGUUAUAAAAAAAAAUGUAAAAUAUGUACAAUUGUAUAGCUAGAGGUUAUAUGAGAAAUUAUAAAGUUAUAAAAAUAUAAAGAACGACUUACAUGUAAUUUCUAAUUUCUUUUAAUCAUAAUGAUAUAACCAAAUGUUACACAAAACAAAAUUGUAUAGUCAAAAGUUAAAUAAUGAAUAUUUCAUAGCCUAAAGAUGUAUACAAAUUUACACAUUUUUGUUAUGAUAAAAAUAAUCCAUAGCCAAAAACUAUGUAAGGUAUCAAUUUGUAAUUUUUAUUUUGUUAAUUCUACAUGAUGUUCAUGCAUUUCUUUUUUACCAUAUUUAUAAUAAUCCUUUAGCGAUAAAAUAUAACAAAAUCUUAAAUCAUUAUGCUUUUAUUAAUGAAUAUAAACCUGAUAAAAUAUUGUUAGAUAAUUUUAUUCAUUUAUUUAUAAUUUAUUUUGGUAAAUUGAAAUAUUAUUCUAAUUAAAUUAUUUCAAAUAUAGUUUUCAAAUAAUGUCAAAUCUUACCAAGUUUGAGUUUGUUACACUCCCUAUUUCAGGCAAAACUAUUUAUAUGGAUUUUAGAUGCUAAAAUUCACCUAAACGAUAUGAAUCUUGAAAAGACCAUUAAAGAAUAAAAUGAGGCAUCCUCACAAGAUCGCACUGGAGCAUUAAUAUUCCUUCAUUAUCACAUUGAUGAAGGAAUAAAAGGUGAAUUCCUUACAAUCAAAGAAUUUUCAUCCUUUGAAAUAAUCUAAUGGAAUGAUACUUUGAUCCUUUGGAAUAAUAUAACAUAAUGAUAUGGCCACCACGAGAUUAUAAUCCUUCCAAAAGCACAUCAUGAUUGGAUGCACUUGAGAUUACAAAAUUUCAAGUCUGUCAAUGACCACAACUCGACUUUAUUCAAAAGUUGUUCACAAUUUAUAUGGAGAAAAAAUCAUUAAAGAAUAUAUCCUUGAAAAGACAUUUACUAUUUUCCAUGCCUCGAAUGUACUCCUAUGGCAACAAUAUCAAGAGCAUAAUUUCACUAAAUAUUUUGAAUUAGUUUAAUGUCUUCUUAUGGCUAAACAAAAUAAUGAACUUCUACUUAAGAAUCAUCAAUCUCAUACUAUUAGGUCUGUGUCAUUACUUGAAGCAAAUGUCACAUCCGUCCAAGCUCCUAGACAUUGAGUUGGACUUGGACAUGAACAAGGCUAAGGACACAGUCAUGGUCAUGGUAAACAUAAUUCUUGGUACCAUGGUAAUUAUAGUCAUUAGAAUAGACAAAACAAUUCAAACCAUUAGAAGUGGAAUAAUUCAAAGGUGCAACCUAAAAAGGAUAUAUAUAUAUAUAUAAUCACAAAACAAACAUGAUAAUAAGAAUGAAUGCUAUAGAUAUGGUAUGAAAAGGAUGUAUGUAGGAUUUAGAAAUGACCUACGAGGAACAGGAAGACCUCAAAUUCAUUAUGAGGCUUCUAUAAUUUAAUAUUUAGACCCAAAUAAGAAUGGAUAGAACCAUGGUCCACCUUAAAAGAAAAGUUUUUUUUUUUUUUUGAAGAAUUUACAUACUUUUCUUAAGAAUGUACGUAUUUUUCUUAAGGAUGUACGUAGACUUUGAAAAUGACAAACGAGGAAUGGGCAGCCUCAAAAUUAUUACAAGGCUUCCAUAAAUUAAUAUUAAAAACCUAAAUAAGGCGAAAUAAGGUCACAAUCUGCUUUUAAAAAAACGCACAUAUUUUGUUUUUUUAAGAAUGUACAUGUUUUCCAUAAAAAUAUAUGUAUCUUUUCUUAAGAAUGUUCUUAAGGUUUAGAAAAGCCUAACAAGGAAAAGAAAGACCUCUAAUUCAUUCUCAGGCUUCCAUAAGUGAAUACCUAGACCUAAAUAAGGUCAAAUAGGAUUAUAGUCUUAAGAUAGAGCUCUUAAGAGCAUAACAUGGUGUAUUAAGUUUGAAAUUCAUUAUUUAUUUAAUGAUGUUCCCAUUUCACUUUUAUCUAUCUUUAUUCCAUGUAUUAUAUUUUAUGAGAAGUCUUGUCAGCAUCUUUUGCAUUGUACAUGACUUAGGUGCAUUAGGAGUUGCACAGAAGAUCUUUAAGCCAUGGGUUCCUUGCAAAUAAUUGACUUGUUCACAACCGGUUUAUGGGUCUAGGCAACCCUUUAGAAGUUGUAGUGCACCACCUCCUAAUUAGAGGGAUGGUUGGUCUUCGUUAUCGGGAUGGGUUUCCCAUGGUGAGUACACUACUAUGUAUGAUUACAUGUUGGACAAGACCUACGAUGAGCCAUGACUUAAGACUAUCAAGUAGUCAUGACCUCACCAAGCUACUUCAUUGUGUUAUCUCUCAACCUUGAGAGAAUAUCGAGAUUGUGUUAAAAUUAGCAAUGACUUUUACCUAUGAGUGAGAUCGUAAGUUGGAUCAUAUAUUCCCUAUGGAUUGGGUCACUGUUGAUGGAAGUCGGUAACAAUAGGUAUUCUCAAUAGACACCAUGAUAUCUCAUGGGAUUGAGACAACGUGUCCCCUUGGGUGAUCCUAAGGGGAUGUGUUCAUGGAAACUAUGGCCAUAAUAGUUCCUUAAGUAGAACUUGACACAGGCUCUUUGAGAGCUAAGACAUGUCAAUUGAAUAUACAAUAGGAGGAUUUGUAACUCAAGGAUAGUAGAGGUAGUCUUGAAAGGUUGAUAGCUUUCACCUUGUUAGGCUAGAACACCAGUUCAUGGGGAGAGUGAACACAAUGGAUACUAGGUCACAGACCCGAGUACAUAGUGUCUCGUUGUUAUUUACAUAGGAUAUUGGAGUUCAAUUGAUUCUUUGUAAUAAGAUGUUGAAUCAACUUCAUAAUUGGAUCCUGAGGGAGUUAGUACUCUUAUGGAUCCUAAUGGUCCCCGCUCUAAGCUUAUAUAUCUUUUUGGCAUAGUUAUGAGUGUCGAAUUGACUCUAGGUUCACUUUUGUGCAUAAGGGCAUUUCGAUAAUUAUGCAAGAUUGCAUAAGGGUAAGUGAACAAAGUCUAUAGAUUGAGCUAAUUAAUUAAUUAGUAGGCCCUAUUAGGUUAAUUAAUCCAUUAGGAUCCAUUUUGGGAUAAAUUAAGUUAUCCAAAUCCAUGUGGGCUCAAGUCACUUAAGCCUAGUUAGGAACCCUAUAAAUACCCCCUAGGGGUUAGAGUCUUCAUCACUUUUGUCUUCCACCAUUUAGACAGAAAGAGAGCAAUAGCCUCUACCUUUCGUUCUUCCCUAUUGAAAGUGUGCCAAGAAUAAAUUUGAGUCAUCAGGCAAAAGACCAUGGGUUUACGAGACUUCCAACAACUUCAAUGUCAUCUUCAACACUUGCAAUUUAAGGUUUGAAACAUCCAAACCUAAAGGUUAGCACUUUAACCAUAAAGAUCAAUUUAAAAAAAUAAAUAAAUAAAUUGGUAUUGUUUCCGUUCCUUAGAUCUACGAUGCCAACACACAGUUCGCUUGAAAAAAAUGCAAGUAUUUUCUUCAAAAUAUAUAUAUUUGUUCAGAAUGUAUGUAUUUUUGUAAAAGAUGUACCUUAGGUAGGGUUCCACCAUGCCAAAUGAGGUUUGGGAAGCUUUCAAAUACAUUUCGUAGAGUACAUAAGUCAAAUCUUAGACCCAAAUGAGUGUGAAUCUGUCAUGUUAAGUUGAAAUCAAAUGUACAUAUCUUUCUUAAGGUGUUAUAUUUUUCUAAAAAAUGAACUUAUGAGUGUUUAGCUAGGUUGGCAAUUCCGGAAAAAAUUUCUAAGUGUCCCCUAACUUGGUUUACCAAUCCCUCUUCGGACUACAUGACCUUUGAAGAUUAAGACUUUGCUAAAAGGUCGAGGUAUGUAGCCAAGUCUGUAGUGAUUAAAUGUGAGCCAACCCUAUUUUUUCAUCUUUAAAUGAGUAAAGAAAGCUGAGAGAAAUAUUGUUGGUGCAAGGCUUUUGUUCCCCUGUUUCUAGAUCGAUCCAGGUAUAGGGGCAAAUCAAUCCAACUAACCUAUUUUUAAGAUCAAUUUUCAACCUUUGGAUUAAGGUUUCACUCUCAUUUAAAAUCAAAUCUCCCCCAUUUCUGGAAAUGGUGACUGUAGUAUCCGUAAGAGAUUUUUUUUCUUUCCUCACCAUUUAGAAGGUGUUUACCUAUGAAGAAAAUCCAUCCAAGUUUUCCAAGAAUUUUUUUUAAAAAAAUGGAUUUUCUGAAAAUGAACAAGGGUUGAUUUCUAAAACAUUCAUAUUUCAUUCUCUUGGUUUUGUGCAAAAACCCAUUUUCUUCUUGUAUGAAUUCAAGAAGAAAUCGAGCUUAGUGCAAACUCCAAGUGUGUCCCGAAAGAAGAAGCUAAGAAGCUGAAAAUGAAGGUACUAGUCAAGUGGUUUGGGAAAGAUUGGUUGGCUUGAGCAAGGUAAAACCUUGUAUUCAGAUUUUAUUUUUCAUAGUGGAUGUUUUCAAUCAGUAAUAGGCCCGUGGUUUUUUAUCUCUUCGGAGAUUUUUCAUGUAAAUUUAUGGUGUCUCAUUGUCUCCCUUUCUCUUCUUAGCAUCAGUUUUCAAUUUCAACAAUUUAUUAUAAUUUUGAUUGUCUACUAUUUGAUUGAAUGAUGAAGAGAAAUGACUAUGAAUCAUCUUUGAAGUUGUUUCUAAUUGUUAAUCAUUGAUAUUUUGAGGUAUAUUGAUCUUGCUUUUAUCAAAAUUUAGUUUAAGUUGAUUUGGGUUUGGGAGUGUUAGAUCAUGUGCAUGUGAAUUACAUUUGAAUAUUGUUAGGGAGUGUUGUUGCAUUCAUAUAUGCAUGUGAUUUAUAAUUUGUGUUUUUGAGACUGUGUGAAGAGAAGAAAAAUAUUCAAAAAGUUUUAAGGUUUGCUAAUUUGAGUUGAGAUUUUGUUUAAUUGGUCAAAACACCUAUUCAACCUCCCUUAGGUGUAUUCCACUAUUGAGAUUCACCUUUUCAAUUGGUAUCAGAGAGGGUUUUUAAAGCAAAAAUCAUUUUCGAUCCUUAAAUCUCAAUCAGGGAACCUCAUUAAGAGGGAGCUUCCAUUAGAAGACCACCUUUCUUAACCAGUGAAAAUUUUUCUCAUUGAAAAGUGAGAAUGCAAUAUUUUCUCAAAAUGCAAAGUGAUAAAAUUUGGAAUGUCGUUGAAUUUGGUUAGUCUCCACCUAAGGUGUUAGAUAGAGAAGGUAAAUUAACAAAUGUUAUCAAGCCAAAAUUGAAAUGUGAUAGAAGUGAAAAUGAAGCAAGUGAGAAUAAAGCUAGAGCCAUGUUCUCCAUCUUCAAUGCCAUUAGUACGAAUGAAUUUCAUAGCAUUGCCACAUGCACUUUGGUUAAAGAAGGCUUAGGAUAUCCUCUAAGUGACUCAUGAAGGAACUAAUGUCGUGAAAAUGUCCAAGCUUCAAAUGUUGACAUCUAGGUUUGAGACCAUUAGGAUGGAUGAUCAUGAAACUUUUAGAGAAUUUCAUGCAAAAUUGAUGGAUAUUGUGAAUUCUAACUUCAAUCUAGGUGAAUCCAUCUCUAACUGAAAGAUAGUUAGAAAAAUUUUAAGAUCUCUUCCAGAUAAAUUUAGAGCUAANGUUACCGCCAUUGAAGAGUCUAAAGAUGUGGAUUCCUUGAAGAUAGAUGAACUUGUAGGUUCUCUCCAAACCUUUGAGAUGAUGCUUGUAUCACCUAGGAAAGCUAAGGGAAUUGCUUUAAAAGCUAUUAAAUAAGAGUCCCUAAGUUUCGAAAGUGAGAAUGAUGUCAAAGGGUGAGCUUACUAAGUUUACUAAAAAAAUUAAGAAGUACAUGAAAUUCAGAAAAUCCAAGAAAGAAUCAAAUGAUGGUAAAAAUGGAGGAACUCUAUUAGAAAAAAAGAAGAAUAUGGAGAAAUGUGUGAAAAAAGAGUUGGUGAUUGAGUGCUUUAAAUGUGGAGGAAAUGGGCAUUAUGCCGCCAAAUGUCCCUCAAAGAAAAAAAAAAUGAAAGAAGGUCAUGCAAGUCACUUGAAGCAACAUAGAAUCUUGUCAAUCAAGUGAAAAAGAAUCCAAUGGAAGUGAAGAAUACACUAACUUCAUAGCCUUUGCUGCAAGUGUCAAUGAGAAACCACUCAAGAAAGAGGUCUUAAGUGAGUCAUGAGUCAAGUGACUCCAAUGAUGAUGACAUGAAUUUUGACAUAGCAUAUGAGACUUUGUAUAAGGAAUGCUUGAGCCUUAAACAAGAACAAGUCAAGUGGAAGGCUUCUAAGAAUAUUCUAAUCAAUGAGAUUGAUGUCUUGAAGGGAGAAAAGAAGGCUUUGCUUGAAAAAAUUGGAUUUCUUGAAAAUGACCAUUUGGAAGUGAAAAAAAAAAUAUUAUGUAUUGAAAAGUGAAUCAAAUGUUCAAGGAUGAGUUAAGUCUUAAGAAGAAAGAAUCACAUCCUAGCUCUAAGAGGAUUAAUGAGUUGAUCAAUUUAAGGCGUAAAUCUUUUGAUAAACAAGGCUUAGGAUUUGUUGAUGCAAAUACUACUCCAAGUAGUGGUAAAACAAUUUUUGUUAAGCCUUGUGAAAAAUAAUAUCCUAAGAAAACUCAUUCUCAAAUCAAGUUUCAUUGCAAUCAUUGUGGCAAAAUGGGACACAUUUUUCAUAGAUGUUGUACAAGAUUGUUUGAUAACUUUCAAAGGAAGUUGACCAACCUAAUGAAUGAAUGUUAUGCUUUGAAGAAUAGGUUAUUGAAUGAGAAUAAGAGAGUGUCCAAGAAGUGCUCAAAGAUCCCUCAUAAUGGUGAGUUGAAAGGAAGCACUUUGAAUGAAAAGACAAGUCUCAAAUGUUAAACAAAUUUGGGUGUGAAUGAAUUAGUUGAAGUGUUUUGUUGUCCAUACCGCACUUAGAGCUAGUGAGUCACACUCAUGGCAUCUUGAUAGUAGAUGUUCACAUCAUAUGACUAGAAAUAAAUCUUUGUUCACUUCAUUCACUGAAUUUGAUGGAGGAAAUGUGACAUUUGGAGAUGGUAAUGUGGCUAGGGUGAAAGACAAAGGUACCAUUUGUGCCCCUGACAUUCCUAAUCUUGAAGAGGUCUUAUAUGAAGGUUUAAAGGCUAACUUAAUUAGCACAAGCCAAAUGUGUGGGAAUGAGUUCAAUGUAAAAUUUUCACAAACUUUUUGCAAGGUGUUUGACUUGAAUGAUGUAAGUGUGAUGAUUGGCUUGAGAACUUGUGAUAAUUGCUAUGUUGUUAGUAAAAAAUCUCCUUCAUCCUCUUCUCUCGUGUGUGGAAGUUCUAAAAUUGCAUGUGUUAAUCACUUGUUGCAACAUAGAUUGUUACAAAAUGAAAAAGAGCAUCCCAUUGUAAAAGUUAGGAUUGGUAGGGGGGAUUUGAUGAUGCCAAUGUUAUUGAUAGGCUAGAGAACCAUGUUCUUCAUUAUAGAUAAAAACAUGUGGACAUUAAGCAUCACUGCAUUCAAGACUUGGUAGAAGACAAGGUUGUUUACUAGAGGUUUUCCCUAUAGAGAGUCAAAUUGCUAACAAUGUUACUAAACCUUUGGACAUUUCUAGGUUUGAAUCACUUAGGAGCCCCAUAGGUUUAUAUAUUCUCUGUUUAACUGCCUCUAGAACUUGUCUAGGACUCCUCUUGCAUAUCCUUGAGUCCUAGUUGUCUUCCUAAGUUCCCAAAUAUCAUCAACUUGAUGUUCUUUUUGUUUUGGUUCAAUAUUUUCUCCAUUUUUCAUAAAUUUUCAACAAUUGUUGAGUUCAUGAGAGUGACAUGCUUAUUCAUUUUGUUUAAAAGUUAAAUUAACUCAUAAUGAUCUUAAAAGCUUCAAGAUGUAUUUAUCUCCAUGGCUUGUUUGAUAAACAUGAUAUUGAAUCCUUGCUAUUUUGAUUUGGUUAGAUAAACUACAAAUGAUUAGCUUCAUUUCUAUUAAGUGAGUAAGAGCUCAUUGUUGGACCUUGUGUUUGCAUAAUGGUGAAUAAUGCUCUUUAAAGUCUAAAUGAAAACUUAUACCCAUUUAAUGAGCUUUAAAGAGUGAGUAAAGACACCUGGAAUAUCCUUGAGAGGUUGAGAUGAUCAGUCUUUGAUUGUUUGUCCUCUCUUUGAAAUUAAUUUUUUUUUAAAUGAAAAAGAAAAGAAAAAGAAAAUAUGAAGUUUCCCGGAAUGGAUAUGGCUCCGUGGCAAUGUUUCAAGAAUUAAAAAGCCUCCAUUGCAAGAGUGGGACAUCCCUUAUGUUGUUAUGUUGUAAAGACAUCCUUAGAGAUCCUCAAGUCAAAAAUUGAUCUUAAGGGUAAAACUUAAAGCUUUGUAUUCCUUUCAAUGCUAAAUGUGAAAAGCAAAUAGUGUAUGAAUUUUAUUAAAGGGAUGUGAUUAGGUCAUGUUGAACAGAAAUCUGGCCAAGAGAGAUGCAAAUUGACUUUGAUUACUACUCAAAAAGUACUCUUUUAUAGCUUGAAACUAACUGUUUUAAACACUUUUGAGUAGUAGUUAAUACAUUUUAACUCAAUUGGCACAUUAAGAAACCUAGCAAGGGUUACUAAUCAAUUUUUCGCAAGUUUUGGUGUUUUUGGUAGCUAUUUGAUCAUUGAAACAAGCCAAGAAUGAGGGAGAAUUUUGUGAAAUCCAUGGCAAUGCAAGUUAAAGCUCAAAUACAUGAAGAAUCCAAGCUUUGGAGCACUUCAUAGCCCUUUUCCAAGCCAAUUAGAGAUGCAAGAAGGGAAACCAGAGGAAGAAAUCCAACAACCAGCAUUUCCGCAUGGCUGUGCGAAAUUUCGCACACCAUACGAAACCACUUGAGGCAACCAAAAAAUUUCUCACAUCAUGCGAAAUUUCCCAAGGUAUGCGAAAUCUUCCUGUGCACCAACUCCGUUAGAUUUUUAUCUCUAGAUAUUUUAUGUAAUUUCCUAUUUUCUCCUUAUAAUCAACUUAGAUAUUUUCAUAUAUAUUUUUUUAUAUAUUUAGUGUGUGUAACAUCUUUUGAUAUAGACACACAGGGAUGUAAUCAGAGAACGCUUGUAAAUUCCCCGUAGUAAGAAAUAUACAAAGCUUUUGCUCUGUCUUUUCUUUUCAUUUUGUUUUCACUCUUCUUUCUAGUCAAACAACCUCUAAGGAUGAUUUCUCAGGGGAUGAGUGGCUAGGUUUUACGUUUCUUGGAGCUAUGGAAGCUAGGUGAAGGACUCGAAUGCAAAGAUGGGAGUUGUCCUUACUCUAAAUGAAAGUAGUUGUUAACCAUUAAUGGUUUUUAUUUUAAGGUUUAGCUUUAAAUCCCUUAAAAGCACCUUGAAUGGCCAAUACUUGGUAAGCUUUUUGAAUUCUAUGGAUGCUUAGUGCUAGAUCCAUGGAUGUCUAUUAGUUAUCAUUUAUGAGCUAUUGGAAGGUGGUUCAAGGUGAGAGUCUUUAGUGUGUCAAGCCAUUAAUGGGAAGCAACUAUUAUUUUUCAUGAACCCUUUGGAUCAAAUCUUAAUUGCUAAAAAUAAAAUCGGUUCGGGAGAUAACCAUCCUUAUAUUAUUGUCCCCAACGCGAGGAAAAGAUCCGGAAUCUCCCCCUUUGUCUAAGGAACCCAAUCCUAGUGACCUAAAGCUCCAAGAGACCUUUUCUUUGUAGUCAACUUCACCUAUUAUUUUUGCUUAACUUAAAAUCAAUCUUUGCAACCACAAUUCCAUUUUCUUUAAAAGCUAAUUUUCAUAAGGAAAAACACCAUUUUAUUUCCUUCACUAAAGUCAAUUGUACGAUGAAAACCCAUCCUUGUGGACGAUCCUAGAGCCACUAUACUAUGUUAGCUAUGCUACCCUAGUGUGAGGUGAUUUAGGUUUUAUAAAUUUUGUUGAUAACACCCGUCUAAGCCAGAAUCAAAUGGCAUGACUACAAUGGGGAUGAAUCAGACUUCUUGGAACAUUAUCUUGAAUUUCUCUAGGAAGGAAGAGUAUCUUGAAAAUGAUUUUUGGCUCAUAAAUGAAUAUAGGUUUCUAAGUGGAAAUUAUUUAACAUUAUCACCAUUUUAUGGUGUCAUGAGUGAGUUUUUUUUAGCUUAAGCUUCCUUGUUAGAGUGUUGAUAAUCAUUUGUUUUUUACCUAUUCAUUUGAUAAAUUUGGAAAGUACUUCAAUCUCUAUGUUUAUUAAUUUUGUCUAUUGUUAUGUUCUUGGAAGCAUUUUUGUUCAAUGUGAAUCAAUUCUAACUCAUUAAUUGAAAGAUAAGUAUGUCAUCCUAUUGUAUCUCAUCUUUGGUCGAUCAAUUUUCAUUUUUUGGAAAGCCUAUUCGUGUAUUUCUUGUGAUUUUUCGAUAGUUUUUGCCUAAGUCAUUUUUCAAUUGGGUGUCGAUCGAUCUACUGAAUUUGUGGAUCGAUCCAUUAUGUGCACAAUGUAGUGACCGAGAGCCCUUGAAUGAAUCUUGGAUCGAUCCACCAAGAUCGAUACCACCUAGUACUUGUCUCUCACACACUUAGCCAUUUUUUUCAAAUUUGGUUUGUUCAAACCUAUGUGACUGUGUAUCAUCAAGAGCACAAUUGAAAAUUGGAUCGAUCCACCAAGGUCGAUACCACAUAUGCAUUUGUGAAAAAUUCCAUUUUUGCCCCCAACUAGUUAUACUCAUAUGGUUUAAUGGAUGAGGGGUAUUUUCAUAAUUAAAAGUAAAAAAUUGAAAAAGUCAAAAUUCCUAAAUCUGUUUUUCCCAAUUCAUUUCUUUCAAAAGCCCUAGGUCUUUUGUUUCAAAGAAGAGAACUUCUCUACUCUAAGCUUCUCUUUAGCCAUCAUCGUCGAUCCAUCAUUCUGGCCACUACCAUCAAAAGUCUCUACCACUAGAAACCUUUAUCGUCAGACUUCCUUAUCUGGUGAGCGUUUCAGGUCUGGCCAAUCCCACUAGACAGCCUCGUCAAAUAGCCUAGAAUUGUUGUGUUGCUCAACUCAUGUCAUCAGCUUGUGUGUCUCUUCUUAGUGCGUCGGUGUUUUCGAAAAUUGCCUUCUACAUAGUAUGUGUUGGCUAGGACCUCCUGUGUGCAUCACUAGAUUGUAUCUCAUUCAAUUGGGAUUCCAUUCCAGCAGUUGGAAAUUCCAAUCAGCCCUUAGGACUGUGUUUUUCACAGCACAAUCAACACAACGCAAUCUACACUUCUGGAAAUUGUGUUCUACAUAGCCCAUUUCUCUUGUUUUUUUUUCUACUAUUUUCCAAUGUCCGUGUCUUCAAUGCAACUUAUUUGCAAGAGUUCUCAUUUCCGGCAACCAUUAUUGUUUGAUUUAUCCAUUUUUUUCUCUUCUAUUAGUCUCAUUUGGAACUUCUCUGCUCUAAGCUUCUCUUUAGCCAUCAUCGUCGGUCCAUCAUUCCGGCCACUACCAUCAAAAGUCUCUACCACUGGAAACCUUUAUCGUCAGACUUCCCUAUCUGGUGAGCGUUUCAAGUCUGGCCAAUCCCACUAGACAGCCUCGUCAAAUAGCCUAGAAUUGUUGUGUUGCUCAGCUCAUGUCGUCGGCAUGUGUGUUUCUUCUUAGUGCGUCGGUGUUUUCAAAAAUUGCCUUCUACAUAGUAUGUGUUGGCUAGGACCUCCUGUGUGCAUCACUAGAUUGUAUCUCAUGCAAUUGGGAUUCUGUUCCAGCAGUUGGAAAUUCCAAUCAGCCCUUAGGACUGUGUUUUUCACAGUACAAUGAACACAACGCAAUCUACACUUCUGGAAAUUGUGUUCUACAUAACCCAUUUCUCUUAUUUUUUUCUCUACUAUUUUCCAAUGUUCGUGUUCUCAAUGCAACUUAUUUGCAAGAGUUCUCAUUUCCGAAAACCAUUAUUGUUUGAUUUAUCUAUUCUUCUCUCUUCUAUUAGUCUCAUUUGGAUUAUUUAUUUAUUUAUUUAUUUUUAUUUUUUUGUAGAGUCCUCUCACAGUAGUUUUAAUAGUUUGAGAUUUCAUUUUUGCCUUGGAGUGUUCCUAGUUUCUAGGAAUGCUAAUCCUAGGCUUUGGUUGUUCAUUUUGAGUGGUCUUCAUACAUUUUCAUGCUUGAAAUCUAUUUUCAUGGUGAUAAAGCAUUUUUUGAAAGUUUUUAAUUGAAACCAUGUGAUAGGAUUCAAGAGGAGAUUCUCAUAUCCUGUGAUGGGAGUCAAGGGAAGAUUCUUGUAUCCUAUAAUUUUUUUUUCUGGAAUGUUGAUAUGGAUACUUGGUGAUAUGUGAAUAUUUGAUUUUUGGGUAUUUGACAUUUUGUUGAAAAGUGGAUGUUUGUUGAUUUGGAUGUGAGAUAUUCUGCUAUUGAAUUCUCAUCCAUUUGUCGUUUUUCUUGGAUAGAAAAUGGGAAAUUAUAACUUUUUGUCUCCUGCUAGGACAAAAAGGAGAAAACAUUUUACAUGGAUGUUGAUAUGACAUGUAGUUGAUCAUGACGGCUUCUUUGUGUUUUGUUGCUUUGGAUAUUUGAUAUGUUGAUCAUGAUCACCUUUUUUGUAUAUUGAUGGAUAUUUGACACGUUUUUGAACUCAUGAAUGCAUAUUAAUUAUCUUUAGACAAGUUAUUUUUGUGGAUAUAUGUGGAUAUUUGUGUGUCAAUUCAUUUGAAACUUAUGGAAGUGUCUUGGUAAUAUGUGCAAGUGCUACUAAUGUUUUUUCUUGAGAUUUAUUUGCAGGAUUUGUAGUACCUUUAGUUAGGUUUUGAGUGAGUGAGUGGCCUUGUAUGAGAGUUGGGUGGGACUUACUUGUAUUCAUUUGUGUUGUAAAGGGUUUUGUCCCAGAAUUUUCAAAUGGGGAGAUUUUGAGUGUUUAGCUAGGUUGGUAAUUCCGGACAAAAUUCCUAAGUGUCCCCUAACUCGGUUUACAAAUCCCUCUUCGAACUACUUGACCUUUGAAGAUUAAAACUUUGCUAAGAGGCUGAGGUAUGUAGCCGAGUGUGUGGUGAUUGAAUGUGAAUCAACCCUGUUUUUUCAUCUUUAAAUGAGUUAAGAAAACAAGGAGAAAUAUUGUUAGUGCAAGGCUUUUGUUCCCCUUAUUAUGGAUUGAUCUAGGUGCAAGGGCAAAUUGAUCCAACUAACCUAUUUUUAAGAUCAAUUUUCAACCCUUGGAUUAAGGGUUUCUUUCUCAUUUAAAAUCAAAUAUCUCCCAUCUCUAGAAGUGGUGACUACAACAACUAUGAGAGAGUUUUUUCUUUCUUCACCAUUUUAAGGGUGUUUACCUACGAAGAAAAUCCAUCCAAGUUUUCUAAGAAAUUUUUUUAAAAUGGAUUUUCUGAAAAAAAAAAAAAAAAAAAAAAAAAACAUAGGGUGAUUUUUGAAACAUUCAUAUGUAAUUCUCUUGGUUUUGCGCAAAAACCCUUUUUUUUUCUUAUGUGAAUUCAAGAAGAGGCCGAGAUCGAGCUUGGUGUAGACUCCAAAUGUGCUCUAAAAUAAGAAUGUGAGAAAGUGAAAGUGAAGGUACUAGUCAAGUGGUCCGGGAAGGAUUGGUUGGCUUGAGCUAGGUAAAACCUUGUAUUUAGUUUUUAUUCUUCAUAGUAGAUGUUUUCAAUUGAUAAUAGGCCCAUGGUUUUUUAUCUCUUCGAAAAAUUUUCAUGUAAAUUUAUGGUGUCUCAUUGUCUCAUUUUCUCUUCUUAGCAUCAUUUUUUAGUUUCAACAAUUUAUUAUAAUUUUGAUUGUCUAGUAUUUGAUUGAAUGAUAAAGAGAAAUGGCUAUGAAUCAUCUUUGAAGUUGUUUCUAAUUGUUAAUCAUUGAUAUUUUGAGGUAUAUUGAUCUUGUUUUUAUCAUAAUUUAGUUUAAGUUGAUUUGGGUUUGGGAGUAUUAGAUCAUGUGCAUGUGAAUUUCAUUUGAAUAUUGUUGGGGAGUGUUGUUGCAUUCAUAUAUUCAUUUGAUUUAUAAUUUGUUUUUGAGACUAUGUGAAGAGAAGAAAAAUAUUCAAGAAGUUUUAAGGUUUACUAAUUUGAGUUGAGAUUUUGUUUAAUUGGUCAAAACACCUAUUCAACCCCUUUAGGUGUAUUCCACUAUUGAGAUUCGCCUUUUCAGAACCUAUACUUCUACCAUGCUACAUGAAGUUUUGGAAGGCAUAAAAUACAUUUUGAGGCAUAUAUAAGUCAAAUCUUAUAUCCAAAUUAGGUUGAAUUGGGUCAUGGUUAACCUCAAAUCAAAUAUAUGCAUUUUUCUUACGAAUGUAUAUAUAUAUAUAUAUAUAUAUAUAUAUUUAAGAAUAUAGUUAUUAUUGUAAAGGAUGUAUUUUUUCUUAAGAAUAUACUUUUUUUUGUAACAGAUGUACCUAGGGUUCUCCCAUGCCAAAUAGGGUUUGGGAAUGCAUCAUGAGGUAUAUAAAAGUUAAAAUUUAGACUCAAAAUAGGUCGAAUAAGGGAAUGAUUCAACUCAAAUCAGAUGUAAAUACUUUUCUAAACUUUUAUGCAUUUUUUUAAAGCAUGUACACAAAGUUAUAUCAUGUUGAAUAGGGUAUAAGAAGACCUCAAAUGCAUUCCAAGACCUACAUAAGUGAAAUCCCACACCCGAAUUAGGUUGAAUGAGGAUAAGAAUCCACAAUGAAAUGAAAUGUACAUGUUUUUAUACUAGAUGUACCUAUUUUUCUAAAGGAUGUACUUAUUUUUAAAAAAAAGAUAUAUGUAUUUUAAGAAAUAUAAAAUUUAAUUAAAGAAAUGUUAAUACAAUUUUUAUGAAAAUAAUUUUUUUUCUAUUUUAUGUAUAUAAAAAAGUUAAAGAUUUUAAUUAAAAAGUUAGAACCAUGAUCAAUUUUAAAUCAUAUGAAAAAUUAAAACGAAUGUUAAUAUGAAAGUUCAAAAAUUUAAAUUAAAAUGAUAUAACAAAAAUAUUUUUAGUUUAUUUAAAUGUUAUAAUUUUACAUGCCCUAUCAAUGUCUUGUCAAAUUUUUUUAGUACAAAAUGGAAUAAUAAGUGAAUACUCUUUUAUUUCUUUAAUACAAAAAAUACAAACCAAGCAUCUCUCAAAAUCUUGUUCCUUGCUCUUGAAUAUAAAGUAAGAUAAGCUCGUGAACUUAUUCACAGUAAAAGUUUUGCUAACCUACAGUCACGCAACACAUGAAGGCAUUAUUCGACUUUAUUCAGGCAUCGAACACAAUUCGGCAAAGCUGCUAUAUGUCUUUUGAAGUGAUUUUCAUUUGUCAGCAACUUGUUGUGCAAAGCCAGCCACAAAAAGGAUCUAAUCCUUUGGGAACCCCUUCAUUUCCACAAGGCCAUCCAAUUCUUAUUCAAUUCUAUCCAGCAACUCUCUUCAAUCAGUUCAUAAGUCGACUUGGUAGUUGACAACGCUGACAUGAAGGCCAAAAAUAGUGGAGGAUUGUACAAGAGCACAUAGCACUUGACCCAAAUUCUCAAAAUUUGCUGUUGAAAAGUUUUUAGCCUAUUUGGCCAUUUCAUUAAAAAAAAAAAUUUAAAUUAAAAAAAAACUAUUUUUAAAAAUUCAUAAAAUUGUUUGUUAGUUGUUUUCUAUUUGUAAUUUUUAAAAAUAAAGUGAAAUAAAAAAACAUAUUUUAUAAAACAAAUAGAAAUUGUUUUCACCAAUUUUUAAAGACAAAAGAAAAAUAUAGAGGAAUUAAAAAAACUAUAAAAACCAAAUAAGAUUGAAGAUGAUAUCAUUCUUCUUUACCUCUUUCUACUAUCUAAUACUGAUACUGAAAAUCUUCAAAUAUAAUAUUCUUUUAAAUUACAUGUGUUUUUAUGAAUUUCAUUUAAUUUAAGAAAUUUUUCAUUGAUAAAAUAAAUUCUAAAUCAAAUUAUACUUUAUACAUAAAAUUUACUAAUGUUUAAAAAUAACUUAAAAGUUAAAAACUGAUUUAGUUAGUACUAUAAAGUCAUGAAACUCACUAACAUUGGAAUGCCAUAUAGCAAAAUUCAUUUGAAUGUCUUGGCUAGUUUUUUCUUUGCAUAUAAUCAUAUUUUUACAAUUUUUUUCACUUAGUAAAUAAUCACCAAAUCAAGUAUGACUUAAUGCAUUGAAUUUAUUAACAAGUCUAAGUAAUUCUUAAAAAUAAAUUGAAACGCAAAUAGUGAUCCAAUUAAUACCAUAAAUUUAUGGACAAAAAUUGAACUUGAAUGACUUUAUUGUUUCCAAUUUUGUUUCAUUGGACAAAUAAACUUAAAAUUAAACCAAACUUAAUGUGUUGAAUUCAUUAAUAAAUUUAGUAAUUUCUAAAAAAAACUUAAAACUCAAACAAUGAUGUAAUUAAUAUUAAAAAUUUAUUGAUGAAAAUUGGUCUAAAACUACUCUAUUAUUUUUCUUCUACAUGGAAUCAUAUUUUCCCAAUUUUAUUUUACUAUAUAAAUAAACUCAAAAUUAAACAAAACUUAACAGUCUAGUAAUUUUUAAAUUAGAAUAAUAUUUGAAAUAAUUUAAUUAGAAUAAUAUUGAUUCGACUCAUGGUAGCUUAGCUUUAAAGGCGUAUCAACAAAAUUUAUACCUUGAAUACUAUUACUAAAGUAGCCAAGCUACUAUAGCAUAGUGGUUCUAGGAUCGUUCACUGGGAAGGGUUUUCGCAAACACAAGUGAUAUUCAAAUUAGGAAAAUAGGUGAUUUUCUUAUGGAUGUUAGCUUUAAAAGAAGAUGUAAAUGUUUUAGAAAGAUUUAAACUAAUCUAAGCUAACAUUAAAGACUAAAAUGAAAGGGUGUAAAAACAAGUUUCUCAAAGAUAGGAUAGCUAUGCUCUGGCUCUUAUGCAAAUUGGAAAUCUCAGGAUAGGCUCCUCGCGUUGGGGUUGCAACUAUGGUGAUGCUUGCUUCCCGAACCGGUAUGGAUUUAGCAAAUCAAGUUUUAAUCCUUUAAAAUGGCAAAACAGAUGGUAGUGAAUUUCAUCAAUGGUUAUUCACCUUAGACUUCCUUUGAAUGGCUCGUAAGAGAUAACUAAUGGUCUAAAGCCAAAAGCUUACCAAAUAUUGGCAACUCAAAGUCAUUCCAGGUGAUAAACUUACCUUUCAAUGGCCAUUGAAAUUGGUUCUAACGGAUUAAUGCAAAACUUGGAAUUGAAAACCUCACCUUCCAAUAGCUCGUAGGAGAUAACUAAUGGAUAGUAAUCCAAAAGCUUAUCAAGUAUUGGCCGUUGGAAGUUGUCCAAAGGAAAUAAAAACCAAACUUUGCAUUAAUGAACCUUUAAUGAAAAACGACUACCUUACCUUCCAGGUGCGAGAAAUUUCCAUGGGAGUGCAUCCAAGCCAUCACAUAACAUCCAUACUUUGAGAAACUAAAAGUUUUAGCCAAUCAUCCUCUGAGGAAAAGCCCUCAGAGGCUGUUUGGCUACUAAGAAAAUAGAAACAGGGAAGAACAGGAGAAAAGAGCAAAACAGAGCAAGGCUCUGUAUAUUCUAUAUAUUGAUCGAUUUAUAAUUACAACGGAUGCAAGGGAAUAUAUAUAGAGAAGUUUUUCCAAUCCUUCCUAGCUAAGAAAUCUUAUGAUUCGUGGAUUACAAGGAGAAGAAUGGAAAUUUAUACAAAAAUAUCUAAAAGAAAAGAUCUCGUGUGGAGUCGGUAGAAACAGGGGAAAAUUCGCACGUUGGAGUUCCAAUUUCGCACGUUGAUUUGAGGUGUGCGAAAUUCUCGCACAGUGGACUGAGGAAUUCGCACCUUGAACAGUGGUGUGCGAAAUUGUCCCUCAGCUUGAUGCAGUUGUCUUCCGAAGGCCAUAUCUUUCUCAAUUCAGCUCCAAAUCGUACAUGGUUUGAACCGUUGGAUUCUUGACUUUCUGAGCUUUGAAAUGGUAUAUAGCAUGUAGAAAAUGGACUUCGGGAAGUGCUCCAAAAGUGCCAAAGAAGACUGCAGUUGCUGUCCUCUGUUUUCCUCUUUGCUUCUUUUUGCUUCUCUUUCCUCUUCUCCAUUGUUCUUUCCUUGCAUACUUUGAACGAAUUUGGCAAAGGGCUAUGGAGCUCCAAAGCUUGGUUCUUCAUGAAUUUGAGCUUCCAAAAGCUUUGCCAUAACUUGUCCAAGUAGCUCCUCUAUCAUUUGGCAUGCUUGAAUUGAUUCAUAAGCUGAUAUAAACAUGUAAACUUGCCACAAAAUGGUUAAAACCAAUUACUAAGGACCUUAAUGAAUUAAUUGGGUUAAAUGAAUAUGAUUACUACGCAAAGGUGCUUAAAACCAUUAUAAUUAGGUCUACAAAAUAACACUUUUUGGUAGUAAUCAAAUAUUUUAAUUUAUUAAAAUAAAUCAUAAAUAAAUGAAUAAAAUUAUCUAACAAUAUUUUAUCAAGUUAAUAUUUGUUAAUAAAACUAUAACAAUUUAAGAUUUUGUUAGAUUUUAUCGCUAUAGGAUUAUUAUAAAUGUGGUUUAAAAAAAUGCAUGAACAUCAUGUAAUAUUAACAAAAUAAAAAUUACGAAUUGAUCGCUCUAUGGAUUAUUUUUAUCAUAACAAAAAUGUGUAAAAUUGUAUACACCUUUUAGGCUAUGAAAUAUUCAUUAUCUAACUUAUGAGUGUACAAUUUUGUUUUCUCUAACUUUUGAUUAUACAUUAUAAUUAAAAGAAAUUAGAAAUUACAUUGAAGGUUGUUUUUUAGAUUUUUUUUAACUUUAUAAUUUAUAAUAUAAACUCCAGCUAUACAAUUGUAUAUAUUUUUUAUAACUUCUAGUUGUGAUCUACAAUGACUCUAUUGUUUCUCUUCUAUAUGAAACUAUAUUUUUUAUUUAUUUAUUUCACUAGACAAAUAAAAUCCAAAUUAAACAAAACUUAAUCCCUUAAAAUAAUUAAUGAGUUUAGUAAUUUUUAAAAUAACUUAAAACUUAAAUAGUGGUUCAAUUAAUAUUAAAAAUUUAUGGAUAAAAAUUGGGUUUUAAUGAGUCUACUUUUUUUCUAUACAUACUUAUAUUUUUAUAAAUUUUUUUAUUAAAGAAUAAACUUCAAAUCAAGUAAUUGAAUUCACUAACAGGUUAAUUUUUUUAUUUUUUUUUAAGUUACAACCUAGUAAAUAGAUCUAAUCACUAUAAGAAAUAAUAUAUGAAAACCAAUUGUAGACCCCAAAAUUUGUCCUAAUUUUAUUUUUACAUUGAUAUUGAGUUCAAUUUUAUCCUUAGAUUUAAAUUUCGAUUACAUCUUAAUUGUUUAACCCACUUACACUAUUUUUUUUAUUUUUUCUCUCAUCUCUCCUCUCUCUUCAUCUUUCUCCUCAUUCUACCUACUCCACCUACUUCCCUUACCCAUUUCCUUCUCUUACACGUCUAAGCCACUCCCCAUACCCCCUCCAAGCUUUUUUUUUUUUUUUUUAUCAUCUUUCUCUACUCUCCUCUCUUCACUUUUUUUUUCUCUCCAUCAUUCCUUCUUCGGGCUCCCUUCCAACACCACAACCACUCCACAACCCACACACCAGACACGGUCAACUUCCCCAUCUCCUCUCUUCCUUCUUUCUUUUUUUUUUUUCCUUCCCCUCAACUCUCACACAUGACGGUCCCCAUUUUCUCUUUCAUUUCUUUUCUCCUUCUCACAGUCCUUCCCUCUACAUUGCCAUUUUCCAAAAACUCCCACUGUCACACGCUCCCCAUCUUCCUUCAUUUUUUUUUCCUGUUUUUUUUCUCUUCUUUCUUCUUUCCUUUUCCCCUCUCCACACUCCACGGCCACUAUUGGCCCUCCACUGCCCGCCACUACCAGUAGCCACUGCCAACAACCACCACCCGCCACUGUCUGCCAGUCAUUGCCAACUAGCAAUCCUACCAUCCAUAGUUCUAAAAAAAAUGGGUAAAUUUCUGAGAAGAAAAAGGCUAUGCUUAGUUAAGAAAAACACCCAAAAGGGAGGGUGAAUUGGGUUUUUAAAAUCUUUUCAAUCACAACAAAUUUAAACAAAAUAUAAGCAAAGCAAAGAGAUAGAGUUUAGAGAAUUCAAACUCGGGUUUAUAGUGGUUUGGCACUUCCUUGCCUACGUCCACUCUCUUCAACCUCCUAACCGAGUGAGGAUUCCACUAACUUGAAGCUUCAACCAAGCUUCCAAUCUUCUUACACUUGGAUUCCGGUUUCAAUGGGCUCUUACACAACCUCUUCAAGAUUCAACCCUUUUGAAGGCUUUAACACUUAGAUUGUUACAAGAUAUAAUCACUCAACCUAGCUUAAAGAUGGCUCAAAUACAAGACAAAGCUAGGAUGACAAACAAGAGUGCACUAAAGGAUAUGCAAGUGGUGAUUUAAUGCACUAUGAAAUAAAUGAGAGCUUUUUUUAUCAAGAACAGGUAGGUAGGCUUUGAAUGCAAGUGUUAUCUUCACAAUAAAUGAAGUGGAGCUCUCAAUUUAUAGGUUUCUAAGCUCGGGAGUCAAAAACAACAAAAGGCAACCUCGACCGGUUCACUAGCCGUUGAAGCAUUUAAUGCAUGACAGGUUACCGUUGCCUCAACCGGACCUCGAUCAAUAAGGGAAUCACCUCGACCGGGAAGAGAAGGCUACUGGGAGAGAGAGAAGGUUUUUGACCUUCCUCGACUGGACGACCUCAACCGGUUCUCGACCGGACGACCUCAACCGGUCGACCAGUUCCUCAACCGGUUGACCGGUUGGCCAUAGCCUCGACCGAUUGAGCCUUUUUGGCCCCGAAAAACCUAUUUUUUUAUUUCUUUCUUUUCUAACACUUAGGCAAGGUCUUUAGGUAAAUUAUUAAGCCAAUUUUGAAACAUUUUGCCUAAGGUAAAUUAGUUAAAAACUCGGGUUUUAAUGAAAUCGAUGUUUUAAAGAAUAAACCGAGUUUUCUAAGAUGCAUGAAACGUAUGAAAAUCCUAAGUGCACUCAUGCAUUCAUCUUACAUUAGGUUCCUAUGAUCACAAGUCUUCCAAGCGUCUCGAUCUUGUAUGCAUUUGGUCUUUUGAUGAAUUUUUGAGUUUAUACCUGAGAUUCUUAGACAUUAAACCAAUUAGUCACUUAACCAUGGUUUGUUAUCAUCAAAACCCGAUUAGGAGAACCCUUGGGCUAACAAUUUCCUUUUUACUUUAUUUUAUUUUGAUUUUUGUAUCUUUAUUUUUUUAUUUUCGUUUGCACAGUAAUUGAUUUAGACUUGGAUCUAUUGCUUAUUAGUUAUUUAUUUGGGCUUAUUGGAUUGGGUUUGAGAUAUUAUUUUCUUUGGUCAUGUGUAUUAUUAAUGUGGGUUUGUUGAUUGAUAUGAAUUUUUGACCCAUAAUGUGGGUAUGAAUUUUGGGCCCACAAUGUUGGUGGAAUUUGAUUGAUGACUUGAAUAUUUGAUAUGAGCCUGACCAAUUUAAACUAUUUAAUUUGGAUAUGGGACAAUUAUGGUGUAUAUUAAAUUAGGCUUGGAUUAUGAGAUAUUAAAUUUAGGCCUAAUUGAAUUUAUUUUAUUUUGUGAUAUUUUGGGCUUGGCUAAUUGUGUUGUAUUUUGAUUAUUAAUUUGAAAAUUUUGGAUUAAGAUUUAUAGCAUGUGAGAUGUUUUUGUUAGGUUAUAUUUGUUCAUUUGUGCCCAUUUUGAUUGACAAAAUUUAUGAGACUAAUUUGAAAUUUGAAUUUGAGUUUGAAUAUUUGUUUGGGAUUUUGUACAUCUUUGGAUAUUUACAUUUGAGCUAUUUUGUUUUUGCAUGGGCCUAUUCUACAAUUCUGUUGGCUGAGUACAAAUUUAUGAUACACGGAGCACGAAAUUUUAUGGAAGAAUAAAAAAGUUGUAUGAAGACAUUAAACUAGUUAUAAGCUUAUUUGGGUACACAUUUUAUUUCCCACUUUUAUUUGAUUUUAUUUCUAUUAGUUCUUGUAAAUAUUCGUUUGUAUAUAUUUAUUGUGUACAGAAUUGAAUAUUUAACAAAUCAAAAUUUUCAUUUAAAUAAGAGGAAUAAUUCAGUAAAUAUGUUCUAAUAAAAUAAUAAUUUUAAAAUAUUCUUCUUAAUAAAAGAAAGUUUUUUUUAUUAAUAAAAAUUCAUAAAAAUGCUUUUAGAAAAAUUCAAAAAAAUUGUUUUUAAUAGAAUUUGAAAAAUUAUUUUUAAUAAUAAUUGUCCAAAAAUGUCUUUGUUUAAUAAAAAUUGUCCAAAAAUUGUUUUGUAAAUAAAGUUGUCCCAAAAAUUAAUUUUUAAUUAAAAAUUCUUUUGCAAAUAAAGUUAUAUUCUUUUUAAUAAUUUGUACAAGUCACUUUUCUUUUACUACAAGAAAACUUAUUUUUCCUGACAAAAAUUUAGGGGCGAAUUGUAAUUUUGUCGCUAAAAAUUACUUUUACCGAUGAAAUUUUAGAUAUCGUUGCUAAUGUCAAAUUUAUGAAAACUUUUUGUAACGAAUUUGAAUUUUUCGUUGCCAAAAGAUAUUGCGGGAAAAUUUGGCGGCUUUUUUUGGCGCAAACGCUAUUGUGAUGAAAAAAAUACUAUUUGCCAACGAAAAUAUUUGUUACUAAAUACAAUUUUUUUGUGACGAAAAUAAUUUCCUUACUAAAAGUUACAAAUUUUUAUCCAUAUUUGCUUACAAAAUGGUUUCAUCAGUAAAUAUAUUAUUUUCUGACAAAAUGAGUAAUUUUGUCACUGAAUAGUGUUGCUAAAUUGUAAUAUUAAUAAGUCAUAUUGACAAAUAGAUAAAAGGUUUAUGCUAUAAAAUAAUAAUACGUAUUUUUUGAGACUUGAUAUUUAAAUUACAAUAUUUUAUUUAUAUAUAUAAUAAUAAUACUAAUUAAAGAUUCAUAAAAUUAAAUACUAGAAUAUAGAUUUAUAGAAAUUUAAAUGUUUUGUUAUGUAAUAAUAGUAUUGUUAUGAAAUAAUAAAAAGGUAAAUUAUUUAAGCAAUUAAUUUUUAUAGUGUAAUAUAUAUGUUAUAUUUUUUUUAUAUAGAUAAUAACAAAUAAUCCAAGAUAUAAUAUAAAUUUAUUUAAAUUUCAAUAUUAUUAUAUGAUGUUAACCAAACAUAAAUAAUUUUAAAUCUUUUUUAUUAUACAAUGUAAAAGUUAUUUUUGCAAGUUUAAUAUAGUAGUAUUGAACUUAAAUUAGCUAUGAAUAAGUAAUGAUCCUCUAAUUUGUUCUCAUUCAAAAUCAUGUCGUCUGAAGUAAAUUUAUACUAAUAUUUAACUACCUAGUUUAAAUUAAUAGAUUUUUAUAAUUAUUACUUGGUUUUUAAAUAGUUGUUCAGAAUUGAAAUUAUCAAAUAAAUUACCUAGUGUCUAUAAAAACAUUAUAUUUGCAUAGAAUUUCAAAUAAUACUUGUGUGUAUAAAAAAUAUCAUAUAUUAUCAAUACAUAUAUGAUUGCAAUUAAAUAUUAUAUGAUAUGAUAUAUGGCAUUAUAUGCCUCACUACUAUAAUAUUAAUAACAAAAUAAAAAAUGUGUCAUAUAUAUAUACACAUAUUAUAAUGGGUAUAUGAAGAAAUUAAUAUAUGAAUGAUAUAAAUUGUAACAUUUUAUAAUAAUCAACAGUAUUUGAAAGCAUAUUUAAUGUUAAAAUGAUAAUUUAUUUACUUUAUAAUAAGUGAAUAAUUAUUAUAUUUUUAUUUCAUUCAUGAUUUUUGUGCUUUCAAUAAUAAAUUAAAUGGAAAAUAAAAUUAAAUAUUGAAAAUUAAUAGAAUUAUUAAAACUUUAUCUUAAUAUUUUAAUAUUUAAAAUGUAUAUAAAAUUUAGGUGUAAACAUAAUUAUAUAUAAUGUAGGCACUUUAAUAACUCAAAUGAAUGACUAUCCUAGUGGUGUAUAGUUAACUUCGUAAGCUUGGGAAGUCUGAACACUUUAUUGAUCUCAUUAUAAAUUUUUAUUUUUAAUUGUUAAAUAUUAAUUUAUCAUAAAUGAUUACUUAUUAAAAAUAAAAUCAUAAAUUAUAUCACAAAAUAGUAAAUGUUGUAUACUAACUUGUAAAGAAGUUUUUAUAUUUGUAUACAAUUUUUUAAUAAAACAUGUAAAACAAAUAUAGUUAUAAAAAUAAUUGUAACAUAUAAUAAAAUAGUAUAUCAUUUACAUUUAUAGUGUUUUAUUGCAUUUGAUAUUUUUGUUUGAAAUAUAAGAGAAAGAAAAUGAAAAAUAUAAAGAUGACUUGUUGACACGAAUUGUUGCACUUAGGCUUAUUCACUUUGAAAGUAAAUUUAUACUAAUAUUUAAUUACCUAGAUUAACCUAAUAAAAAUAUUUUUUUUAAUUAUUGUUUAGUUUUUAAAUAAUUGUUAAUAUUAGAAAUUAUCAAAUAAUAACCUAAUUUUUGUCAAGAUAUUCUAUUGACGUAAAUUCCAAAUAUGGUUUAUGUUUAUAAAGAUAUCAUAUAUCAUUAAUGAAUAUAUGAUUGUAAGUUAAAUAUCAUAUGAUACAAUACAUUGUACCAUAUGCAUAACUACUAUAUUAUUAUUUUAGAAAAUAAAAAAUGCAUUAUAUAUUAGUAAUAUAUUAUAUACAUAAAAACAAAAAUUGUAAGGUAUCUAACCACUUCUUAAUUAACAAUUGAUUAGUUUAAUUUUUAAAUAAUUUUAUGAUGUAUUAAUGAUCUUUAGCUUAACUACUAAAAUAAGAUAAUAAAUUAUGCCACAAAAGUAGCAACUAUUAUAGCUACUAAUUUGUUAAGGAUUGUUUUACACUUUUAUAUGUUUUUUAAUAAAAUAUUUAAUCUAUGAUUUUUAUUCCUUGCUUUAAAUUUCAAUUUUUAUUUUACUCUAAUUUCUAAUAUAUAAAUUCUGAUUUUUAAAUUUUUAAUUUUUAAUUUCUAAAUUUUAAAUAAUACAAAACUCAUAAAUCUUACAUUUUAUUUUUAGUCAAUUUUGUAAUUUAUAAAUUCUAAUUUUUUUAUUUUCUAAAUUUUCUAAAUUUUAAAUAAUAAAUAGUCCCAAUAAUAGGCAAAUAAUAAAGUUUCAAUUUUAUUUUUAAUCUAAUUUUUAAUUUAUAUUUUAAAUUUUUAAAUUUUUAAAUUCUAAAUUUUAAAUAAUAUAAAACAUAUAACAUCAUGAAAUGCAUUAAAUGCGCCGAGUUGUAGCAGCAUGCUACUGAGAUUUGGUUGUAGAGACGGCACAAUGGAUGGUAUGGAGUAUUGGUUGGGAAAUGAAAUGAAAAGAAAGUGAAAUAAAAAAGAAAAAAACAAAUCUCCCAAGCACCCACGUAGCACUGGGACUUUGAAAAGUGAGAAGACUUUCUCACCAACUCUCCAUCAUUUGCCUACAACUUUGAAAAUGAAAAAGAGCAUUACUUCCCACCACAUCUCUAACAUCUACCAUAACCUCCUGAACCUUCCACCAUUUUCACCAUCUCAUCUACCUUCUUAAAAAAUUGUUUCCCACUUGCAAGCCAUAUUCACCAUUCUCCACCAAAGUUUACCGAGCCGGCAAAGCUUCUUAUCUACCAUUUUCAUCGGUCUGUUAUACUACAGAAAUCUACCACUNNNNNNNNNNNNNNNNNNNNNNNNNNNNNNNNNNNNNNNNNNNNNNNNNNNNNNNNNNNNNNNNNNNNNNNNNNNNNNNNNNNNNNNNNNNNNNNNNNNNNNNNNNNNNNNNNNNNNNNNNNNNNNNNNNNNNNNNNNNNNNNNNNNNNNNNNNNNNNNNNNNNNNNNNNNNNNNNNNNNNNNNNNNNNNNNNNNNNNNNNNNNNNNNNNNNNNNNNNNNNNNNNNNNNNNNNNNNNNNNNNNNNNNNNNNNNNNNNNNNNNNNNNNNNNNNNNNNNNNNNNNNNNNNNNNNNNNNNNNNNNNNNNNNNNNNNNNNNNNNNNNNNNNNNNNNNNNNNNNNNNNNNNNNNNNNNNNNNNNNNNNNNNNNNNNNNNNNNNNNNNNNNNNNNNNNNNNNNNNNNNNNNNNNNNNNNNNNNNNNNNNNNNNNNNNNNNNNNNNNNNNNNNNNNNNNNNNNNNNNNNNNNNNNNNNNNNNNNNNNNNNNNNNNNNNNNNNNNNNNNNNNNNNNNNNNNNNNNNNNNNNNNNNNNNNNNNNNNNNNNNNNNNNNNNNNNNNNNNNNNNNNNNNNNNNNNNNNNNNNNNNNNNNNNNNNNNNNNNNNNNNNNNNNNNNNNNNNNNNNNNNNNNNNNNNNNNNNNNNNNNNNNNNNNNNNNNNNNNNNNNNNNNNNNNNNNNNNNNNNNNNNNNNNNNNNNNNNNNNNNNNNNNNNNNNNNNNNNNNNNNNNNNNNNNNNNNNNNNNNNNNNNNNNNNNNNNNNNNNNNNNNNNNNNNNNNNNNNNNNNNNNNNNNNNNNNNNNNNNNNNNNNNNNNNNNNNNNNNNNNNNNNNNNNNNNNNNNNNNNNNNNNNNNNNNNNNNNNNNNNNNNNNNNNNNNNNNNNNNNNNNNNNNNNNNNNNNNNNNNNNNNNNNNNNNNNNNNNNNNNNNNNNNNNNNNNNNNNNNNNNNNNNNNNNNNNNNNNNNNNNNNNNNNNNNNNNNNNNNNNNNNNNNNNNNNNNNNNNNNNNNNNNNNNNNNNNNNNNNNNNNNNNNNNNNNNNNNNNNNNNNNNNNNNNNNNNNNNNNNNNNNNNNNNNNNNNNNNNNNNNNNNNNNNNNNNNNNNNNNNNNNNNNNNNNNNNNNNNNNNNNNNNNNNNNNNNNNNNNNNNNNNNNNNNNNNNNNNNNNNNNNNNNNNNNNNNNNNNNNNNNNNNNNNNNNNNNNNNNNNNNNNNNNNNNNNNNNNNNNNNNNNNNNNNNNNNNNNNNNNNNNNNNNNNNNNNNNNNNNNNNNNNNNNNNNNNNNNNNNNNNNNNNNNNNNNNNNNNNNNNNNNNNNNNNNNNNNNNNNNNNNNNNNNNNNNNNNNNNNNNNNNNNNNNNNNNNNNNNNNNNNNNNNNNNNNNNNNNNNNNNNNNNNNNNNNNNNNNNNNNNNNNNNNNNNNNNNNNNNNNNNNNNNNNNNNNNNNNNNNNNNNNNNNNNNNNNNNNNNNNNNNNNNNNNNNNNNNNNNNNNNNNNNNNNNNNNNNNNNNNNNNNNNNNNNNNNNNNNNNNNNNNNNNNNNNNNNNNNNNNNNNNNNNNNNNNNNNNNNNNNNNNNNNNNNNNNNNNNNNNNNNNNNNNNNNNNNNNNNNNNNNNNNNNNNNNNNNNNNNNNNNNNNNNNNNNNNNNNNNNNNNNNNNNNNNNNNNNNNNNNNNNNNNNNNNNNNNNNNNNNNNNNNNNNNNNNNNNNNNNNNNNNNNNNNNNNNNNNNNNNNNNNNNNNNNNNNNNNNNNNNNNNNNNNNNNNNNNNNNNNNNNNNNNNNNNNNNNNNNNNNNNNNNNNNNNNNNNNNNNNNNNNNNNNNNNNNNNNNNNNNNNNNNNNNNNNNNNNNNNNNNNNNNNNNNNNNNNNNNNNNNNNNNNNNNNNNNNNNNNNNNNNNNNNNNNNNNNNNNNNNNNNNNNNNNNNNNNNNNNNNNNNNNNNNNNNNNNNNNNNNNNNNNNNNNNNNNNNNNNNNNNNNNNNNNNNNNNNNNNNNNNNNNNNNNNNNNNNNNNNNNNNNNNNNNNNNNNNNNNNNNNNNNNNNNNNNNNNNNNNNNNNNNNNNNNNNNNNNNNNNNNNNNNNNNNNNNNNNNNNNNNNNNNNNNNNNNNNNNNNNNNNNNNNNNNNNNNNNNNNNNNNNNNNNNNNNNNNNNNNNNNNNNNNNNNNNNNNNNNNNNNNNNNNNNNNNNNNNNNNNNNNNNNNNNNNNNNNNNNNNNNNNNNNNNNNNNNNNNNNNNNNNNNNNNNNNNNNNNNNNNNNNNNNNNNNNNNNNNNNNNNNNNNNNNNNNNNNNNNNNNNNNNNNNNNNNNNNNNNNNNNNNNNNNNNNNNNNNNNNNNNNNNNNNNNNNNNNNNNNNNNNNNNNNNNNNNNNNNNNNNNNNNNNNNNNNNNNNNNNNNNNNNNNNNNNNNNNNNNNNNNNNNNNNNNNNNNNNNNNNNNNNNNNNNNNNNNNNNNNNNNNNNNNNNNNNNNNNNNNNNNNNNNNNNNNNNNNNNNNNNNNNNNNNNNNNNNNNNNNNNNNNNNNNNNNNNNNNNNNNNNNNNNNNNNNNNNNNNNNNNNNNNNNNNNNNNNNNNNNNNNNNNNNNNNNNNNNNNNNNNNNNNNNNNNNNNNNNNNNNNNNNNNNNNNNNNNNNNNNNNNNNNNNNNNNNNNNNNNNNNNNNNNNNNNNNNNNNNNNNNNNNNNNNNNNNNNNNNNNNNNNNNNNNNNNNNNNNNNNNNNNNNNNNNNNNNNNNNNNNNNNNNNNNNNNNNNNNNNNNNNNNNNNNNNNNNNNNNNNNNNNNNNNNNNNNNNNNNNNNNNNNNNNNNNNNNNNNNNNNNNNNNNNNNNNNNNNNNNNNNNNNNNNNNNNNNNNNNNNNNNNNNNNNNNNNNNNNNNNNNNNNNNNNNNNNNNNNNNNNNNNNNNNNNNNNNNNNNNNNNNNNNNNNNNNNNNNNNNNNNNNNNNNNNNNNNNNNNNNNNNNNNNNNNNNNNNNNNNNNNNNNNNNNNNNNNNNNNNNNNNNNNNNNNNNNNNNNNNNNNNNNNNNNNNNNNNNNNNNNNNNNNNNNNNNNNNNNNNNNNNNNNNNNNNNNNNNNNNNNNNNNNNNNNNNNNNNNNNNNNNNNNNNNNNNNNNNNNNNNNNNNNNNNNNNNNNNNNNNNNNNNNNNNNNNNNNNNNNNNNNNNNNNNNNNNNNNNNNNNNNNNNNNNNNNNNNNNNNNNNNNNNNNNNNNNNNNNNNNNNNNNNNNNNNNNNNNNNNNNNNNNNNNNNNNNNNNNNNNNNNNNNNNNNNNNNNNNNNNNNNNNNNNNNNNNNNNNNNNNNNNNNNNNNNNNNNNNNNNNNNNNNNNNNNNNNNNNNNNNNNNNNNNNNNNNNNNNNNNNNNNNNNNNNNNNNNNNNNNNNNNNNNNNNNNNNNNNNNNNNNNNNNNNNNNNNNNNNNNNNNNNNNNNNNNNNNNNNNNNNNNNNNNNNNNNNNNNNNNNNNNNNNNNNNNNNNNNNNNNNNNNNNNNNNNNNNNNNNNNNNNNNNNNNNNNNNNNNNNNNNNNNNNNNNNNNNNNNNNNNNNNNNNNNNNNNNNNNNNNNNNNNNNNNNNNNNNNNNNNNNNNNNNNNNNNNNNNNNNNNNNNNNNNNNNNNNNNNNNNNNNNNNNNNNNNNNNNNNNNNNNNNNNNNNNNNNNNNNNNNNNNNNNNNNNNNNNNNNNNNNNNNNNNNNNNNNNNNNNNNNNNNNNNNNNNNNNNNNNNNNNNNNNNNNNNNNNNNNNNNNNNNNNNNNNNNNNNNNNNNNNNNNNNNNNNNNNNNNNNNNNNNNNNNNNNNNNNNNNNNNNNNNNNNNNNNNNNNNNNNNNNNNNNNNNNNNNNNNNNNNNNNNNNNNNNNNNNNNNNNNNNNNNNNNNNNNNNNNNNNNNNNNNNNNNNNNNNNNNNNNNNNNNNNNNNNNNNNNNNNNNNNNNNNNNNNNNNNNNNNNNNNNNNNNNNNNNNNNNNNNNNNNNNNNNNNNNNNNNNNNNNNNNNNNNNNNNNNNNNNNNNNNNNNNNNNNNNNNNNNNNNNNNNNNNNNNNNNNNNNNNNNNNNNNNNNNNNNNNNNNNNNNNNNNNNNNNNNNNNNNNNNNNNNNNNNNNNNNNNNNNNNNNNNNNNNNNNNNNNNNNNNNNNNNNNNNNNNNNNNNNNNNNNNNNNNNNNNNNNNNNNNNNNNNNNNNNNNNNNNNNNNNNNNNNNNNNNNNNNNNNNNNNNNNNNNNNNNNNNNNNNNNNNNNNNNNNNNNNNNNNNNNNNNNNNNNNNNNNNNNNNNNNNNNNNNNNNNNNNNNNNNNNNNNNNNNNNNNNNNNNNNNNNNNNNNNNNNNNNNNNNNNNNNNNNGUUCUAGAAGUUAUCAAAAAUGGAUUUUCCAUGGGGAAGAACAUGAAUCUCAACCUAAUGAGCAAAAUGAUAUUGGUGUUGAUACAGAAAUUGUUGACGCUACUGAUGCUGAUAUCCUUAAUGAAGUUGCGGAUGCAUUAAAUGAUGCAUGUGGACACAUAGACAAUGAUAUUAACUUAGAGGAAUCUACUACUCAUGGAAAAUUUGAUUACUUACUUGGUGAAGCUAAUAAAGAAUUGUAUCUAGGUUGUAAAAAGUUUUCUGCUUUGACAUUCCUUGUGAAGUUAAUGCAUAUUAAAGUCCUCAAUCGUUGGAGUGACAAGUCUUUUGACAUGUUACUCCAAGUUUUAGUUGAUGUUUUUCCAGAAAGAUCAAACAUUCCAAAGACAUACUAUGAUGCUAAGAAGAUGUUAAGAGAUUUGGGCUUAGGAUAUGAUUCAAUCCAUGCAUGCAAGUAUGAUUGUGCAUUGUUUUGGAAGGAGAAUGAGACUCUUGAUAAAUGUUCAAUGUGUGAUGAGCCACGAUAUAAGUUCUGUAAUGGAAAAGGUAAAAAAAUUCCUCAAAAAGUAUUGUGUCAUUUUCCACUAAAAUCAAGGCUACAAAGGUUAUUCAUGUCAAGGCAUACAGCAUCAGCUAUGAGGUGGCAUAAAGAAAACUGAAUCAGUGAGGAGGGAGUCCUAAGGCAUCCAGCAGAUUCUGAAGCUUGGAAGGAUAUGGACACCCAAUUCCCUUGGUUUUCGCAAGAACCUCGAAAUGUUAGAUUAGGGCUUGCAACAAAUGGUUUCAAUCCAUUUGGGAGCAUGAGUAAUAGUUAUAGCAUGUGGCCAAUUGUUCUUGUGCCAUACAAUAUGGCACCAUGGAGAUGUAUGAAAGAGAUGUUUUUCAUGUUAUCAUUACUAAUUCUAGGCCCACAAGCCUUAGGGAGAGAUAUUGAUGUAUACCUACGUCCUUUGAUAGAAGAAUUAAAAGAGUUAUGGCAUGAAGGUGUUCAAACAUUUGACAUGUCAACAGGAGAAAACUUUCGCAUGCAUGCAUGUGUUUUAUGGACAAUAAAUGACAUUCCUGCUUAUGGGAACUUGGCUGGGUGGAGUACAAAAGGAUAUAAAGCAUGUCCAGUUUGUAAUGAAGACACAUCGUCACUAAGUAUUAGAAGUAAAAUAUGUUACAUGGGUCAUCGACGUUUUUUACCUCUUGAUCAUGGAUGGCGAAGGAGUAAACAACACGAUGGUAAGCCGGAGUUUCGACCACCGCCAAGAAUGUUCUCUAGUGAUGAAAUAUUGCAACAAUUGUGUUGUCUUAAACAUCAGAAGCCUAGUAAGCAUCCAAACAACGUUGAUAGAAAGCAAAAACGGGUGCCUGAAGAAUUAAAUUGGACAAAAAAAAGUAUUUUCUUUGAGUUGGAGUACUGGUCAAAGUUGAAGUUGAGACAUAAUAUUGAUGUUAUGCAUGUUGAAAAGAAUGUAUGUGAUAGUGUUGUGGGAACUUUGUUAAAUAUUGUAGGAAAAACAAAAGAUAUAAACAAAGCUCGCUUAGAUUUGGCUGAUAUGAAUAUAAGGAAAGAAUUGCAUUUGCAAAUACAAGGGAACAAAUUGGUAAAACCCCAUGCAUGCUACACAUUGACUGUAGAGGAAAGGAAAGAGUUCUGUAAGUUUCUAAAGUCUGUUAAAUUUCCAGAUGGUUAUGCUGCAAAUUUAUCUAGAAAUGUUAGCAUCAAUGAUGGGAAGAUCUCAGGGUUAAAGAGUCAUGAUUGUCAUGUUUUGCUGCAAAAAUUACUCCCUAUCGCUAUUCGUCCAUAUUUUAAUAAAGAUUUGUGUACAACACUGGUUGAGUUGUGUAGUUUUUUCCAAAAGUUAUGUGCAAAGACCUUGUACAUGAAUGAUUUGGAAAAAUUAGAAGAAGGGAUUGUCUUAAUAUUGUGUAAGCUUGAAAGGAUAUUCCCACCAGCUUUCUUUGAUGUCAUGGUUCACUUGAUGGUACAUUUACCACGUGAGGCCAAACUUGCUGGACUAGUUAGUUAUCGAUGGAUGUAUCCAUUUAAGAGGUACAUUUUUACCUUUUUUGUUUAUUAAUAUUCUCAUCUAACUAUGUUACACAAUACAUGUGUUAAGGCUUAUUUAUUAACACUAUUUCUAUUUAGGAACUUAGGAACAUUGAAAAGAUAUGUGAGAAAUAAAGCUCGACCAGAAGGUUCAAUUGCAAAGGCAUACAUCGUGAAUGAAGCUUUAAUGUUUUGUUCAAUGUAUCUUACUGGAAUUGAAACACGUUUUAAUCGAAGUGAAAGGAACGAAGAUCGAUUUGAACAUCGAGUACAAGAAUGUCUUUCCAUAUUUUCAUAGCAAGCUCAACCAUUAGGCUGUCGAUAACAUCUCCAAUUUUCGAAGGAAGAGUUAACUAAGGCACAUUGGUAUAUCAUGAAUAAUUGCCCAGAGUUGAGACCAUACUUAGAGUAAGUUUUAGAAUCAACAUUAAAGAUAUUUCUUUAAUACCUCGUUACUUAAUAUCUAUUUAAUGAUGUAGUGAACAUACAAAAGAAUUGGAGAGGACAAGUUCACAUAACUUAGAGAAACGACAAGAACAAGAGUUUCCUAAGUGGCUUGCAGAUCGUGUAAGUUUUAUUUGUGUAAUUUGCUUGCUACAAUAUAGUUGUAAUGAACUAAUAUAAUUUUAAUAAUAUUUGAUAUUAAACUAUAAAUAAUUAUGUACAUUUAUAUUGUAGAUGAAAGCUUUGCAUGUUAAACAAUCACCAGAAGCAACUGAUGAACUAUACUCAUUAGCGUGUGGACUAGAUAAUCGAGUCCACACAUACAUGGGUUGUAUUGUUAAUGGAGUUCGCUUCCAUACAAAAGAUCAUGAUGAUCGGCGUAUCACCCAAAAUAGUGGGAUAUGUGUUUCUGGGGAGCAUGAUGGUGAGGAGGUUGAUUUCUAUGGUGUUUUAUCAAAUGUGGUUGUUUUGAACUAUGUCUUGGGGUAUAAGGUUAUUCUUUUCAAGUGCACAUGGUUCGACACAAACCAAAAGAAGAAGAGAAUAAAACAUGACUAUAAUUUUACCACAAUCCAAGUUAUCUCCACCUGGUAUGACAAUGAUCCUUUUAUACUUGCUACACAAACACAACAAGUUUUCUACCUAGAUGACUACAAAAAUGGUCAUAAUUGGAAAGUAGUACAAAAAGUGAAUCAUAGACACAUGUGGGAUGUACCAGAAAGGGAUACUAAUAUAGAAAUCGAUGAAGAAGUGUGCGGGGGAAGUGAUGAAGAAGCUUACCAAGAUAAUGAAUCUCAUGAGCUUAACUGGUUUGUAGAGCAAGAUGAUGGAUUUGAAUUUCAACGAUCUGACCGCUUAAACAUUGAUCUAGAAGUUGUUAAUGAUAAUGUUUUGAUUUUAGAGAACAUGAAUGACAAUGAUGAUAACUUCAUAUGUGAUGACAUUGAGGAAGAAGAUGAAACACUAGAUGAUUAUGCUAAUGAGAAUGAAAUGUGGCUUUCAAGUGAUAGUGAAAGUGAAAGUGAUUAAAGAGACUGGUAAGCUACAUUUUAUUUACUUUAUUAUAUGUUAAAUAACAUAAUGUAAUCUAGGUCUAGUUCUUUAAAUUUNNNNNNNNNNNNNNNNNNNNNNNNNNNNNNNNNNNNNNNNNNNNNNNNNNNNNNNNNNNNNNNNNNNNNNNNNNNNNNNNNNNNNNNNNNNNNNNNNNNNNNNNNNNNNNNNNNNNNNNNNNNNNNNNNNNNNNNNNNNNNNNNNNNNNNNNNNNNNNNNNNNNNNNNNNNNNNNNNNNNNNNNNNNNNNNNNNNNNNNNNNNNNNNNNNNNNNNNNNNNNNNNNNNNNNNNNNNNNNNNNNNNNNNNNNNNNNNNNNNNNNNNNNNNNNNNNNNNNNNNNNNNNNNNNNNNNNNNNNNNNNNNNNNNNNNNNNNNNNNNNNNNNNNNNNNNNNNNNNNNNNNNNNNNNNNNNNNNNNNNNNNNNNNNNNNNNNNNNNNNNNNNNNNNNNNNNNNNNNNNNNNNNNNNNNNNNNNNNNNNNNNNNNNNNNNNNNNNNNNNNNNNNNNNNNNNNNNNNNNNNNNNNNNNNNNNNNNNNNNNNNNNNNNNNNNNNNNNNNNNNNNNNNNNNNNNNNNNNNNNNNNNNNNNNNNNNNNNNNNNNNNNNNNNNNNNNNNNNNNNNNNNNNNNNNNNNNNNNNNNNNNNNNNNNNNNNNNNNNNNNNNNNNNNNNNNNNNNNNNNNNNNNNNNNNNNNNNNNNNNNNNNNNNNNNNNNNNNNNNNNNNNNNNNNNNNNNNNNNNNNNNNNNNNNNNNNNNNNNNNNNNNNNNNNNNNNNNNNNNNNNNNNNNNNNNNNNNNNNNNNNNNNNNNNNNNNNNNNNNNNNNNNNNNNNNNNNNNNNNNNNNNNNNNNNNNNNNNNNNNNNNNNNNNNNNNNNNNNNNNNNNNNNNNNNNNNNNNNNNNNNNNNNNNNNNNNNNNNNNNNNNNNNNNNNNNNNNNNNNNNNNNNNNNNNNNNNNNNNNNNNNNNNNNNNNNNNNNNNNNNNNNNNNNNNNNNNNNNNNNNNNNNNNNNNNNNNNNNNNNNNNNNNNNNNNNNNNNNNNNNNNNNNNNNNNNNNNNNNNNNNNNNNNNNNNNNNNNNNNNNNNNNNNNNNNNNNNNNNNNNNNNNNNNNNNNNNNNNNNNNNNNNNNNNNNNNNNNNNNNNNNNNNNNNNNNNNNNNNNNNNNNNNNNNNNNNNNNNNNNNNNNNNNNNNNNNNNNNNNNNNNNNNNNNNNNNNNNNNNNNNNNNNNNNNNNNNNNNNNNNNNNNNNNNNNNNNNNNNNNNNNNNNNNNNNNNNNNNNNNNNNNNNNNNNNNNNNNNNNNNNNNNNNNNNNNNNNNNNNNNNNNNNNNNNNNNNNNNNNNNNNNNNNNNNNNNNNNNNNNNNNNNNNNNNNNNNNNNNNNNNNNNNNNNNNNNNNNNNNNNNNNNNNNNNNNNNNNNNNNNNNNNNNNNNNNNNNNNNNNNNNNNNNNNNNNNNNNNNNNNNNNNNNNNNNNNNNNNNNNNNNNNNNNNNNNNNNNNNNNNNNNNNNNNNNNNNNNNNNNNNNNNNNNNNNNNNNNNNNNNNNNNNNNNNNNNNNNNNNNNNNNNNNNNNNNNNNNNNNNNNNNNNNNNNNNNNNNNNNNNNNNNNNNNNNNNNNNNNNNNNNNNNNNNNNNNNNNNNNNNNNNNNNNNNNNNNNNNNNNNNNNNNNNNNNNNNNNNNNNNNNNNNNNNNNNNNNNNNNNNNNNNNNNNNNNNNNNNNNNNNNNNNNNNNNNNNNNNNNNNNNNNNNNNNNNNNNNNNNNNNNNNNNNNNNNNNNNNNNNNNNNNNNNNNNNNNNNNNNNNNNNNNNNNNNNNNNNNNNNNNNNNNNNNNNNNNNNNNNNNNNNNNNNNNNNNNNNNNNNNNNNNNNNNNNNNNNNNNNNNNNNNNNNNNNNNNNNNNNNNNNNNNNNNNNNNNNNNNNNNNNNNNNNNNNNNNNNNNNNNNNNNNNNNNNNNNNNNNNNNNNNNNNNNNNNNNNNNNNNNNNNNNNNNNNNNNNNNNNNNNNNNNNNNNNNNNNNNNNNNNNNNNNNNNNNNNNNNNNNNNNNNNNNNNNNNNNNNNNNNNNNNNNNNNNNNNNNNNNNNNNNNNNNNNNNNNNNNNNNNNNNNNNNNNNNNNNNNNNNNNNNNNNNNNNNNNNNNNNNNNNNNNNNNNNNNNNNNNNNNNNNNNNNNNNNNNNNNNNNNNNNNNNNNNNNNNNNNNNNNNNNNNNNNNNNNNNNNNNNNNNNNNNNNNNNNNNNNNNNNNNNNNNNNNNNNNNNNNNNNNNNNNNNNNNNNNNNNNNNNNNNNNNNNNNNNNNNNNNNNNNNNNNNNNNNNNNNNNNNNNNNNNNNNNNNNNNNNNNNNNNNNNNNNNNNNNNNNNNNNNNNNNNNNNNNNNNNNNNNNNNNNNNNNNNNNNNNNNNNNNNNNNNNNNNNNNNNNNNNNNNNNNNNNNNNNNNNNNNNNNNNNNNNNNNNNNNNNNNNNNNNNNNNNNNNNNNNNNNNNNNNNNNNNNNNNNNNNNNNNNNNNNNNNNNNNNNNNNNNNNNNNNNNNNNNNNNNNNNNNNNNNNNNNNNNNNNNNNNNNNNNNNNNNNNNNNNNNNNNNNNNNNNNNNNNNNNNNNNNNNNNNNNNNNNNNNNNNNNNNNNNNNNNNNNNNNNNNNNNNNNNNNNNNNNNNNNNNNNNNNNNNNNNNNNNNNNNNNNNNNNNNNNNNNNNNNNNNNNNNNNNNNNNNNNNNNNNNNNNNNNNNNNNNNNNNNNNNNNNNNNNNNNNNNNNNNNNNNNNNNNNNNNNNNNNNNNNNNNNNNNNNNNNNNNNNNNNNNNNNNNNNNNNNNNNNNNNNNNNNNNNNNNNNNNNNNNNNNNNNNNNNNNNNNNNNNNNNNNNNNNNNNNNNNNNNNNNNNNNNNNNNNNNNNNNNNNNNNNNNNNNNNNNNNNNNNNNNNNNNNNNNNNNNNNNNNNNNNNNNNNNNNNNNNNNNNNNNNNNNNNNNNNNNNNNNNNNNNNNNNNNNNNNNNNNNNNNNNNNNNNNNNNNNNNNNNNNNNNNNNNNNNNNNNNNNNNNNNNNNNNNNNNNNNNNNNNNNNNNNNNNNNNNNNNNNNNNNNNNNNNNNNNNNNNNNNNNNNNNNNNNNNNNNNNNNNNNNNNNNNNNNNNNNNNNNNNNNNNNNNNNNNNNNNNNNNNNNNNNNNNNNNNNNNNNNNNNNNNNNNNNNNNNNNNNNNNNNNNNNNNNNNNNNNNNNNNNNNNNNNNNNNNNNNNNNNNNNNNNNNNNNNNNNNNNNNNNNNNNNNNNNNNNNNNNNNNNNNNNNNNNNNNNNNNNNNNNNNNNNNNNNNNNNNNNNNNNNNNNNNNNNNNNNNNNNNNNNNNNNNNNNNNNNNNNNNNNNNNNNNNNNNNNNNNNNNNNNNNNNNNNNNNNNNNNNNNNNNNNNNNNNNNNNNNNNNNNNNNNNNNNNNNNNNNNNNNNNNNNNNNNNNNNNNNNNNNNNNNNNNNNNNNNNNNNNNNNNNNNNNNNNNNNNNNNNNNNNNNNNNNNNNNNNNNNNNNNNNNNNNNNNNNNNNNNNNNNNNNNNNNNNNNNNNNNNNNNNNNNNNNNNNNNNNNNNNNNNNNNNNNNNNNNNNNNNNNNNNNNNNNNNNNNNNNNNNNNNNNNNNNNNNNNNNNNNNNNNNNNNNNNNNNNNNNNNNNNNNNNNNNNNNNNNNNNNNNNNNNNNNNNNNNNNNNNNNNNNNNNNNNNNNNNNNNNNNNNNNNNNNNNNNNNNNNNNNNNNNNNNNNNNNNNNNNNNNNNNNNNNNNNNNNNNNNNNNNNNNNNNNNNNNNNNNNNNNNNNNNNNNNNNNNNNNNNNNNNNNNNNNNNNNNNNNNNNNNNNNNNNNNNNNNNNNNNNNNNNNNNNNNNNNNNNNNNNNNNNNNNNNNNNNNNNNNNNNNNNNNNNNNNNNNNNNNNNNNNNNNNNNNNNNNNNNNNNNNNNNNNNNNNNNNNNNNNNNNNNNNNNNNNNNNNNNNNNNNNNNNNNNNNNNNNNNNNNNNNNNNNNNNNNNNNNNNNNNNNNNNNNNNNNNNNNNNNNNNNNNNNNNNNNNNNNNNNNNNNNNNNNNNNNNNNNNNNNNNNNNNNNNNNNNNNNNNNNNNNNNNNNNNNNNNNNNNNNNNNNNNNNNNNNNNNNNNNNNNNNNNNNNNNNNNNNNNNNNNNNNNNNNNNNNNNNNNNNNNNNNNNNNNNNNNNNNNNNNNNNNNNNNNNNNNNNNNNNNNNNNNNNNNNNNNNNNNNNNNNNNNNNNNNNNNNNNNNNNNNNNNNNNNNNNNNNNNNNNNNNNNNNNNNNNNNNNNNNNNNNNNNNNNNNNNNNNNNNNNNNNNNNNNNNNNNNNNNNNNNNNNNNNNNNNNNNNNNNNNNNNNNNNNNNNNNNNNNNNNNNNNNNNNNNNNNNNNNNNNNNNNNNNNNNNNNNNNNNNNNNNNNNNNNNNNNNNNNNNNNNNNNNNNNNNNNNNNNNNNNNNNNNNNNNNNNNNNNNNNNNNNNNNNNNNNNNNNNNNNNNNNNNNNNNNNNNNNNNNNNNNNNNNNNNNNNNNNNNNNNNNNNNNNNNNNNNNNNNNNNNNNNNNNNNNNNNNNNNNNNNNNNNNNNNNNNNNNNNNNNNNNNNNNNNNNNNNNNNNNNNNNNNNNNNNNNNNNNNNNNNNNNNNNNNNNNNNNNNNNNNNNNNNNNNNNNNNNNNNNNNNNNNNNNNNNNNNNNNNNNNNNNNNNNNNNNNNNNNNNNNNNNNNNNNNNNNNNNNNNNNNNNNNNNNNNNNNNNNNNNNNNNNNNNNNNNNNNNNNNNNNNNNNNNNNNNNNNNNNNNNNNNNNNNNNNNNNNNNNNNNNNNNNNNNNNNNNNNNNNNNNNNNNNNNNNNNNNNNNNNNNNNNNNNNNNNNNNNNNNNNNNNNNNNNNNNNNNNNNNNNNNNNNNNNNNNNNNNNNNNNNNNNNNNNNNNNNNNNNNNNNNNNNNNNNNNNNNNNNNNNNNNNNNNNNNNNNNNNNNNNNNNNNNNNNNNNNNNNNNNNNNNNNNNNNNNNNNNNNNNNNNNNNNNNNNNNNNNNNNNNNNNNNNNNNNNNNNNNNNNNNNNNNNNNNNNNNNNNNNNNNNNNNNNNNNNNNNNNNNNNNNNNNNNNNNNNNNNNNNNNNNNNNNNNNNNNNNNNNNNNNNNNNNNNNNNNNNNNNNNNNNNNNNNNNNNNNNNNNNNNNNNNNNNNNNNNNNNNNNNNNNNNNNNNNNNNNNNNNNNNNNNNNNNNNNNNNNNNNNNNNNNNNNNNNNNNNNNNNNNNNNNNNNNNNNNNNNNNNNNNNNNNNNNNNNNNNNNNNNNNNNNNNNNNNNNNNNNNNNNNNNNNNNNNNNNNNNNNNNNNNNNNNNNNNNNNNNNNNNNNNNNNNNNNNNNNNNNNNNNNNNNNNNNNNNNNNNNNNNNNNNNNNNNNNNNNNNNNNNNNNNNNNNNNNNNNNNNNNNNNNNNNNNNNNNNNNNNNNNNNNNNNNNNNNNNNNNNNNNNNNNNNNNNNNNNNNNNNNNNNNNNNNNNNNNNNNNNNNNNNNNNNNNNNNNNNNNNNNNNNNNNNNNNNNNNNNNNNNNNNNNNNNNNNNNNNNNNNNNNNNNNNNNNNNNNNNNNNNNNNNNNNNNNNNNNNNNNNNNNNNNNNNNNNNNNNNNNNNNNNNNNNNNNNNNNNNNNNNNNNNNNNNNNNNNNNNNNNNNNNNNNNNNNNNNNNNNNNNNNNNNNNNNNNNNNNNNNNNNNNNNNNNNNNNNNNNNNNNNNNNNNNNNNNNNNNNNNNNNNNNNNNNNNNNNNNNNNNNNNNNNNNNNNNNNNNNNNNNNNNNNNNNNNNNNNNNNNNNNNNNNNNNNNNNNNNNNNNNNNNNNNNNNNNNNNNNNNNNNNNNNNNNNNNNNNNNNNNNNNNNNNNNNNNNNNNNNNNNNNNNNNNNNNNNNNNNNNNNNNNNNNNNNNNNNNNNNNNNNNNNNNNNNNNNNNNNNNNNNNNNNNNNNNNNNNNNNNNNNNNNNNNNNNNNNNNNNNNNNNNNNNNNNNNNNNNNNNNNNNNNNNNNNNNNNNNNNNNNNNNNNNNNNNNNNNNNNNNNNNNNNNNNNNNNNNNNNNNNNNNNNNNNNNNNNNNNNNNNNNNNNNNNNNNNNNNNNNNNNNNNNNNNNNNNNNNNNNNNNNNNNNNNNNNNNNNNNNNNNNNNNNNNNNNNNNNNNNNNNNNNNNNNNNNNNNNNNNNNNNNNNNNNNNNNNNNNNNNNNNNNNNNNNNNNNNNNNNNNNNNNNNNNNNNNNNNNNNNNNNNNNNNNNNNNNNNNNNNNNNNNNNNNNNNNNNNNNNNNNNNNNNNNNNNNNNNNNNNNNNNNNNNNNNNNNNNNNNNNNNNNNNNNNNNNNNNNNNNNNNNNNNNNNNNNNNNNNNNNNNNNNNNNNNNNNNNNNNNNNNNNNNNNNNNNNNNNNNNNNNNNNNNNNNNNNNNNNNNNNNNNNNNNNNNNNNNNNNNNNNNNNNNNNNNNNNNNNNNNNNNNNNNNNNNNNNNNNNNNNNNNNNNNNNNNNNNNNNNNNNNNNNNNNNNNNNNNNNNNNNNNNNNNNNNNNNNNNNNNNNNNNNNNNNNNNNNNNNNNNNNNNNNNNNNNNNNNNNNNNNNNNNNNNNNNNNNNNNNNNNNNNNNNNNNNNNNNNNNNNNNNNNNNNNNNNNNNNNNNNNNNNNNNNNNNNNNNNNNNNNNNNNNNNNNNNNNNNNNNNNNNNNNNNNNNNNNNNNNNNNNNNNNNNNNNNNNNNNNNNNNNNNNNNNNNNNNNNNNNNNNNNNNNNNNNNNNNNNNNNNNNNNNNNNNNNNNNNNNNNNNNNNNNNNNNNNNNNNNNNNNNNNNNNNNNNNCUUAGUGAACCGUCAAAACCAGGCCCUGGGAGAUUGUUUGAGACCAUACAAGGAUUUUUGGAGUCUACAAACCUUGUUGAAAUUUGAUGUUGUCUCAAGUCCAGCAGGAAUCUCCAUGUAAACUUCUUCCUCUAAGUCACCAUUGAGGAAGGCACUCUUCACAUCAAGUUGGUGAAGCGACCAAUCAAGAUUAGCUGCCAAGGAUAAAAGUAUACGAACAGUAUUGAGGUUGGCAACUGGAGCAAAAGUUUCUUGAUAGUCAAUGCCAUAGGAUUGGGUGAAUCCUUUGGCGACCAACCGAGCCUUAUACCUGUCCAUAUUACCAUCUACCUUGUAUUUUACUGUGAAAAUCCACUUACACCCAACUGGUUUCUUACCUCUUGGGAGGUCAGUAAUUUCCCACGUACCAUUCUUUUCUAGCGCCCGAACUUCCUCAUCGACUGCCGCCUUCCACUUAGGAUACUUGAAAGCUUCCUGAAUAUUCCGAGGAACUUGUAUCUCUGUGAUGCUAGAAGUGAAUGCACGAAACGUAGGUGAUAGCUUAUCAUAAGAAAUAAAAUUUCCAAUGGGAUGCUGAGUGCAUGAUCUAACUCCUUUCCUCCAAGCUAUGGGCAUAUUAAGAAUAUCAUUUUCUAACUCGAAAUCAACAGUACCAUCAAGAGCGUUGUUACCUGGAAGUUUGCUUGGAUUAGGACCCGGUUCAGCCUCAUGGGUUUGUUGAGAAAGUGCUCCUUCCUCCGUUUCCUCUUGGAUGUGCUCCUUAUCCCACAAGUCAACAAUGGACUCAGGCUUAUUAAAUGACUCUGGAGGAAUGUGAUUUUCAGUGGUGAUGGGUGACUCACUGAAUGACUCAAGAUCCCAAAAUUGAUAUUCCUGAGUUGAAUUCUCCCCCUGAAUAUCGUUUUUGGGAUAGUAAGGCUGGGUUUCAAAAAAUGUGAUAUCCAUUGAAUUGUAGAAUUUUCUUGUGACUGGAGAGUAACACUUAUACCCUUUUUGAUUUGAAGAAUACCCAAGAAAGAUGCACUUGAGUGACCUAGGAUCAAGUUUACUUCUUUUUUGUUGAUUGAUAUGAACAAAGACAGAGCACCCGAAAAUUUUGGGUGGGACGGUGGAGAUGAGACGAGUAGUCGGAAAGGAUUUUAGGAGUGUUUGACAAGGUGUUUGGAAUUUUAGUACCCUAGACGGCAUCCUAUUGAUGAGGUAGGCUGCCGUAAGGACAGCUUGCCCCCAGAAUAAUUUUGGAACAUUCAUGGAGAACAUUAGUGAUCUAGCCACCUCUAACAAAUGCCUAUUUUUCCUUUCAGCGAUUUCGUUUUGUUGUGGGGUAUCAACACAUGAACUUAAGUGAACUAUCCCUUCUUGUGCUAGAAAUUCUCCUAGAAUGGAGUUGAAAUAAUCCCUAGCAUUAUCAGACUUUAGAAUUUGUAUUUUUGACUGGAAUUGGGUCUGAAUCAUAUUUUUAAAAUUUUUGAAAAUUUGACUCGUUUCAGAUUUUUCUUUCAUGAGGAAUACCCAAGUUAAUCUAGUGUGAUCAUCUAUGAAUGAGACAAACCACCUAGUACCAGUUACAUUUUUUAUUCUUGACGGACCCCAGAUAUCGCUAUGAUCAUGAGAUGGACUAGACUCUUNNNNNNNNNNNNNNNNNNNNNNNNNNNNNNNNNNNNNNNNNNNNNNNNNNNNNNNNNNNNNNNNNNNNNNNNNNNNNNNNNNNNNNNNNNNNNNNNNNNNGGGAAGUGAUGAAGAAGCUUACCAAGAUAAUGAAUCUCAUGAGCUUAACUGGUUUGUAGAGCAAGAUGAUGGAUUUGAAUUUCAACGAUCUGACCGCUUAAACAUUGAUCUAGAAGUUGUUAAUGAUAAUGUUUUGAUUUUAGAGAACAUGAAUGACAAUGAUGAUAACUUCAUAUGUGAUGACAUUGAGGAAGAAGAUGAAACACUAGAUGAUUAUGCUAAUGAGAAUGAAAUGUGGCUUUCAAGUGAUAGUGAAAGUGAAAGUGAUUAAAGAGACUGGUAAGCUACAUUUUAUUUACUUUAUUAUAUGUUAAAUAACAUAAUGUAAUCUAGGUCUAGUUCUUUAAAUUUAUGUUAUGUGUUGUGAUAUUCCUUUUUUAUUAUUAUUUAUUUGUCUUUAUUGUUAUUUUAUUAUAGAUGACUCCUGGACGAAAGCGGUCACCUUCUGAGUUAACUCAACCACCCACAACAACACCCAUGACUCCUUUUUAUGUCGAUGUUCCAAUGCACACAUCCAAUGAGGGCACUAGUAGUUGUAAGAAACUUCUUACAUUUAUAUAUUUUACUUAUUAUAAUUUUGUAAGAUAUUUUUUUUUUAAAUUUUAAAUUAUAAUGAGUUGUAAUUUAAUUUUAGUCUUUUUAUUAACUCUUAUUAAUUGUUAAAGUUUAAUCAAUAAUUUCAUGGUAGCACCUAAUAAAGAAAUUUAAGAGGCAAAACUAGAGGUGUCAUUCUUGACAAACUUAUUGAAGCUAAUGGGGGCAAACCUCUUCCGAUCACAAUCAAGCCAUCUAAUGGGAAGCAAACAGGAAAAUAUUGUGAGAAAUUGUCAAAUGAGAUUGGGUUAAUAGUGAGACAACAUGCACCUGUUAGAGUGGAAAAAUGGAACCAAAUGCCUCGAGCUGAGAUCAAUACAAUGCUUGAUCGAAUCAAGGUAAAGUUGCUUGAAAUAUAUAUAUAUUUUUUAGCUUGUAAUUAUAACUAAUUGUUGGUUAUCUCUAAACUUACUUUAUCUCAUAUUAGUUCUUCCCUUGUUUGACUAUGAAGGAAAAGUUUGCCCUAGAUUUGACACAAGAGCAUGUGAAGAAAAGUUUAGAAAAACAAUUAUCUGACCGCUUUAGAAAUUGGAGAUGUGAUUUGCACAAGCACUUCAAAAAGUUCCCAACUGUGGUGGAGGCUAAGCGAAAUCCUCAUGAAUCUGUGUCAAAUCAGGAAGAUUGGGACUACUUUUGUGAUAGAUUUUCAAGUGAAGAAUUUAAGGUAAAGUUUUCAAUGAAUAAUCAUUCAAACCUAUUUCUUAUUGAAUAUUCUACUAACUAUAUUUAUAUUAUUUUCAAUAAUAACUAUUAUUACAGCGUCGUUCAGCAAUCAAUUCAGUAAAUAGAUCAAAGAUGCCUUUUCAUCAUCGAGGAGGCUCUCGUUCAUUUAUCCAACAUGGUCUACAAGUGGUAAAAUAUAAAACUAAGGUUCUUUAGUUAUUCAUAUAACUUAUAAUUCUUAAUAUUAAUGCAUAAUACUUGACAGCCAACAGAGAAUGGAGAGAUGGUUGGCCAAAUUGAACUAUUCAAACUAGUUCAUUGGAAAAGUCAAGAUGGAUGGAUAAAUCAAGAGGCUAGAUAUUAUUAUGUAAGAUUAUUUUGAUAGCUUUCUAUGUUUAAAUCAUGUUUGGGAUUAUGAAUCUUUGUGGAAGUGUCAUCGUGAUAGUUUAUUUACCAUGUUUUGAUAAAUAAGGCACUUCCUUGGUAGUUUUCAUAAAUCUAUAAAUUUUGAUUUGGUUAUUGAUUGCUUGGGUGUUCAAUGUUGUUAAAUUGAUUAAUAGCAGGGAAAAUUUGGCAAAGUCUAAAAAUUAGGAGAGACUAUGCCAAAAUUUCUAUUGAAAUUUUAUCUUACCAACUUAUUAUUAUAACUUUUCUUACUCAAAAUUACAUUUAAGAUUAUUAGUACUUGUAAAGUAUUAUUAUAUCAACUUGUAUACUAGAUUCUUAUUUCAAUUUUUAUAUUAUUUAGUGUGUGAUUACAAGCUAAUUAGGUUCUUCUUAGGUAGAAUCCUUGAAGUAAACUUUUGUUUGGGCAUUAACUAAUCAUAAAUCUUUAUUGUUAAAUAUUUGAUUAUGUGGUUGGUAAAAAUUUGUGGAAAUAGUAAAGAAUUAAAGAGGGAUUAGUAUAUUAUUAACUUGAAUAUAUAAUAGGUCAAAUUUUGGAAAAAAAACUAAGAAAUAUAAGAGAAUAUGCCAAAAUUUAAAUAGGAUUUUUAACUUGUUAACUUCUUGUUAUAAUUUUCUUUGCUUAAAAUUAAGUUGAGAUUCUAUGUACUUUUCAAUUUUUACCAUUUUAUUAUGUAUAUAAGAAUCUUGUUUAUGUGAUAACAAGUUUAGAUACUUUUUUUAGCCAUUUCUUUGCUUAAAAUGAAGUUUAGGAUUAUAUGUGCUUGUGGGGUGUUACAAUAUUUGUAUAAAAAAUAUCAUAUCCUUAUUUGAAAUCUAAUAUUAAGGGACUAUUCCAAAAUUUAAUUAGGAUUUUUAACUUAUUAACUUCUUGUUGUAAUUUUCUUUACUUAUAAUUAAGUUGAGAUUCUAACUACUUUUCAAUUUUUAUCAUUUUAGUAUGUAUAUAAGAAUCUUGUUUAUGUGAUAACAAGUUUAGAUACUUUUUUAGGCAUUUAUUUGCUUAAAAUGAAUUUUAGGAUUAUAUGUGCUUGUGGGGUGUUAUAAUAUUUGUAUAAAAAUAUCAUAUCCUUAUUUGAAAUCUAAUAUUAAGGGACUAUUCCAAAAUUUAAUUAGGAUUUUUAACUUGUGAACUUCUUGUUAUAAUUUUCUUUACUUAUAAUUAAGUUGAGAUUCUAACUACUUUUCAAUUUUUAUCAUUUUAGUAUGUAUAUAAGAAUCUUGUUUAUGUGAUAACAAGUUUAGAUAUUUUUUUAGGCAUUUCUUUGCUUAAAAUUAAGUUUAGGAUUAUGUGUGCUUGUAGGGUGUUACAAUGUUUGUAUAAAAAUACCAUAUUCUUAUUUGAAAUCUAAUAUUAAGGGACUAUGCCAAAAUUUAAAUAGGAUUUUUAACUUUAUAACUACUUGUUAUAAUUUUCUUUACUUAUAAUUAAGUUGAGAUUCUAACUAAUUUUCAAUUUUUAUCAUUUUAGUAUGUAUAUAGGAAUCUUGUUUAUGUGAUAACAAGUUUAGAUCAUUUUUUAGGUAUUUCUUUGCUUAAAAUUAAGUUUAGGAUUAUGUGUGUUUGUGGGGUGCUACAAUGUUUGUAUAAAAAUACCAUAUUCUUGUUUGAAAUAUAAUAUUAAGGGACUAUGCUGAAAUUUAAAUAGGAUUUUUAACUUACUAUCUUCUUGUUAUAAUUUUCUUUACUUAAAAUUAAGUUAAGAUUCUAACUACUUUUGAAUUUUCACCAUUUUAGUAUGUAUAUAUUAUUCUUGUUUAUGUGAUAACAUGUUUAUAAACACUUUUUUAGGCAUUUCUUAGCUUAAAAUUAAGUUUAGGAUUAUGUGUGCUUAUGGGAUGUUACAAUGUUUGUAUAAAAAUACUAUAUUCUUGUUUGAAAUCUACUAUUAUUUACCAUAUAAUAACAAAUUAAGGCACUUGGAUGUUUUGUUGUGCUAAAAAUCAAUUUGAUUAUUAACUAAUUUGAAAUUCCAAUGCUUAUAUUUAUUAUAUAUAGUAGGUAUAAUUUAAAAAAUAUCUACUAAAUAUGGGAGAUCAUGCCCAAAUUUAAUGGAAAUUUUAAUUUACUAACUUAUUAAUUAUGUUUUGGUUCUUUUUUUUUUGUUUUAUUUUUUAUUUUGCAUAUAUAGGAGAAGAUGUUGGAGCUUUAACGCCAGCCUAUUGCAGAAGGAGCUGUGGCUAUGACUGAGGUAGAAAUUUGUGAGAAAGUUUUGGGACAAAAAUCAGGAUAUGUCAAGGGCCUUGGUUUUGGCCCUAAACCAAUCUCAUUUUCUAAAUCUAAACCAUCAUCUUCUGAGCGUGAAAAUGAGUUGGAGCAUAGACUUAUUGAGACUCAACUACUUGUGGAGACUCAACAACAAUAACUUGAGACUCAACAAGAUCGAAUUGACCAAUUGGAGGCCUUCGUACAAAAACAAAAUCAACAACAUCAUCAACAAUUUGAAGAAAUAUUGCGUCAUCUAUGAUCAAGCCAAGGGUCCUCAUGAUCCCUUUUUUUAUGAUGUGCAUAUGAUGGACGUUCAUUUCUUUUUUUUGCCUAUGCUAAUAUAGUUGUUUUGUGAUAGACAUUUUGUUAAACUAAUACUUUAUUUUGUUUUGUAGUUAUAUUAGCGUAGAUAUUAUACUACUAUGAUCACAUGUUAUGGUUACAUAUAUUAAUUACCAAUGAAGUUAUGUGAUAUAUAUUUUGAUUUUUGUAAGCAGGUUUCAGAAUUAACCUUUCUAUUAUAAUUAAUGUUUUAAAUACCAAAUGCCAUACAUUUGUAAUAUGAAAAAUAAAAAAUGUAAAUACAUUUCCUGACAAAAAAAAAAAAUUGUUACUAAAGAUAUUUCCUGAUGAAAUAUUUUUGUUGCUGAAGAUUGUUGUAUCAUCCACAACUAAUUUAUAAUUCACUGGCAUACGUUUUAGGGACAAAAUCAUUUUGUAAAUAAAAGGAUUUAGCAACGAAAUGAAUUUGUCAGUAUUAAUGAUAAAUAUUUUAGUUCAAAAAAAUCCUUUAGCAAUGAAAUAUCUAUUUCAUCAAGAAAAACUUUUAGUGACAAAAUGGAACUUUCGUUGGGAUUGCAAAGCAUAGGGAGACGAAAUUAAAUUGUUACAAAAAAUAUUUGGCAGCAAAAUAAAUUUGUUAGCACUAAGUAUUGACGACUUUGAGGACAAAAAUUUAUAUUUUUUAGUGGCAAAAAUUCUUAUUUUUGUUAAUGAAAAAUUUCGUUGGGGAAAAUAUUUAGUAACAAAAUUUUUAUUUCAUCAGGGAAAAUAUUGGGCGACGAAAUAGGAUUUUUGUCGGGAAACUUUUAGCGACGGGUCUAAGGCAACGAAUGUGACACGAAACAUUUUUCGUUGGGAAAUAUUUUUGCAGACGAAAUUUCGACUUUUAGUGACAAAAUAUUUUAUCAUUGAAAGUUAAUUUUCUUGUAGUUAAAUGAAAACAAAUUGAAAUACUUUUGUAAAUAAAAUUGUAAUUUUUUUUUGUAAAAGCAAGUAAAAAUCAUUUUUGUUGCCAAAUUGAAAUUUUGCAAUAAAUUAUUUUGAUAUAAUAAGUGAAAAUAAAUUUUUUUGAAAAUUAAAUACAAAUGAAAUUGAAUUAAAUCAUUAAUUAAAAAUAAAUUGAAACUUCUUUUUUGGCAAUAAAAAAAAAUUAAAAUCAUUAAUUUAAAAUCAUUUUUAAUAAAUACUUUGAAAUUUCUUGAAAAUUAUUUUUUUAAUAUUUUUUUUUAGUUCAAUAAAUCAUUUUGCAUAAUUCUCUUAUUAUUUAUUUUGUGUAUUCUUGUAAUUAGAUUUCAUCAUUAUUUUUGUGUAUAUUAAUUUUCACCAUGACUUGUACAUACUCAUUUACAUGAUUAUUUUUCUUGGUAUCCAUAAUUAAUUAAUUAAUCAUCACAAUUUCCUUAAUUCAUUUAGUAGAGGGCAUACGUAUACAAGCUUAGAGGGGUGUUACAGCUCAUUACAAUACCUUCCCGAUAUGUAACGGGGGACUCAAACUCAAUUUUUCACAAACUUGUUUUUACUUCGAGAGUCACAUUUAAGGUUUUUCUUUUUUAUUUUGUUUUUCCCUUAAAAAAAUAAAACAAAAAUCAGUAACGACUUUAAGUCUUUUUUAAAAAAUCAUAUUUUUUACCAAAUAAAUAAAAAACGAGUCUCGUUGUCGAGUGGAGACGCACAUGAAAAACGUAGGUCCACACCGAUAUAUUAUAUUAUUUUUUAAUUUAUUUAUAAUUUAAAACUAAUUUCAUUUUUUAUAAGACCUCAAUUAAAUUUCUAUUAAUUAAAUUUAGAAUAUUUUUACAAAAUCAAUAUAGAAAAAUUAUUUAAAAAAAAAAAAAAAAAAACCAACUUGUAGACUCCUUCUCUUGAGCUCUAUUUUUUUUAUGGUCUGAAACAAGGGGGCAUGGCAUGACCCAAGGGAGAAAUUUUCGAUUUUUUAGUGAAGGAGGGGACACCUCCCAAGAAGGUAGCUGCCUUGGACGUGUGGCAAGGGAGAUUGGCUGCCCAUGAAAGUGGUUGCAAGCCCAUGCUUGCUGUGAGGUGAAUAGGAGAGUGGGUGGUGGCUUGCCAAGGAAGGGAAAAAGAGAGAGAAAAAAGGGGAGUUAGAGCUGAGGGCAAGGGUGGAGCCAGAGAGAAAGGAGAAGCCCGAAUGAGAAGAAGGGAGAGGUACGACAUUUACCAUGACUCUUUGGACUCACUUGAUGUAUAUAAUCUCCUUAUUUUUCUCUUAAUAGUUUCGAGUAGAUUAUUCGAACAUAUGUUUCGUUUUAUGGUUCAUAGUUAUGGUUUGGAUGCUACUAUCUCUUUCAUAUUUUUGGUUUGUUUUGAGAGCAAUGAAGCUCUGUUUUAACCUCCUCCUCAUGGCCAUUACCGUGCUCAUCAUCCACCCCCAAUACCCACAUCGUCACGCACCAAUAUACCAGCUCCAUUUCAUCACCAUCCCACGUUCCAUGCAUGGCUGUCACCCUCACCCAUCCUCCCAAUCACCUUUUCUCUCUCUACCCGCCAUACCCAUCCUUCACCCGCAUGCGCGGAACCUGGUAUAUUUGGCUGCCCACCAUGCCCGCGUUCAGCUCAUCUCCACAGGAACCCCCAAAGCCGCCCGUCUACACGCGUGUGUCCCAUGCAUGCAAGCCGCCCCAUCCCUCAUUUUUUUUUGCUGCAUGCACCGCGUCGACAAGGCGUCUGCUCCUCACCAGCCACCAUCACCCGCUCCAGCCAUGCGGGCAUUUGCACCAGCCACCAUGGCGGCAGCAUCUCUUGGAUGCCAUGGGACUACCACCAUUGCUCCUUGAAGACUUUGAAGACUAAAAUAUGAAGAAUUUGAAGACAAACUAUGGAGGAACACAGACUCAAUUCAUUCUGUGAUUCUUUUUUUUUUUUUUACAAUGAAAGAAAGCAUAAAUAAAUAGCCUACAGAUAUGAGAUAAUUCCGGAAUGGUACACUAUCACUGGACGGAAUUUCCCUUACAUGGAAAGUGUUACAUGGAAAGUGAAUAAACUACCUUGCUAGAAUUACUCCUAAAUCAAUUAUAAUAAAGGUUGUACAUUACACUAAUUCAGGGAAGUAAACAGAGGAUGCUAAAUAUGGGGAGGAACAUGCACAGGCAGGAAGGCGACGUGGGCUUGAUUUCCAACACUCCCCCUCAAGCCGCGUUGUAGAUGUUGAUCAUUCCAAGUUUUUCUGUCAGAUCUUCGAAGUUAACUCGAGCAAGAGCUUUUGUGAGAAUGUCAGCCGUUUGAUAGUUUGUCGGAGUGUAGCUGACUUUGAAAACUCCUUCUUCAAUCUUUUCCUUGAUAAAGUGUCGAUCUAUCUCCACGUGCUUAGUUCGAUCAUGAUGAACCGGAUUCUUAGCGAUACUGAUGGCAGCUUGAUUGUCGCAGUAUAACACCAUGGGAUGCUUCAAUGGAACCCAUAAUUCUUCUAGCAGCCUGUUCAACCAGAUUUCCUCGCAGAUACCUUGUUCCAUAGCACGAAAUUCUGCCUCAGCACUGCUACGGGCUACCACUGACUGUUUCUUGCUUCGCCAUGUAACCAAGUUCCCCUAGACAAAUGAACAAUAGCCUGAAGUUGAUCUCCGAUCAGUCACUGAACCUGCCCAAUCUGCAUUUGAAAAAAUCUCAAUCUCUUUCUUUGUUGUUCUUUGAAAGAAAAGACCCUUUCCCGGUGUCAUCUUGAGGCACCUCAAUAUUCUGAUCACAGUAGUCAUGUGUUUUUCGGUUGGAUUAUUCAUGAAUUGACUUACCACACUAACGGAGAAGCCGAUGUCUGGCCUUGUAUGAGAAAGAUAGAUGAGUUUCCCCACAAGACGUUGAUAUCUUCCUUUAUCAACUGGCGCACUUCCAUCACUUUCUUCCAGUUUGACAGUUGUAUCCAUAGGUGUUUCUGCUGGCUUGCAUCCUAGCAUUCCUGUUUCAUUCAAUAAGUCCAGAACGUAUUUGCGUUGUGAGACUGCUAUACCUUUCUUUGACCUAGCAAUCUCCAUUCCGAGAAAGUACUUGAGGUUUCCAAGAUCCUUGAUCUCAAAUUCCUUUGUCAGUAAUUUUUUAAGUAAGUCAAUUUUCUCUUCAUGAUCACCUGUCACNNNNNNNNNNNNNNNNNNNNNNNNNNNNNNNNNNNNNNNNNNNNNNNNNNNNNNNNNNNNNNNNNNNNNNNNNNNNNNNNNNNNNNNNNNNNNNNNNNNNGAUAGUGCCACAACAUAAUUGCACUAUUGUUAUUUUGACAUGAAACCGAAAAAGAAUUACUACCAACUGCCAUUUGAGGUUGUUCUUGUGGAUCGUGGCGCUCCUUAAGGAUGUAGAGUCCAGAGCAUUCCUCAGCAUUGCCAAUCGUCUUCCCCGAAUCCAAAUCCUGAAAUUCACAGUGAGUGGAGGAAAAAUUAGUAAUACACCUCUUUUCCUUAGUGAGUUUACUAAUUGACAAUAGAUUACAGUCCAAGUUAGGAACAAGGAGAACAGAGUUGAGAGUAAGAUCCCUUGAUAGCACAACUGAACCUGUUCCGGCAACCUUUGAUAGUGAACCAUCUACUAUUCGGACUGUUAAAUUAUUUGGACAUGAGCUAUAUGUAUCAAAAAUUGUCGCAUCUCCCGUCAUAUGAUCAGAUGCUCUUGAAUCCACGAUCCAAGGUUUUUUACGUUUCUUACCAGCAGUGAAGGCACUCAAAAAAUUACCUUUGUGAGCCAAGGUUCCGGAACCAAUGACCUGGUUGGAAGAUGAGCCAGUUUGUGACUGUACUGACAAAAGAGGAGACAGUAGUUUCUGAAGCAUCUCCAUUUGCUCCUUAUUAAAAGGGCUAGCUUCAGGUUGUGGCGAUUGUUCAUCGGUAGCCACAUGAUUGCCUCGUCCUUCUUUCUCAGGUGGUUGACGUGGCUUCCAAUCUACUGGCUUUCCAUGAAUCUUCCAACAAGUUUCUCUUGAGUGUCCCGGCUUUCUGCAAUGAUCACACCAAGGUCUACCUCCUUUAAUUUUUUGACGGUUGUCAAAAGGAGCGAAUUGAGUCUUAAGAGCCGAGCUUUCUGCCAUAUUCAAUUGUUGAUGGGAUCCCAUCAUGAGAUUUUUCCGACUUUCUUAGCAACGGACUUCAGAGAAUGCCUCUCUGAGGCUAGGUAGAGGUUUUACUCCCAUGAUUCUUCCUCUAAUUUCAUCAAGAUUUUUGUUCAAGCCUAACAAAAAUUUAAACACACGUUUCCCUUCGACAAUCUUUUUAUACAACAAACCAUCUGUAACACAAUUCCAGUUAUGAACCUCAAACGUAUCAAGUUGACGCUGAUUCGUCCCUAGCAGUGGAAGUGGCAAUGACACCAUUUGAUUCGAGGUUCGAUCCCCGGCAACGGCGCCAUUUGAUUCGUCCCUAGCAGCGGAAGUGGCAAUGGCACCAUCUGAUUCGGGGUUCGAUCCCCGGCAACGGCGCCAUUUGAUUCGUGCCUAAUUGGUGUCUCAGCUGAUUCGUGUCCAGCUGGUGCUCCUUGAUUGAGGGAUUAAUCAACAAAAUUUAUAACCUAUUACACCAUAUACUAGGGUAGCAAAGACAAAGCUACUAUAGCAUAGUGGCUCUAGGAUCGUUCACUAGGAUGGGUUUUCACUUCACAAAUGAUGUUAAUUCAAAGUUGAAUUGGUGCCUUUUCAUUUCAAGGUUAGCUUUAAAAGAAAACAUAAAGAUGCUUGAAUGAAAAAAAUUUGGUUUUAAACUAACCAAAAAUAGUAACUGAUUUUACUUAUAAAGAAAAGUGUUUCUUGGAGUUCAGAUCACUAGGCUCGUUCCUCAUACAAAAUGGAGAGUUCCGGUCACUUGUUUAUUUUCCUCGCAUUAGAGAAUUAACAUAUAGUUCCUUCUCCAACCGGUGUUGUACAGAUGCUUCCCAUUAAUGGGUUCAAACACUAAAUCUCUCUCACUGAUGCAUCUUGCAAUGGUUCAUGCCUCUCACGAGCACUUACCAUUCAAGAUGAUCUUUAACCUUGGAUUUCCCUUCUCAAACUCGCAAGAGAUAACUAAUGGAUGUCUCCUUGGAGUCCAAAAGCUUACCAAGUGUUGGCUAUUCUAGAAAAUCCUACCUACAAGUCACCUCCCAAAGGCUCGCAAGGGGUAAACUAGUGCAUUUCCAUGGUUGGAAAUCACUUGCCUUACCAAGUGUUAGCCCAGGUGACUCUAAGGUGUUUUAAGUUAACUAAAAACAUAGAAAUCACUAACGGGUUACACUUUCUCUUCAUUAAAAACUAAAACAACAAAACUUCCAAAUUAUGCAUGUGGAAACUUACCCGGCUUUCCUCACUCCAAGAGACAAAAAGCUUAGCCUCUCAUCCUCUGUGGAAAAAUCCUCAGAGUUUGGUUGGCUAGAAAAUGAAAAUGAAAGAGAAGACAAGAAUAUAUAUCAAAAACAGAGCAAGUGCUCUGUUCGUUGAUUCUAUAUAUUGGAUUACAUGAUAUAUCUGAUUACAUGCCCCUCUUACAGUGGAUGCAAGAGAGUUUAUAUAGGAAUGUUUUUCCAACCUUCCCAACUAAGAAAUCUUAUGGUUGGUGGAUUACAAGGAGAGGAAUGGAAAUUUAUACAAAAAUAUCUUAAGAAAAGAUCUAAAAGAGUCGGUGGCAAAUAUCGGGAAGCAUUAAGGACCAUUUCGCAGGUGAAAAUGGUGUCUGCGAGAUUUCGCAGACACUCAAGAGGGCUGCGAAAUAUUUUCGCAUCAACAAGCUGAACUCGCAGGACUGCGAAAUUGGCUUCCACCUUGAGGUUCUCAGAGUUCCAGCUUGUGGCAUGUAUCGGGUAGCUUCAGGAGGAAUUCCAUAGCACUGUACAAAAAGGCUGCGAAAUUCUCGCAACAAAAGGCUGAAUUCGCAACACUUUGGAGUGAUCUGCUUGCAAUGGCUGUAACUCCUUCGUUUCAACUCCAAAUCGUGCACCGUUUGAAGCAUUGGAUUCUUGACUUCCUGAGCUUUGAAAUGGUAUAUAGAAUAUAUAAAAUGGACUUCGUGAAGUGUUCCAAAAGUGCGCAAGAAGACUGCAGUUGGCUUUCCUCUGUUUUCUUCACUCUGUUUUCCUCUUCUCCUUGCUUCUCUCCUUGCAUACUUUGAACGACUUUGGCAAAGGGCUAUGGAGCUCCAAAGCUUGGUUCUUCAUGAAUUUGAGCUCUUCAUUGCUUUGCCAUGGAUUCCAAAUAACUCUCCUCAAUCUUGGAUUGUUUUGGUGAUCAAAUUACUAACAAAAACACCAAAACUUACACAAUUUGAUUAGAAAUGAUUGCAAGGGUCCUUAACAUGUUAAUUGAGUUAAAAGGCAAUAACUACUACUCAAAAGUGUUUAAAAGGAUUAAUUACAAGCUACAAAAUAGCACUUUUUGAGUAGUAAUCACUCCCCCCAACCGACAUAUUGCUAGUCCCUUAGCAAUGAAGGUGAUAAAAACUAAGUAAACUAUAAUAAUAUACAUAAAAUGGAUCAUGCAAAUCACUCCAAAAAAUGAUAUGAGUGGCAUGAUGGACAUCCAUGGAUCAAUAAAGAUGUGAAACUCAACCUAUAAUAAGAGUUGUCAAAGCAUUCACUUGAUCAUAGAGUACAAAGAAUGGAUAUUAUGCAGGUUUAAGCAUCAAAAGAAUUUCCACUCUCAAAAGAUCCAAAUCAAAUUCUUCCACUAAAAGCUAAGUGUUAAUGUGAUUAGCUUCCGAGUAUAGUAUGGAUAACUAUCAUCUCCCCCCAACCUAAGUCUUUCUUUAAGCUUAGCAAAAUUAACCAUCUCUUGAUAGGCUAGGAACGCACCUCUUAUUCACAAUUCUUUUCACUUACUAAACUUAACCAAUUCACCCAUGUAACAAGCAGAGGAUCGGUGACUCCCAACCAAUAAAGGCUUAGGGCACCAGGCUUUAAAGGCUUUCGCCACCCCUUCGGACCAUGCUCAGGUUUCAAGGCAAGUAAAGAAGUUUAUUCUUUUUUUUUUUUUUCUUUUUCUUUUUUCUUUUUUCUUUUUCUUUUUCUUUUUCUACAAAGACUCAUUGGUCUUUAUGAGGUGUCCCAACACUAUUAAAGAGAGGUUAAGGGUGUCAAAUUAUGAUUUCUCAAGCUUAGAGGGUGAGAUAGUUUCACAUCUUAUAACCGGAAUCUAAUGUAUGUGUGUGCGAAUAGCUUAAGGUGGAAGAGAUAAGUUUGCAUGCAAUGGGAGUUUCAACAAUUCAUCAACUUUUAGAAGAGCAUAAUACAAACUCUAAGACUCAUGUAAUCAAGUUGAAACUCGACUUCUCUCAUUUAAUUUUGAGAGUUAAUCCUUAAUAUCCAUGGAGUUUAAAGCAAAAAUUUUAAAAAUUAAGCAAAAAACAACUAAAUUACCAAAAUAACUUAGCAUUAUUAACAAUACUUACUUCCUCAACUCUCCCCCCAACCAAGCUGAACAUUGUCCUCAAUGUGACAAAAGCGAUUAAAAAAUAGGGAGGAAGUGGUACCUCCUUAGUGACAUGGAGUCUGAGUCGUAUAGGAGAAACCACAUGUUUCAAAGAAAACAUAAAAGAGUUAGUGAGUAGAGGAAAUAAAAAAAUGCCAAGUUUAAACAAAAAAUGAUGUCUAUGUAUGAUGCAUCAUCAGUAAUACAUCCAAUCCCAGAAUAUAAGACAUCAAAACAUGGAAUUAUCUAUACUAAUAUAAUAUGUAAAGACAAAAAGUAAAGAGAUGAUCAUGUAAUGGUAAGGUCCUGUGGAGCUGAUGUGUCUGUGGUGGCCUCUUGAAUGGGUUGGAUCAGGAUUUUGGCCUCUGUUCUGGUAGUCUCCUUAAGUGGCAUGGUCUCCUCAGCUGGAGCUCUCAGUUAGAGCUAUGAGCUUUGAUGGUUUAAGGAGGUCAGAAAUGGAGUGAGAGGCUUGGUGUGUGUGAUCUCAAGGUGUGCGGGGCUCUCCUCUUCAGAUGCAUGGUUGCAGAGCUCUAUUGGCAUUUUAGCAACUUCCCUUGGCUUUGCAAAGUGUUUUUGCAAAUCACCCUCCAUUUUGCAAGUCAAUUUCGCAAUUUGAAGGCCCUUUCUAAGCUUGGAGGUGAUUUCAUAGCCAUUUCGAAGCUUGGAGAUCAUUUCGCAGAAAAGUGGCAUGUUCACAGACCAUUUUUUAAGCUUGGAGCAUUUUCGCAGCUCAUAGGUGAUUUCGCAGCCAUAUCGAAGCUUGGAGAUCAUUUCAUAGCCAUUUCAAAGCUCAAAAGUGAUUUCGCAGGUGUAUCGCAGCUUCAAAAUGAGGGGAAUUGUGCUGCAAAUGGCACUCGUGUGCCAAAAAGUGGUUUCGCAGCUGCGAAACACCCUUCCAAAUGGCGUCUCGGCUGCGAAAUUCCCGUUUAGCUUUGCGCGCUUGUCUUCAAACGGCCAUAACUUCUUCAUUUCAAAUCCAAAUCGAGUACCGUUUGAAGCUAUGGACUCCUGACUUCUCAAGAUUUGAAACGAGAUAUCAUGUGCAUAAUUUGAGCUCCAGAAAGUGCUUCAAAAAUGUGUCCAACAGUAGCGAAAUUGAGGUGCGACAUUUCCGUUCAUAGUUUGCACAGUCAUCUUCAAAUGGCCAUAACUUUUCUGUUUCAAAUCCAAAUCAAGUACCGUUUGAAGCUGUGGACUCUUGACUUCCCAAGCUUUCAAAUGAGAUAUUGUAUGAAUAAUUUGAACUUCGGGAAGUGAUCGAAAUGUGUCCAACAAUUGCCAAAAUGGGGGUGCGGCUGUGAAAUUGGGAUUUUUCAUGUUUUGGAACUUCGCAGCCGUUUCGUAGCUGCGAAAUGAGGGUUACUGUGCUGCGAAAUGGCACUCGUGUACCAAAACCGGCUUCGCAAUUGCGAAAUACCCUGCGGAAUGGAGCUUUGGCUGCGAAAUUGAGAAUUUUCACGCUUUGGAGCUUCGCAGCCGUUUCGCAGCUGCGAAAUGAGGGUCACUGUGCUGCGGAAUGGCACUCGUGUGCCAAAAGUGCUUUCGCAGCCGCGAAAUCCUUUGCGAAAUGGGACUUUUGUUGCGAAAUCAGCCUUUUUCACUUCGCAAUGCGUUUCGCAGCUGCGAAACAUAUGCUCCUGUGCUGCGAAGUGGCACUCGUGUGCCAAAAUGGGUUUCGCAGCUGCGAAAAUUUUCGCAGAGACUUCUACAGUGUUGCGGAAUGGUUUGGCAACAAAAUGCCGAUUUCGCAGAGGCUGCGAAAUCUCGCAGACCCUUGUUUUUCCCCUGUUUUCGCUCCGUUUGACUCCGAUUUUGCUCUGAUUUUUUUUCUUCAAUUUCUUUGCAAUUCCUCUUGAUUUUGAUCAUUCAAAAACCUAUAUUACAUCAAAACAAAUUAGAAUUAAAGCAUUGAAAUCAAAAUUAAAGCAUUGAAAUCCAAAUUAAAACAUUGAAAUCAAAAUUAAAACAAGAAAUUAACAAAACAAAAAGAUAUGGACUAGCUAGUCUUUAAAAAGACUAAGUCCAUCAAAAAAUUUGCUCAUGAUUUAGCUUGCCCGGAUCCCAUAUGAAGCUUACAUCCCUCACUUGAGACUUGGUUUGUAUGAUUUUGCCAUACAAAGCUUGGAGAAAAGGUGGAGGCAUGCGUUUCAUCAUUUCUUCCUUGAUGACUAUCCUCUGUGGUUCUCUUUGUACAUUAAUAUCAUAGCCAUCAUUCUCUAUGCUUUCCCCCUUUUUCUUUCCUUUGAUUUCCUCCCUAUUUUCUUUCUCUGUUUCACUCUCUUCCUUAUGCUCUAGCUUGCAUGUGGGCAGAUCAACCUCUUUACCACUCCUCAGAGUGAUCACUUCUUCAAUUUCCUUCACCAUUGAAGAUUCUCCCUCUUGAGCCUCCACUUCAUGGAUGCCCUUGGAAUUUUGACAAGGUUGAGAAGGAGAGUUUUCUUUCUCUUGCACUAUGUUGAGGUUGGCAAGCCUUGAGAUUGAAUCUUGGAGAAUAUCUAACUUUUGAGAUAGAUCAUUUUGCAUUUCAUCCAUCCUUUUAUUCAAAGUACUCUCCACUCUAUCAAUUCUUUGAUCGACUCGAGCAUUGGUGGCUUCUUGCUUUUCAAUAAAAUCUCCCAUGACCUUGCAAAGAUUCACCAUAGCUUGUUCAAGGUUUGAGGCUUGCUGUGGUGCUUGAGCAGGUUGCUGAUACUGAGGUGGCUGUGGUUUCCAAGAGAAAUUUGGAUGGUCCCUCCAAUUGGAAUUGUAGGUGUUGCAAUCACCAAACAUUUCCCUCUCGGCUGGAAUGGUAGGACACUCAUCCACCAAGUGCUCAUAUGAUAGACAAAUGGCACAAGGCAUAGCUUGCAAUGAUGACUGAGAGAUGGCUUGCACUUGUUGCAUAUUCGUCAUUUCUAGCUUUUCCAAUCUCCUUUCCAUAGCUGCAAUCUCUGCCUUCAUGUUCAUACCAUCAUUCAAAAUAUACAUCUCACCCUUAGCUUUAGGUUGAGAUGUCAUUCUUCCCAUAUCUCUAGCAUUUGGUUCAUUCCAUCCUCUUGAGACUUCAGCCACAUAACUCAUGAAGUUCAUGGCUUCCUCUGCUAUGGUAUUCAAUAUGGCAUGCACAACUAGCAAUUUAUGAAUUAAAAACAGAGAACACAAAAGAAAAUAAAAGAAAAACAAUUCAAAGAAAGAAAAUUAAGGUAAACUAAAAACUAAAUAAAAGGUAUACUAAAAUAUGAACAAUAAAGAAAUAAAAAGAGUUAGUAAAAGGAAAAGAAAAGUCACCAAACUUGUGAUGAAGAUCACAAGUACUCUAGAAAGGUGAUAUCACUGUAAAGUGGCACCAUCCCCGGCAACGGCGCCAUUUGAUUCGUCCCUAGCAGUGGAAGUGGCAAUGGCACCAUUUGAUUCGAGGUUCGAUCCCCGGCAACGGCGCCAUUUGAUUCGUCCCUAGCAGCGGAAGUGGCAAUGGCACCAUCUGAUUCAGGGUUCGAUCCCCGGCAACGGCGCCAUUUGAUUCGUGCCUAAUUGGUGUCUCAGCUGAUUCGUGUCCAGCUGGUGCUCCUUGAUUGAGGGAUUAAUCAACAAAAUUUAUAACCUAUUACACCAUAUACUAGGGUAGCAAAGACAAAGCUACUAUAGCAUAGUGGCUCUAGGAUCGUUCACUAGGAUGGGUUUUCACUUCACAAAUGAUGUUAAUUCAAAGUUGAAUUGGUGCCUUUUCAUUUCAAGGUUAGCUUUAAAAGAAAACAUAAAGAUGCUUGAAUGAAAAAAAUUUGGUUUUAAACUAACCAAAAAUAGUAACUGAUUUUACUUAUAAAGAAAAGUGUUUCUUGGAGUUCAGAUCACUAGGCUCGUUCCUCAUACAAAAUGGAGAGUUCCGGUCACUUGUUUAUUUUCCUCGCAUUAGAGAAUUAACAUAUAGUUCCUUCUCCAACCGGUGUUGUACAGAUGCUUCCCAUUAAUGGGUUCAAACACUAAAUCUCUCUCACUGAUGCAUCUUGCAAUGGUUCAUGCCUCUCACGAGCACUUACCAUUCAAGAUGAUCUUUAACCUUGGAUUUCCCUUCUCAAACUCGCAAGAGAUAACUAAUGGAUGUCUCCUUGGAGUCCAAAAGCUUACCAAGUGUUGGCUAUUCUAGAAAAUCCUACCUACAAGUCACCUCCCAAAGGCUCGCAAGGGGUAAACUAGUGCAUUUCCAUGGUUGGAAAUCACUUGCCUUACCAAGUGUUAGCCCAGGUGACUCUAAGGUGUUUUAAGUUAACUAAAAACAUAGAAAUCACUAACGGGUUACACUUUCUCUUCAUUAAAAACUAAAACAACAAAACUUCCAAAUUAUGCAUGUGGAAACUUACCCGGCUUUCCUCACUCCAAGAGACAAAAAGCUUAGCCUCUCAUCCUCUGUGGAAAAAUCCUCAGAGUUUGGUUGGCUAGAAAAUGAAAAUGAAAGAGAAGACAAGAAUAUAUAUCAAAAACAGAGCAAGUGCUCUGUUCGUUGAUUCUAUAUAUUGGAUUACAUUAUAUAUCUGAUUACAUGCCCCUCUUACAGUGGAUGCAAGAGAGUUUAUAUAGGAAUGUUUUUCCAACCUUCCCAACUAAGAAAUCUUAUGGUUGGUGGAUUACAAGGAGAGGAAUGGAAAUUUAUACAAAAAUAUCUUAAGAAAAGAUCUAAAAGAGUCGGUGGCAAAUAUCGGGAAGCAUUAAGGACCAUUUCGCAGGUGAAAAUGGUGUCUGCGAGAUUUCGCAGACACUCAAGAGGGCUGCGAAAUAUUUUCGCAUCAACAAGCUGAACUCGCAGGGCUGCGAAAUUGGCUUCCACCUUGAGGUUCUCAGAGUUCCAGCUUGUGGCAUGUAUCGGGUAGCUUCAGGAGGAAUUCCAUAGCACUGUACAAAAAGGCUACGAAAUUCUCGCAACAAAAGGCUGAUUUCGCAACACUUUGGAGUGAUCUGCUUGCAAUGGCUGUAACUCCUUCGUUUCAACUCCAAAUCGUGCACCGUUUGAAGCAUUGGAUUCUUGACUUCCUGAGCUUUGAAAUGUUAUAUAGAAUAUAGAAAAUGGACUUCGGUAAGUGUUCCAAAAGUGCGCAAGAAGACUGUAGCUGGCUUUCCUCUGUUUUCUUCACUCUGUUUUCCUCUUCUCCUUGCUUCUCUCCUUGCAUACUUUGAACGACUUUGGCAAAGGGCUAUGGAGCUCCAAAGCUUGGUUAUUCAUGAAUUUGAGCUCUUCAUUGCUUUGCCAUGGAUUCCAAAUAACUCUCCUCAAUCUUGGAUUGUUUUGGUAAUCAAAUUACUAACAAAAACACCAAAACUUACACAAUUUGAUUAGAAAUGAUUGCAAGGGUCCUUAACAUGUUAAUUGAGUUAAAAGGCAAUAACUACUACUCAAAAGUGUUUAAAAGGAUUAAUUACAAGCUACAAAAUAGCACUUUUUGAGUAGUAAUCAGACGCCAUAGACGAGUAAGAGUAUUGAAAUAUUCAGUUAACGUAAGGUUUCCUUGACGCAAAUCGUGGAGGAUGCCUUCAAUCUGGAUGAUUUCAGAUGUGUUUUCCUUGUCUGAGAAAGUUUCUUUUGCAGUGUCCCAGAUUUCUUUGGCAGUAUCAAAUGAUAGAAAAUUUUCACCAAUAUCAGUGGUCAUAGAGUUGACUAGCCAGGACAUGACCAUAUUAUUUUCUGCUAUCCACUUUUUGUAGGUUGAUGCUGUGGUUUUUGGUGCCACCGAAGCUCCGGUGAUGUAGUCAUCUUUCUCCUUUCCCUGUAUAAACAUUAAUAUGGACUGAGACCAUUGCAAAUAAUUUUGCUCAUUCAGUUUAUGGGCUGUGAUUGGAAGAUGAGAGGUUUCCAUCUGAUGAGAGGAUGAAGACGAUGAGAUGAUGAUAUCAGAAGUAGAGGAUGAUGAGUUGGUAGCCAUUCCAAAGGCUGGACCGUAUUUAGGCAUAAACUAGAAGAAUAGAAUUGAGUAGGAAAAAAAAAUACUGACUAAAGAUGAAGACGAUGAGACAGGAUUAAACCUGCUCUGAUACCAUGAAGAAUUUGAAGACAAACUAUGGAGGAACACAGACUCAAUUCAUUCUGUGAUUCUUUUUUUUUUUUUUUACAAUGAAAGAAAGCAUAAAUAAAUAGCCUACAGAUAUGAGAUAAUUCCGAAAUGGUACACUAUCACCGGACGGAAUUUCCCUUACAUGGAAAGUGUUACAUGGAAAGUGAAUAAACUACCUUGCUAGAAUUACUCCUAAAUCAAUUAUAAUAAAGGAUGUACAUUACACUAAUUCAGGGAAGUAAACAGAGGAUGCUAAAUAUGGGGAGGAGCAUGCACAGGCAGGAAGGCGACGUGGGCUUGAUUUCCAACACUCCUCUCUCCAUGGUGUCGCCGGUGGUGGGAGCUUCCUCUAAGGAUGAUAUCCAGGCGGAGAGGCAAGCUAUGAAGGAGAUGAAGUCUUGGGCUUGAGAAGAAGCCCAACCCAAGCAUGUUGAUGGAGCCAUGCCAUCUCAAAUAAGUGGGAUGUGAGGGGAAAUGAUGCCUUGGGCUUGCCCAUGGUGGGAAUGGAUUUGGGCUUAAGUUGAGGCACCAGGCCCAAGCUAUGAUGAUGAUGGUGCCUUGGGAAGAGAAUGUGUGAAGAAGAACCCAGCAUUUUGGACAAAUCCCUCAUCAUUAUCAAAAUCUGAGCCAAUCGCCAUGAAUCAAUGGAAAAAAAAUGCUUUAAAUCAACAGCAAAGACAUACCUUCUUGUCUACGUAGUCCGCCCAGAACCUGGCCUGAGCUCUCUGGUAUGGGUCACUAGGCAAAAGCGGAGAUUUAUCGUGCCAAACCUCAUCAAUAUACUGAACUAUUAUCAGAGACUCACAAAUGGGCUUUCCAUUGUGGAUCAGAACCGGGAUUUUCUUAUGAACUGGAUUCAUCUCAAGAAGCAGAGGGCUCUUAUUCCUAAGGUCCUCCUCUUUAUAUUCAUACUUGAGGCCCUUCUCUGCCAGGGCAAGUCUGACCCUAAUACCAAACAUGCUAGGCCAAAAAUCCAACAAGAUAAUCUCGUCUGUCAUUGCUCCUACUGUGAUCAAGUAUUGAUGAACAACCCAAGGGAUAUUGUCAAGUAUUUAUAGCAAAUCUCAGAGAGUGAGUCAAAACCUUGGACAUUUCUAGGAGGUGGUGAUGGCGUGAUGCUCAUUCCUUAUCUCAGCAUACACUUUCCUUCCAUAUUAUAUCCUUAUCUCGGUUUUCUUUCUCUCUCCAGAAUUCCAAAAUUUUAAGUUUUUCUAUAUUUUUUUAUCAGUCUAGAAUUUUUUUUUAUCAAAUCUCAGUUUAAUGUAUUCACUUUUUUUAUUAAAAAAAAUUAAAAAUGUCAGUUGAGAUAUUCUUAUAUUUUUAUCAUUUGUACAAAAAUAAUUUAAUUUUAAAAUUAAUAUCAUAUUUAAAUCCAAAAAUAUUAUCAGAUAGAAAGCAAUUUAGCGUUUUUUUAUAUAUAUAAUAUCUGCAUUCAAAAAAAAAAAAUCAGCACAUUUAUUUAUUUUUAAAAACUUAUUAAAUUUUAAUUUUACUAGUAAAUAAUAGAAAUUAAAAUAAUGAACUUGUGCCAUAAGUUUGUGAGAGAAGUAAACUUUGGUUAUGGAGCAUCCAAUGCUCUGGUUGCUUCCACGAGAGGUCAUUGCUGUCGUCAGCCCUGGUCAACUAAGUACACUUGUCCACUCCAUGAAAUAUAUUUAUGUUAUUUUUUAUUUUAAAUUUUUGGUAGGAGAACUCUUCGCUAUGAGAAAAAAACACACUCUCAAAUGUGGGAGAUUGUCAUAAAAAAAAAAUUAAUAAUAAAUAAUAAUAAAUACGGGGUGAUCUCACCACUUACAUAUCUCCUCCGUCAUAAAACCAGAAUCAUUGAAUAUGGUUCUAGUUUACUAUGGUUCUAGCUUUAUGGCUUGAUUAAAAUUUACAAUUUUUUGUUUGUAUUAAAAUAAAAUAGAUAUAUAUUUUUUCAUAAAAAAAUCAUAUUAAAUAUUUUAUUUUAAUUUUAAAAUAUUUUUAUAGUUCUUUGCUCUUAAUAGAUAAAGACAAAAGAUUUAUACUCUAUUUAGUAAUUAUUUUUUGAAAUAAUUUUCUGUUUUUGAAAACCAAAAAAGAAAAAAAAAAAACAAGAAAACAAGAAAACAAAUUUGACAAUUUUAAAAAAAAAAAAUUGAUCUUAAAAGCAAAAAUAUGGUAUUUUUGAAAACAUAUUUUAUUGGUUUUCACUUGAUUUUUUUAUGGUUAUUUAAAAAGUAAACAUGCAACAUAAAGAGUGAUUAAAAAUAAAACAUUACACAUAAAAUUUAUUAUUAAAAUAUAUUUAAAAAUAUAGAAAACAACUUAAAAAUAUUUCUAUUCCAAAACAAAUUUUUUGUCUAUAAAAUAUCAAAAAAGAAAUUUCAAAAACUAUUUUUAAAAAUUUAUUUUUCAGAAUUGUUUUAAAAAUAAGUACACCAUAUAUAUAUAUAUAUAUAUAUAUAUAUAUUAUGUAUGUGACUCAUUUGCUCUAAUUGGACAUGAUCUUCCAUUUUUGUAGGCCUAGGCUGACAUAAAGGGCUUUCACUUUUUUUAUGGGCUUGAGGCUUUCACAUAUCCCAUUCUACAUCCUAGAACCCUACGUACAUCAAUUGAAAAAAUAGAUACGUCGUAUUAAAAAAUAAGCACAUCUUAAAAAAUAAGUACAUCUAUACUUGACUCAUUUGUCCUAUUUUGGACAUGAGCUUUCAUUUUUAUAACUGACUCAUUUGGCCAAUUUUUUGAGGUCUUUGCAUAUCCCAUUUUGCAUAGAAGAACUUUGGGUAUAUCCUUCAGAAAAAAUAAAUACAUCAUAUUGUAAAAAUAAGUACAUUCCCUUAAAAAAUAAUUGGUACAUAUUAUUUUCAUUGUAUAGGUGACUUGUUUGGCUUAUUCUUGUUUGGCAUGUCUUAUCCAACUUGUUUUAAUACUUGUUUAUGUGACAUGAAACGAUGGAAUGGACUAGAAUCUCCCCUGUGACAUUUAGUCAACUUCAAAUAUCUUAGUAACUCUAGUUAGAAUUGUUGAUUAGGUCAUCUAUUUGAACUUUUAUGCACCCUAAUAUCUUGUGAAACACCCUCUAGGCUCUAUUAUAUGGUAGAUAGCUUUAGAAAAUGUCCCUUUUCUUUUUCAUAUGUAAAUUUUUGUCCUCAUCUGGAACCUCCUACAAACCCUUUCCAAUCCUUUACCACUUGGGCAAGCCUCAAGUGGUACCAUUAAAGUGAUAAGCUUUAGAAGAUGUUCUUAUCACUCUUUACUUCAAUUUUUCCUAGGUUUUUGCCAUAUCUAAGGAUGAAGCAACCAAAAUCCCUAAAACUUUUAAAAUUAGCUAGGCUUCUUUUAUUGUAAAGAGUUUGAGUAGCAUCAAUUUUAUAGUAAAUCUAUUAAUUAUGUAAUAAGUUGUAUUAACUUCCUCUACUCAAAACUGUUAAACUAAGCCAUUUCCAUUAAGCAUCUGGAUGCCAUAUGUUGAAGAGUUAUACUUUCUCUUUGUAAAUCUAUUUUGUUAUUAGUUUCUUGUAGGUUUUUAAAGGCAUAUGUACAUUAGAAGUUACUCAUUCAUUCAAUCCGUCCAUCUCCAAAGAACAUGAUGCUUCCUUCAUAUUCAAGAAGGCUUGUAAAUUUUGUUUCAUCACUGUGUUAAGCAACUAUGAUAAAUAAAUAAAUAAAAAACAGUAUGAGUUUUCUUCUAUUACCCAAAUUCUAUGAAAUUAUUUAGAAGCUCUUUUUGGGGUAAUUCAAUUUUCUGCUUUGUUCAAGGGGCUUUUUAUUUUCUUUCAUUUUAUUUUGAAAAUCAUUAGGUUUUCUUUUCUUGAUUCCCUUUUCCACUGUCCUGUUAAUCUGCAUUGAUAUUAUUUAUCUUAAUUAAAUUAGCAUCACAAAAAAUACUUUUAUUUACGUACGAUCUUUAUUAGAGAAUAUGAUAUAUAUUAUGAGUCCAAAUCUUAAUGAUACAAGCUUUUAGAAAAAUUGGUUUUGUCAAUAAGAUAUUAAAAUGUCAUUUAGUGAAAGAUCAUGAGUUUGAAUAUGUUUAUUUCUCUAAUUAAGCUUUUAAUUUUUUUUUUAAUAUAUAGGUUUAUGAGUUUGUUUUAAUACUUGUUUAUGUGACAUGAAACGAUGGAAUGGUAGUUAAAAACUCUUUUAUUUCUUUAAUACAAGAACACAGCUCAGCAAACCCACCAACCCUCAGAAAGGGAUUUCAACCGGAAAGAUUAACGAUACAAUUUCAAAGAAAAAACUUAAGCAAACAGCCAAACACUCAUAUAUAUUAUCUAAUAUUAACUAAACAACACUACUCAAUAGCCCAUGAUGUUUCCCUUUUACUCUAUACCAAGCUUCUUUCUUAUCCUCACAACAAAUCCAUGUGCCCCUUCUACUCUAUACCAAACCUCUUUCUCAUCCCCAUGAUAAAGCCAUGGACCUUGUGUGGGUCUUCCAGAGAAGACGACACGCUCUCCUUUUCCAUGCACCUCUUGGUCCAAGCUACCAACUUGGGGCACUCCGCCUCUAUGCUGAAGUUGCCAAAGGUCUCGUAUGCAUAAAACCAGCAAGAGAAGGUCACCAGGGCCACAUCCACAAACCCAAUUUUUUCACCCCCGAAGUAAGGCUUCUCUCCAAGCUCUCCUUCCAAAAGCUUGAGGCACUCUAUGAAUUCCUUCUUGCCUGUUUCCUGCUCUUCUCCUUUGGUUGACCAUAUCUUCCCUCCAAGUUCAUAGAGCUGUGGAAAACAAUAAAGUCAAAAGAGAGAAAAGGGUUAUUUUUUUGGAGCAUUUCAUCAAGUUUCAACUUUCCGUAUAGUUGGACAAGUUUAUUAAGGACCCUUCAGCAUAGAAAUCUCANNNNNNNNNNNNNNNNNNNNNNNNNNNNNNNNNNNNNNNNNNNNNNNNNNNNNNNNNNNNNNNNNNNNNNNNNNNNNNNNNNNNNNNNNNNNNNNNNNNNAAAAAAAAAAAAACAAAAAACAAAAAACAAAAAAACAAAAGAAAAUGCUUUAAAUCAACAGCAAAGACAUACCUUCUUGUCUACGUAGUCCGCCCAGAACCUGGCCUGAGCUCUCUGGUAUGGGUCACUAGGCAACAAUGGAGAUUUAUCCUUCCAAACCUCAUCAAUAUACUGAACUAUUAUCAGAGACUCACAAAUGGGCUUUCCAUUGUGGAUCAGAACCGGGAUUUUCUUAUGAACUGGGUUCAUCUCAAGCAGCAGAGGGCUCUUGUUCCUCAAGUCCUCCUGUCUAUAUUCAUACUUGAGGCCCUUCUCUGCCAGGGCAAGUCUGACCCUCAUACCAAACAUGCUAGGCCAGAAAUCCAACAAGAUAAUCUCGUCUGCCAUUGCUACUACUGUGAUCGAUAAGAUUCAAACUCAGUUAUUCAAGUAUUGAUGAACAACACAAGGGAAAUUGUCAGGUAUUUAUAGCAAAUCCCAGGGAGUGGGUUAAAACCUUGGAACUUCUAGGAGGUGGUGGUGCUCAUUGCUUAUCUCAGCAUUCAUUUUCCUUCCAUAUUAUGUUCUCAUCUCAGUUUCGUUUCUCACUCCAGAAUUCCCAUAUGUAUUUUUUUAUUAAAUAUAAUGCUUCCAGAGAGGUCAUUGCUUUGAUCAUUCCACGUCGUUGCUGUCGUCAGCCCAAGUCCAUUAAGUACACUGGUCCAUUCUUGCAUCCUUUUGGGCGGACAAGUCAAACUAUUUUAAACUUUGUGUUUAUUAUAACUCCUUAAAAUUUCUGUGAUGUUUGUAUUUUUAUCUAAGCUCUAAACUUGUUUUUAAAUUCCAAAUCUACUUUAUUUUUACGUAUGAAAAAUAUCUAUAAAAUUAAUUAUUUUAUUUCUUUUUAAAUUAAUUUGCAAUCUAAUAUAUUUUUUUAAACAUUUAAUUAUUAUAAUUUAUCAACAUAAUAAAAUUUUUAUAACAAUUAAUUAUAUAAUCAAUAAAAAAAAUAGUAAUAGGAUAGUAAGUACAAUUUCUAAUUAUAUGUUUAAAAAAUUUUUAAACAUCUUGAAAGUUGUGUGGUUUGAUGACAGUCAAAUACUUGUAAGUGUUUGUAUAAUAUUAAUAAGCAGUUGAUAUGGCUUAAUUUUCUUACAUCAUUAUAUUAUAGCUUCCUAUUAGCGCUNNNNNNNNNNNNNNNNNNNNNNNNNNNNNNNNNNNNNNNNNNNNNNNNNNNNNNNNNNNNNNNNNNNNNNNNNNNNNNNNNNNNNNNNNNNNNNNNNNNNGAAUCUUGUUUGACCUAAACUUCACCACCACAUCCAGGCAGCUUGCUUGGGCUGAGAUUUGGUGCAGGGAUGGGAGCCGAAGUGCUCCUGGAGAUGCAUCUGCAUAGACUGUCUUAUUUAGCUGUGAAUUUGUAAUAUGUAACUCUACUGGCAGCAAAGAUAAACAAUAAUGAUGAUGAUAACAAUGAUAUAAGGAAAAGGGUUCAAACUUCAACUCCCCCUCCAAACACUAAUCCCAUAAAUAUUACUAUACUCAGAUGGUUACAACUUAUUUUCGACACAAUAACAAAAUUAACUGAAAUAAAAUUAUUCUGGGACAUAUUCCUAAAUAAUAGAAAACGUUUACUUCUAGACUUCUUAGUUGAAAGCAAUACAAAAACCCAAAAACAACAAAUCAAUCUUUCAUGUUCUUAACAGUUACUGUUCAAACACUUUUUGUGAUCAAUAAAAUAACAAAAAACAAACAAAAAACAAAUAUGGAAAAUAAAAUAACUGAUUCUACAUCUCCACUGGUUUUAGCUACUAGUCAAACACCUUCUGGACUUGGUUCUGGUUGACAUUGGCAUGUUCCAUUGAGAAAACAGAGUCAGGAACCAGGAAUUUUAAUGCUUACAUCUUCUCAAUUAUAAAACAUGGUGAGUGAAUGAAAGUGAUGUGUCCUGGGCUUGUUCUGAGGGGUAGAUGGUUUGUGAUUAUCACACAGGGACCUUGUUUUAAAUUUGUGACUUAGAGUUUGGUUAUUUGCUAAUAUUUACUUGUGGGGUUGAAGCAAGGAGAAGGUUUGUGCAAAAAUAGGAUUAUCUUCAGUGAUUUUUAUGGGGCUCCAUACUAAUGGAUGGACCUUUUAAUGGACACCUGCACAUGUUCUUUGUUUCAAGAUUGUCAAUGAGAGCUAGCACAUACAUCAUGAAUAUUUAGCAUGGACAAGGUAUCCCUAUAGUAGUAAAGAGCAUACAAUCAAUGCUUGAAAUGUCCAGAUCACGUGCCUAAAAGGAUGGGGCUUACUUGUUGAAUAGGCAGAACUACAAAAAAUCAUGGUCUGAUAAAGAGUUAAGACUGAAUUCAUGAUAGUUGACACUGUUAACGAAAGCAAUAUUUCUAGCAGUCAUUGAUCAGUCAUGACAGUAAAGAUUGCACUAAUAAACUCACACAUUGUUUACAAGGGAACACCUACCUGGGGACAUACCACUUGGAGAGAUAAAACAGCUAGAGUAUGAAAUUUAAACCACACAAAUCCCAAGGUAACAUUUUUUUGACAAACCAUAUGUAUUUUUAAACAAGGAAAAAGGCAAAAUAUUCUACAAAAUUUCCUGCACAAACAAUGGGAAGGGGGCUCCAAAAUGAGUCAAAAAGAUGGUUUUAAUUUCACCAUACACACAUAAAGCAGUUUGUACUUGGCUUGAUACUCAACCUAUAAAAUAAGAUAUAUUUUUUUUAGUCUUCUCUUUUGGAGAAUAUUAAAAAUAGACAGAAAGAUUCAGAUGAAUUAGAUGUCUUCUGCUCCAAGCGUCCAACUAUCUUGGACUUGUUCAACUCUGGAUUCUGUUUCUUUUAUGGAACUCGGUUUCCUCAGAAAGAGGACACUGGGAAAAGACAAGCAAUUAAGAAAUGCAGUAUAUAUCAGAAAAUAUCCAAAGGCAACUGAUAUUAUAUUGUUGUUUUUCAGUAAAUAUCAUUUGUCAACCAAGAAAUGCACCAUCAGUGUAGUGCUACCAGUGCAACCAAGAGGACUGAACUGACACUUAGAUAAGAUUAUCGGAUUAAAUCAAAGAAUAAGCCUAUAUUAAGGUUAAGCAAAACCAUAUCCAAAAUGAGAUUUCAAAAUUUUAUUCCAAGGGCAGAUCGUACAACCGUUCUACUUCCAGAAACACAAACUAAAAGAACAUUAUAGAAUUCAGCAUAUAUGUGGAAUUCAAAAUCAAAUCCAACUUCUUAUAAUAAAAUAAAAUCAGCUAUUGAACAUAAAAAUUUGCAACAGAACAUUAUACCAUAAUAAUAUCAGAAACCAAAUAUUAUCUUUGUUGGCCUUCAACAAUUUGAAACUUUUCCCCAUUCUUAUUUGCAUGAUUUCUAAAACCCACAAUGAUUGGUUUUAUUUUGAAUGUAUUUUACUUAGUUUUAAAGCUGAAGGUAUGUUUUAUUCAUCAUUGGUGUGUUUAAGUGCAAGUGAAGUUCCAAGUUGGUCACUUGUCUUCUUCAUCUUCAAUAUUUGCUUUACAGCAUCUUAUUAGUUUCAUCCUCACCUCUUGCUACCAGAGAUGAAAAAUAAGAUACAAAGGCAUGCCUUACCUCUUGCCUUCAAAAUUACUCAUGUCUCUGUUCCCUCAGGAAGAGCCACCAUCAUCUCAAUCUCUCGUCCAGGCCAUGCCUAUGAAAAAAUGUGAAACUGUAAAAAGAAUUCCAUAAGAUGAAUUUUUAAGGCACAAAAUUUGGAGCUGUUAGUGUAAAGAAUCUAACCAUUGUCACAAACAUGGAAUAAUUCAUUCAAUCAAACACCAGCUUCAACAACUAUGCAUACCUUAGAGUGUAACUACUGAAAACGGAAUGGUAAAAUUAAAAUUUCUGCCCAAACAAAACUAGGGGAAAGAGUAAUAAAAACCAGUUCAAACUUCCAUGACAAACAUAUUGAAGAACAACUAAUAGAUCAAUUUCAUAAUUCUUUGAUCAAUUUGAGCAUUAAGAAUCAGGAGCAACUUAACAAUAUGAAAAGGUCAUAACACACUCAGUUACAAAUAACACCCAGAUAGAAUUUUGGAAAACCAAAUACAAUAUGUAAAAAAGGUUAGAUCAAAUGUCUGCAAUAGCUGGACAUCAAAUCAUACAAAGAUUUAGAUCAGAUAUUUGGAUCAUUGCAGGUAGCACAAUUCCGACUGGCCCCGUUGCAAUGAGAGCAAUGUACAAUUAUCUGUUCUCUAAAUUUGGCCUGAUUCGUUGCCGUCGAGGUCUUCCAAGACAACGUUUUGUAACAGGAGGAUCAAGAGAAACAUGCACAUAACCAUUUGGAUCAUGCACAUUUCCAUUUGAAUGAACUGUUGGCAGAUUCUGAAACUCAAGUGGAUGCAAAGUGCCAGAAUAAACCAUUUCCUGCUUGAACAAAUGAUACCAAUCAUCAACAAAUUCAUAAAUAUCUUGGUUCAUCUUCUGUAUCAUUGCGCAUGCAUGCUCACAUGGGAUGCCCGACAUCUGCCAAGCCAAACAAGUGCAAGUAUGCUGCCUCAAGUCAACACUUAUCUUUGCCUUCCCAUCUGAAAAUGUUUCGCUUUUGGCAAUGUUAUGCAAGAGUUUAUCCUCAGUUUUUGGGCCAAUGGAUCUUUCCCAACUCUGCAUUGUGGUUUUAUGCUCAACUAACAAAGAGGCUAGCAUAUCCAUGUGCUUCUCAAUGAAACUAAAUAUUGUGUGAUGUUGUUCUUCUUUGACCCAAGCACUAAAUGACCCAAAGAUAUUAGUAUUCAUUUUGUCCCAACGCUUUUUAGGGAACUUUGACAUCGCCCAGUGUUCAGGAUUGUUAUCUUCAACCCAUUUGGCCAAGUUAGCAUCAAAUCUCCUUAAGUUCUCCAUUGCACUGUUGUAACCAAUUUCUAACCUUGCAUAUGCAACAGCAUCAAGUAGUUUAAGAGCGUUAUCUUUACCUUCCCUUCCCAUCAUCAACUGGUGGCUAAAGUCCUCCUUUAGAUGACAAUAACAAUAUGCAUGGUUUUCAACUCCAAAAACCUCUGCAACACUACGAAUAAUCGCAUGAUGCCUUCCAGAAAUGAUGACCACCUCCAUUUCACCAACUAACUGCUUUAGCCUCUGUAAGAACCAAAACCAGUUAUAAUAAUUUUCCGAACUCACAAUGGCAUAUGCUAAUGGAAACAUGUCAUCAUCAGCAUCAUAUGCCAAGGCUGAAAACAAAGCACCUUUGUGUGGCCCACUCAAGUUGGAUGAGUUAAUGGAUAUGAUAGGUCGGCAUCCCAUUAAAAACCCAUGCACAAAAUCCAUGUGCAAUGAACAAUUGCAUGAAAUUACCUUCGUCUGAGGAAGUCCAUUCAGCAAUUGUCCCAGAAUUAGUUUCCAUUAACUGCUUACAUAACCAGGGCAGCAACUUAUAUGAAUUGUGUAGAAGACCAAAUAUUCUCUCCUUCGCCUUCUCUUUACAUUUCCAAGCUUGAUUGUAGGUCAAUUUCACUCCAUGCUGCCUUUCAAAAUCUUCACAGAUUUGACGGGGCAGGUAAUCAGGGUUAGCCCUUAUCAUAUCAUCAAUUAGAAGAGCCGCUUUAUUUGGUCGUAAUGCAGGCACUGAUGAAGACUCCUCCUGUGCAGAAUGAUUAUGUUAGUUUUCAAAUGUGUGCACUCUCACAAUUUUGGUAGCCCCAACACCACGAGCAGUUAUCUUCCAAGGACAUCCACCAGCUGUGCAACAUGCAGUCAUGUGCUUUAAAGAAUUCCUCUUGAACUUGUAGUUGAAUCGUCCAGCUAAGGAGGUAAGGUAUAGUGCAUUCCGGAAUUCAUCAGCAUUUGUAAAAAUUUCCCACUACCUGAUAUAGCCUUUCCAAGAGUACUUGAAACUGGAGGAAUUGCUUCUAACUCUAUGCAUCUUGAUGCAACUUCAUGUCUCUGAAUGAUGUUAUCAUCAUUUACACCUUGAGAUGAUGAUGAUGGCGAUGAAAAAUGAUUGUUGUCCACAUUAACACUGCACGAUUAACAUAUUCAUGUAAAGUUAGAAUAAAAAAGGAGGAUAAAAUUUAAUCAUGCUGAUAAGCAAGAUAAUAUGCAGGUGUGACUUACAAAGUGCUUUGUUCAUCUAUUACUCCUUGCUUUACUCCUCCAUUAUGAGCUUCAAAUGCAUAGACUCUUGAGAAACCGUCAUUGAAGAGGACCAUGCUAUAUAUGUCAUCAUCAUCAUCCAAUGGCUGGAGUAAAGAUUUAUCAAACUUCAAGGUGCACUUAAAUGACAGACUAGAUGGGUCAAUUUGGACUUUCUUACUUGCUUUAAAAACAAAUUCAGCAUGUGAGAUUCCUUGAUUAAUACAUAUGCCAUUAGUACAUCCACCUUUAUAAUUGAUGGACCCAUUGUCAGCCUUUAUGAUCUCCCCUCCAAAAUAAAGAUAGCAAUAUAUUGAUAUUACUUUCCAUUUACCUACUAUAAAAUAAUGCAACCAAUCCAUUAGUAUGUGCUAUACUUGUUCAAGCCUUCAAGGUAAAAACUACACUUAAUUUUGGUUCCAACGGUGAAAACUAAGUUCAAAUCAUGUAUAUAAGAAGGUUUAAAACAACACAACAUCCCAAAAAGUCUAAUAUAUGAUAACACUACACCCCAUAAUUUAUACCUUGUGCCUUUUUAGGAACUAAAGUUCCCUAGAAUUGAGGUAAGACGGUACGAAAAUCAAUUGGAAAUGAAAGCAAAGAGAUAGCAUAGAAUUUAAGAGUAGCAUAAAUCAUAAGUAAAUAUUAUUUAUAAUUUUGUUUUUUUUUCGAUAACUGAGGAACCUUCUAUGGCCAAGCCCUUAAGACUCUCCAUGGGGACCCAAACCUUGGGGUGUUGACCACACUCUAACAACCAGCACCAAGUAAAUCAAGGUAUCAUCAGUAGCAAGAUUCAGGGACCACACCUCCCAACAUUCGCCCUGACCAACUGGGCUACUCUGGCAGACUAAAUAUUAUUCAUAAUUUAAAAAGGAAAAAAGAAUCCGAAAGAGAAAACAGUACAAAGUGCCUAUUCUGAUUUGAAGCAGAGAAAAAAAAUGGAAGUUUGACCUUUUUGUUUUCUUAAGAUGUAUAAUAGCGGUUUGACUUCUAAUUCAAAAGUGUUACAAUAGUUAAGAAAGCCUUAAAAUUGCUAAUUGAAGUAGGUUCAUUAUUGUUAUUCAUUUCAAUACAAACAAAAGGUGGUUAAAGGGAUAUUGUAACCAAGUUUUGAACAAGAUAAGAACAAAAGUAAAAUUGUCAUUCUGAAACCAGCCUAGUUUCAACACAGCCAUAUUCCUGCUCUGGUUCACUCUAAUAAAUAAAAUUUCUUGUACAAUGGAACCACAUCUCAUGAGCUAGGGAACAUCUGGUUUGAAGGAAAGAGCUGCAAAUGCUACUUGGUCAUAGCUCUAUUUUAACUAGGUAUCCCUAUUUUUGACUAAUAUAAGGGAUAAAGUAAAAGAGCAUGCACAUGUGGACAAGCGCACACACACAGAGACAGAAAUUUAUAGGAAACUGCAUCAAUUCUACUAGAUUAUUCAUAUUUGAAGAAGGGGAAUGAAGUGUGGUACCAAAGCAAUUCAAUAUGUAAAAGUUUCACAUAUUUCAAUCACAAAAAUAUUUCUACUUCAAUGCAAUUUUUAAGAUGCUAAUAAACUUUCAGAAACCUUAGCAAGUAAUUUGCCAGGCCAAAAGAAGUAAUGAAUUGCAUUUACAUCCAUAUAAUAACAAAACAUCUAAAAAUCAAAGCAACAUCCUAUCUCCAUACAAACUCAUCCAGCUUGUAAUAGCAAUGACGAAGGAAGUUAAAGGAAUUAAAUCAAAUUUAUUAAUUCCGUUGAGAACAUAUAACAAAUGCAUGAGAGAGAGAGAGAGAGUAAAAAAACUUAUUUAAUAAAUGAAACUUUUUAAGGCCAUUAUUUAUUUUUCCCUGAGUAAACAAAAAUUUAGUAGCAUAAAUCAUGGACGGAUGCAUAUGUAUCUAUGUGUAUACAACCAUCAACUAAUAUUUAUCACUUAUCAGCACAAACAAUAAAAAUCUAGAACCAUGAUUCAUACACUCAAAACCCCAAAUCUGCAGGGGAAAAUGAUAGCAAAGCCUGCCAACUUUGUCUCCGGAUGAAACUCCUGAUAGAUUGCAACUUUUAGCAUACAUCUGUAUGAAGGCCCAAAAGAAAUAAUAUAAAAUCGAGUCCAUCGAUAAGGUAACAUGUCACAUAUGAAUCAAUCCCUUGAAAGUUAUACAUGGGACAAAUUUCAAAAUUCAUUCAUUUCUUGUAGCUACAAUUUGAACAAAAACUCGGGUUUCAUCUACUUGAUUCAGUAAAUACAACAAUAUUUAUAUCUCACAUGGGUCAAUGCAGUUUAAAACAUAUUUCUUAACCAUUAAAUUGCUUUGGGGUUCUGUUAUACAUACUUCAACAAAACUUUGUCUUAAAAAAUUUCUAACUCGUACUUUGUACACAGAAUAUAUGGUUACUUCAUUCUUUAUAUAGCCAAGAAGUAUUGUAGACAAACUAUAGCAGAUACAGCAUUAUUUUUAUGCAAUUAACUAGAUACAAUAAUUUAUAUUAAGCAGAAAGCCAUGGUCACCAAAAAGAGGGGACCAAAGAAAGAAUUAGGUCUCUAAAAUUACAGGCGAAAUUGCAUAAAACUUAAUGAAGUUCCUGAAAGGACGAAAUCGUGGCGAAAUUGUUACUGUGAUAAAUCACAUAAAUUAGGAAAUCAAACACCUCACAGGAACAACAAAUCUACCAAAAAGAGCAGAGCCAAAUAGUGAAAUUGAUAAUCUUUAUCAUUCAUUUUUUCAGUAGAAUUGAAGCUCUCACUACAAAAUUUUCCCUGAAGUUUGAUGGAAUUAAAGUCCCUGAAACUGGCAACAUUUUAGCAAAUGAAGCCUCCUCACGAAGACAAAAUGCACAACGAGGGUGUCUUUGAACUCGAAACAAAUUGAAGGCUAAAAAGAACAUAAAAAAUUACAGGGCCCUUCAAAAUCAUUAAAAAAAAAUUAUAUUAAAAUAGAAUCCAGUCCACAGCUGAUAAUGUACGAUAUUGGGCUGUUUGGAUGGUGAGAAGGUUAAAUAAAUAGGUGUUGGAACAUUUACCUAUAAGAGAAAGAAAAUGGGUAAACUUGGGUGACGGGCCUAGAGCCUCCUUUCAUUCAUGGUGUUUGAGUUAAGAAAUUUCUGAGGACUGUCGGAGAUUUUCCGAAAUUUUCCCGCCUUUAGGGUUCUGCUUUACAUGCAGGAGAGGUGAGAGGGUGCACGGAUGUCUAGUGUGGUGCAAAAUCCAGCAGCACUAUGCGUGUGUUGCGUUUUUGCUAAUUAAUAUAAUUAUUUUUUAUUCAAUAUUCAUAAAAAGUAAUAAAGGAAAAAAAUAUCAAUCCAAAACUACCCUACUCGCUCUUAUUUUAACCCAAAGUUUGAAAUCCAACAAAAUUGAUGUCAAAGUAUAAUUUGAAUACAAAAGUCAUUUUUACUAAAAUUAUUAUUAUUAUUUUAAAUAAUGUUAGAUUAGGUUUGACAGUGAUUUUAUAAAAUAUUUAUAAUCUUUUUAAUACUUUAAAAGAUAAAAUUUUUUUAAGUGUUACAAAGUUCAGAAACACUUCCUAAGAUUACUAUCAAACGCAUUUUUAAUAUCUAUGCUUGUUCCAUAUGGUAUAAGUGUCACAUUUUUUUUUUCUUUUUUAUAAAUUAUAAUUAAAAUAGUAAAAAGAAAAUCUUUGUUACUUCUAAUAGAGAUUAGAUAUUGAAAUAUUAAGUAUGUUUGUUAAUCUCUCAAUUUAUUUAGAACACAAAAAAAAAACAUGUUUAAUAAUAUAAAAUAGAAAACAUCAUGGUAUUUUUUGAGAAUAUCUUUUGGUUAUAUUCAAUUUUUUUCAUUAUUUGAUGAGAAUUGUUUUAAAAAAUAAUUAUACAAAUAUAAAAAAAAUGACUAAAGAUAAAAUAUUAUAAAUAAAAAUUAUUUUAAAACAUUUGAAGUUUUCAAAUAAAUUUUUAUUUUACAAAAUAUCAAAAAAUUAUUUUCAAAUUAUUUUCGAAAACACCUUGUAGAUAGUUUUUAUAACAAAGCUUUUUUUUUUUAUGCCUAAUGAAUACAGACAUUUGAAAAGGAAAAAAAAAAACUAUACAGUACUCAAUUUUUGUGAGAGUAGAGUUUGAGGUUAAAAUACCAUUUAAUUUAUUUAUUAAAACUAGUAAAAUCAAUUAUUAUUUUUAAAAAAAAAUUAAAAAAAUAUUUAUUUGAUAAUAUUAUAAUAAUUAAUUAAAAAAAAUUGUAAGAUAUUUAUUUUAAACAAAAUAUUUAUUUAACAUACAUGGUCACUAAUGUUGGACACCUUCCCACUUAGUAGAGUAACCUAGAAUAUUAAUACAUUAUAAUGAGAGUAGAUGAUAAAAAAAUUUGCAAAAGGAACUCAAAAUAAGUGACUUUCUACUACAAAGGGUGCUCAACAACAAGAGAAACCCAAAAGAUGGAAAACUAGGGCUAAAUUAUGAAGACUCUAUCAAAUCUACCAUGAAGCUGGAAUUUGCCUUUUCAAAAUUCAAUCCAUUCAAGGGCAACAACUCAAUUGCUCAUGAAAUGUUAUUGAAUUCAAAGACAUUAUUCAUUGAAGUAGUGAAAAAUACAUUGUUGAUCUAUGUAUCCCAAAUAUUAAGUGAUGGGAAGUAGUGAAAGUGCAUUGUUGAUCUAUGUUACCCCCAAAAAAUAAGUUGACCAUCACCUAGGAACUUUGGAGUCCUUAAUAAGAGCAUUAUGUCACAGACUUAGUCUUUUCCUAAGCUUGUGCAACACUUAGACAAGUCAAGACACUUGAUCUUGCUAAGUCAGCCUAUCUCCUAAUGUUUAGCUUGCUAGGCUAAGAUGCUCACGACUCGGAAGCUUGAGAAGGCGUAGUAGGCAACUCUUAAAGAAUGGAAGUUGUUAUUACUCAAGGAAACCUUUACAAGUGCUUUUGGGAACUCACUUGCUUGGUUAGGAAGUGAUUUGGGUGGUCCAUUGGCCAAAUGAGGCCCUCACCUAUUUAUAGGCACCAAUGGAACUCUCUGGAACCUUGGAGGGUUCCUUACAAAUUAAGAAGAUUCUAGAAUACCCUACACAAUUCUAUGUACAACCCUAUGUACAAGAGAUCUCUAGAAUUCUUUAGAAAGCCUUGGACUCCUCUCAUGCCUUCCACCAUAGUGUAGAGAUGUGUGGACAUCUAUAGGCAUCUCUAGAACCUUCCACACUCUUCCCUCUAAUAGCUUAGUGUAGAUGGCUCCAAGAGUCUCUAGAAGCUUCUUGGGCUCUAUAUAAAUCCAUGAGGAGGCUCAUUUGAAGCAUCCUAUGACACUCUCCCCAUCCUAUUCCGUUGACGUCUUUUUUGUUGCCUCUUUCUGAAACCUCUCGAUGUGUUUCCAGAACCUUCUCAAGGCAUCCGCAUAUUCCCAGCUUACAUGCCUCCUAGGUAGUCCUUUCCAUCGGACUAGAUACUCUAUCACAGGAGGGACCCUUAUUCUCCUGGUGACCCAUUCAACCAGGAUAUUUUUCACCUCCUUUUCUUGUGAGGCCUCGGAUGGAUGCAGAUCCUUGCACUUUCGAUGCUUGGAGUGCUGCUUCCUCUUACCCAUCAAGUUCACCUUUCCCUUGGUGACCUUGUCGAUGUAUGUGCGGGCUACCUUAGCUUGCUCCCCUUUUGCCUCCUUUACUUGCACCCUUGAUAGUAAGGAGGUCUUAGGCGUACUAGACUUUGGGUUGAAUUGGAGGGCACCUAGUAACUGCAUCAAGCCCAUAUGUGCUUCGUCCUCCUGUUCCCUCUCCUUGAUCAUGGCAUUGAGCGCCUUUCUCUUUGGACAAUCCCGUGCCCAAUGUGGAUCGUCACAUAGGAAGCAUUUGAUUUUAGGCGUAAACUCCUUCCUUUCCACCUUACCCCUUCCUUCUCGAACAUUAAGCGUCUUGCCUAAUCCCAUUCUAAGAGCAUUGUGGUCCCUUGAGACCUCAUCUCCCCCACCCGUGGCGUGGCUAUCCUCCAAAGACUCAACCUUGGAGGAGUCUCCCCUUUUGUAGUCCGUUAAAGACUCUGCUACUGCCAUAGUAGUGGCUAAGUCUUGAACACCUCGACGCCUUAAUUCCUGCUCGGCCCAUUCUUGUAGGUUAUCCAUGAAGUUGAAUAGCAACUCCUUCUUAGUCAUAUUAGGAAUCUCAAGCAUGAGUGAAGAGAAUUCCUUAACAUAGUCUCAUAUCGAGCCUAUAUGCUUGAGACGCCUCAUGUUUUUCCUAGCCAAGUAGGCCACGUCCUCAGGGUAGAAUUGCCUUUUGAUUUCCCUCUUGAAGUCUUCCCACGUCUCUAUGGUGCAAAUGUCUUUCUCCAUAUCGGCAAACCUCUAAUGCCACCAUAGAGUAGUUGUGUUAGUGAGGUAGAGGGUUGCAAUCCUUACCUUAGCCGCCUUAUUAUUUAGUGCGAUAGCCUUGAAGUAUUGCUCCAUAUGCCAUAAGAAGUUGUCCAACUCCUUAGCAUCCCGCUUGCCACUAAACCAUUGUGGCUUCAACACCUCCACCCUAGAUGCCUCUUAGGUGGCCAUGACUUGUGCCAACACAACAGCCUUAUAGAUGGCCAACUCCUGCCUAACCUCAUGGUCUUGGGACUCCAUUCAAGUGGCCAAGGCCUUUAUCCUUGACUCCAUGUUAGCAAGCAUGCUAAAGACCUUUUCUUGGAAAGACAUGAACUCCUCAUGUGACACCGGUUGAACUUGUGAGCCUAGCACCCCCUCACGAAGGUCUUAGAUAUGCUCCCUUAGAUCCUCAAUACCCUUCUCCAUGCCUUGCUCGAUCAAGUCCACCCCUUCCCGGGUGUCUGCCAUGGCUAGCUCCACCUUGGCUAGCCUUGCCUCCAUGUUGGCUAUGGCAUCACGAGACUUAUCCUUCCUGCCCUUGCCCCGUGCAGUAGGCUCGAUCUCCCUUCCACGGGUUUGCUCGCUAGUCUCCUCCAUGUUAGAGCCCAACAUGCUUUCUUUACUAUGCUCGUUUCAUAGCCGCGCUCUAGUAUCACUUGUCACAGACUUAGUCUUUUCCUAAGCUUGUGCAACACUUAGACAAGUCAAGACACUUGAUCUUGCCAAGUCAGCCUGUCUCCUAAUGUUUAGCUUGCUAAGCUAAGAUGCUCACGACUCGGAAGCUUGAGAAGGCGUAGUAGGCAACUCUUAAAGAAUGGAAGUUGUUAUUACUCAAGGAAGCCUUUACAAGUGCUUUUGGGAACUCACUUGCUUGGUUAGGAAGUGAUUUGGGUGGUCCCUUGGCCAAAUGAGGCCCUCACCUAUUUAUAGGCACCAAUGGAACUCUCUGGAACCUUGGAGGGUUCCUUACAAAUUAAGAAGAUUCUAGAAUACCCUACACAAUUCUAUGUACAACCCUAUGUACAAGAGAUCUCUAGAAUUCUCUAGAAAGCCUUGGACUCCUCUCAUGCCUUCCACCAUAGUGUAGAGAUGUGUGGACAUCUAUAGGCAUCUCUAGAACCUUCCACACUCUUCCCUCCAAUAGCUUAGUGUAGAUGGCUCCAAGAGUCUCCAGAAGCUUCUUGGGCUCUAUAUAAAUCCAUGAGAAGGCUCAUUUGAAGCAUCCUAUGACAAAUAGCUCAAAAUAAAAGAGGAAAUCCAAGUAUUGAAAAAAAGGUUAGUUUUCUAAAUGUAGUUGACAUCAUUUGAUAAGGUAGUGCCUUAAAAUUAUGCUAGUUCUAAAUAAUUUGAGAGGGCAUAUGCUCUAAAAAUGCAAAUGAUCUAAAUAUAGGAAGAGAAAUCCAAUGAGAAAAAGAAAAAGAAAGAAGACCGUUAUCAAAAGGAAUUUUGGAAUUCAUGAUAAAAAAAAAAGAAGGAAAGUGGCCUACUCACGUAAUCCAUUAUGCAACUCUACUAUGCCUACCUAUGGUCCACUAUAUUUGAUGCUAUUAUAGUUAAGUUAACCCUUGACACUACUAUAAUUGAGUUUGCUAUUGACAUUGUUGCAACUAAGUUCACUAUAUUACAACCAUACUCACUAUUAUAGUCUUCUUACAAACAUACUCAUUAUCCGUACAUCUUUCGAAGGAACCCUUCAAGAUCUCAACUCUUUUACCUAUUAAGUGUAUCUUAAAUGAGCCUUCUAACUAUUGAAUUUUGAAGGUAAGACAUUAAUUCUCUACAACAUCAUCGAGAUUCAUCUCCAAUAAGGGUGGAUCUACCUUAAGAAUAGUGUUUUCAUCAUGGAUCUACUUUAAGAAUAGUAUUUUCAUCAGACCUUAAUAAUUCUAAUAUGAUAAGUACCUAAAUUCCCUUUUGUUAUUUCAUUAUUUGUUGAUGUUUUGUGUUCAACUUAGUUUAGACUUAGUUUCAACCUUCUAGAAUAUUUAAAAACAACCACGGUUGAAAAUUUCUCUUUUUUUGUUGAAAUUUCGAUGAAAUAUCGGUUUCGGCGAUCGGCGAUACGAAAGAAGGGAGCGAAAUGUCGAUGGAGAAAUUUCAGCAAAUUUUGGUUAAAAUCGUCGAAAAAUUGGCUCAUAGCGAAAUUUCGACGAUUUUUCUUAACUUUUUCGAUUGGUCAACACGGGUUAACAUGCUACAGUGCUUCUGUUACAGUGAAAUGCUACAAUAUGCCAUUACAGUGAAAGCUUGAUAAAAAUCCAAAAUGCUAUAGUGUGCUACUAUAGUGAAAGCUUGAUAAAAAUCCCUUUUAGUUUGUUGUUGGGGAGACAAAAGCUUCAAUUGAGGUGUGGUGAACCAUUAGGGCAAGUAUGCCCUUUGUUAAAUAUGUUGCACCAAACAUAUUUAUAUUAAAAGUCAUCAAAUAAACAAAAUAUUAAAAGAACAUUUUAAAUAACAAAUUAAUUAUAAUUAUUUGGGAAAAUUGUGUUUUGGGCCUAGCUAGGCCCAAAAAUUAAUGUAUGGUCCAUAUAAGUUUCAUAUUUAAGCCCAACACCCAAUAAAAGAGUGGAAAUUGAGAGUAAGGAUAUUGUCUUUAAAAAAUCCCUAAAAUACCCUUGACUAUUAAAUGAAAAAACUAACCAAUCACCUCACCUUUCUCAUUCUCUCUUUGACUUUUUUGCCCUUCUCUCACCUAUUUAAUAGUGGAACCAACUUGAAUAAUUUUUCUUCAUCAAAUAUGAAAGAUGGUUAAAAAUUAUUAUUACCAAAUGUAUUUUUGAAGUGAAUAACUUUUAAAUACCUUAUCAAAUAUUAUUCUUUUUUUCAAACUUACAUAAUAUAUAAUAAAUAUCAUUCUUUAUUUCAAACCUAUAUUAUUUCUUUAUGUAUAUUAAAUAAUUUUUAAACACCUAAAAUAUUAGUAUUAUUUGUUUACUCUAACUUGUAAAUUAGAUAUUAUCAAAUAUUAUAUUUUUUCAAAUUUAUAGAACAUAUAAUAAAUACUUUUUAAAUACCUCAUAGAAUAUUAUUAAUUUUUUUUUCUAACUUGCAAAUUAGACACAUGGUGUUUAUUAUUAUUUUGAAUAUAAUGUAAAUACUCACAUGCAUAUAUAUAUAUAUUAAUCAAGAAGACAAUAUUUAUAAGACUAAUUUACCAACCUUCCAAUAAUUUUGAAAAUGUAAAUAGAGUAAUUGUCCGAAUUAAAGUCUUCAAAAAUAUUCAAAAUUUCUCCAUUCCAAAAUUACCUAAUUGCUCUCCACACUAAUCCUAAAUAUUUUUGAAUAAAGAUUUAAAUAUUUAAAACCAUUAAAAUAAAUACUUUCUUAUUAAAGCAAUUUUUUCAAAGUAAUAAGAUAAAAAUCAUGAAAUCUUCAAAACUAUAAUUACAACAAAUAUUUUUAACUUUAAAACUAAUUUCAUAAUUUAAAUUAAUGAUUUUAAAAAAUAAAAAUGUUAUAAAAAUAAUUUUUUUAUUUUUAAUGCCAUUUAAAUAUGAUUUUUUUAAUCUCUAUUGAUAACAAUGAAAUUAUAUUUACAAAGGCAAAAUAGUAAAAAUAUAUAUUUCAUUUAGUUUACUUAUAAUGAACAAUUCAAACAUGAAUGAUUUUAAUUUUAUUUCCUAAGUGUUAAUUUUUGUAGAGAAUGUCUUAAUGACAUAGUUUGGUAAAAAAAGAAAAACAAAAUUAUCAAUAAUCGUCUUAAUGUCAAAUUCAAGUUAUUUAAAAAUCGUAUAAAACCUAUUAGAAGUCUUGUACACCCUUGUACACUUAGCACAUUUCCCUUGUACAGUUAGUGUAAUAUCCUUGUACAGUUAGUGUAAUACCCUUGUACAAUGACACAAAUUUCAUAUAUCUCCUAAUUUAUAUAUCCAUGUAGGUGUAUUAAUCAUAUUUUCAAUGGUUUGGUUGAGAAAAUGGUGGAUGACUUAGGGUCAAAUUUUUUCCCCAAAUAUCAUUAUUGGGAAAAAUAUUAGAAUUUUCAUGUAAGAAUUAAAUAAAGUGCAUGACAUAGGUGUACAAUCAUUGGGUGACAAGGAAAAUAAAAAAGUAGUUUAGAGUCAAUUAAAAUCAUUCACAAAGGGUAAUAUUGUACACUUUUGUACAAUUAGUACAUUUCCCUUGUACAGUUAGUGUAAUACCCUUGUAUAAUGACACAAAUUUUAUAUCCCUCCUAAGUUAUGUGUCCACGUAGGAGUGUUUAACCAUAUUUUCAAUGAUUUAGUUGAGAAGAUGGUAGAUGAUUUAAGGUCAAAAUUUUUUUUCUCCAAAUAUUAUUAUUAUGGAAAAUAUUGGAAUUUCCAUGCGGGAAUUAAAUAAAGUGCAUGACAUAUAUGUACAAUUCAUGAGUGAUAAAAAAAUAAAAAUAAAGGAAUGACUCAUAAUCGAUUAUAAUAUUUCACAAAGGGUACCCUUGUACACCUUUGUACAGUUAGCACAUUUCUCUUAUACAGUUAGUGUAAUACAAUUGUACAGUGACGCAAUAAAUAAAUAAAUAAAAUUUAUUACUUUUUUAUUUUCAUAUAAAAAAAAUAGUACUAAACAAGGUUUUCAAUUUCAUUUUAAAAAAUAGUUUUCAUUUUUUAAUUAAAAAUAUUUUCAAAAGGAGACAAUAUAGAAAAUAAAAAUUAUUUUUAAAAAUAAAAAAUAAAAACUAGAAAAAUAUUUUAAAACCAAACUCAAAUAUAAUCUAUAUAAUAAUAAACAAAUUUGUAACAUUUCAUAUAACUUAUUACUAAAAAUCAUGUUCAAAAAGUUAUUAAAAUAAGGAAGAAAGAAGAUUAAAAAAAAAAUAAACAUUUUAUUUUAUAAUAGUAAAAAAAAACUUUAAAAUACAUUUUAAUAUAAAAAAAAUUAAAAUAGUGAAUAUAUUUAUUUUAAAUAGUUUUUUAUUCAUUAAAUUAUUUACUUCUAAAAUAUAAAAGACAAAAAUAAAUGUAAAAUGUAAUUUUUAUUUAUUUAAAUUAAUAUUUUUUUAGAAAGUAUUUUUCAAAAUAGUCUUUGAAUCAUUAAUAUAAUUUUUUUAUUUAUAAUUUAAAAAUAAAAAAAUAAUUUUGAUUUUUCAAUUAUUUAUAAAAGAGUUUAAAAAAAUAAUGAAAAAUCCAAAAAUGAUUAAAUAAGAAAGAAUAGUGGCAUGUGAAGAGUGGUAGAAUAAAGACAAAAAUGAGUCAAGUGGGUAUUUUUGUCUAUUCCUAUCUCAUAUCCUUGAAAUCAAUUAUAGGUGUUUGAAGGACUCUUUAUUAAUUACCAAAGCCAAAUGGGUCUAAAGCCCAAUUCUCCCUAAUUAUUUUAUAAUUAAAUAAAAUUUUUUCAUUUAAUUGAUUACCAAAAAUAUAAAAUUAUUAUGAUAAUUUUCUUCAUAGUGUUUUUAAUAUCAUUAAUAAAUUAAUUAAAUAUUAAAAAGUUAUACAUAUAUCACAAUUCAUUUUAUAUAAUUUAAUACAAUUGAAUUAAAUGAAUCAUAAUUUUAAUAUUAAAUAUAUUUUAAAAUUAGGCAUAUUAUAAUCAAAUAUCACAAUAUUAUUAUGAAAUAAUAUUUGAUAUAAUUUAAUAAUAAAUGUACACUUAUCAAAUUCUUCAGCAAAACAAUUUUGAAAUGUCUAUUAUAUUUCUAAUUACAUUUUUAUAAGGUUUUUCUUACAUUCCUAUGAAUUUUGAUUAAUUUUAGGUCUAUCGAUAUUUUUUUUUCCAAAAUAUCUGUCGAUAUAUCUCUGAUAUAUCCGUAAUUACCAAUAUUUUUAUCCUUAAAAACAACACAACACCACUUGUACCAAAGGCAUAACACCCACUAAAUUUAGUUAAGUCAUUGAGGGACCCCCAAUUACUUUGAAAGAUUGGAAUGACACGUGGAACCACUUAUAUUCCAUGGAUUUCUUAUGUUAAUGGGAUUUUUUAAAAUUUUUAUUUGGUAAUUGUUGUGAGUAUUAAGUGGUAAGGUAUGACAAAUUUGAUGAGGACAUUCUUUACAUUUAGAGAUCCUAGCAUAUGGGUUCAAUUUGUCUUACUCUUCAUUAAGAAUUAACUUUCAAGGAAAUGUAGUUAAGGAUAUCAAAUGGAGGUAUUCUACAUCAAUUUUGAUCUAAAAAUUUAAGGUUCUAGUCAGGCUGAGCUUUUACCUAAAAUUAUUUAAAAACGUUUUAGGAUCAUGAAAUUAUCAAAAAGUUUAAGCUUUACUUUGAUUAUGACCAUCAUUACAAGUAAUUAUAUAGUACAUGUCUUUCAAAAUUUGUGAUAAAUCAAUAUUUCUUGAAUAUGUUUAUUAUAUUUGCUUCUUAUUAAAAUGCAUUAUAUAUAUAUAUAUAUAUAUAUUAUUUGAAUGUUUUGCUCAAAACUAGAUUUUUCUUUGGAUAUUGGUACUUAGGUAGUUAAUUAACUUCUUGUUAAAUCUUGUAAAUGGCAUGAUUAUGAAUGAUGAAUGUAUUUACUUUUAACGUUAUAAUACACCCUAGACCAAAUUUUUAUGAGACGAGGUACAAUUGGCAUCCAAAUAACCUAGUUAAUGUGCCAUGUGAAAAAAGGGUUGCAACACUAGCAAGUAGCUAAUAUAUAAUGUGAAUGUGCUUAGUAUCAUGUGAGGAAGGACACUCUUAUUGAAUUGCCAUGUGAUCAAUUAUGUUGAUGGCUAUGAUGAUGGGCACAUAUCAUUAUGUGUAUGAUAAUUUUUUUUAAUGUAACUAUGAUUUUUGAAGAUUUGAUUAGGCUAAUUAAUUUGAGAAGUUAAGGACACAAGUCCAUGAAAACCAAAAACUCACUAUUCACCUUAGCACUAUUUAUCAAGCUUAGAUUUACAAUUACAAGAGAAUUAUACAUUAUUAAUACGAUAAUGAUAUUUAAUGUCAUCAAUCUUCACUUAAUUAGAAUGAUUAAAGGUUGUUUACAUAGACUUCUUGUUUUUUAUUUUAAAAUUUGAGAUGGUACACUUUUUCUAUAUCUUAAUUUUUAAAAAUUCAUUAUCCUUUUAAGCUAAAUUUUUAAAAAUUCUUUGAUUUUAUAUUUCAUUUGUUUUAUGAAAGUAAAAAACAAGAAAUGCAUCCAAAUAACAUAUUUAUUAUUCACUCAUAACUGUUCUUUCCCAAAGUAUUAAAAAAAUUUGGAUUCACUAGAAUCAAUAAAUAUGGUAUUUUAAUCGUAAAUUUCAUAGGUCUUGAAUCAAUUUUUAAAGUAAUCAAUGAAUUAAAAUAACAAUGAAUUCAUUGCAAACUCAAGUCAAUGCUUAAUUAACCUCAAUUUGAAUAAUUAUUUUGAAUAUAUUUAAAUGAGUCACAAAAUUCUAAUAGCAAGUACAAACAGACCAUCAUCAAGUUGAAUGUAUUCAAGCCAAACAACCUCCAAACUUCCUUUCUCUUCUUAAUCUAUUUUAGAAUCUAAGGAAGAUAACAUUUCAUUAAUCUAUUUCAGGAACCCCAAAAUAUUGAAGAGUGAAAAUAUGCUUGCUUUCUUAGCAAAUACUGAAUCCUAAAUCUAUGCAUAUCUUAACUACAAAAGAUUUUAUUAGUGCUUUAAAUAAUCUUAAUUGCCAUAUAUUUAGAUUGUGAUGUUAUAUCAUUCAUCUUUUGUUUAUUAUCUUCCUCUCUGAUUUAAAUUACUUAUUAUUUUUAGCAAUUUUUUUUACAAUUAAUUUUCAUUUUUAUUAUCGAAAAAAUAAAGUAUUUUUAUUUUAAUACAAUGAGAGUAAAGUUCCCAUACUAAAAAAGUCUACAUAAACUUUAGGUAUACUGGACUCUUAGAAAGGCCUCUAUAUAAAUGCUUAGCCCAUCACUCUUAUUUUCUUGCCUCUAAAUUGCCAUGGAUGUAGGGCAUAGGAAGCCACAAGAAGCUAUUGGAGAUGGAGAAAACAAGACUUCUUCCUAGAAGAGUCUUUUUAGGACAUGACUUCAUACAUAAAUAUAGUAUCCUAGGCAUUUUUAGACUUAAGGACUGCCUUUUGGAUUGAUCAAUCGAGACAAGUGAGAUUCACCUUCUCCAAGAGAAGAGCGAGACCACCAUGAAAAGGCAUCUCACUUGGUGGGACUUGGUGUGGAUAAGGUUUAGAUCAGUCGUAGGGUUUUGCAUAUUCAUCAUCACUUGUUAGGAAGCUUGUAAUAGUGUAAGACUCGCCAUAUAUAGUAUUAUCUUAUGUCGCUUUGGGUCUCUCAUAUCGCUUUCCCUACUUUAUUACACAUAAUUCACAGUUGAAAUACCAGUCGUAAGAGAUCCUUUCUUUUAUCUUGAGUAGAAUUAAGUGAUUUUGUUACUGUAGAGAACCUUAAAUUACUUCAUUCCCUGUCCUAGUAUUAGGUUAGGUGCAUAUUCCUAAUACUCUAGAUCUAAGCACAAUGGAAACAUGGCAUUAAAAAACAAUAAUAAAUAUAGAUCUAAAGAUAGUGAAUCUUUACCUAAGAUUUAGAUAUUCCCAGACUGAUUCCUGUUGAUGUGAAAAACUCUAAAUCCAUAGAAGAUCCUGUAAACCCCCAAUCUCCCACCCUACUACUCUUCCUUGAAGCUUGAUACUCAGAUGGUAGAAGUCUCUAGAAAGAAGAAUGGUGGUAGAAGAUUGAAGCCUUAACCUAUAAGGGGUAUUUACAUGGUUCAUAUUGGGUUUAAGUAAUUUGAACCCAUUUUAAGCUUGAGUCACUUAAUCUAACCCAAAAAGGUCUUAAUUGAUUAAUUAAACCAUUAAAUAUUUAAUUAAUCAAUUAGCCCAUUUCAAAUAUGUCGUCUACUUAUUCCUAUGCAACCUUAUGUAAUUACCAAUAUGCCCUUAUGCACAUAGGUGAACUAAGAGCUGAUCCAACCCUCAUAAGUUGUGUUAUCAAGGUUAUGAACUUAAAUUAGGGACUAUUGGAACCCAUAGAAUAGUAUUUUCAUGGCUCUCUUAGAAUCAUACUUUAAAGUUGACUCAACAUCUCACUACAAUGAGUCAACUGCAAUCCUAUACCCCAUGUAUAGUAUAAUGAGAUACUAUAUGCUUGGGUUCGUGACCUACCAUCCACUAUAUAUGGUUUCCCCAUUAAUUGAUAUCUGUAAUCUAACAAGGUGAAAGUUAUUAACUUCUCAAAAUUACCUCUACUAUCCUUCAUUUAGAAGUCCUCAUAUUAUGUGAUCAACUAACAUGUCUUAACUCAUAAAGAGCUCAAGUUCCAAUUAAAGAACUACUAUGGUCAUAGUUGAUCUAAACGCAUGUCCUUAGGAUAACCCAAGGCAACACACUAUCUCAAUCCUAUGAGAUAUCAUGGUGCCUUAUUGAGAAUAUUGGUCGCUAUUGACUUAUAUCAAUUGUGACCUAAUCCCUAAGGAAUGUAUGAUUAUUUUAGGAUCUCAUCUAUAGGUUCAAGCAUAUGCUAACAGUGAUACCGACUCAAUAUUCUUUUCAAGUUGAGAUAAAUACAAUACAAUACAACAACUUAAUGAAAUUAUAACUACUAGAUAGCCUUAUGUUAUAACUCAUCGUAGGCUCUGUCCAAUAUAUAAUCUAUACACACUAAUGCACUCGUCAUAGGAACCACAUCCCGUUGACUAAGACUAAUCAUCCCUUUAAUUAGGAGGUAGUACACUACAACUUCAAAUAGAUUGCCUAAGUUCACAAAUUGAUUGUGAACAAAUCAUUUACUUGCAACAAGCUCAUGACUUGGAUCUUCUGUACAACUUUUAAUGCACCUAAGUCAUGUACAAUAUAUGAGAUGCAAGUCAAAACACUUAUAAAGAAUAAUGAAUGGAAUAAGGAUAGAUGAAAGUGCAACUGAAAUAUAAUAUAAAUAAAUAGUCAAUUCUAAAGUUUGUUACAUCAUGUAAUGCUUUGAAGGGCUCUAUCUUAAUAGUUGGGUUCAUUAUAGCUAGGAACAUUCUCUUAGACGCCAUUCUUGGGGCAACUAGGUGGGUGAUUAUUAAUCAUUUGUUGCUCACAUGCAGUAACCUUUAUAUUAUCAUGUAUUGCUUUAUUUUUUACUAUUGAUAAUGAUGUUAGUUGAUUGAGGUUUGUAAACCUCAAGUCAGUUGUGUGAGGCUUUACCUUUUAUUUGGAUCAUGAUCUUAUAUUGAGCAUGCUUAUUUUUUAAUACAAGGUUAUAAUAGUUUUAGGUUAUGUUUGGAAACUGUCUUUGGUUAGUGCAUUGAUAUUGAUGGGAGUGUUGAAAGUGGAAGUAGGCUAGAAGGUUGAACCACAAUAAAUCUUAGUGUUAUGUAAUUAAUUUUGUUGAAAUUGUUUUAAUUGCAUUUGGGAGCUUUCUUCAUAUUAUACUUUAGAUUAGCCCUAGGCUCUGGCUUCAAGAGAAAAAGACCUCUUCUUUUGUACUCUAUCUACCAAUGUGGCUUAUUGCACAUCUACUUCAAAAAACUCUAACCAUAGUUCAAAUUCAUAAUCAUAUAUAGAACAUAAUAGAUGAAUAUUAUUUAUUGGUAUUGCUAUUAUUAUUCCUUCCACAUUAUUAUUAUUAUUAUUAUUAAGCAUUUACAAUAUCAAUUCAUAAGCAUGUCCAUGGUUUUGCAUUUUCAUUCCAUGCAUUGGAAAUGAUAAAUCAACUUUCCUUAAUCUUUCAUUUUGUUUCACAUUUUAUUGGAUUGAAAAAUAUGUUAAUUUGAGCAUGGACUUAUUUAUUUAUUUAUUUAUUUUUUUUGCAUUUCUUAUUAAAAAUCUUGUAAAGAUAAAUAGCUAUCUGAAGUAAUAUUUAAGAAAAAAAAAAGAGAAAAAAAAAAAGCAUUCUUCCUUAUGAAUAUUAUAUACCUCUUUAACUUCUUCUCAAGAUUAUAUUCAUAUCUUUUUUAACUCAAUCAUAAAGGAAAAGUUGACUCCACUCUAAAUAUCUAUCAAUCAUAUGAGGAAAAAUUGACUAUGAUGAUGAAAAUCAUAGCUAAAUAUCCAAAAAUUACAUUAUUAACUUGCAAAAUUUAUCGUGCACUCACUAAAUUUUUUAAACAUUGAAAAUGUUAAUUUCAUGGUGUUAUCCUAUUUAAUUAAUUAACUAUUUCAUCAUAUAAACUUCUUAAAUAUAGAAAGAAGAUCAUUUCCUACCAUUAUCCUACUUAAGUACCAUAAUUUUUUAUCCUAUAAUCUUUUUUAAACAUAAUAAUCGCAUGGCGCUGUCCUAUUUAAUUAGACCACCAUUAAGCUGCCCAACAUCUCAUUCCUUUCAUUUCUAUCUUCUGAAAUAUUUUUUGUUCAUAAAGAUUUUUGGCCAUGUAGAAGAAGCGAGCCAAAAGCCAUGAAAAGGUUGAGAUGAGAAAGAUGAAUAAUGAAGAAGAUCGCCUUGUUUCCUUCUUGAAGCAUAGAUCUGGGAUCUACAGAAAGGCAAGUGAGCUUUUUACCCUUUGUGGUACAGAAGUUGGUAUUUUAGCUUUCUCCCCAAAUGGGGAGCCAUUCUCAUUUGGUCAUUGAUGCGACUCAUGGUAGCUUAGCUUUAAAGGCGUAUCAACAAAAUUUAUACCUUGAAUACUAUUACUAAAGUAGCCAAGCUACUAUAGCAUAGUGGUUCUAGGAUCAUUCACUGGGAAGGGUUUUCGCAAACACAAGUGAUAUUCAAAUUAGGAAAAUAGGUGAUUUUCUUAUGGAUGUUAGCUUAAAAAGAAGAUGUAAAUGUUUUAGAAAGAUUUAAACUAAUCUAAGCUAACAUUAAAGACUAAAAUGAAAGGGUGUAAAAACAAGUUUCUCAAAGAUAGGAUAGCUAUGCUCUGGCUCUUAUGCAAAUUGGAAAUCUCAGGAUAGGCUCCUCGCGUUGGGGUUGCAACUAUGGUGAUGCUUGCUUCCCGAACCGGUAUGGAUUUAGCAAAUCAAGUUUUAAUCCUUUAAAAUGACAAAACAGAUGGUAGUGAAUUUCAUCCAUGGUUAUUCACCUUAGACUUCCUUUGAAUGGCUCGUAAGAGAUAACUAAUGGUCUAAAGCCAAAAGCUUAUCAAAUAUUGGCAACUCAAAGUCAUUCCAGGUGAUAAACUCACCUUUCAAUGGCCAUUGAAAUUGGUUCUAACGGAUUAAUACAAAACUUGGAAUUGAAAACCUCACCUUCCAAUAGCUCGUAGGAGAUAACUAAUGGAUAGAAAUCCAAAAGCUUAUCAAGUAUUGGCCGUUGGAAGUUGUCCAAAGGAAAUAAAAACCAAACUUUGCAUUAAUGAACCUUUAAUGAAAAAGGACUACCUUACCUUCCGGGUGCGAGAAAUUUCCAUGGGAUUGCAUUCAAGUCAUCACAUAACAUCCAUACUUUGAGAAACUAAAAGUUUUAGCCAAUCAUCCUCUGAGGAAAAGCCCUCAGAGGCUGUUUGGCUUCCAAGAAAAUAGAAAUGGGGAAGAGAAAAGAGAAAUGAGAGAGCUCUGUAUAUAUUCUCUAAGUGUUAAACGUAAUAUCUAUUCUAUAUGAUCCAAGAGGUGAUUUCCACCCCUUAUAUAGUCUUUACAAAAGCAAAAGCUUGUGAUUGGUUAGUUACAAGGAUAAGAAAGGAAAUUACAUCACAAAAUACAAAGGAAAAUAUCUAAAGUGGAGUCGGCAAAAGCAGAGGAAAAUUCGCAACACGCAUGGGUUAUGCGAAUUUUGAAGGUGUUAUGCGAAAUUUUCGCAUAACCUGGAGCAGUUGGCUUCCGAAGGCCAUAUCUUCCUCAUUUCAGCUCCAAAUCGUACACGGUUAGAAGUGUUGGAUUCUUUACUUCCAGAGCUUUGAAAUGGUAUAUAGCAUAUAAAAAAUGGACUUCGGAAAGUGCUCCAAAAGUGUGAAAGAAGACUGCAGCUGCUGUCCUCUGUUUUCCUCUUCUCCAUUGUUCUUUCCUUGCAUACUUUGAACGACUUUGGCAAAGGGAUAUGGAGCUCCAAAGCUUGGUUCUUCAUGAAUUUGAGCUUCCAAAAGCUUUGCCAUAACUUGUCCAAGUAUCUCCUCCAUCAUUUGGCAUGCUUGAAUUGAUUCAUAAGCUGAUAAAAACAUGUAAACUUGCCACAAAAUGGUUAAAACCAAUUACUAAGGACCUUAAUGAAUUAAUUGGGUUAAAUGAAUAUGAUUACUACUCAAAGGUGCUUAAAACCAUUAUAAUUAGGUCUACAAAAUAGCACUUUUUGGUAGUAAUCAGUCAUCCAUGUAUCAAGUCAGUUACUAAUAAGCUUUUAAGUGAAAUACCAUACACCAUGUGAUGGAACCCAAAAUCUUCUUGAGCCUUACCAUCGUGUUAGGCUUAAUGAGCUUCACCAUAACUAUAAAGAAGCUUGCAAGCAAAAGAAAGCAGCCAAGGAGCAAGAAAAAAAAAAUCAAGAAAAAAAGCCUGAUCAAAGGCUGGUGGGAAGAACCUAUUAUUGAGCUUGAUAUGGAUGGUCUCAGGCGAAGGUCAGAUCUAAUUCAAAAGCUUCAUAAGCAUGUGCAACUCCAAAUCAAGGAGCUAUAGACCAUGGAAUCAUGUUCAACUUUACCAUCUAAUACCCAAACAGUUGGCCAUGGCCAUGCUAAAUAAAUGUGCUUUGUAUUAUUGAGAGUCUUGAACAUUUCAGUAUCAAACGAUAAUGGUUCAAUGCUUUUAUUUUUGAGUAAUGGGUUUUGUGUUGGAGUAGCCAAAAAUGUGAUAUUGAUUGAUUAAGCUUCCUUUUUCCCCACCGAAAAGAAGUCUUUUAAUAGUUGAUGUGGGUGACAUAUCAUGUGAUUCUUGUGUAGAUUCCUUAUCUUCAUAAUAGUAGGGUCGUUUUAUAUUUGUCUGGUUUUUGACCCUUGACUCUUGUGUGAUUUCCAUCUUAAUGAUCCUAGUAGAAACAGAUGAGCAUGAUGCUCUUGAGGGUUCAUAUUUUGAAAUUUUAGGAAUUCGAGAAUGACUGAAUGAAUUUGUUAAGCCCCAAAUUCUAAAAUUAAAGUUUAAUUAAAUUAACAUAGGCCAACUCAGACUUUUUGCACUUGAGAUGUGAAUUAAGGAAGAAUUUGGUGAAGUUUAAAGUUUGAGGGCAAACCUAAUUCACCUGUGUUAUUUAAGUUUUUGAACAAAGAAGUUCCCUAUAUUUGGAAGAAUUCAUGUUUUUCCUAUUCAUGGACUUUGUGUAUCGGAAAACUUACACAUUUUAACUCCAUGGCCAACCUUUGUAAAAAGAGUAUGCUUGUAUGGGUAUUUUUUUAAAUCUCUCAGAAAAAUAAGCAUCCAUAUGACUAUACUAAGCUCUCAGAGCUUGUUUUAGUCUAUAUAGUGCCUUUUUAUUUUUAUUUUUAUAAUUUAUGAACUUUAUGCUCACUUUUAGGCUUCGCAUACUCAAGAGGUUUAUCGAUAAAAACCUGUUCUUAUAGAUCACCAAGCAAAAAUACUGAUUUUACAUCUAGUUGGAAGAUAGACCAUGAGUUUUAAGAAGUCAAUGUAAUAAAUAGCUCGAUUGCAUCAUGUCUUGCAAUAGGAGUAAAAACUUCUUUAUAAUCCACACUAAACUCUUGUUUAUAGCCUUUAGCUACUAAGUGCACCUUAUUCUUGCCAUCUUUGUCAUUCUCCUUCAAUGUUGUCUUGUAUACCCAUUUGACACCAAUUUUUUGUGGUCUCUUGGAAGAUCAAUUUACUCCCAAGUGCUAUUUUGGUUAAUAAUUUCAGUUUGUCUUUCAUAGCCUUCCUCCACUUUGAAAGUUGUAGGAUUGAAAUAUGAAAAUAGAGCAAAAUGUGUAAGCAGGUUCUCAAUGGGUCAAUUUCUAUUUCCUUGUAAUCAAUCAUCCACAUAGGUCUUCUUCAACCAUGUUUUGUCCUUUGUUUAUCACCUCUUUAGCUGCAAUUGGGCUUUGAGCAUCAACAAGGACAUUUUUGGGUAACUUCGAGUUAUUGAACAUUUCCCAUAGGUUGUUGCCUUAUGCCAUCAUCAUCAAAAUCUAUUGGAAUACGUUUUUCAACACCAUUCUUGUUCCAAAACCAAGUUCAUUCUUAAUAAAAAAAAUAUCGUGACUAAUAAUGAUUUUCUUUAUGCUAAGAUUAUAUAGCUUAUAAGCCUUUGACUGAUCAUUAAUACCAAGACAAAUGCAUAUUUCUCCCUUGUCAUCUAGCUUUUUCCUCUUCUCAUCUAGAACAUGGACAUGGGUAUAGGCUAUGCAACUAAAAAUUCUAAAGUGUUAGGGUCUUCAUCUGUUCCAUGUUUCCUAUAGUGUUAUAUUUUGAACAAUAAAUGUUGUACUUCUCUUCAAAAUAUGAAUGCUCCAGUUGAUAAUGUUAGGCUAGAAACUCUUCAAAACUCUAAUCCUUGCCAAAAGACUUCACACCUCGUUAAGAAUCGUGCAAUUAUUCCUCUCGCAUACAUCAUUUUAUUGAGGCUAAUAGGCCUCUAUAAGUUGUCUUUUGAUGCCAUGAGUCUCAUAAAAAUUUGCAAAUUCAUAUGAGUUAUAAUCUCCCCCAUAAUUAGUGUACAAUAUUUUUAUUAAGCUAUUGACUUCUUUCUCAACAAGUGCUUUAUAAAGUUUAGAUGCUGCAGACACCUCAAAUUUUUCCUACAAAAAAUACACCUAAAAUUUUCGAUUAAAAUUAUCAAUGAAGGUAAUUAUGUAUCUUUUACCUCCAUUAUUUGGAAGAUGGAUUUAUUUGUCCAUAAAAGUUAGAAUAAGCCAACUCUAACGUCUUCUUUGUUCUCCAUGACUUUCCUUAUGGAGAUUGAUUGUGGUGUUGUUGGCUAACAACACAUAUUCAACAAAAACUUGUUGAGAGCAUUCAAUUUGAGAAAGCUUAAUCACCAUAUUUUUUUGCUGCAAUGUCUUGAGACCAACAAAGUUUAGACGCCCAUAACAAAAAUGCCAAAGCCAUGCUACAUCCUUCAAUUGAGUAGACACUACAAGAAAUUUCACCCUCUACCACAAAAUUUUUGGCCAUCAAUAUAAUUUCAUCUCUAAAGAUGAUAUUGGGAGACAAAAUUCAAGUUUGUUAUGAAAAUUUGUGUCUAAAGUUUUAAUUGAAUGUGACAUGAGGCCAAAUUAUUUGUGACGACAUCAUAAAUUUUAACAACAAAAUAUUUCAUGGUGAAAAAUAUAUUGGGAGACAAAAACCUAGUGUUGUCCCAAAAGGUAAAUAAUGGGUAACAAAAUUAUGUUGUUGUAAAAUAGUUUUGGAGAGAAAAAUCUUAACAAUGGGAGACAAAAAUAUUGUCCUAAUAUCACUAGAUGAAGGAACAAAGAAAAUUAUUGGGGAGGAAAUUGUUUUAUUGUAAAAACUCAAUAUUGGAGACAAAACUAUUUCAUCCCCAUUAAAAUGCAUUUUCCUUUUUCAAAAUGAAUUUAUCAUUUUUAAAUUUAUUUAUACUAUUGAAUACUUAACAUGAUUUAUUUGUUUUUUGAGAAAGUUUCAUAAUACUUUAAUAUUUAUGAAACAACACAAUUAUUAUUAAAGAAAGUAAAUAUUAUUUAGAAAUAAUGUGAUAUUGUCAUAUUAUAAUAUUAAUAUAAAUAUAAAUAUAAAUAUAUAUAUAGUAUUAAAAUUUAAAUAUAAUGACAAUUUUUAUUAUAUUUAAAUUUUAAUAUAUAUAUAUAUAUAUAUAUAUAUAUAUAUAUCAAUAUGUAAUAAUAUUUAAAUUUUAAUACUAUGUGUAAUAAAGUAAGAAUUUAAAAUUUUUUUAGCUAAUGUUGAAUCUUCAAUUCUGGAUAUCAUACUCAUGAUAUGUGAAAUGUAAUAUUUGUUUAAUAAAAAUAUUAUUUUAUUUAGUAUAUAACUUGAAAUUAUAUAUAAAAGAAUUUAAUAUGGAUUAAAUUAAUUACCUAAAAAAAAAAAGGGUUACAAUGUUUGGACCAUAAUAUUAUUAGUCUUCUUCUUGUUCUUGAGUACAAAAACACAAAGAUUAAUCUAGAAUGUAUAAUAUGGUAAAAUUCUAAUCAUAAUAUAUUUUAUUUUUAUAAUAUUUUAUUUUAUUAAUGAAUUUAUAAGAUAAUAACAUUUUUUUUGUAAAUUCUAUUAUAAUAUAACCAUCUAUUAUUCUUCUAAUCUUAUACUUCCUAUAAAAUAACUUUUUUUCUUUUUCUCUAAAUAAUAAUUUCAUUUUCAUGUAAAUACUUUGAACAAUCCUUAAUAAUAUAUAAUAAAAUAAAACAAAAAUAGAUUGAGAUUCAUUUCCAUGUUUAUAACUUGAUAUUUUAUAUAUCUAAAAAUGUUCAAUUAGGAAUUAGGAUUAAAUUGAUUAUAUUAUGCAAAAAUAAAAAAAUUAGUUACCAUGUGAGAACCCUAAUUUUAUUAAUCUUCCUUAUGUUAUUUACAGAUAAAAAUCAAUCCAAAUUGCGAAUGUACAAAUAAAAUAAUUUUAGUUAAUAGUAUAAACAUUUAUUACUUACCUACUUUUGUUGUUCCCAUAAAAUCAUCUCAUGUCUUUAUUUGUAAGUAAUUGAUUUCAAUGUCAAUAUUCUAAAUUAAAGUAUAAAAUAAAUUAAAAAAUAUUACAUUAAAAUAACUUAUUUUGUAUAUAAAUUUUUAUUUUAUAUAUCUAUAAAAGUCAAAUUUGGAUUAAAUUGAUUAUACAAAAAUAUAAAAAGGGGUUUGACAACCAUAACACUAUUAGUCUUCUUCGUAUUAAAGUAGAAAAAUGAAUCCAAACUCUAAAUGUAAAAGAUAAUGAAAUUUUAAUAGUAAGUUACAUUGGCUUUUUCAUAAUAUUAUAUUUUAUUAUAAUUCAUAUAUGAAUUUAUAAGAUAAUGACAUUUUAAUAAUGAUUUAUUUCAAUUCUUCUUUUUUUUUUCUUCUUAAUUUUCUAAUUGAUUUUUUUUUAAAAGAAAUAUAAAAAUUUAUAUAUGACUUAAAGUUGAUAAAAAAAAUUCAUUUCUCUUUUAAUAAUUUAACAAUAUAAUGUUUUACCAAUCUCAUCUUUUCUAUAAAAUCAUCUCAUUUCCUUAAUUUUUUUAUAGAUAUUUCUUAUGGUUAUUCUUUAGAAAAAAAAAUUCUAAUGUUAACUAUAUAAGACAAUAAACUUAUAUUUUUAAAAAUUAAUCCUUUAUAAAAAAAGACUUUUAUAAAAGUUUUAGUUAAUUCUAUAAUAGUAUAAGUAUCUAUUAUUUACGCAAUCUUGUUGUAGACCCCCUUUGGUGGUAAAAGGCUCGGGGGGAGGUGAUUUCGAAAGACUUCUCAUUAUAUUUAGAAGGGGUAGGGGACCCCUAGCGGCUGAAGGAUGGACCCCUUCUCUAGGCACGGACGUGCAGCUGCAGGGGGGCGGUUGCAAGCCCAUGCUUGCUGAUGCAUGAACAGGGGAGGUGGGUGAUGGUUGGCUGAAGAGAGAAAACAGAGAAGAAGACGUCUACGAGGGGGGUGGUUUUUGCAGGAGAGACGACUAGUGAAGGAGGAGGAAGGAUCUUUCUGCUGAUAGCUUGUAAGUAUUGCUCUGUUUCAACUCCCUUUCACAUUUCCUUAUUCUUUUGUUGCAAAAUGAUUCAUGUUUGGUCCCAAGGUGGUGAUUGAUAGUCAUGCAUUAGUUUAUUUUCCGUUCGUUCUAUUGGUUUUUCAAUCUGUUGAUGAUGCAUGAAGUGAGGUUACAACAAUUAAAUCCUCAGACCUCUCAUCCUUGCUCGGUUUCUUAGCGAUCUCUUUCUCCAUACUUCUUAUGCUACCAACCCCCUGCUCAUGCACACGUGGACUGCACACCCACUCCUACCCUCCAUUUUCCCUUCUCAUUUUCCUCUCGUUCUUCUCACUCCUCAAAACACCAGAAGUAGACGUCUACCAGGAUAGCAGCCGAAGAUGCUCAAAACUUCAAUCCCCAUUUCGAGCCUACCGCCAAAGCUCCAAAAAUCCUAGCAAAUGGAGAGCCUCCGAUGCAGUUCUGAGAGCACGAGGCUCUCUUGCGGCGCUCCGGCGAGUCCCAUGCAUCUCGCGUUCCACGUGAAGGCGUCGCCAUCAACUCUCCCCUCACCGUCGCCGCCCUUUGAAAACACUCUACCCAGCCCGCCCGCUACACACUACAAGGAAAAUGUCAAAAGAUGACGCUUUUUAAGUGUCAAGAUAGAUAUAAGAUGACGCUUUUUAAAAGCGUCAUAUAUUAGACUGUCAUCUUUUUAAAUCGCAUACGUUGACACUUUUUAGAAGCGUCAUCUUCUUUGCACGUCAACCAUGACGCUCAUAGUAAGUGUCAUUAUUUGAAAUAUUGACGCUUUAUAAGUGUCAUCAUAUGUUAAUAAUUUCAUUCAUGUCAAUAUUGACACUCAAUGAAGUGUCAUUGUAUAGGUAGAAGCAACAUUGACACUCAAUAUAAGUGUCAUCUUAUAACUUUUUAUUUGUAGGAGCAACGUUGACACUUAAUAAAGCGUCAUUGUAUAAGUAGAAGCAACAUUGACACUCAAUAUAAGUGUCAUCUUAUAGCUUUUUUAUUUGUAGGAGCAACAUUGACACUCAUAAUAAGUGUCAUCGUAUAGCAUUUUAUACCUUGACACUAAAAAAAAUGCCAUGUUUUUUUAACAUCAACCUUGACGCUUUUGAGAGGUGUCAUCUUCUGUUUAUUCAAGUAAAGCAUGAUGCUUUAAAAAAGCGUCAUCUUAUCUCAUAUAAAAUUUUAAUAGCCCAGAAAUUAAAAUGUCCUAAUUAUGCCCUGUUUUAUAAUUUUCUAUCAACAAUUAAAUUAAUAAUAAAAACUUAAUUUAAGAAUCUCCAUUGACAAAAAGGAUCAAAUAUGGUCUUCCUUUUUCACUAUUACAAUUUAUCCAUAAACAUCAUAUAUAAUCAACAACUAAAACCAACAAUUUUACAACUUCUUCUUCUCAACUUUGAAUUGUUCAUAACCUUCACUACAUCUAGUUUUACAUCAUUUUUCUUCCAAGUGCAAAAGGAUGGUUGUAACUCACUUUCUAGAUGCUCAAUCUGCAAAAUAAUUGAGAGGGUUACAUAUUUAUUAGUAUUAACAAAUAGUUAAGAAGCAACUUUGUAAAUGAAAUGUGUAUAUGCCAAUUUUUAAAUUUCCAAAAUAUCUUUCUUCCAUUGCAAUAAAUUUCAAAAUAUCAAAAGAACUCAACAAACUCCAAUAAUUUUAUUACACCAAAUUUCUAAAUAUUUUAGAACUCUCAUUCUAUUUUUUUUUUUUAAAAAAAAGUUUUUAUCUCAUUGACUAUUUUGGUAUGAUUUUUAUCUUAUUUAUGAAACUUCAACCAUUAACAUCUUCUCAUUCUUCUUAUAGGUUGUACAAGACAUUAGAUGUUUUGCAUGAGAAGAAACUAAGGAAUGAAAAAAAAAAACAAAAAAAACUAGAAGUCCGAAAAAUUGUAAAAUUGUAAAUUAACAUAUUUAUGUAAAAUUAUAAAAUUGUGUUAAAAUAUCUAUGUUCUUCUUAUUGUAUUAGUAUAUCAACAUUUAAUAACAUGAGGAUAUCUAUUAUCUAAAUAUGGAACUUGCAUGAAAUGAUCUCUAAACAUGGAAUUGAUUCAUAAAACUUACAAUAACCACAUGUUACCUCAAAAUUCUUUUGAUGAUAUAUUUUGAAUUGUUUGUGGGUGUCCUUCAUCAAGAGUAGAAGUGAUGUUGUUAAUAGAAUGACCUAUGCCUUUUUGUACAACCUGAAGAAUAUAUAAUAAACAAUUUAACAACCAAUUAGUAAGAGGUGCUAUUUCCUUCCAUAGGCUUAUUUGUAAGAAGUCUUAAACUAACUUCCUAUUUUUUAAGUAAAAGAAAAUGGAAGUACAAGAUAUUAUAGACUUUAAGCCCAUUAGUAUAGUAGGAGACCUUUAUAAAUUUAGAUUAAAGAAGUUUAUAAAGCUAGUAAUCUUAAAGACCAAAAAUGCUUUUGUAGAGAAUAGACAAAUUCCUAAUUCAUGCACAUGUAAUGAAACUAAAGGCUCUACGAAAAUGAGCUUGGACAUGUAGGAAUUUUUGUAGCUAUGCUAUUGUAGGAUUUCUCCAAAUCUAACUGAUAAUAAUUUGUAGAGGAAAUAUACAAAAGUUGUUACACCUACCAUGUCUACUUGGCUUCACCUCUCAAUAUGCCAACUAUACAUCAAUCAUAAUAGAGCAACCCCCAAAAUGAUCCAUAUUGAAAACACUGCCAACUAGAAGUACAAAGAUAUACAUUAACAAAUUAUCAUUGUGAAUAAAUCCAUUAUAAAAUUAACAUUAACAAAAUAUUGACUACAUCUUUAAAAGAAUAUGAAGUUGUAUUAGACUAUAAGUUAUAAGAGGUACCUUCAAACAUGAGUAAUGAUUAACUGAGUCACUAACAUAACCCAAUCUGAUUGAACUUCAUUAAUUUCCAUUUCACUAUAUGAUUUCUUCCCGCAAAACUGAAUUGGAGUGACAUAUACAAUUCACUAAGUUCAAUUGACCAAAAAAAAAAAAAAAAUGCUAUAGUAAAAUGACCAACCAUAUGAAUUGAAUUGAGUGCAAACCUUUGAUGUUAGUUGGUUUGGAUUAGCAAUGAUUUCCUUCAUAUAUCUCAUCACGUAAUACCCACAUUCCACACUACCUGGUUGUCUUGGGCACUAUGGGAAAAGUAUCAACAAUUGCAAUAAACACUAGAAUGAUGUUCUUACUUCUUUAGCAUCUUAUUGAUGAUCAUAUUAAUAACCAUCCAUUUUCUAAUUUUGUCAUAAAUUAAGUGGUGAAGCAAUAUAUUUUAAUCUAAACAAAUAAGUACUUACAACCACUUUCACCCAAGUUGGCUCCCUCUUUGAUGUUUUCUGUUUUUCCGGUGGGUUGAUUCUCAUUGCCCUACAAAAAGAAUUAAAAAGAUGUUAUAUAGACACUAUCAAUUGUAUUAAAAUAGGAGAAAAUAUAUACUUACAUGUUAACUAUGUCCUUAAGAUCAUCACAUGGUUGACAGGCCAUUGGAUUAAGGUAAUAUGCAAUCAUUUUCUUCAUCUCCAAUGCCACUAACACCCAAUGGAAACUAAAGAAAAGAAAUGAAAAUUGUAAUAUAGUAUCCACAAAUUCAAACAUCACAAACUAACUUACAAACACCAUAUUGAUAUUUAGGAUAAAAGGUUACUCUGGGUUGUAUGGAAUAAGCAUAUAUUCAGCAUGCUUUGUAUUCUUUAGUCGAUCUGCAAUAACCCUUGACCUGUUUUCCUUGCUUCCCUCUCCCAUUCCAGCUUUUGAGACCAAUACUGGAUUGACAAAAACAUAUCGUUCGGCCUGCUAUGCAUCAAUCAACUUUCUAUGCAAAUGCUUGAUUAUAACCCACAUGACAAGUUAUCAACAAUCAUUAUAGGUCAUUAGAAAAUAACCUUCUAUCUCAUAAUCUUGUGAAAAGUCAUUCAAAAAUUAUAAAAUCCCUUACCAAAUGUAGUAUAAAAUACAAUUGGAUGACACUUCUUUUGAUGAUAUUAUCAUUUCCAUAUCUUCUUUCAUCAUGAAGGUCUUGAAACUCUCACCAAAAACAUCAUCUGGGAAGUUUAUAGGGUAUGUUCUUGAUGUACUCAGAAUGAGGCCAACCAAUGUCUCAAAAUUUUUCAUAUCUUGUGGUUUUUCACCCUUGGAUUUGACUUCAACUUCAUUUACUUUUUGUUUCUUUGCUUUCUUAGAUGCUUGUACAAUUAAGAACCAUGGUACAAAUCAAAUUAACUAGUUUAUAUAUAUAUAAAGUCACUAUAAACUUUGGUAAUUAAAUUUACUUACUAAGAUGGGAGUACGGAUGAUGACCAAAUUAGUUGGCCACAAAACUUGGUAACCAAUUGCAGCCCCAACAGUAGUAGUUUGUCCAGGAAUAGGAAUGGGAAGGGGUGCACUUGAAUCAUAAGGAGCAUCAACAACUACUAAAUAGUUGGGACCACAUUCAAGUAUAAUUGUUCCACCUGCCACUAUAUUUUCCUUGGUGCCUAUGGCUGUAGACCCCCAUUUUGGGAACCUCACUUUUGUGCAUAUUUUGCAGCUCUUUUUGCCAGGUGUCGCAGCUGUGAGCAGCCACGUGUCGACUCCCGUCUGGUUGCUAUGGCAUCAGAUGGUGGAAUCAAGGAGCAAAUAAGAGGUUGACACGUGUAAAGGAGAUUUUGCAGGCGGUUAGGAGGAGCGUAUGAGAGAGGGGAUAUUCUGCAGAAAGUGAGGUUGCUUUUGGGAGGUUGGUUAGGAGAUAUAUUCUAGGAGGGCAUAUCCGGGAGAGAACAAAAAUAAGAGAAAAGGGGAUUGGUUGGUGGAAAGGGGCUGCAGAGUGUAGUGGUGCUGGUGGCUGUUGCUGCAAAGAUGGUUGGAGGGGCAAAUCCGGGAGAGAAAAGAGAUAUCGCCUAGAAGAGGAAGGCAGCUAGGAAGGGAUGCAGGGGGGUGGAGAGUCUGUUAGAGGGGGAGCGUCUCUUGCAAGUGGGCAGGAUUUUCAUGCUGGUCUGAGAGAUUUUUCAGGCAGGGUGAGUGGAGAUAUUGAUUUUUGAGGGGAAGAGGAGAAGAUCUUUUGAGCUGAGGAAGGUAGCAGGCUGCUAAGGAUUUGGAGAGGGGAGAGCUUUUGUUUGGGUGUUUUUUUUGGGAGAAAGGAUUCUGGAGAGGAAGCAGUAAAGCUUCUUUUGUGAGAGAGAACGAGGGAGAGAGAACAGAGAAGGUGGGGGCAAAGAGCGAGAGGGGGAGCUUGGGAGAGUAUUCGUUUGGUGUGGAGCAGCAAACUGUGAGGGAGAAGUUGGAAGCUGCAAGAAAUGUGAGUUUUUGGAGAGCUUAGAGAGUGAUAUUUCUUUAGGGCAUUGCUUGACAAGCAAGCCGGACAGGAGAAGAAGUUUUCUUAGAGCUUGAGGAGAGCUCAGAGAGAAAACCAGAGGGAACUUGCUGGUGAGAAUAGGAGGGGAUAUCUUUUUCUUUUCUAGAGGUAGCAGAGUGGAGAGGAAACAAGUUUGAAGGUAAGCAUCUCGGGAGUAAAAGGACUUCCUCAGGUAUGAUUGCUAUAGGCUUAUUGAUUGUUUUUGGCUGUUUAUCACUCUCAUAUGUCUCUUGUUGAUAUUUGAAUAUUUGUUGAUUUGCUUGGGGUGGAUAAUGGAGGCCACUUAUUGCUUGUUGAAAUAUAAUCCUGCCUACAUGUUUACCACUGUUAACCUUAGUGUGUUUUGCUCCUAUUAUGAAAAUGCCCAUAGUUGCCUUUGAAAUGUUGUUUCUCACCUAAUCAGAGGGUUCACGGAUGACUCAUGAAGUGAAACCUCUGAAAAUCACCUUUACUCAUUUUCUUUUGCGUUCUUUUCAAUGGCCUUUUUCUUUGUUGUGACCAAUACUUUGCUUCUGGGCCUCGUUCAAUGUAAUGGUUGUAAAAAAAAGUAGAUCUGGGUCUGGCUGUGUACUCAUUCAGAGAUCAAAUAUGUUGGGAAGAGACUAUGAUUGGGUGAUGAGAUUCUACUAUGAGGUUCAAGGGAGGUUCAAUCGGUUCAAUGAUGCCACUCUGAAUUUGUUGAUAUCCUAUGUGUGUAGAAGAGAUGCUCAGUGGGACUCCUUUGGGUAUCAAAACUCUGUUUCUCCCAGAUAUCAGUGGCAUGCUUAAAGGUAUAUUAUCAAGUCCUGGCCUGGUUGUAAGUAUAUCUAUUUCAUCUGCUGGAUUCUUGCGAAGAAAUCUCCCUCUAGUAGUUCUGGGAAAUGGGAAGACGUCAAUGGGAAUGUGUCUGUGGUUUCUGCUCAUGAGAAUAUAUUGAGUGAUCAGCCUGAGUUGCUGCAGCGACUUGGAAAGGACCUUUCUUUUGUUCCAAUACUGAUCUAUGACCCAUUGAUAGAAGUCUACUUGGCAGAUUUUUGAAGAUGGAGAGGCUCGAAAACCAUCUAUGCAUACUGAUGUAGGUCCCGUGUCUGAGACAAGAGGUGCAGAAAAUACCGAUUAUGCUGAUUUUAAUAAUAAAAACGGUGGGAUUUCUUGGGUCUUUAUUGUGAUGGUUGCCCUAUGUCACUCCCUCAUGAGGAAGAAGACACCAAAACAGAAUAUCUCGGUGAAAUGAAUUAUGGUAUCAGCAGGGAAUGUCUCAAUGUCGUUACUGAUGAGUAAACUGACAUGGUUGCUGAGAAAGGCGUUUGUUUCGACAAGUCAACAACAGUUGAAAUCCUGGAAGCUGUUCAUAAUCCCUGUCCCGUGGCAUUUGAAUACCCAAGGCACCUGUCACUAAGCCAACCUCAUGACUCCCCAUCCGUAGUCCUACAGCCGCAAGUGUUGUUCCAUUCUUGCAUGGUCACUCACCAAAGUUUCCCUCUCCAUUGAAUCCAAAUAUCCUCACACCAAUCAAGCCCACCCACUAAUCCAAUCCAUCUUUCAUCCAUCCCACUCUCUACCCUACACGCAUGGCAAACCCAUUUUUUUCUUAAUAUCCAUCUAAACCCAUCUCUCACUCAUGUUCGUGUCUUACCCACGUUCCAGCUCACUACAUUUCUUCAUACCCAUUGCCUAUAGCCAUACCCAUAUUUCAUAAUCUCCCAUGCAUGUUCAUUUCUUGAAAACCCAUUAAACCCUCUGAACCCAUAUUUGUUUGGCCAUGUAUGGCCAUACAAGACGUUUCCACCAAGCUCAUUAUCCCUGGAUAUUCAUAUCCGUUUCCUGUAGUUGGGCACUUGUCCCAAUUCACGUGACUUCAAUGGAGGCUGUGUUGAUGGAAGAUGUCAUUGCUUUCUUGGAUUUCAUGGUCAUGAUUGCAGUGUAUACGAAUGGAUGCUUGGGCAUGAUAACUGCCUAUAGAAGGUCUAAGCCAUAUGCAGAUCCUGAUGCAAAGAAGAUUGAUGAUCAGGGUGAUGAGGAAGUGCCCAACAAGAUGCCGAGGAAUCCAAGAAGCUGCUACCAUACCCAUGUCACCAUGCCUUACAAAUCCACUCCGUUUCUCCACCACCUUUAUGGAUUCUACACCAUCACCUAUCUAUACUCAAACCGUUGCCCCAUUUCUCUCACUAAAUCCCGCCACCCAGUCCACUCAUUGAUUGAGGAGACCAUACCCAUAUGCAUGAUCGUUUUAACGCAUGCAUGACCUUCUUGAAAGACACGAAGAUGUUUGGCGCGCCUAGAGCUUGACUGGCCACAUGUGAUGAGAUUCUUCUUUGCUGCCUUCGUCACGAUGAAGCUGUGAGCAUGAUGAGAAACCUCUUUGAUCAGCGCGAAUUAGUUAGAUAUGAUGACGAGUGUAGUCUAUCACACAGAGCAACUUGUUAUUCUAGUUUGUACAAAUCGUAACAUCAAUAUGGGAAGGUAUUUAUGUGAAAGGAAGCUGCAGGUUGUGAAAUAUUAACAUUGGUCCAAAUGUAAGUGAUCCUGGCUAUUUAGAUUUGGUAAGAAUCCGCUUGCUUCAAAAGAUACAGGUGAGGGAAUGUGCUGAGUUACUUGGGAUAAGUCUAUCAUUUAGAGUCCCAUUUGAGAUUGUGGGUGAUGUCAUGCUUAUGCAACUCUCCUGCAUUCAGCAAAGAGACAAAUCAAUUGUGGAAACUCCAAGGUAGACGUCACGUGGCGCAUUGAUAGAUAUUUGUGGAGUUUUUCAACUAGUUCAAAGGUGUCAUUGCAUGAAGAAUAACUGUAGCCAAGGAAAGGGCUGAUCUGGACGUUCUCUAUAUCAGAGCAUCAAAAUGGGAAUAUCAAGGUGCCGCUAACACACUCAUCACUAUCAUGUUUGCACAAUCAAAAGAGGAUGGAGUCGACCUAAUCGAACACGGACAGACCCAGACUGAAGACUUGCUGAGAACAGAGGCUCAGGCUUUGGGGUUAAGGUAAUUUCAAUAUGCCUAGGGAUUCUCAUUUGUGCCACUCAGACUCAAAAUAACCUCUGUAAGAAAGGAAGAGGGAUGAGAAAGCUGGCUACAGAGAUUCAAAGGAGAGUCACUACGAUUCAAGCUUCUUGGAUAACAUGCUGUUCAGAGAGUUUGCCAUAGAGUUUUGAGUUUUUGUUGUGAAAAGAUGGAUGAGAAUAUGUCGGUUGGUUGUGAGUAAGAAUUUCUAUGCUCGGCAUGCCAAGUCAGUAAUAGUUGAAGAUGGGAUCUAAAGGGCAAGCAAGGCUCAUAGCAUCGUGGCCUGAUUCAGUGACUAUUCUGGCAUCCAGUCAAACCUUCAGGGCAUGUAUCGCAUGGUCACCUUCAGGCAUACUACUUUGCCCAUGUGUCCUUCUCACUUCCUCCUUUCAUCUAUUUUAAAAAAAUAAUUUCCCACACUCUCAUUCCUCAAAAAUAAUUUUUCAAUUUCCAUUUUGUAAAUAACUCUUCAAAUUUUGAUUUUCAGAUAAAUUUCAACUCUCCUCCUUCAUCCUUAGAACCCCUUUGGUUCCAAAGUCUCUUUUUCCAAUAAAUCUUUGUUGCCAUAUUUCCUUUCGGCAUACAAUUUUCACAAUUCUUUUGUUUUUUAAAAUGUUUUAAAAUAAGCUAAAAUCAAAUUCCAUAAUUCUAAGUGAUAGAGUUUGCGGAAUUGAUUUAUGCAAAAAUGAAUCGGGCUUUGAUGGAGGCCCCACAUAUUUGACUUCAUGAUUGAUUGACUGAUUGAUAGAUUUAUUUGCCAUGCUUGAUUGGUUUACUCUAUUCCUUGAUAUGCGCUUAAUUAUAUCUGUUCAUUGUUCACUAAUCAUGUUUCAUGAUAGCGCGUUCGUGAUUGCCGCCCAGGUGCGCAUCUAUUCAUAUUUCGCCUAUUCUUUAUACAUGCUUUACUUCUCAUAUUGUGCAUGAUCAAUUUGAGUAUUCAUCAAUUUUCUCAUUGAUUGCCAUGUUAGCUUCAUUCUAUUAGUAGAGACCCGACUUUAGGGACUUAGAGGGGUGCUACGGUUUUUACCGUACCUUCCCGAUAAGUAACCUGACCCCCGAACCCGAUCCGGUUUUUCACAGACCGCCUUUUCCAAAAUAAGGAGUCACACUUAGGGUUUUUCUUUCUUAUUUUGUUUACCCUUUAAAAAUAAAACAAAAAUAAGUGGCGACUCCAAGUCAUUUUUCUUAAUCAAAUAAAAUCAAUUUUUCAAAUAAAAAUCGAGCUCGCCAUCGAGUGGGAAACGCAUUGAGCCGAAAAUGCGGGGUCCACAAUGGCCAGCUCACAUUUUCUAACCUACAAAACUCAAUUCACAAUAAUCACUUCAAUAUUAGUGGGUUUAUACAAAACUAACAUAAAUGCAUUAUCAUCAUCAAUCACCUUAUAGCUCCUAUUACAAUGAUAAAUGCAAUUUCAUUUACAUUCAAUUGCAACAAACUUGCAUGAUAACAUUUCAGUCCAUUGCAUAUAACUCAACCCAUAAUUUAGACAUAUCCUAUUAUAUGUUGCCACAUCAAAGAAGACCAUAUAUGUUGCCACCAACAUUUGAAGUCAAUUCAAACAACAAAAUUAAAUUAAAUUAUUUCUCGUAUUAGAGGAAACUUUGUCAUCAAAUUAGCUUAAUUGAAUAAAUACCUUCUUCUGUGGUUCUAUUGCUUCUGGUGGGGUCACAUCUUCAACUUUACGGAUUGCCUUAUCCACUGCUUCUGGUAGGAGAAGUUGUUUUUGCUUCAUGUUUGAACUACUAACAUCAGAUUGGGGAGUAACAACUCCUACUUGAGUCAGUUUUGCUAGCACUUCUGCCUGAAAUAUUCUUUGUUCUUCUUUAGAUGCUGCUAUGAAAUCCCUGACAGCACGAUCUACAGCACUAUUGAAAUAUUGGCGAGGUGUGUAGUGCUUCCCUUUGGCCCUAACUCGACCACUAUACUCAGGAGUACCCAAUGCUUCCACAAGUAUAUCAUUACUUCCACUAACACUUCUACCAUUCUCUUGAGACACUUUCAAUAGCUUGUCCUUAAAAAAUAUUAAUUAUAAAGUUAAAUUGCAAAUUUGUUAUUGUAAAUAACUUAUUAUAAAUAUAUGUAAUUAAAAUUGAAAAAUAUUCACUUACUAUUUUCUCAAUUACUGGUAUGGCCACUUCAUCAAAGGUGUCGUCCUUUUUUUCCCUUGCUUUCUUCCAUAAUAUGCUUCGAUCAAUAGUUUCAGUUGAUCCACUUGCAACCAUCUUUCAAAAUAGGACAAUGUAUAAUAUAAUUAUCAUAUAACCCUAUUAUGUAUUAUGCAUAAAAUAAAUAAAAAACAAUUAAUAGGCUUAUACUUACCAUCUCUUCCUCAAGACCGGCAUAUCCUUUCCUACUUAGAUGGUGAUUAUAAAUGUUUCUCUUUCUUCUUUCUUUUUGAAUUUCUCGAUAUUCCUAUAAAUUAAAAUUUUAUAAUUAAUGAAUGUGAAUAAGAGGUAUGUAAAGAGUCUUAAUUAUACCUUAAAGUUGUCAGACAAUCUAUCUUUGACAAAUAUUGUCCAAUCUUCAUCCUCAAUAAAAGUAUAUUGAAUUGGUGGUCUUUUGAGGAGCUCCGGUUGGUCUUCGAAAGGAAGAAUGUACUUCACUGUUAGCAAGUUCUUAAAGGACCAAAAGCAUUUUCCCAUUGUUACCAUACAAUUCCUCCUGCUUUUAUGAUUUAAUGAAAAAGCAGUUUGCACAUUAAUACCAAACUUUAGUAAUUUCAAGAGGUUAAGAAUGAUAGACAUUUUGCAUCAAAGUGAUUUAAAUAAGAAAUGGUUACCUCAAUGUUGUCCCAUAACUUAUCCUUCAACUGUUUAGGUACAACAUGCCAAUUUUUAUAUCUUAUUGGCACCAUAGUGCGUGCUAACACGCCUAAGUAGCUUGUUAGAUGAACUGCUGAUUCUCCUAUGAAAAUGCCAUCAAGAUUGUACUUAACCGGCAACUUAACCCCCUUGCUUCUGUUUUUUAUAAUCAUAUGCUUCUGUGUCAUCCCUCUGUACUUCCUUUUUAUGGGUUUUUCUCCUUUCUUUGUCUCCAUUCUUGUAACAAAAAAAAAAUAAAAAAUGAUAAAGAUUAGUUAAAAUUAUAUUGCAUAUAACCUAGUCAAAGAAUAAUUGUAAAACAUAACUUUUCAAAGAAACAAAUCCAUAAUCAUUGUACAAUGAAAUGCAAUAGAUCAUGAAUUCAAUAGAUCUUUUUAGAAUUGUUCAUCAUAUAACAAGGAUAACACUUCAUUUAAACUUUUUUUUGUCCCGUUUUGUUUAACAUUUCAUUUAUUUUAAGCAACCCAAGGGCCUUUGUAUAAGAAAGCUAAAUUUGCAGUAGGAAUUUCCUAUAAGAAUCAACAUGGAAGGAGCACGUGGUUUCAACAAGUUCAUCAAGUCCAUAAGAACUUAUGAAAGCUUUUGGACUAUCGGUUUGCGUUACAUUAAGUUUGGAAAACACAACAUGCAUAUUGAUAAUAAAAAAUUUCAUAAUUUUUUUACUCACAAACAUAACUAAUUUAGUAUCUUCCAUGCACAAUUUAGGGAAAAGGUUUUAGUAAAUAUGUUAUUGGGAGAUGUUAAAGAAUGGUCAAUAUUUUGUGCAAAAAAAUAAAGAAAGGAUAAAAAUUACCUAUUUUGUGGCUGUUGCAACCCAUUCCAUGGCCUUUAUUCAUACAUUAGCAUUAAAAUACAGCUACAUAGAGGAUUUGUUCUCAAUCCAAAUCCCCUCACAAUCGCCUCGCAUACAUGUUGCAUCUGAGUCAUCCAUUACAUCAAGCGCUUCAAUUUGUGGCAAUGCCCCUAUAAAGGGAUGGUGUUUAAUCGAAUUGUCAACAAAGUCUUCACCUCCUUCCAUAUCCAAGAAAUCUUUUUGAGGAGUUGACAAAACAACUGACCAUCUUGGAUCAAGUUGGUCUUGCACAUAAAAUACUUGCUUAGCUUGGGAUGCCAAAAUGAAAGGAUCUGAUUUAUGAGCAAUUUUGCUAAAGUCAACUAAUGUAAAGCCAAGAUCAUCAACUUUUAUGCCAUUUUUAUUAUCAACCCUAUCACACUUGAAAACUGGUAUCCUAAACAUGGUAUAAUCAAGGUCCCAGAUCUCGGUAAUAAUGCCAUAGAAACAAAGCUCACCAAACACUGGAUUUUGAUCAUUUGCACUUGCGAUUUGCAUUGUUGAAGCUACAAUACUAACUCCACUAUUUUGGGUAGUUCGUAAGUCAUCUCGUUCCUUGGUAUGGUAUCGACACCCAUUAAUGACAUAUCCAUGAUAUUUAGAGACAUAAUAGCUAGGACCAUGAGCUAUCCACUUAAGGGUUUCAGAUAUAGGUUCAUUAUUACCAAUUGCAGCUUCAAUAUGUAAUUAUAAAUAAUAGUUAUUAUGUAUGUUAAACAUUAGUAAAAAGAAUACUUCACAUUUUAACACCAUUCCAAUACCUUUUUUCUCAACCAAUAAGUAAAAGUCCGCAGGUGUUCAUCCUGGAGCCACUUUUGUCUUUUUGAUUGACGAGGAUUUUUCAAUUUCAACCAUUCCAUGUGCUCUCUAUGUAAUUAUUUAUAAGAAAUUCAAAGUUAAUGUCUUAAAGUUAUUUUAAGUAUCAGACACAAAUAUUAAGUGUUAGUGGUUCUUACUCAAUAUAAGGUUGAACAAUAGUUGUAUUCUUUAAAACAUAAUGAUGUGCAUGUAACCACAAAUUGGAAUCAAUUGUCACAACUUGACCUCCAAGUAUUGGUGCCCCAACUUUUUGGUCAAUGUUUGCACUAAUAGGAAUCCCAAUCGCAUCCACAUUUGACAAAUACUCUAUACAAAAUUCAACAGCUUUCUCUGCAAUAUAGCAUUUAGCGAUACAACCUUCGGGCCGAUUACGGUUUCGUACAUACCCUUUCAAAACUUUCAUGAAUCUUUCAAAUGGGUACAUCCACCUUAGGUAAACUGGUCCACAAAGUCUCACCUCCCUUACAAGAUGUACAGUAAAAUGAAGCAUGAUAUCAAAGAAGGAAGGUGGAAAGUACUUCUCAAGCAAGCAUAAUGUCACCACCAAAUCAUUUUGUAACUUAUCCAGUGCAGACACAUCAACCACUUUGCUACAUAGAGCAUUGAAAAAAAACUCAAUCUACAAAUAGCAUGCCUUACAUGCUUUGGAAAAAGGGAUCGUAAUGACAUUGGCAAUAACUGUUGCAUUAAUGUAUGAUAGUCAUGCGAUUUAAGACCAUAAAGCUUCAAGUCUUCCAUUGACACAAGGUUUCUCAUGUUAGAGCAAUAACCUUCAGGAACCUUUAAUUGUGAUAAAGUUUGGCAAAAAACCUUUUUCUCCACUUUAGAUAACGUAUAACAUGCAGGUGGGAGAUAAGUUCGAUUUGAUUCAAACCUUGGCCCUAAUUCACACCUUAAGCCCAUCUCUAGCAAGUCUAGGCGAGAAUUAAGUCCAUCUUUCGUCUUACCUGGAAUGUUGAGUAAGGUACCAAUGAUGCUUUCACAAACAUUCUUCUCUAUGUGCAUUACAUCCAAGCUAUGACGAACAUGUAGGUAUUUCCAAUACUCAAGAUCAAAGAAUAUGGACUUUUUUUUCCAACAAUUUGUAGUAUUGACAUUCAACUUGCCUCGGGAGUUUUUAUUUUUUCCCCAUGAAUUAGAAAUGACAUCAAUUUUCCUUAGGAUUUCCUUUCCACUCAAUGGUUGCGGAGGUGAGCUAAACUCUUGUUUACCAUUAAAUGCCUUCUUUUGUUUCCUAAAAGAAUGGUUGCAAGGAAGAAAUCUUCUGUGACCUGUAUAUGAGUUCUUUUUCCCAUGCUUCAAUAUGUGAGAGAAUGUAUCUUGCCCACAUAUGGGACAUGCAAAAUAUCCUUUAACUACACAACCAGAUAAGUUUCCAUAUGCAGGAAAAUCAUUGAUUGUCCAUAGUAGAACAACUCUUAAUGUAAAGACCUUUUGCUGAUGCACAUCAUAACAUUCAACCCCUACAUUCCACAACAUUUUUAAGUCAUCCAAUAAUGGUGCUAAAUAAACAUCAAUGUCAUUUCCAGGUUGUCGUGGACCUGAUAUUAAUAAAGAUAGCAUCAUAAACUUCCUUUUCAUGCACAACCAAGGAGGAAGGUUGUAAAUGACCAUUAUAAUAGGCCAACAACUAUGUCUACUGCUCAUUGAACUAUGAGGAUUUAUACCAUCUGCUGAAAUGGCAAGUCUAAGGUUUCUAGGUUCUGAAGCAAAAUCAGGCCAUCUGUGAUCAACUAGCUUCCAUGAUGGGGAGUCAGAUGGAUGACGUAUUUUACCAUCAAAUUCUCUUUCUUGAGCAUGCCAUAUGAGGUCUUUUGCAAUUUUUGGGGACUGAAACAAUCUUCUAAAUCUUGGAAUAGGAGGAAAAUACCACAUUACUUUUGCAGGGACUCCCUUCCUCUUUUUAGUACCUGUUCCAUCUAACUUCCACCUUGAAGUUCCACAAGUAGGACAAGAAGUUGCAUCAUUCAACUCAUUUCUAUACAAUAUGCAAUCAUUGGGACAUGCAUGUAUUUUCUCAUAUUCCAUUCCCAAUGUAUUCAAUGUUUUUUUUGCUUCAUACAUAGAUAGAGGCAACUCAUUAUUUAGAGGCAACAUAUCUCCAAGAAUACUUAAAAGCUCUGAAAAGCUUUUAUCAGACCAUCCAUAUCGUGCUUUUAGGUUGUAUAAUUUGACCAAUGCAGAUAACUUUGUAAAGUUUCUACAACCAGGAUAUAAAGGUUUUUGAGCAUCUUCAAGUAAUGUUUCAAACAAUUUUGGGUCAUUCUUACGAUCAUCAUAUGCAACUUGAACUGUUUCUAUUGUACUAUCCACAUCGUUAAAUUCAACUGUAUGAUGCCAUUCUGCCCUACUAGUUGGUGGUCCACUUGGAGCAGCGUCUCCAUGCCAAUACCAUGUAUGGUAACUCUAAUCAAUUCCAUAGAAGAAUAAAUGUUCUCUAAUUUUUUGAGGAGUGUGGAAUAUCGUAUUACCACACUGAAGGCAUGGACAUUUCAUGGAGUUUUUAUAUGUGGAAUAUUGUAAUGCAAAUGCGAUAAAGCUUUCUACCCCAUCUGCAUAAUCCUUUGAUCUCCUAUCCUUUGACAUCCAAGAACGAUCCAUUUGAUGUACAAGAGAUAAACACAACUCCUAGAUACCACCAACAACUAAAGUUAUUAAUAAAAUCCUAUUAACAGGCUUAAAAUAUAUAAUCUACCAAAUUAAAAUUUCCCACAUUGUCACAAAACUUAGACCAAUCCAAAAAACGACAAUGUGCAAGUCAUCUAACAAUAAGCAAUAUGACAAGAAACAUAAUUAGUAUAUUAGGUUAUUCAAUAUUAGCAUAAAAAAUGGAUCUUAGUUCAUUCAUGAUGUUUGCUUUAUUCAUGAAUAGGAAUGAAAAGCAAGAUCUAACUUUUAGUCUUCUCUUAUAUUAUUGAAUACACUAAGUUUGAAAAUUUUAAAAACACAUAACCACAUGAGACAAUGAUACCAUGAACUAAAACAAUUAACGAAUGGAACUAAGAUUCGAAUGAAUAGAAGCAAGUGAUUUAUACAUGAUUUAGGCAUUCUAACAUCUCCAACAUCCUUAAUUAGGUGGUGGUUCCUAUCCCAUAUAGGAAUACAUAAUCCCUGUGUCAAUUGCCAAUAUACUUAAAUUCAUUUUAAAGAAAUUUCGGCAACAUUUCCCUAUAGUUCUCCAAGUACACAAAAUGGAUAAGGCACAAUAUGUGACCUUGUCCAAAUAUGCACCCAAAGAACAAGAAGAAAGACUACCAAAUUUUCUAAAAAUUGAAUUAAGAACAAGCAAUUAACUUCAUAGAUAUCAUGUUUUCCUAUACUGUCCAACUGGACAAUUCAAACAUCAUUUGCAGAGAAAAGAUCUUUAUCACAUGGAAGACAAAUUUAGUAGUUGUCAACUUGAAACUGGCUUAAAUAUACCCACAUUUCACAUUUUGACAACUUAUUGUCUUAGUAUGUAAUAAGAGAAACUUCUGUCUCACAAUGAUACUUGAAUGGGAAUUCUAAGGUUUCAUGCAUGCAUAGUUGAUUAAAACUAAAACAUAAAUACUUAUUAAAAUAUUACAUCUAGUUAUGUAUUAUAAAUUAUUCAUAUCAAUUGCAAUGGUGAGAAUAGGAAAAUAUUGUUUGUAAGCAUCACAUUUUAGGCCUAAGUUCACAAACUUUGCUAAAUCCAUUAAAGACCCACUACAUAAAGUUCAUGUUAAAAUUGGUUCAUCUCCAACCCCCAAAAUGAUUUAUCAAAGUUACUCAUUUUUUAGAGUCUUGAUUAAUUAGAUAAUCAAUAUAGAUACAUAUAAUUUGUAUUAAUAUAAUAUCAUGAUAUUUUUUUCAUUUUGUUAUUAGGCUUAGACUUGGGUAGAUUUCCCAAGUAAGGCUAAAGUAGAGCUAAGCUGCACCUUGACAUGUGUUCUACUUAUGUUGGGGGUGACCAUUCUAGUUUGGUGGAACAUCCAUGAAUGUUAUCGGUGGAACAUCCAUGAAUGUUAUCUUCUUGAUUUGGAGUAAGAACUUCAUUUUCUCAAUCGAAAUUGGCUGGAGCUUGCUGGUUCAGUUAGAGACAGAUUUGGUAAUGAAACUUGAGUGUGGGCAUCGGGUGAGGAAAAGGCUUUAUUACAUUUAUCUCUUUUUUUUAAUUGAAAAAUGUGAGUAAUUAUAAAAUGAACAGAAAAUGUCGCUUUUAAAAGCACCAAGGUUGAGGUUCUCCUACAAUGGCACUUAAAAAAGCGUCAUUAUUUGAAAUGCAUUGUACAAUGACGCUUUUAAAAGCGCCAAGGUUGAGGUUCUCCUACAAUGACACUUAAAAAAGCGUCAUUAUUUGAAAUUCAUUGUACAAUGACGCUUAAAAAAGUGCCAUUAUUUAAAAACGUCAUUAUUUCUCCCAUUAAAGCGCCAAGAUAAUGCAAGCGUCAUUAAUACCCAUUUUUGAGAAUAAAUAAUAGCACUUUAUAUAAGCGUCAAGAAAAAAAGCGUCAUAAAUUACAUUUUUUGUAGUAGUGACAAGAACUUGAUGGUCGCGGCAUUGUCGGCGACGCACGUGGCGGAAAGUCGACAGCCUGGACUAACUUUGAGAACCUUCGGCGAUGCCUCUCUCACCUCCGCUUUCUCCGUCAUAGUCUUCCUGAGGUGAAGAAGAAGAGCACAUGGCUGAAAGGCCCAAAGAGAAUGAGAAUGGAUUUGGGUUUUAGUAAGUUGGACCCAAAAGAGAAGCCCAAGUUUGUGAAGGCUUUAAUUGCCUUGGGCUUGCCCAUUGAUAUCUUUGGACCUGAGCUUGAAUUGGGGCACUAGGCCCAACUUGGUGAUGGAUUAUUGUAUUAGGUUUGCCCAAUGAAGACAUUGGACUUGGGCUUGAGUUGGAGCCCAAGCCCAGUUCGUGUGGAUGAUAGGCUCCAUGCCAAUCCUUCAAAUCAUUAUCCCAUAUUUAUUAUUUAUUCAAAGUCCAAUCUAUAAAAAAAGGUCACAUGUUUUAAUUUAAUUCUUCGAAUACUCUUUUAAAUCUCAUAUUUAUCAAUUAGAACUACUACCCUAUAUUCUCCUAUCUAUCUAUGUCAAUCCUUCAAAAAUCCUAAGAUUUAAUUUAAUUCUUGUUUAAAUCAUAUUUUCAUAAAUCAAAUCAUUAUCCCGUAUUUAUUAUUUAUUCAAAGUCCAAUCUAUAAAAAGGGUCACAUGUUUUAAUUUAAUUCUUUGAAUACUCUUUUAAAUCUCAUAUUUAUCAAUUAGAACUACUACCCUAUAUUCUCCUAUCCAUCUAUGUCAAUCCUUCAAAAAUCCAAAGUUUUAAUUUAAUUCUUGUUUAAAUCAUAUUCUCAUAAGUCAAAUCAUUAUCCUGUAUUUAUUAUUUAUUCAAAGUCCAAUCUAUAGAAAAAAGGUCACAUGUUUUAAUCUAAUUCUUCGAAUACUCUUUUAAAUCUCAUAUUUAUCAACUAGAAUUAUUAUCCUAUAUUCUCCUAUCUAUCUAUGCCUAUUCUUCAAAAACCUCACACUUUAAUUUAAUUCUUCAAGUACUUGUUUAAAUCUUAAUCUCAUAAAUCGAAUCAUCAUCCCGUAUUAUUAGUUGUUCAAAGUCUAAUCCAUUAAGAAAAUCCCAUGCCAUAAUUUAAUUCUUCAAAUACUCGUUUAAAUCUUAUGUCCAUCAAUGGGAAUUAUUAUCUUAUACAUUCAUUUAUUAUCUAGCCUAACCCUUCAAAAAUCCCAUGUUUUUUAAUUUACUUCUUCAAAUACUUGUUUAAAUCAUAUUUUCAUAAAUCGAAUUAUUAUCCCAUGUUUAUUUAGUUAUUCAAAGUCUAAUCCCUCAAAAAUCCCCUGUCUUAAUUUAGUUUCUCAGUAAUUCGUUGGAAUCUUGUUUUCAUCAAUUAUGAUUAUUAUCUCAUAUUCGUCUAUUUAUUUAAAAACUAGUUCUUCAAAAAUCUCAUGUCUUAAUUUAAUUUUUCAAUCCUAAAAAUUCUGCAAUUCAUCUAAAUUUUAUCCUCACUCAUUAGAAUCGUUAUUCCAUAUCUAUUCAAAGUCCAAUCUUUUGAAAACCCCCUGUCUUAAUUCAACUUUUGAUCCCAGAAAUGCCAUUAUUCGUCAAAAUUUUAUUCUUGUUAAUUAGGAUUCUUGUUCCGCAUCUAUUUAUUUAUAUAAGGUCCAAUUCUUGAAAAAUCUAAUUUCUGAAUUAAAACUUCAAUCCCAAAAAUUCUACUACCCAUCUUUAUUCGCCUAAAUAUUAUUCUCGUUAAUUAGUAUUAUAAUCUCAUACCUACCCAUUUAUUCAAAGCCUAAUCCUUUAAAAAUCCAAUGCCUUAAUUCAAAUUUUCAAUUAGAAAACUUCCACUAUUUUAUUCGUUCAAACAUUAUUUUUGUUAAUAAAUAUCAUUAUUCCAUAUUUGUUUAUUUAUUUAUUUCAAUCAUUAAAAUUCAACUCUUCAAAACCGGAUUUCCAAAUUUAACCUUUAGACUAAAAAACAAAAAAAUUCCACCAUUCACUUUUAUUAAUUUAAAUAUCAUCUUUGUUAUCGUUAUCAUAAAUUCCACGUUUACUUAUUUCUUUCUUCUAAAAAUUCCAAUAAUUAGAGUUUAAUUAUUCAGAGGUCCGACUUUCAAACUUAAUUCUCAAAAUCCCACUAUUCACUAUUCAUCCGUCCAAAUAUCGUUUUGAUUAAUUAGUAACAUUACUCCAUACUUACCCAUUUGUUUCUCUUAAAAAUCUCAAUCAUUAAAGUCUAAUUCUUCAAAUUCCGAUUUUUAAAUUUAGCUAUUUGAAAUUCCAAUUGUCCUAUCUCCGAACUUAAUUUUCAGUUUCCCAUGCUCCAAUUCCCGUAUUUAUCCCGCUACUUAUUAUUAUCAUUAUCACUAUCAUCUUAUUCAUUAUUUCUAUAAAUCCUACCUUCGAAUGAUUUCCAAGACCUCUAAUUUUUAUACAUCAACUUUCAUAAUUUCUACUUCUCAAAUAACUUACGAUUCUGAUCCCUUUCAAAAUUUAACUCCCAUAAUCCCAAUUUUUGUAACUUAGUUUUUCUUAAAAAUCCCGAACUUUCAAAUAAUUCUUCAAAAUCCCAAUUUUAUUUCAAAUUUAAUUUCUAAAAGUUCUCAUUCUUACAUCUAAUUCCUAAGAAUCCAAUUUUCAAAUAAUCUCUAAGAUUCCGAUUCUCAAAUGAAUUUCAAAAACCCAGUUUUCCUUCGAACAAUUUUAAUCCCUGUUUAGUGAUGCAUGUGAUAUGUUUUGUGCUCUAUAUGGUGUACUAACCCUCUCUAUUGAUAGCGCAUGGUGACUCGUUGCCCAGGUAUGUACCCAUUUUCCCUCUAAUCGUUGUCUAUGCAUGUCUCGAUUUUUAUGUGUGCAUGAUCAUUCAGAAUAUUCAUUGAUUUACUUAUCAAUUGCCACGUUAGCUUCAUUUUAUUAGUAGAGCCCCACUUUAGGGACUUAGAGGGGUGCUAUGGUCUUCACCGUACCUUCCCGAUAAGUAACCUGACCCCUAGCCCGAUCCGGUUUUUUAUAGAUCACCUUUUCCAAAAUAAGGAGUCGCACUUAGGGUUUUCUUUCUUAUUUUGUUUACCCUUUUUUUAAAAAUAAAACAAAAAUAAGUGGUGACUCCAAGUCAUUUUCUUAAUCAAUUAAAUUCUUUUGUUCAAAUUAAAAUCGAGCUCGCCAUCGAGUGGGAAACGCAUGAGCCGAAAUGUGGGGUCCACACUUGUACAUCCCAUAAAAUGACAUUAUGCUUUUAUCUAGAAGUAUUUGAUUUUAAUGUCAAUAAUUUAAAACCAUCCUUAAUAAUUAAUAAUAAAAUAAUAUAUAAUUAUAAAAAAAAUAAAUUUUUUAAAUUAAAAUCAUUUAUUUUGUUUUUAACUUUUACUUUAUAUAUAAAAGAAAUAAAAAAAAUUGAAUUUGGUUUGUAUUGAUUAUACAAAAUAUAAAAAUAGAUUUAUCAUGUACAACCAUAACAUUGUUAGUCUUCUUAUGAAAGCCUAAAAAUAAAUCCAAAUUCUAAAUGCAUAAGAUUAAAAGAAAAAAAACAAAAAAACAAAAAAAAAGCAUGAAAACAUUUGAGAACCAUAGUAUAAGUCUUCAUCAUACAAAAACAUAAAAUUUAAUCCUAAUUGUAAAUGUAUAAGAUAAAAAAAAUAAAAAUCAUACUUUUUUAAUAAUAUUAUAUUUUACUUUUAAUAUGUAUAUGAAUUUAUAAUAUAAUAAUUAACAUUUUAAUAAUAAUUUUCUUCGAUUCUUCUUCUUUUUUCUUUUUGUUAAUUUUCUUCUUAAUAUUUUUUAGAGAUAUACAAAGGCUAUGGAUCACUUCAAAGAAAAUAUAUAUUUUCAUAAAUUAUAUUAGUAAUUAUUAUAAUUCUAAAUAUAAUCUAUUAUAACAUUUUUUUCUUUUUAAAACACCAUAUAUUUAUAAGACCAAAAGAGAUUGGUUUCUUUAUAUUUAUCUUAUUUAAAAUAUAAAAUAUUUAAUCAAGUAUUUUUUAAGUAAUCUUGAAAUUUUUUUAAAAGAAUAAAAUCUCAAAAUAAAAACUUGUCCUAAAACUUGUUGUUUUAUACUUGGAAACUUUAAACCAAUUAUCAAAGUUUUAAAUAAUUAAUCUUUUAUAACAUUUUUACUUCUUAUAUAAAACACUAGAUAUCUAUAAAACUAGAAGAAAUUGAUUUCUUUAUAUUUAUCUUAUUUAAAAUUAAAUAAUAUUUAAUUAAGCAUUUAUGAAGUAAUCUUCAAAAUUUUGAAAAUAAUAAAAAUUAAAAAUAAAAAACUAUCCCAAAAUUUUUUACUUCAGAAUUGGAAAAUAUUUAAAGAAUUGGUAAGUAAUAUUGUAAAAUAUUAAAUGGAAACAAAAAUAAAAAAAGAAAUCAAAAUAAAAAGUUUUCCUAAACUCUCCACAAAAAUCCUCUAUUCUGUUUCUCCUUAAAUAGCAUCUCCAUUAUUUCAAGCCCAUCACCAUAUUCAUUGUCCAUCACCACAGACUGCCAUCAACUACUGUUGUUGAGCAUGGACUACUGUUGUUGCUGACCAUGGACUGUUAUGGAAUACUACUAUUGCUGAUUGUGGACUGUUGUUGUUGCUGACCUUGGACUGCUUCUAUUGAUCGCUUGUUAUCGUGGUCCCAUGGUGCUUUACAACAUUGCAAAAAAAGCAAAUCAGGUAUGUUAUCACCACUUUAUAUUUUUAUUUUAUUUAUUUUUAGAAUUUCUUGCUUAUUAAUUAAUUAGAUACAGAAAAAUAUUCUAUGAGCUUUUGAUUUUUACCUUUUCUUGAAUAAAUACUUUGUUGUGUUUUGAGUUAUGUAAUAGGAGUUGUUUGUGGCCUAUUAUUAAUGAAUUCAUCAAUGCUGUUAUCAACUUACCACCAAUUAUUCAGCCCUAACCAAUAUUUAAGAGAGUGAGAUCUUGAUUAUACAUCAUAAUAUCUAUCAUUAAAGUUGUUACAUACACACAAAUUUAUAUAUUAUUCUUUUAAGGGAAUUCAAUUAGCGAAAAUGAAAUAAAGAAAAUUAAAUUAAUAUCAUGUGUGAAAUAUUUUUUUUUUAUAUGGUUAUAGAUGAAAUGAAAAAUAUAAAGUUUUGUUAUUUUAUUAUUGUAGUUAUAGUUCAAUAUAUAAGCUCAUAGAAAAAUAUUCUAUGAGCUUUUGAUUUUACCUUUUCUUGAACGAAUACUUUGUUGUGUUUUGAGUUAUGUAAUAAAAGUUGUUUGUGGCCUAUUAUAAAAGAAUUCAUAAAUGCUGUUAUCAACUUACCACCAAUUAUUCAACCCUAACCAAUAUUUAAGAGAGUGAGAUCUUGAUUAUACAUCAUAAUAUCUAUCAUUAAAGUUGUUACAUACACACAAAUUUAUAUAUUAUUCUUUUAAGGGAAUUCAAUUAGCGAAAAUGAAAUAAAGAAAAUUAAAUUAAUAUCAUUUGUGUGAUAUAUUUUUUUUAUAUGGUUAUAGAUGAAAUGAAAAAUAUAAAGUUUUGUUAUUUUAUUAUUGUAGUUACAGUUCAAUAUAUAAGUAUAUUUAGAAACCCACUUUAUAAGUUAUUUAAAACAUUAAACCAAUUUUCCAUUAGAAUUGGUAAUAAGCGUAAAGAAUGAAUAAAGUAAAAAGUGUAAAUAAGGAAUAGGGUUGUUCGAAAUAUGCAUAUAAAAACAUUAGUAGGUCAAAAUAUAUGACCAACCAUGACUAGCUAUCCUUUUAUGUAAGUUAAUUUAUUUAUCUUGGAUAUUGAGCCAAUUGUCAAGGAAAAUAUAAAAUAUUUAUAUUUAGUUAUAAAGUAGUAAAUAAUGAAAUUCAUAUUUUAAGAUUGGAGUAAAAUGAAAUUUGUAUCAUUUUUACCUCAACUAUAUUGUUUUGAUAUUUAUAUUAAAUAUUGACACUAAUUUUGAAAAUUGUGGAUUUGAGAAAAAAAACUUCACUUUUUCAAAGAGGUUAUUUGUAUCAAAUUACAAUAAAAAACUAUUUAAUUAUUAUUUAUAGGCAUAAAAAAAAAUAUUUAUUGAAUAAAAAUUAAUUUAUCACCAGCUUGUUUGGCAUUUUAAUGCUCCUAUAAUUUGGGCUUGACAAAAAUUUACCUUUUAUUCCUUGUUUUAUAUAUACGUUUUUUUAUUUAUGUAUUGAUUUUUAUGAGAAAAUAAUUCAUAGACAUAUUUCCUACUUAUAAAUUCAAGAUAUAUAACAUAGAUUCAUAGUAUAGUUUAGACAUUUCAAAAGUUAAGAUUGGGGUAAAAUAAAGUUUUGUAUCAUUUGUACCUCAACUAUAUUAUUUUGACAUUUAUAUUAAAUAUUGACACUAAUUUUGAAAAUUAUAGAUUUGAGGAAAAAACUUCACUUUUUCAAAUAGGUUAUUUGUAUCAAAUUACAAUAAGAAACUAUUUAAUUAUUAUUUAUUGGCAUAAAAAAAAUAUAUUUAUUGAAUAAAAAUUAAUUUAUCACUAGCUUGUUUGGCAUUUUAACACUCCUUUAAUUUGGGCUUGACAAAAAUUUACGUUUUACUCCUUAUUAUAUAUAUAUAUUUAUGUAUAUAUAUUUAUUUAUGUAUUGAUUUCUAUGAGAAAAUAAUUCAUAAAUAUAUUUAUUUAUUUAUGAUUUUAAUUUAAAAUUUUUAUUUCUUUUAUAAUUAUAUAUUAUUUUAUUAUUAAUUAUUAAGGAUAGUUUAAAAUAUUGACAUUAAAAUCAAAUACUUCUAGAUAAAAGCAUAAUGUCAUUUUAUGGGAUGUACAAGAUUACGUAAAUAAUAGAUGCUUAUACUAUUAUAGAAUUAACUAAAACUUUUAUAAAAAUCUUUAUAAAGGAUUAAUUUUAAAAAAUAUAAAUUUAUUGUCUUAUAUAGUUAACAUUAGAAUUUUCUCUCUCUAAAGAAUAACCAUAAGAAAUAUCUAUAAAAAAUUAAGUAAAUGAGAUGAUUUUAUAGAAAAGAUGAGAUUGGUAAAACAUUAUAUUGUUAAAUUAUUAAAAGAGAAAUGAGUUUUUUUUUUUAUUUUUAUUUUUAUCAACUUUAAGUCAUAUAUAAAUUUUUAUAUUUCUUUUAAAAAAAUCAAUUAGAAAAUUAAGAAAAAAGAAGAAGAAUUGAAAUAAAUUAUUAUUAAAAUGUCACUAUCUUAUAAAUUCAUAUAUGAAUUAUAAUAAAAAUAUAAUAUUAUGAAAAAAUCAAUGUAAGUUACUAUUAAAAUUUUAUUAUCUUUUACAUUUAGAGUUUGGAUUCAUUUUUUCACUUUAAUACGAAGAAGACUAAUAGAGUUAUGGUUGUCAAACCCCUUUUUAUAUUUUUGUAUAAUCAAUUUAAUCCAAAUUUGACUUUUAUAGAUAUAUAAAAUAAAAAUUUAUAUACAAAAUAAGUUAUUUUAAUGUAAUAUUUUUUUAAUUUUUUUUAUACUUUAAUUUAGAAUAUUGACAUUGAAAUAAAUUACUUACAAAUAAAGACAUGAGAUGAUUUUAUGGGAACAACAAAAGUAGGUAAGUAAUAAAUGUUUAUACUAUUAACUAAAAUUAUUUUAUUUGUACAUUCGCAAUUUGGAUUGAUUUUUAUCCUUAAAUAACAUAAGGAGGAAGACUAAUAAAACUAGGGUUAUCACGGUAACUAAAUUUUUUAUUUUUGCAUCAUAUAAUCAAUUUAACAUCGAUGGUAAGAGUGGUAGGAAUGAUGGCUUCAGCAUCAGCAUCAAUCCAGAAGUCUAAAUCUCAGUAAGAGUGACAGCGAUGAUGGCUUCAACAUCAAUAGUGGCAAUCUACCCUCCUACUAAAACUCCACCAUGACUCGAUUAGUAACACCAUCAAGAGUAGUAACAUGAUCUUCAGUAGCUAGCUACACAAGCAAUUUCCAUUGAUUGAGCCUUUUCACCCUUCAUCACUUCUGUCUUAUCAACUACCUGAUGAUCUUUAGGUCCAAGCAUUGACUCCCAAUGAGAAGAAUCUGAGUCUACCUCAAUAAUAAUAACUGAGUCAACUUCCUUUGCAUGCUGCUCUUGCUCUCUAGUCUAAUUAGUACCUUCUUGAUGCUCUUCCUCUUCUCAUCUUCUUCUUCAGCUUCUUCCUUAGCUUGCACCUCAUUAACAUCAGCAGUAACAACAUCUGGAAUUCCCCCCACCUGAAGGUCUAUAUCAAAUGAAGGAACCUCAUGUCCUUUCCUUUAGCGAUAAGAGCUUCACACAGUCAGUUAACAGCUCUAUGGCCUGUCCAUCCUUUGCAUAAAUUGGAGCUUUACUUACAUAAAAUAUGGAAUAUCUCCUGAAGAUAAAGUGGGGACAGUAGAAAUAGUCGAAGGACCUUGUGUAGAACUUGUGACUAAAGGUACAUGAGCAACUGCCUCUUCAACUAUUCUGACCAUCUGCCUCAUCCUUUUCUUUGUACUUCUUUCCAUGAAAAUUCUGUAAAAUUUCCAAGCUUCCACUUUGUAAAAUUUUGUAGCGUCAUAUUUUUCCUCAUUCCCACUGAAUUUAAAACUCUUUCUAAUUGAAUAGCCAGUGAAAAACUUGGACAAUGCCAAUGCAUACUUCUUGCUGUGAGAAGUCUUGUUUUCAUUCACUUUUUCCACAAUAUAUAAAAACGUAUCCACCAUCAAUACAUGAGAUCACCAUCCCCCCUUACAUAAACAAUACAAUUCCUCUAAAGGAAAACCUCUCCUUUCUGUGACAUGUCUAUAAGGAGAGAAAUUGGUUCUAUACACCUGAUCCACAAACCAUAGCUCCUGUGAUGCCUCUAGUCUUCUGGCAGUUGUGGGAGAGCUAAAACCACAAGGCACUGAAGUGGCCACCAUCCUCUGGGAAGUAGGGUUAGUGUAAGGUAGAAAAUUUCCUCCUUAAGAUGGCAUUGUAGGCAACCCAAAAGCCUAUGCCAAAGAUUUUUCAGUGAUCAUCCCCUCUCUUUCAUUAAUGGAAAAAUGUAACACAGAUUUUCCAGGGGCUCUCCUCUCAAAGAUAGCAUAAAAAUCUCUCACCACAAUAGGAUAAACAUAAUCUAUGGAAUACACCAUAGGCUCUAUCCCAUAUCUCCUCAUUAGCUCCAUUGAACUCAUUGUCUCUGGAAAAGUAAUGUAUUCAUCAGGCACCAAAUAAUCACUGUCUGCCAAUAAGAAUGCAUUCCGGUUUCCUUUAGACUGGUAACUACAGCUUUUCCCUUCUUUUUUUCUGUCAAUUUCUUUGGCUAAACUUUUUCUAUUUCUUUAUCCUUCUUCUCAUCUCUUUUAGCUUUCUUUAUAGCUUCCUCUGGAGUCAUUUCAGUUCCAGGCUCUUUCUUCUGUCUGUUCAUAGUCUCUUUAUUUGGCUUCUUACUUGGUGUGGUUACUGCCACAUUCUUCUCCAUAGGAGACUUCCCUUUCAAAGGAGAUUUAUCCUCAGAUUGCACCUCUUUUUCUUUCCACUUUUUAUUCUUCACAGCUUGUAGUGAUUGUUCACUAGCUAUCAUCAGUCUAGGUGAUCCAUCAAUAAUGAUUCUUCCUAUCUGCUCAAUGACAGGUUGUACAUCAAUCCUUUUCAUAGUUGGGGCAUCUAAAUCUGAAUCAGUGGAUUCAGAUUCGUAGACCAUUAGUGCCUAACCCUUAUCUUUAUCCUUUUUUUCAUUCUGCAUUUUCAGAGUGCAAACAAAAAUCCGAAAACAUAUUACAAACAAGCUUGACAUUUCCAAAAACAGUAUAUAUUCAUUCAGAGUCAACAGAUAUUCAUAGAAAAUAAUUAAGGCAUAUUAAUGAAGAAAGGAUACAAAUGGCAGAGUUCAUCCAAACAUUCAUUCAAAGACGCAAAAUCUAUCCAGAAGGAUCAUUGCACAUGCAUAUGUUAACUUUGAUAUAUCCAUGUACAGAUUCUCAAACAAACAUCUGUUAUAGUAAAUAUAAGGGGUGCAAGUUAAAAACACUCCAAAAUUCAAUUUUAAGCACUGCAAGAUGACAAGUAGGAAAAAGCGCGACUAUAAUAUUUAGGUACAAAUCAAGUAGACAGCAGCACAUAGUAACUAUAAGGGGUGCAAAUAAAUCCUAUAGUUGCAGCCACGUGUAAACAUGGGACUAGAGGGUGUGAAACUGUAGCUGCGACCAUGUAUUUUCUUCUACUAAAGGUUCUAUUAGCUGCAGCUUCUCGUGGCCAUGACUACAAGGGUGUGAUGAAUAGGAAACUUAAAAAUAUAUUGUUUAUACACACGUGAUUUGAAAUUCAUUUCUAUGGUGAAAAAAUUUAUUAAAAUAUAAUUAUGUGAAGAAAAGAAACAAUAGUAAUUGUGAACCCAUUUUUAUUUAUAAAUUUCUGUUAUUAAUUAGUUCACUAUUUGAGUUUCAAACUAUUAUUUAAAGAAUACUAGACUCGUUAAUAAAUUCAAUGCAUGAAGUUUUGUUUUAUUUAAAGUUUAUUUAUCUAGUGAAAAAAAAAAAUUUUAAAUUGGUUUUAUGUAUAAGAAAAAAAAUAGUCAUUUUUGACAAUUUUUUGUCAAAAAAUUUCUAAUAUUAAUUUGAUCACUAUUUGAGUUUCAAGUUAUUUAUAAAAAUUAUUAGUUAUUAGCAAAUCUAAGCAUCAAGUCUUGCUUGAUUUGGACUUUAUUUGGGUAGUGAAUUUUUUUUUUUUUGCAAAAAUAUGAUUAUAUGUAAAGAAGAAACUAGUCCAAGUCAUUCAAAAUAAAUCCUAAUUUAUGACUUUAUAAUGUUAUUGGGUUCCAUGAUUAGUAAUUAAAUUGGGUUUUAACUUUCAAAUUAUUUUUACAAAUUAAUAAAUUUUAUAUAUAAAGUGUAAUUUGAUUUUGAAUUUAUUUAUUUAAUGGAAAGUUUUUAUUAAGGUAAAGGAAAUGUUGAAGGAGUCAAUGUUUUUGUUAUGGAUCUGUUGGGUUGUCCUAGUCUCAAGGUUAUCUAUUUUUUUGUUCUUUUGAUUUGUUGCAAAACAUGGUUGAAUUUACGUAGUUUAUAGGAGUUAGUCUUUACAUGGUUCAUGGUCUUAGCUAGUGGUUAAAAGUAGUGGAUUAGAGGUCUUUAUUUUCUUAGCAAUUUCCCAUUGGUGUACUGCCUCUUUAAAAGGCUAUUUGGUUGAUGAGAGAAGAUCAUCAAAAGUAAUUUUCUCUUCCAACUUUUCUAUACAUUUUUUAGCUUAAUCAAUUUUUUGUACUCUUCCAAGAUUUUUCCUCUACUUGUAAUAGUGGUAUCAGAGCUGGUUGAAAAUUGAGAAAGUGAGAAAAGUUAAGAGCCAAAAUAAAAAGAAAGGACGUGAGAUAAAGAGAAUUUUAGUAGCAGUUCUUAUUUCACUUUAUUUUGUUUUUGCAACAGCAACAGUAAGGGAUAGCCUCUAAAAACUUUGUCUAACUUAUAAUCCCAUACUUUGAUGGUCACUAUAUAUGACCAUUGGAGCAUGUUGAUGGAGAAAUCCUUUAAGGUCUAAGGAGUAUUGGCAGGUUGUCUUUGACAGAGUAGCAGAAUCGACAAAUAAUUUGUAGAUAGAGUACACGGACUUUUCAAGGCUUGAGCACUUGUCCUAAGGGGGUCAUGGUAUGUUUGUCUUCAAACCCUAGUGCCCAUGACCAACUAAUUGGUACUCAUAUAUUGACAUUGUGCUUGUUAUAAAAGCUAAGAACCAGUUAGCACUCUGAGGAAAUAAAAAUCUAAGAAAUUGUACCUUGUUCUAAAGAGAUUGGGGAGAAACCUUAAAGGGUAAGUGGCCUUUCAUCAUCCUCAAUACCUAGUGUCUUGGGAAGAAUCUUAGGAGUUGUCAAUUGAUCUUUACUAAGCUACAUAGAAGGAGCUUUCCUAGGAUGGACAUGUGAAAUAAAAAAAGAAAAAAGAAAAUAGAUAUGAAAAACAAUGGAAUGAAAAAGCAGAAAAUGAGAUAAAAUGGCGCUCUUCCAAAACUAGUCAUGAACAGUUUAUCUUAGGUAGAGGAAGGAAAUUCUUAAAAUAGGUGCUCCAUGAGGAUGCUCUUAAGCUAACAUUUGAGUUUUGUUAGGAAAUCACUUGUGAAGUUGAUGUCGAAGAGACUAAUGGAUUCUAAACAUUGAGGCAUGCUUUUGUAUACAUUUAUAUGGUGAGUGAAUCUUUUUGGAGUUAUGCUAUUUGACUAUGAGCUUAUUCUUGAAGGGAUAAUAUGUUUUCAGUAACUGAAUUUAUUGAAGCUAAUUCAUGCUAUUUAGUAGUUGUUGUCUUAAUUGCUUAGGAGUUUUACUCUUUAUUUAUUUCUAGAGACCAACAAAAUUUAGGUUGGGGAGGAAAUGAUUUGUGCUUUAAGUCAUGGGUUUUUUCUAUUCCCUAAAUGGUAGAUUCUAUAAUGAAAAAGAACGUAAACUACUCUCUUCAGUUUAUAUAUAUGCUAGUACCUAACUGGUCUGAGUUCUUCAAUUUCAUGUCCAAUGGAGAAAUUAAAGUUAAGGUCAAUCUCAGGAGAUUAAUAAUUGGCUCUGGUUUCAGAGAUAUGAAUAUGCUCUAGCUUGACAUUCUUGAAGUGGAUUAGCAGAGUGGGAUUCUCUACUCAGCUGAUUGCCUUUUCACUGAGUUCCAAGGAUCAAUAGGAGAUCGUGGAUUUGUUGACAUUCUCAUUCUGAGAGCAACUGCAUCAGUAUCAUACAUGUUUGCCAGUUGGCAAUAUAAAAUUGGUAUUUUGGUUCAUAUUUUCUACAACCUGAAAGCCACUAUCACUACCACCAACUAUAUGAAUAGGCAUCAAUUCUUCAGGACGAUGAAGAAGGUAGAGCAUAUCACUAGCUCAAAUGGAGGAAUGUGGUCCCAUAAUUCUUUAGGAAAUAAGUAUCUAGAAACAGGUAAAAAGAACCAAGAAUCUUGAAAGACUUCUUUCAUCUUGUUCAUGUUGCCUAAAGGACAACCUGUGGGCCUUUGAAUUAUGUAUUGAAACUAUCAAGUCAACUGGAAUAGAUUCAUUUCUGAAGCUGCAGGGUUUAUGGUCAACCAUAUACCAAACCCAAAGUUCUUCAGUAGUCUAUUGAGAAAAUCCCAUUUGGAACCUAACCAUGAGAAAGUCCCAGGUUUGUUUAAGGCUGGGCUGAACCUAUGUGCAACCUUCUGUCUUCUGGGACCUUCUCUAACUAUAGUUUCAUCAACACAACACAGCUAGCCUUGUCCCAGCUACUAAGGCUGGGUAAAACUAUUCUGAAUUAUUGUUCCAUGCAUAUCUUGUUUGUGAAUGAUCUCCACUAGGAUCGACUCUUAAGUAUGUACCGAUCAAGAAUCAAAUCUUGUUUGUGAAUUAUUGCUCCAUACAUUCGCCUGACCGUUGGAUGGGUGAAGAGGCAAUGCAGAUACUUGUCCUAUAUUCCCAUAGGUAUCAAACUUCAGUGCAGUAGUUGACACAUUGACUACCUUUCUGAGGUUAGGACAAGAUAAACUCAUUAGUGGAUGGAGAAUAGAAGACCAUAUACUAAUUUAUGUGGUUCAGAAUUUGAAUAAAGAUCAUGAUAAUAAGUGCGAGAUUCGCGCAUCUUUGGAGUGUUUCAAGUUGCAGCUAGAUUGCCUAUAUAAAGAGCAUGGAGGUUUAUAAUUUCCAGUAUCAGCAACAAAGAGCAGGUGUGAAUUAUAGAGAGUAAAUAGGGAAGUUGUCAACCUCCCUCAAAGGCUUCCAAUUUUCCUGGCUAAUUAUCAAGGUAAGAAAGUUGGAAGCCGGUGGGGGACCUUGAAAGCUUACCCCAGAAUCAAUAUUACUCAUCUGGUUAUUUGGUAUCAGUUUCCCUGAUCAUUAGGAAGACAGUAAGAUUGAUUUCAGGUGAGAUGUUUCCCCUUCUUCUCAAAAAAACUGCAAACUUUUUAGAGAUUUAUGCUUAUGGUAUUUUAAGAUCCCGUUUGAUAGUAAUUUUAAGAAGUGUUUAUAAUAUUUUUAACACUUAAAAAUUAGUAUCAUUCAAGUGUGAGAAAGGUUAAAAACGUUUUCUAAAAUCACUAUCAAACGCAAUUAAUCUAAAUCAUUUAUUAGAAAAUAGAUUUGGGAUAAGGUGGAAAACUCUUAGUACCACAUUAUUACCAAUCUUAUUUCAUUGCUCCUUUCACCCACACCCUCAAGAGUGUCAUCACUAGUUAUAGGGCAUUUUUAUCCUAUCAACUAAUGAUCAGGGUUUAUGAAGCAUUUUAAACACUGCCUUAUUAUGCAAUUAUUUAGAACCAUACCUUCUAUGGAUGAUCCCACAAUUUUGAUAGGGUGUUGUUUGGUUUUUGGGGUAAGUGAGGAGAGAAAAAAAUAAAUUAAAUUUUGGAGUUUAUGUUCUUACAUUUGGCAUUAUGUUUUAAUUGGUAUUAUUAAUAGAAAAAUAUUUAAGGACAUAUAGUGGAAUUUGAUUAGUUGUUUGUUUGAUCUAUGGGAGAAACGAGGAGAUAAGAAAAUAAAAUUAGAUUUUGGGGUAUAUUCUUAUUCUUACAUUUCGCAUGAAAGUAUAAUUUUUUUUCUUCUCUAGUUUCUCCAUGUUUGAAAUUGGUGUUUUAUUAGAAAAAAUGAAUUUAAGUUGAGUUUUGACCAAUUGUUGUUUGAUUUCUAGGAAAGGGAGGGAGACUAGAAGAAAGAAGGAUUUUGAAGCUUUCAUUUUAAGUAAUGCUAAUUUUACAUUUUUUAGGCAAACAAAGAAUUUCUAUAGGUGAUAUAAAUUCCUUAUUUGGUUGCUGAGAAAACAGAGGGAAGGAAGAAACAACAUAUAUACAUUUUGGAGCUUAUUUUCUUGUCCUAUUCUUGUUCUUACAUUUUCCAAGCAAGCAAAAAGGGUGUAUUUUUAUCUGGGCAAUAGAAGUUCAUCCUUUUUGUUUUUUUUUUAAUGUUUAUUUUGUUGUAACAAGUUCAACUGGAGUUAAAAAGGAGGUGUUUUGUGUGCAAUCCUGCACAUGUUUUGAGCUCUCUAAGAAUUUUGUGGCCUCUUUGUGCGAUUAGUAUUGGAAAUGAGUUAAUUAUAUUAUGCUUUGUUUGGAUGGGGAAAACUACAAGAGAAACAAAGCAAAUAUUUUCCUGAGUUCUAGGGCUUGUUUGUUGUCUUAGUUUUCAAAAGAUGAGAAGUUUUUCCUUCCUUGACUAAGGUGUUUGUUUUGAUAAUCAUAAGUGUUGAACUUUUUUUCUUUUGUUUUUUUAUCAGGUUUUGCAAGUUGAGGGAUUUCUCAUUCUUUUCUUGUAAUCUCUUAUUUUUAAAGAAUAUGUUUUUGUUUUUGAUAAAAAGUUCAUAAUUGUUGAAAAAAAAUGUGAAAAUCCCUACAAUCCAUUUAGUGCAUUUGAUCUAUGUAAAUAGAUUUAAUAGCUCCUUUUUCCUUUGAAAGCUCAAACUCUAGUGUCUCUUCUUAAGAUUUUUCCUUUUUAUUAUUUAAACUUCUCUUUUUUAAAUUAUUUAUACAUUUACAAUAUCAAGUUAGUUGAACAAAACAUUCAAUUUUUCUAUAACUCAACCAAACAUGUUUUUGUUGUUUUCGAGAACAAAAACUAUUUUCCAUAAUUUAGUUCCUAAACACAACUUUUUUUUUUUUUUUUUUUCUGAAAACACAAAAAACUGUUCUUAAAAACUAUUUUUCAUAAUAGUUUUCAAAGACACCAAUCAAACAAACCCUAAUAUUUUGACUUUAAGCAAGAAGAGUACCAAUCUCCACAUUUUGUAAUUUAAUAUCUAGGAGUUGCUAGAAACUUUUGCUCUGAUAUUUACAAUCAACCCUUGAGAAAUUGAGAUCUAUUUGGUUACCACAUGACUCAGGAGGUUUAUUAGGAUUUGGAUUAAGGUUGUUAUGGUUGAUAGCAUUGACUUAUCCUCAUGCAUAAUUGGCUUUGCUUGCAUCUAUUGACUUAUUGUCAUACAUAAUUGCCUUUGUUUGCUAGAAAAUUUUGCUGUAAUAUUUAUAAUCAACCAGUGAGAAAUUGAGAUCUAUUUGGUUACAUGUCUCUGGAAGUUUAUUAGGAAUGGGAUUAAAGUUGCUAUAGUUAAUAACAUUGACUUAUCCUCAUGCAUAAUUGGCUUUGCUUGCUAAACACUUUUGCUCUGAUAUUUAUAAUUAAUCCUUGAGAAAUUGAGAUCUAUUUGGUUACCACAUGGCUCAGGAGGUUUAUUUGGAAUUGGAUUAAAGUUGCUAUAACUGAUAACAUUGACUUAUCCUCAUGCAUAAUUAGCUUUGCUUGCAUCUAAUUUUUGUAAGUUAAAUAUUUUUUCAUGUUGAAAAGUUGGGUGCAUAGUUGCCUUUCAAAUAUAUUUGAAUAAAUAAAAAAUUUGAUAAAGCUAGAAAGGGUAGGCAAAAGGAAAUAAGAGGUUAUAUAAUACACCAUGGAAUAAUUAAAAUAUUCAAUAAAAUAUUUUUUUAAAUCCCCAAAUUUAGGUUUCAUAUCCACAUGGAAAGUUGUCAGAAACAACUUUAAUGUAAAAAAAAUUUAAGAAAAAUUACAAAAAAUUAUGUAAAUGUGAAAUGGAAUAGUUAUUUUAAAAAUAUGUUUACUACAAAUGGAGUUAGAAAGAAAAAUUAUUGUAGUUACAACAAUAAAUUGCUAUCAGGUUUUUAAAAAACUCAAAUUAUUAGGAUAUAAAUCAAACAAAAACAUAGUGAAUGAGGACAAAAAUUACAUAUUUAGUUAUAUUCAUUAUACUCAAAUAUAUCAAUAAAUUGUUUAAUAUUAAAAAUUUCUAUUUAUUAUUUAAGAAUACAAAAUAAUAUUUGAGUUGAAAGAAGAUUUUUGUAUUUCUUUUCUUUUUAUCUCAUUUAUGUAGAAUAAAAAUGGUAAACCUUACAGUGGGGGCUACUUGUGGCAUGUCUCAUAAAGUUGUUAUCUAUAUUUUUUUUCUCUCUUGGUUUGUUGAGGAGAAAGGACUAUAUCUAGUAUUGCAUCCCUAUCUAAUAGGAAUAAUAAACUUCCUUUACCCAUAUUGAAAAUCAAUCAAAUUUGAUGACUGUUUGAGAAUCAUAUAUAUAUUAAACAAUAUGAAAAACCAUAAAUGUAGGUGAAAGUAGGCCAAGAAGGUGAUGACCUAUAUAUGACCACAAAGACAAUAUAAUUAUUUUGCAAUUUUUAAUAAUAACACAAUUCCACCACAACUUGAAAUUAUUAUACAAGAGAGACCAACUUUACUAUAAAAUUAUAGAGAAGCAAAUUGGAAAAUGUGUACACAGCCACAUCUAAUCAACAUGAAGCAUUUUUUUUAUUGGAAACUAAUAGUCAAUUAUGAGUAGAAAUUUUAAUUUAUUAACUUACUAGUUGUAACUACUUUUCUUGUUAAAAUUUAAGUUUGGGAUUAUGAGUGCUUGUGGGUUGUUAUAAUGUUGGCAUAUAAAUGCUAGAUUCUUGUUUGAAACUUAAUAUUAUUUGUUGUGUUGUGACAAAUUUGCAGAUGAAAGUUUCCUUACACUAAAACUAAAUUUGGUUAAAUUUGAAAUUCAAAAUUUAAAUUACUUAUAUAUUACAUUUAUAAUUUGAAAAAUGUCUUAAAAAUGUAAGAUAUCUUACGAAAAUGUUGAUAGAAAUUUUGAUUUACUAACUUAUUAGGUUUUAUUUAUUUUUUUUAAAAAAUGGUUUUGUUUUAUUGUUCUUUUUCAUUCAUAUAUAGAAGAAGAUACUAGAGCACCAACACAAACCAAUAGAAAAGGAAGUUGUGAUCAUGACUGAGUUAGAAAUUUGUGAGAAAAGUGACCAAUUGGAGACCGUCCGUACUACAACAGUAAGAUCUACAACAUCAACAACCUUGCAUCAUCUAUGAUUAGACUAAGGGCCUUGAUUAUGCAUAUAAUGGAUCUUCCUUACCUUUUCUGUCUAUGUUGAUAUGGUUAUUUUGGGAUGGCAUUUUAUUAACCUAAUAUUUUAUUUUAUUAACAUACACAUUCUAAUCUUAUAAUCAUUUAAUAUUGUUACAUAUAUUAUCAACGAAGGUAUACAAUACAUAUUUUGAUUUUUGUAAGCAUAUUUUUUAAUGAAAAUUUUCAUUACAAUGUAUUAAUUGGGUACAAAUAGUACUAAAAAUAUAUAUAAUUACACUAUUGAAAUGAAGUAAUCCAAGUAUUCCAACAACUCCCCACUAACUUGCAAGGGCAUGAUAUGAGAUUUUAUUGAAUCCUAUUUAAACCUAUUACUUGUGGCCUUAAAGUUUUCUCAUUAAUUGUUCUUCUAAUUUUUUUAAUUUCCUUUUAUCACAAGGAUAUUGUUUGAAUGCUGCCAAAGCGGGAUAUGAUGUCUUGUUUCCUUUUGUAUGGUGUUGACCUAAUGUGAUCUCUAUUUCACAAGAUUAGAAGAAUGAUUAAAAUGUAUGCUGUUUUUCUCUUGCUUCACUUUUAAUGUGUAGCCUAUAUUGUACUCAAUCUUAGGUGGUGUUUGUUUUUUUACUUAAUUCUAAAUAGAACCUUAAUGCUUAAUAGUGUUAAAUAUUAGGUUGUUUGUUUUUAUAGUAUUUUAUUUCUAUUAAGUAUUAAAAAGUAAAAAAAAAACCAAUAUGUUAUUUUUUCUAUUUAGAAAAAACUACAUAUUUUGGCUUUUUCUAUUUAGUAAAAAGUUUAUAUUAAGUCAUGAAAAAGUAGAAAAACAAAUAAUCUAAAUUCUGAAAACAAAUUGCUUUCAGCAAAAAGCCAAAAAAACAAACACCACCUUAAUGUAAAUCUCAACCAUCAAUACAUCAUUUUAAUUUGUUAGAUAGGUUCAUGAAAAUUUCAUACGAGUUGCUAAUACUAUCGAUAUCUCUUGUACUCAUUUCAAUAUUCUUCAAUUUCUUUAUAAUUGGAUUCCAUUAAUAUACUCAGUAAGUCAUCAUUGACAGUUUCACCCACCUUCAUAGCUUUCUCUCUUUGGUCAAUAAUACCCCUUAACAAUUCUUGUAUCUCUUCGUCAGCUUUCUUUAUUCUUUUGUUUCCUUUCUUUUCGUAAAAAUCUACAUGUAAACAGUCUUGGUUGUAAAUGUCAUGACAUUAAAUAAUAAGAAAAGAUAACUGGAAAGAAAAUUUAUGGUAGUUGUUUAUCCAUUGCUUUAAUUUCUUCUUUUUUUUUCCUCAAUUUUCUUGGAAAUUUCAGGAAGCUUUAAAUUUGUUGAAACAUUUUAUGCUCACCACAACCCUGGGAUGUAAACUAUCAAAAAAAUCUUGAUGGUAAGCUAUGCUAGUUCUUCUUGGAGUAGUAAUAUCCUUCUUCCUUCUUCAUAGCUACUACCAAAUGUUGUUCAAGAAAUGAUAUGACCUUCCAAAUUUUGAAUAUGGAGCCAUACAUUCAAUUAACUUACCUGAACCUUUUGUGGAGACAAUCUCCCAUUUUCUUAUCGUAUUGCUAAAGCUUAAAAGAAAUGUAGGUAAAUAACAGUAAAAAAAAUAUUUAGCACCCAUAUUUUCAUGGUUGGAGGACCAGUCACUGCACAUUUGAAAUAAACAUCUUUAUCUAUGCAAUAUAACUUCCAAACAAUUUUCUUUUUAAAUAGCAUAAAAUAUAAUGUAUAUGAUUAAAAUUAAGAUGGAUAAGAAAACUAAAGAUGAAACUAAAAAGAUUAUAUAAUUUGAACUCUAUCUAUUAGGAUCUCCUUACAAGUAGGCUAAAAGGAAAAAAAAAAAGAAAGAAUACUUCAGUGAUCUUAGGAUGAUUCACAAGCUAAGGUUAGCUAGACGAUCAUUGCAAAGAAAGGAGCAUAAAAAAGAAAAUCCCUAAAACACAUUUUGAAUACAAUUUCAAACACUAUAGAGAACAAAGGCAAAAAAAAAAAAAGUUAGGAUUUCAGAUCCAAAGCAAGGAAAGGAAGAAAAGAAGUUAUUUUUUUCUUUUUUCAGGGAAAACUUCAAGUUGAGAGUUUUAUUUCAACUUAUUUUCCUUUUCCUUAGAGUAUAAUCGUUAGUUUCAUUUCCCAAAGAAUAAAAAAGAAAUAAUUAAUAGAAAAGUAUAUAGAUAGAUAAAUCGGCGUUUUAAUAAAUAUAGAAUUCAUAAAUCUUAAACCUGGAGUUUUUUUGAGGUUUUGAUAAUAAGAAAUUAACACUAUGGUGAAAAUAUCCUAUGGAUUUGUAUUUUUUAUUUUAGAGUGUUUUAAAAAAAGUGUUAGCAAUAAAAGCAAAUCCCACAUUCAUUGAUGUUUUGUUAUUGUGAUUAAAGCCAUAAGGCACUACAAGUGGAGACUAAGAUCAAAUCUCAUACUCAUUGAUGUUUUGUCAUUGUAAAGAAAUCCAUAGGAACUGUAUAUGAAGAUUAUAGGGUUAUUGUGGGGAAACUUUGAGAAUAGUACAAUAUGGUUACGAAAAUUUUUGAAAGUAUAUUUUUGAGGUUGGAAAAUAAUAAGAUGUUUCUUGGGAAUAAUAUGUAUUUGUAAGCCUAGUAGGUUGCACAAGUGUUUUUGGUGUGGUUUUAAGGUAUAGAAGAAUUAAUCUUAAUAAAACGUUAAAUAAAUGAUUUGGAUAGUUGGAUGCAAAAAAAAUUAGGAAAGCAAGUUAAGUCAACCUAAGUACAUGAAAUUGGAUAUUUCCCUAGAUGAAUUAGGGUUAAUUAAUAAAUAAAUAUACACUUAGAGCAGUAUUUAUCAAAACUUUAAUUUGAAUUAUUCCUUUAAAUCUCUCAAUUGAUUCAUAAGAAUUUUCCACAACUCUAUUCCUUUGGAUUUAUCUAUCUUGAGUAUAGGGAUUUUUUGUAAAUAUGUUUUUUUUUGUUAUAAAUAUUCAAAUGUAUUUUUUUUUGUAAAUUCUGAAACUGUUUAAAUACGCUUGAAAUACUAAACUUGAGAAUUAUUUUUAUUUGACUAUAUUUUUUUUCCUUAUAUGUGCAUUCUAGUUAUCUAGCCUAGUUAACAAGGGAAAAAAUGUUGACCUUUGUUACCCUUGGUGGGGCUAAAGAUGAUGUUAAAACCAAGUCAAUAGGGUGUUUAUCAACUUAUGAUAUACCAUUAGAUUGGUUCUGGUUCCAUUCACCAACAUGUAAGGAAUGUCUGAGGUUAGCCACUUCUAUAAGUCCCACUAUGAUGGGCUUUGUUAGGAAAUCGAGUCUUGUUUAUAUGUUGACAAUUUUGUUCCUUUUUAAUUUUGACCAUAGAAGUCUCUUUAGAUAGUGACUUGCUCUCCAUUGAAGAUCAAGAGUUGUUGUUUGUCCAACUGGGAAGUCACAGAUACAUUUAAAAAGGUUUGACUUGUGACAAUUUAGGCUCCUUCGAGGUAGCUACUUGGAGUGAAACGGACUUUGAUGAUAGUGCUUCCAUAGCUUUUGAAGAUGCAAGGUACGAUCUUAAUGACUUCUUAGCUUUUAUUGCAUCUGUGGAAUCUGUGCAUGAUAGUGAUUAUAAUAGUGAUAGUGAUGAUGAGUUUAAUGAUGAACAAAAGGCUGAAUUCUUGAGCAAUCUUGUUAUUGAGCAUGAAAAACUAAUUAAGAAUUAUUUAAAAGAUCAUGAUAUUCUUGAAGCUCAUAAAAACAAGACUGACAUUCUUAAUCUAGAAAAAAUUAAUUUACUUGAGAAAAUUAGAUUUCUUAAGUCUAAGGAUCAUUCUCUUCUUAUGAAGAACAAUACUCUCACUCUAAAGAUCAAGAGUAAUAAGCCUUCUUCAUUUGUAAAUGAAAUAUUUCACCCUAGAACUAAAGUGCUUAAUGAAAUUCUUGAUAAAUGUAAAACCCAUGGUGAUAAAAGAGGUUUUGGGGUAUAUUAACAAAGAUGAAACUCCCUCUAGUGGAGAAACUAUGUUUGUCAAAGGUAAAGAUGAAACCCUUAACCAAACAACAUCUCCUAAAAAGCCAUCACUAUGCAUACACUGUAACAAAACUAGACACUCUCAGUUUAGAUGCUACACUAGGUUCCUAGAAAGGUUUGAAUCUCAAAUGAGUAUGCUAAUGAAUGAUUUUAACUCCCUUAAAAAUAAUAUAUUGAAUAAUGGGAAAGGGAAUAAAACUAAUCAAAAGCUUAGAAGUCAACCUAAUUCCUUUAAGCCACCACCUAGGACUAAACAAGUUUGAUCGAGAAAUGAUAGGGUUAAAUGUCAAGUUGUGUUCAAUGCUCUUAAAGCUAAAUCUUCUUAUGACUGGUACUUUAAUAGCGGCUACUCAAGACACAUGAUUAGAGAUAAAACCUUUUCACAUCUCUUGAGGAUUAUAAUGGUGGGACAGUUACUUUUGGAGAUGGGCACUUAUCAUGUGUGAAAGGCAAGGGAAGUUUAUCUAUCCUUGGUUGUCCUAAGUUAGAUGAAGUUCUCUAUGUUAAUGGACUUAAGGCAAAACUACUAAGCAUUAGUCAAAUUUGUGACAAGGAGCAUAAGGUGAAUUUUUUCCAAGACUUAUGCAAGAUAGUUAGCAAAGAGGGAAAGGUCAUUGUCACAAGACAUAGGAUAGUUGACAACUACUAUGCAAUAAAUCCUAUAUUUAGAACACCUCUUAUGUGCAGUAGGACAAAGGUAGAUCCUAUUGAACUUUGGCAUAGAAGGUUAGGUUGCAUAAACAAUAGGGACCUUGUGCACUUAGUGAACAGUGAAAAAGUUAGAGGCAUCCUUAGACUUAGUGAUGAACGUAAACCCAUUUGUGGUGAGUGUAUGAAAGGUAAACAAACUAAGAGUUCACAUAAAAAGGUUAACCAAAUUAGGAUCGGUAGGCCUUUAUACCUUCUAUAUAUGGAUCUUAUGGGUUUAAUGCGGACUAAGUAGAGGUGGUAAGAAAUAUGUCCUGGUUGUUGUGGAUGAUUUUUCAAGAUACUCCUUUGUGAGUUUUCCUAGGGAAAAGUCAGAGACCGUUGAACAUUUGAAGUCACUAUUCAAUAGAAUACAACGAAAAAUAGGUCAUCCAAUUAUAAGGAUUAGGAGUGAUAGGGGGAAGGAGUUUGACAAUGUGGAUGGCCUCUUUUGCGAGUCUAAAGGAAUUAAACAUGAGUUUUCAACCCCUAAAACUCCUCAAUAGAAUGGAGUGGUUAAAAGAAAGAAUAGAUUGUUACAAGAAAUGGCUAGGGUGAUGAUUCAUAUGCAUAACACCCCUAUGCAAUUUUGGGUAAAGGCAAUUAAUGAAUCCUGUUAUACUACUUAUAUGGUUUUUCUUAUAAUUAUGGACUAGGAGAAAACAUAACCUUAAGUAUUUUAGGACUUUUGGCAGUGAGUGUUAUAUACUCAUGGAUGGGAGAACCUUGGAAAGUUUGAUGCUAAAUCUGAUGUAGGUAUCUUCUUAGGCUAUUCUAUUACUAGUAAAGCCUAAAAGUUUAUAAUCAAAAUUCAUAGAUUAUCUAUGAAUCCUCUAAUGUGGUUAUAAAUAAUGCUAGGUAUGAUCAGGAUAUAAUUGAGAGUCAAAUUUUAACCUAGGAUUUAAUUGAGUAACCCUAAAUAUGUGAAGAUCACGAAAGACAACCCUAAUGAUAUCCCUAAAAGAGACAUUGAUCCUAAUAAGGAUGAAUAUGUACCUCUAAAUGACACGUCUAAUGAAAUGAGGAAUAAGCAUAGAUCUAAAGUACUCAAGAACCACCUAAUUUAAAAUGUUAUAAGUAAUGUAAAUGAACGUGUGACAAUUGAUUAGGUACACAUUUGAUGAACGUGUACCUCUAAAUGAACAUGUACCCAAGAGCUACAUAGGUCUAGCUCGUAUACCUACGGUCUCUACUAAGCGAAUGGAGGAAAUCAUGACAAUUGAUUAAUUAAUCAAGGAUACCAAUAAUAGGACAACAAGACACAUAUAAGUCUUGAGGUGAAAAAAGUGUACAUAAGAAUGUACACAAUUAAUGAAUGUGAAAUGCACAAAAUAGAAUUUAAUUAUUUGUUAAAGUUGCAACAUUUCAAAGGAAGUUCAAAAGAAAUUUAUUUAUAUUGGGAACAAUUUUGAAUUAAAUUUUUCAAACUUAUUUAUUCACAAAGUUUCAAUUUAUUUACAAAAGAUUAUAUUUUUAUUCACAUCCAAAAUUAAUUAAAAAAAAACUUUUCUUGAUUUUAUUAAAAGAAUUUUGAUUGAAUUUGAAUUUAUUAAAGGGAAAAGCUCAAUUUGACCUUCUAUUUAUAAAGAAAUGAUUUUGGCUUACACUUUAUUUAAAAAAAAAAGAAAAAGAUGCCAUAAUUAUAACGAAACAUCAAUUCUAUUUUUGGAAAAGUGAUUUUUACAAGGAAAAGGGGGUUUACUUAUUUUAAUUAUAAGAACCAAAUUUCAAUUUACUAAGAAAAUAAAUUUUUAUAACUUUUAUUUACGAAAAAUAUUUCCAAAUUAAAUUUAUUCAAAAAGAGAUAUUUUUACAACUUUUAUUUUCUUUAGAUUUUUAUUAAAACAAUUUUCAGGAUUUUUUAUUAAAUCAAAAUUUGGAACUUUAUUAAAACUAUUUUGGAAUUCUUUAUUAAAAGAAAAUUUUGAAACUCUUAUUAAGCAAACUUUUGGAAAAUUUUAUCAGACACAAACUUAGAGAACUUUAACUUAAAAUUUUAAGAACUUCAAUUUAAAACACAUUUUAGGGAUUUUGAUUAAAAAACCAACUUUUAGAAAAUUUAUUAAAACACUGAGGAUUUUGGAAACUAACUUUGGGGGUUUUUAUUAAACAACUUUUAGAAGUUAAUAAGACAAACUUUGGGAGUUUAUUAAAAACAAAUUUUGUGAAUUUUUAAGAUUUAUUUUGAGAGUUUAUUAAGACAUGUAUUAAAACUUUUAAGACUUUUAUGGAAACAAACUUUAAGUAAAUUUAAAAGACAUACUUUGAGAACAACUAUUAAAAUAUUUAUUUUGAAAUCUUUAAUUAAGCCGAAUUUGAGAACUUUUAUGAUUUUUACGACUUUUAUGAAAACAAACUUUAAGAAUAUUUGUUUAAACACUUAUUUUGAGAAUUUGCAUUAAACAAACUUAUGAAAAAAAAUGACUUCCUAAAGAACAUUUAUCAACAAAUAAUUUUCAAUUAACAAACUUAUUAAAAUAAAAUGACUUUCUAAAGAAAAUUUAUUAAAACACACUUUUCAAAUAACAAACUUAUUCAAAAAAAAAAAAAAAAAACAACUUUCUAAAGAACAUUUAUAAAAACACAAUUUUCAAUUAACAAACUUAUUAAAAAAAAUGAUUUUUUAAAGAACAUUUAUUAAAACACAAUUUUUAGAAUUUUCAUUAAACAAACUUUUUAAGGGAAUUUCUCAAAUUUUAUGCCUCUUUGUCUUUCAAAGAAGAAUGUUUGAAAUUUUAUGCUUCAUUGGCUUUCAAAGAAUACUUUCACAGUGAGAAAAAUUGUAGAUAUCUAACUUUAAAUUUUGAAAGAUUUGAAAAACAAAUUUAAAAGUUAAAAAAAGAAAAGAAUUUCCCAAAUUUUAUGCCUCUAUCGCUUUCAAAAAAUAGUUUCAGACUUUGUUACAUAAGAAAAUUAGAGUGUGUUCGGCAAUAUUUUCAUUUUUUUUAGUGAAAAUAUUUUAUCUAAAAGUGUUUUCAAGGGAAUUAUUUAUAAAAUACUACAAGUGACUUUUCAAUACUAUAAGUAAUUUGUCAAUGCUACAAAACUGUUUCUUAACUUUUGUCAAACACCUUAAUUUUUUAUUUUUUUAUAAACACUUCUUAGGUUAGAAGUGUUUUUCAAAAACACUGUUAAACAAACUAUCUAACUUUAAAUUUUCAAAUAUUUGAAAAGAAAAAAGUUCAAAGAAUAAAAUUUAAAAGUUUGGCAAACAAGUUAGAAAUGUAAUCAAUUUGAGAUCAAGUAUUAAAGUGCUUCUUGCUCAAGCAAAGGACUAAGUCCUAGAUCAAGGCUUAGGUCCAAAGGUAAGCUAAUGUCACAGACUUAGUCUUUUCCUAAGCCCAUGUGGCACUUAGACAAGUCAAGACACUUUAUCUUGCUAAGUCAGCCUUACUCCCAAUGCUUAGCUUGCUAGGCUAAGAUGCUCACGACUCAGAAGCGUUAGAAGGUGUAGUAGGCAACUCUUAAAGAAUGGAGCUUUUAUUGCUCAAAUGAAGCUUUACAAGUGCUUUUGGGAACUCACUUGCUUGGUUGGUUAAAUUCUUGGGUGGUGCCUUGGCCAAAUGAGGGUCUCACCCAUUUAUAAGCACCAAUGGUACUCUCUAGAACCUUGUAGGGUUCUUUACAACUCAAGAAUAAUCUAGAACUUCCUACACUAGUCUUAUGUAAGGGUAUGUACAAGAUGACUUUGGAAUAUUCUAGAACACCCUACACAAUUCCAAUUCUCUCUUAGCCAAGUGUAGAGAUGUGUGGACAUCUCUAGCCCUCUCCAGAAGCUUCCAUACUCUUCCACUUUGUAGCUAAGUGUAGAUGUCUCCAAGGGUCUCUAGAAGCUUCCCACCUCCUAUAUAAGACCAUGGGAAGGGUCAUUUGAAGCAUCUUGUGACACUCUCCCCCACCUAUUAUUGUGCGAGCAAAAGCUUUGAUGCCAACAAUCACACAUAUGGUACACAAGGUUUUAACGUGGUUCGGCCAACCAUGCCUACGUCCAUGGAUGAGAGAGAAUGAUUCCACUAUACAAUAGAGAAUAUUAUAGAGGACAGAAUCAGAUACAACUUUUGGGUUCCCGCAACAUCCCAUGUUUCCCCACUCCUUGUAUCCAUACCCUACUACGAGCUCUCUCGCUCUACCGAGUACCUCCCGUUCUUUCUCACAUCUCUAUCCAACUCGUAUAGUCUCUACAUGUCCAUCUCCAUCUCAUGACUUUUUCCCCUUAUGACCUAGAAUAUUUAUAAAGAUAUUUUCAACAACCUUCCUUAUUCUAUAUGGAAGUCUAAUAUUACAAUAAUAUAUCAACCUAGAAAUAUUCUAUAUAAUAUUCUUUACAAAAAAAGGAAUCUAUACUAAUUAGGAAUUUGGGACACUUCCUAACAAUCUCCACCUUGGACCAAAUUCCAUGAAGUUAAUCUUCAAUCUCUCCAUGAUACAAACCUUUUUGUAUCAUAUCACCACAAAAGAGCAAUUGACUCCACCUUCAGUGAAAAUUCCUUUUGUUUUCAUUUUGUGUGCUUUGUGAUCUUUUACUCUUCUAGAAAUCUUCAACCCAAGACCAUACUAAAAAACCCUAAUUACAAAAAGCGGUUCCACAAUGGGUUAAACGAGUCUAUCGGCCCAAGCCUUUGCUCCAUGGACUAAGCCUCAAUAAAUCUCCCAUUAAAAAACCAUGCAAUAUUAUUCGGGUCAGGUCGUCAAACCAGAUCAAACAAAACUAAGCUCCACAAAGCCUAACAAAUCUCCCACUUGGAGACUAGUUCAAUCACCAACAUCAAACCGCUAUCCUCCAAGAGACAAUCCCUCAUCCCUGCAACUCAUCCUCCUAUCCUCAAGCUAGAAGACCAAUUGAAGUUGUGCACAACUUCAACUUCUCAAUAGUGACACCCUUAGUCAACAUGUCUGUCGGGUUCUUAAAUCCACAAAUCUUCUCAAGUAUUACUAGUUUAUCUUCAACAAGGUAACGGAUAAAGUGGUAUUUUUUUGUAUAUGCUUCAACUUUGAAUGAAAAGUCGAAUUUUUGGCAAGAAAAAUUGCACUAUGACAGUCACUAUGUAGAAUGUCCAUCUUCUACUUCUUACCCAAUUCAUCUAAGAAACCAUGUAGUCAAAUCAUCUCCUUUCCAGCUUCAGUUGUUGCAACAUACUCAACUUCUGUAGUAGACAAAGUAACAAUCUUCUGUAGAUUUGAAGCUCAUAAUAUAGUUGUACCACUUAGAGUAAAAACAAAACCAGUAGUACUCUUUCUACUAUUAAUAUCACCAGCAAAAUCAACAUCUACAUAACCCUGCAGUUUCAAACUUGCACCUGUGAAGCGAAGACAUGUAUCCAAUGAACCCUUCAGAUAUCUUAAUAUCCACUUGACUGCCUCCCAAUGCUGCUUUCCAGGCUUACUUAUGAAUUUGCUCACAACUCCUACUGCAUGUGCAAUGUCUGGCCUUGUACACACCAUAACAUACAUCAAGCUGCCAAUAGCUGAGGCAUAGGGCACCUUGCUCAUAUGACCCCUUUCUUCUUCCGUCUUCGGUGACUAUUCUUUGCUUAGUUUGAAAUGACUCCUCAAGGGUGUGCUCACUGGUUUAGCUUCAUUCAUGUUGAACAUGCUGAGAACUUUCUUCACAUACUCUGACUGUGAAAGCUUCAAUGUACCAUUAGCCUUGUCUCUAAUGAUUCUCAUACCAAGGAUUUGCUUUGCAACUCCCAAAUCCUUCAUUGCAAACUGUUUGGACAAUUGCUUCUUCAGAUUAUUAAUCUUCUCAAUGCCAGACCCUGCAAUAAGCAUAUCAUCCACAUACAAUAGUAAUAUGAUGUAAGAGUUAUCAAAAAACUUAACAUAGCAACAGUGAUCAGCUUCACAUCUCUUGAACCCAAUUCUAUGCAUAAAACUGUCAAACUUCUUGUACCACUAUCUAGGAGCUUGUUUAAGGCCAUACAAGCUCUUUCUCAGUUUGCAAACUAGAUUCUCUUGUCCUUGAACAAUGAACCCUUCUGGUUGAAUCAUGUAAAGGCCUUCCUCCAAGUCACCAUGAAGGAAUGUUGUCUUCACAUCUAAUUGCUCAAGAUGUAAGUUUUCUGCAACCACCAUUCCCAGUACAAGUCUGAUUGUUGACAUCUUCACAACUGGAGAAAAUAUCUCUGUGUAAUCAAUGCCCUCAUUCUGCUGAAACCCUUUAACAACUAAUCUGGCCUUAUAACGUUUGCUACCAUCAUGCUCAUUCUUUAUUCUGUAUACCCACUUGUUAUGCAAAGCCUUCUUUCCUACUGACAAUUCAGUCAGUUCCCAUGUCUGAUUCCCCAACAAGGAAUCCAUCUCAUCCUUCAUGGCUAACUCCCACUUGCUUGAAUUCUCAUCUUGUAAAUCUUCAUCAUAACACUUUGGCUCACUACCAUCACUCAACAGGAGAUAAUUUAAAACAGGUGAAUAACGCUGUGGAGGUCUAAUGUUCCUGGAAAAUCUGCGAACUUCAGCUACAGGUGUACUCAAAUCUACCUGAGAAUUUACAUUCUCCUUAUCUUCUUCACCCCCUUUUUGGACAGUACUUUCAGUCAAUUCAUCUAAGUUGAUAAACUCAGAUUUCUUUUGAUCUAUCUCUGUAACAUCUGACACUACAAUUGACAUGUCCUUGUACAUAACCUGUUCAUUAAAUAUCACAUUUCUACUUCUGAUGAUUUUCCUGUUUUGUUCAUCCCAAAACCUAUAGCCAAAUUUCUCAUCACCAUAACCAAUGAAAAAGCAUAUUUUAGACUUUGCAUCAAGUUUACUACGAGCAUCAGAAUCAAUAUGAACAUAAGAAACACAACCAAAAACUUUUAAAUGUGAAAACUUUACCUCUUUAUCGCUCUAAACCUCCUUAAGAAGUCUGAACUCCAUGGGAACUGAUGGUCCUUGGUUUAUCAGGUAGGCUACAGUGCUAACAGCAUCAGCCCAAAAAGUUUUUGGUAGUCCAACAUGCAACCUCAUACUUCUAGCAAGCUCAUUGAGAGUUCUGUUCAUGCGCUCAGCCACACCAUUUUGCUGUGGUGUCCCAAGAAUGGUCUUCUCCAUCCUAAUUCCCUGUGCAACACAAUACUCACCGAACCCUCCAUCUAUGUACUCUCCUCCAUUAUUUGACCUCAAACAUUUUACUUUCAAACCUAUUUCUGUCUCAACCAUGGCCUUCCAUUUCUUAAAAUUUUCAAAUACAUUAGAUUUAUUUUUCAGAAAAUAAACUCAUACCUUUCUGCUUGAGUCAUCAAUAAAACUGAUGUAGUACCUUGAACCUCCAAGGGAUGCAACCGGAGAAGGCCCCCACAAAUCAAUGUGUACUAGUUCUAAUUUUUUAGCCUUCAGUGUCCUGCCAGUUUUCAAGAAGCUCACAUUUUUUUUGCUUUCCUAAGAUGCAACUUUCACACAUGUCAAAAUCAAUGGACUUUAAUUCUGGUAGUUUUCCUUUUGACAACAACAUCUUCAUCCAUUUCUCACUCAUGUGACCAAGUUUGCGGUGCCAUAGGCUUAUAUCAGUACUUGCAUUAGCAACUGCAAUUGUGUCUCUUGGACAUGAGGUCAUAUACAGAGUACAAGUCUUCUUUCCACAAGCCAAUACCCUAGCUUCCUUUGUAACCUUCUAAGUACCACCAACAAAUAGUAUUGCAUGUCCUUCAUCAUCAAGUUGUCCAACAGAAAUCGGAUUCCUCUUCAGGUUAGGAAUAUCUCAAACCUUCUCCAGUAACCAAAUAAACCUAUUGGGCAACAAUAUUCGGACGUUUCCCAGACCCACAACAUCCAAGGCUGAACCAUCAGCCAAAUACACCUUACCAAAAUCACCCGCAACAUAAUUCUGUAUGAUUUCUCGAUGUGGAGUGGUAUGAAAUGAAGCUUCUGAAUCCAAAACCCAAUAAUCAAGUAGACUGUCUACUGCAAGAAGUAAUGCAUCUUGUACCUCUUCUGUUACAGCAUUAGUAGAAUCAUCUUCAUUCUUCUUCUUAAGACUUUUGUAUUGCCUUCUAAAGUGACAUGUUUUCCCACAGUUCUAUCAUAGUACUUGUUGGCCUGAUCUAGAUUUGCUUUUAUUUCGAUUAGAAUUUUUGGAUUUUGAUCUACCCCGGUUUGAAUUUUUUUCAUUACCUCUGUCUCUUGUCUCAAGGUUUAGGACAUAACUAGAUCCUGAGGUUUCGCUUGCAUCUCUUCGACGAAUCUCCUCAACUAGAAUUAAAUCUCAUAUAUCAUUGUACUUGAGUUUUUCCUUUCCCGUAGAAUUGCUUACUGCCAUCCUCAUUGCCUCCCAACUGUUUGGCAAAGAAGCCAAGAUGAUCAGAGCACGAAUCUCAUCAUCAAAAUCAAUUUCUACAGACGACAAUUGAUUUGUGAUUGUAUUAAAUUCAUUUAGAUGUUGUGCUACUGAGAUAUUUUCUACCAUCUUCAAAUUGAAUAAUUUCUUCAUCAGAUGCACCUUAUUGUUUGUGGACAGCUUUUCAUACAUACCAGACAAAGCCUUCAUCAGAUCUACUGUGGUCUUCUCUUUUACAACGUUGUGUGCAAUAGACCUAGACAGAGUUAACCUAAUAACUCUUGGAACCUGUCUGUCAAGAAACGCCCAUUCCUCAACCUUCAUACUCUCAGGUUUUGUCCCCAAAAGAGGCAGAUGCAAUUUCCUCCCAUAGAGAUAAUCUUCAAUCUACAUCCUCCAAUAUGCAAAAUCUGUGCCAUCAAAAUUUCUAUUAUAGACGCCUUUCCUGCUUCCUCUGCCAUUGCUCCCACUCAAACCUAACCCUAGGCUCUGAUACCAGUUGUUGUGCCAGUGAAAGCUUUGAUGCCAACAAUGUUAGUUCAAGAACACAAAGAUAAAACAAUCACACAUAUGGUACACGAGGUUUUAACAUGGUUCGGCCAACCAUGUCUUGAUUCAUGCCCAGUCGAUGUAUCAGUUGACUUAUGUCCAGCUGGUGCUCCUUGAUUGACGUAGUAAUCAACAAAAUUUAUAACCUAUUACACCAUGAACUAGGGUAGCAGAGACAAAGCUACUAUAGUAUAGUGGCUCUAGGAUCGUUCACUGGGAAGGGUUUUCAACUCAUAACUGAUACCAAUUCAAAGCUGAGUUGGUGCUUUUUCAUUUCAAGGUUAGCUUUAAAAGAAAACAUAAAGUUGUUUGAGUGAAAAGGGUUUGGUUUUAAACUAACCAAAAAGAAAGUAAUGGAAAUUACUUAUGAAGAAAAACAUUCCUUGAAGGUUUAGGUUCACAGGGGAGAUUCCUUAUACAAAACAGAGCUCCGGUCAUUUGGUUUGUUUCCUCGCAUUAGAGAAUUAACAUAUAGUCAAUUCUCUAACCGGUGUUGUACAGAUGUAACCUUUAAAUAGAUUCCAGCUCUAAUUCCCUCUCACUGAUGCAACUUGCAAUAACUCGUGCCUCUCAUCUAGCAUUUGCCAUCAAGGUGAUCUUUAACUUUGGAUUUCCCUUCUCAAGCUCGCAAGAGAUAACUAAUGGAAGUCUCCUCGGAGUCCAAAAGCUUACUAAAUGUUGGCAAUUCUAGAAAAUCCUACCUCCAAGUCACUUCCCAAAAGCUUGCAAGAGAUAAACAAGUGCAUCUCCAUGGACGAAGAUCACGUGUCUUACCAAGUACUGGCUCAAGUGAUUUGAAGGUGUUUUAAGUUAACUAAAAACAUAGAAAUCAUUAAAGGAUCAUACUUUCUCUUCAUUAAUCACUGAAACCACAAAGCUACUAAUUCUUGCACUUAGAACCUUUCCCUACAACCUUAACUCCAAGGAAUUAAAAGUCUAGCCACUCAUUCUUUGAGGAAAUUUCCUCAGAGCUUGUUUGGCUAGUAAGAAAACUAACAAGAAAACAAAUAUAUGAUAGAAAACCAGAGCAAGUGCUCUGGAAAUAUAUUUCUUGCUUUUCUUGAUUACAAUAUAGAUCGAUACUCUUUCGAUUCGAUAUCCUCUGUAAAGGAAAUUACAAACUAUUUAUAUGGGUUUAUUCACCCUUUUUAUUUACUUAAAAACUAAGGAAUCCCAUGAUAGGUGGAUUACAAGGAGAGUUUGGGAAUUUAGACAACAAAUAUCUAAAGCAAAAUAUCCCAAAAUAUCGCUCGAAAAUGUCAGGAAGGUUCAGGAGAACACCAUUGCACUAUACUGAGAGAAAAACUUUGCAGGUAAGCGUUAUCAGAAGGUCCGGAUAUGUAUAUCCGGAGAAGUCGAAGCGUCCUCCUCUCCCAUCCGGCUAUAGGAUAUUCGGAUGUAAAAUGUUGGCGCACGGAACGUCCUCCUUUCCCAUCCGGAUGUGAGAUAUCCGGAUGAAAAAUGUCGGCGCACAGAACUCGUGAAAAUCACACCCGGCUGAUAGCAUAUCUUAUUUGAAUAUGUUGUCCGGAUGCCCUUCGAUGGUAUAUCCGGACGCCCUGUCCGGGUAUACUCCUUGUAUGGAUUCCAAAGAACUCUCCUCAAUCUCAGAUUUGCUUUGGUGAUAAAAAAGCUAUCAAAACACCAAAACUUAACACAAUUUGAUUAGAAUUGAUUGCAAGGGUCCUUACUAUGUUAAUUGGGUUAAAAGGUGAUAACUACUACUCAAAAGUAUUUAAAAGAGUUAAUUACUGGUUAUCAAAUAGCACUUUUUGAGUAGUAAUCACUCCCCCCAACCGACAUAUUGCUAGUCCCUUAGCAAUGAAGGAGAGAAAAAAAAACAGUACUAUAAUUUACAACAUCAUGCUGAACAAAAAACAAUUUCCUAGCGGCAUGAUGAUCUAACUCUCACAUGGAACAUUAAAGAAAUAAAACUCAAACUUCAACAAGAGUUAUCAAAUAACUUGUCUAAUCACAAUUCUUAAAGAGAAGGCUUUAUGCAAAUUUAAGCUUUAAAAGAGUUUCCACUCCCAAAGGGUCAAACCUUACUCUUCCACAAAAAUCUAAGUGUUAUUUAUUAGCUUCCGAAUAUAGUAUGUAGAACUAAUCUCUCCUCCCAAUCUAGUUUUUUUUUUUCAAAGCUUAGCAAACUGGUCAACCUCCAAUAUGCUAAGAACGCACCUCAUUUUUUUCACAACAAUUUUUUUUUCAUUGUAGGAGUACAAGGCUUAAAGGUAUUAUUUUCUAACUUGUCCAUGUAACGGGGGUCCAUCGAUGACUCCCAACCAAUUAAGGUUUAGGGCAUCAAGCUUUAAGGAUAUUUCAACCACUAGCUCCUCGGAUUUUACCCCGGACUUUUGAGAAUGAAUUUUAAUACCCCAGCACCUACAGUAUGUUAGACUCCACCUAUCCACCCUUGUUACGAGCAUUGAGGUCGGUGACUCCCAACCAAUGAAGGCUUAGGGCACCUGGUUUUAAAGAUUUUCACCAUAUAUCCCUCAGACCUUGCUCGGGUUUCAAGGCAAGCAAACAUUUUUUCUUUCUUUUUCCAAAGGCUCAUUGGCCUUUUACAAGGUGUCCCAACACUAUUAAAUGAGGUCAAAGGUACCAAGUCUAAAAUUUUCCUAAGUCAAGAGGGAAAUAGUUUUUCAUCUUAUACUCGGAACCUAUUGUGCACAGUGUGUGAAUAGCUUAAAGUGGAAGACAUAAGCUUGACUUCAAUAGAAGUUUCAACAAUUCAUCAACUUUAAUAAGCAUAAUACAAACUCUAAGUCAAGUGAAAAGAUAAAAAUUCAAUUUCUCCCAUUCCAUUUUGAAAAUUUUUCCUUAAUAACCAUGGAGAGUAGAAUAAAAACUUUUAAAAAUUUUAAAAUUUAAGCAAAAAGCAACUAAAUUACCAAAAUAACUUAGCAUUAUUAAUAAAAACUUCCUUCCUCAACUCUCCCCCCAACCAAGCUCAACAUUGUCCUUAAUGUGACAACAGCGAUUGAAAAAUAGGGAGGAAGUGGUACCUCCUAAGUGACGUGGAAUGAUGGCUCAGCGGCUUCUCCUGUACUCCCAUUCCAUUUUGAAAAUUUUUCCUUAAUAAUCAUGGAGAGUAGAAUAAAAACUUUUUAAAAUUUUAAAAUUUAAGCAAAAAGCAACUAAAUUACCAAAAUAACUUAGCAUUAUUAAUAAAAACUUCCUUCCUUAACUCUCCCCCCAACCAAGCUCAACAUUGUCCUCAAUGUGACAACAGUGAUUGAAAAAUAGGGAGGAAGUGGUACCUCUUGAGUGACGUGGAAUGAUGGCUCAGCGGCUUCUCCUGUAGGAGGCUCCGGAUGAGGUGGGAAUGGUAUGCUCAGGAGCUGAUGUACUGUCAAGAUGAUGCUGAAUCUGCCUCAGGACGGCAGUGUGCUGGGCCUGAGUGGCAAGAAUCUGCUCCUGCUGAUUCUAAUCAUUCAAAAAGCUAGUUACAAUUAACAUAAUUUAAAACCAAAAUUACAAUCCAAUAAUUUACAAAACUUAAAAAUUAACAUAUUUAACAAAAUUAUGGACUUUGGUGAAACCAAGUCCAUCUAACCCUUCUCUGUUCAGGAUUUCUAUGGCUCAAGGAGGUUGAUUUCCUCCUUUUCUGGCUUGAACGGCUCAAUGUAUGGCUUGAGACGAUGCCCAUUCACUUUGAAAGUUUGAGUGCUCUUGAAGUUGAGUAGUUCCACUACUCCAUUUGAUUGCACGUCAUGAAUUAUGAAAGGACCCGUCCAUCUUGAUUUCAAUUUUCCCGGAAAAAGAUGGAGUUUAGAGUCAUAAAGCAAGACUCUUUGUCUCUUGAUAAAAUUCUUCUGAUUUACCAACUGAUCAUGCCAUUUCUUCAACCUCUCUUUUGCAAUUUUUGAAUUGAGGUAAGCAUCAUUCCUCAUUUCCUCCAAUUCGUUCAAAUGCAAAUAUCUCUUUAACCCGGCACUUGUCAAAUCCAUGUUGAGCUUCUUGAUCGCCCACCAUGCUUUAUAUUCAACCUCCACUGGGAGAUGGCACGCUUUGCCAUAAACAAGGCGGUAAGGAGACAUUCCAAGAAUGGUCUUAUAAGCAGUCUAUAAGCCCAUAAUGAAUCCAGGAGCUUAGUAGACCAAUCCUUCCUAUUCACAUUCACCACCUUCAUCAGGAUAUUCUUGAUUUCCCGGUUGGCUAACUCAACUUGGCCACUUGUUUGAGGGUGAUAAGGUGUAGCUACCUUGUGCUUGACCCCAUAUUUGGCUAGAAGAGUCUCAAACGACUUAUUGCAAAAGUGGGUUCCUCCAUCACUGAUAAUGGCCUUAGGCACUCCAAACCUUGAAAAUAUGUUCUCCUUGAGAAAUUUGAGAACCACCUUAUGAUCAUUGCUCCUACAUGGGAUUGCAUCUACCCACUUAGAGACAUAAUCCACUCCCACCAAAAUGUAGGAGUGUCCAAAUGACAUUGGAAAUGGUCCCAUGAAGUCUAUCCCCCAAACAUCAAAGACAUCCACUAUCAAGAUGGGGUUCAAGGGCAUCAUAUUCCAGCGUGUUAGCUUCCCAAGCCUUUGACACCAAUCACAUCCCUUGCACAUAGAGUGGGCAUCCUUGAAAAGAAAGGGCCACCAAAAACCUGAUUAGACCACUCUCAUGGCUGUUUUCUGGGAGGCAAAAUGACCUCCACAUGCACUAUCAUGACAAUGGGAUAGAAUUCCUGAUUGCUCUUGUUCAGGAACACAUUUCCUUAUGAUUUGAUCCGCACAAUAUUUGAAGAGAAAAGGCUCCUCCCAAUAAUAGGCAUGGAUCUUAGCAAAGAAAUGCUUCUUGUCUUGGGCACUCCACUCACUUGGAACUUCUCCAGUAACCAAGUAAUUUACAAUGUGAGAAUACCAUGGAGUUACCUCUAUUGACAUGAGAGACUCCUCAGGGAAGUCAUCAUUAAUAGGUAGACCAUGUGAGUCAUGUGCUAUCACAAGUCUGGACAAGUGGUCAGCUACCACAUUUUCUACUCUCUUCUUAUCCCGGAUUUGGAUAUUGAAUUCUUGAAGCAGAAGGAUCCAUCUUUUCAAUCUUGCCUUGGCAUCUUGCUUGGUUAGCAAGUACUUUAGAGCAGAAUGGUCAGUGAACACCACUAUAAAGGACCCUACCAAAUAGGCACGAAACUUAUCCAAGGUAAAAACUACUGCCAACAACUCCUUCUCAGUAGUUGUGUAGUUCCUUUGAGCCUCAUUCAAAGUUUUGCUUGCAUAAUAAAUCACAUAGGGCUUUCCAUCUUCUCUUUGCCCCAAAACAGCCCCCAUAGCAAAAUCACUUGCAUCACACAUUACCUCAAAAGGUAAUUUCCAAUUUGGGGCUCUCACUAUUGGUGCAGUUGUAAGGAAUUGCUUCAGUUCCUCAAAACUCUUCUGGUAUUUCUCAUCCUACACAAACUUGACAUCCUUUACCAAUAGUUCACAAAGAGGUUUUAAGAUUUUUGAGAAAUCCUUAAUGAACCUCCUAUAGAACCCGACAUGUCCUAGGAAUUGCCUAAUUCCUUUAACAUUUGUGGGAGGUGGCAACUUAACAAUUAGCUCCACCUUUGCCUUAUCUACCUUAAUGUCAUUCUUGGAGAUUAUAUGUCCUAAGACAAUUCCUUUUUGUACCAUAAAAUGGCACUUCUCCCAAAUUAGCACUAGGUCUUUCUCAAUACAUCUUUGGAGAACAGCUUCUAAAUGCAACAAACACUCCUUAUAAGAACAUCCAUAAACAGUGAUGUCAUCCAUAAAGACUUCCAUGAUGCGUUCUACCAUAUCACUGAAGAUGCUUAGCAUACAUCUUUGGAAAGUUGCAGGUGCAUUACAUAGACCAAAGGGCAUCCUCCUAUAGGCAAAAGUACCAAAGGGGCAAGUGAAGGUUGUCUUUUCCUGAUCUUCCAAAUCAAUUUCUAUUUGGAAGUACCCCGAGUAACCAUCUAGAAAACAGUAGAAAGGAUGCCCUGAGAUUCUCUCAAGGACUUGGUCCAUGAAAGGCAAUGGGAAAUGGUCCUUCCUAGUCGCUGAAUUUAACCUCCUGUAGUCUAUACACACCCUCCAUCCGGAGGUAAGACGUGUAGAGACUUCCUCCCCUUUUUCAUUCUGGAUCACAGUAAUUCCAGAUUUCUUUGGAACUACUUGGGUUGGGCUCACCCACAAGCUGUCUGUAAUGGGAUAUAUGAUCCCUGCUUGAAGUAGCUUCAAAACUUCACCUCUUACUACCCCUUGCAUGUGAGGAUUCAACCUCCUCUGGGGCUGCCUCACUGGUUUUGCAUCUUCCUCCAUGUAGAUAUGGUGGGUGCAUACCAAAGGGCUAAUCCCUUUCAGAUCAGAAAUUUGCUAUCCAAUGGCCUUUUUGCAUUUUAUGAGGACUCCCAAAAGGCUAUCCUCUUGAUCAGUGGUGAGCUUUGAAGAAACCACCACUGCACAUUUCUCAUCUUUCUCCAGAUAUGCAUACUUCAAAUCAACAGGAAGUGGCUUCAAAACUGGUUUUGGAGGGUCCUCCGUAGCUGCUCCUUGUGAGUCCUCCUUAUUGAACAAGGGCAAGAUCUCUUCCCUUCUCCUCCAAGGAGACAUGAUGGCUAAUGGUUCAAAGGGUUCAGGUAACCCUGCUUCAAGCACUCCAAUGCUUUCAUUCAAGCUUUCUUCUAAAUUCUUGUCACAAUGCUCUUCAACCAACGUGUUGAUCAAGCACACCUUCUCCAAUCCUUCCUCCUCUUCGGGUUGAAGAUGCCUCUUGCAUAGGUGGAAUAUGUUUAGUUCCAAGGUCAUGUUCCCAAAUGUGAGCUGCAUAACCCCAUUCCUAUAAUUGAUGAUGGCAUUGGAGGUAGCUAGGAAAGGUCUCCCAAGGAUGAUUGGCACAUAAUUUGGUUCCUUAAUAGUGAGAUCAGUAUCAAGCACCAAAAAAUCCACGAGAUAGUAGAAUUUGUCCACUUGAACUAGAACAUUCUCAAUCACCCCCCUUGGGAUUUUGACCGACCUAUCAGCUAAGGAGAGAGUGAUGGCUGUGGGCUUCAAUUCUCCAAGUCCCAGUUGCUUAUACACAGAGUAUGGGAGCAAAUUCACACUUGCCCCCAAGUCUAAUAGAGCCUUCUCCACAUGUGUCCCUCCAAUGUUGGUUGAAAUGGUGGGACAUCCCGGAUCUUUACACUUAACUGGAGACUUACUCUGAAUGAUGGCACUUACUUGCUCAGUGAGGAAUGCCUUCUUUGUCACAUUUAACCCUCUCUUAACCGUGCACAAGUCCUUUAAAAUUUUUACAUAUGUGGGGACUUGCUUGAUCAUAUCAAGUAAGGGUAUAUUCACCUUCACUUGUCUCAAAACUUCAAGAAUUUCUGAUGAAUUCUUGAUUCCCUUCUUUCCAUGUAAAGCUUGAGGAAAAGGGGGAGGCAUAUGUUUCUUCAUCAUAUCCUCUUUAAUCACUAUCCUUGGCUCUUCUUCAAUGCUUGAUUUAGAUGCAUUUUUCUUCCCACUCUCCUCUUCUUGGUUAUUGCUCUCUUUAACCAAGGUUUUCCUUGACAUGAAUUCUUCGUCUUGUCUCACCUUAGGCAAGGGUUGAUCAACCUCCUUCCCACUUCUCAAGGUGAUCACAACUUUGACCUUCCUCAACUUUGAAGACUCUCCAUCUUGGGUUUCAACUUCAUGAACACCCUUAGGAUUUUGGCUUGGUUGAGAGGGGAACUUUCCCUUCUCAUUCACUGUGUUGAGGUUGGUAAGCCUAGAGAUGGAGUAUUGACUAUUAUCUAUCUUCUGAGAUAGAUCAUUCUGCAUCCCAUCCAUUCUCUUAAUUUGAGAACUCUCAACAUUUUCAAUCUUUUGGUGCAAUUGGGAGUUGAUUGCCUUUUGUUCACCCACAAAGUCACCCAUGACUUUACUUAGGUUUACAAUGGCUUGCUCCACUGAAGAGGUUUGUUGAGGUGCUUGGGUUUGGGCUUGUGGUUGGUAUGGAGGUGGCCUUGGUUUCCAAGAAAAAUUUGGAUGGUUUCUCCAGCUUGAAUUAUAGGUGUUUCCAUAAGGUGCAUUGUUGUUGGGCUUAAAUUGCCCCACAACAUUGGCUUGAUCACCUAAGAUCUCCCUCACAGCUGGGAUGGUUGGGUACUCAUCUACCACAUGAUCACAUGAUUGGCAAAUGGUGUAUGGCAUGACAUGGACUUGUGUCUUUGAAAUGGCUUGGACUUCAUGCAUUUUUUUCAACUCAAGUUCUUCCAACCUCCUUGCCAUUGUUGCCACCUUAGUUUUCAUGUCCACGUCUUCACUUAACAUGUACAUUCCACCCUUUGGAUUUACAGGAGCUUUCAUCCUUCCCACUUCUCCUCUAUGCGGUUCAUCCCAUCCCCUUGAGACUUCAGCUACAUAACUCAAGAAAUCCAUAGCUUCCUCAGGAUUCUUACUCAUGAAAUCCCCUCCACACAUUGUUUCGAGGAGCUGCUUCAUUGAGGAAGACAUCCCAUCAUAGAAAUAACUUACCAACAGCCAUGUAUCAAAGCCAUGGUGAGGACAAGCAUUAAUGGCUUCUAUGUAUCUUUCCCAACACUCAUAGAAUUUCUCAUUCUCUUUAGCUAAGAAGUUUGAAAUUUGUCUUUUCAAGCUGUUUGUUCUGUGAGUAGGAAAAAAUUUCUUGAGGAAUUCUACUUGUAAAUCAGUCCAAGUACGGAUACUCCUUGGCCUUAAAGAAUUAAGCCAAAUCUUGGCCUUAUCCUUUAAAGUAAAAGGAAAUAGUUUAAGCCUCAUCAGGUCAAUAGAAGCUCCUCCCUCUCGGAAUAUAUUACAAACAUCUUCAAAUUCCUUGAUAUGGGAAUAAGGAUUCUCACUUUCCAUUCCGUGGAAAGUUGGCAGAAGUGGCACAAUAUAGGGUCUGAUUACUAGCUGUUCUGUAGGAGGCACUAUACAUGACGGUGCACUCAUACGAGGUGGAUGCAUAUGGUCCCUCAUUGAUCUGAAUUCAUUGGGAUUGUCCUGAUGAUCAUGGUGACUAUGCUGAUCCUCAGGUGUAGUUUCCAUGAUGUUCAAGAUUACUUCCAACUCCUUGUUAUGAGGUGUUUCAAUUUUAACAAGCCUUCCUCCACAAUCUCGUAUCCACUUGGGCAUACACAACUAGUAUCAACUGUAACAAAGAAAGAAAAAGAAAAACAGAGGAAAACAAAAAAACAAAACUACCAAAAAGAGUUCAAUUAACUAAAACUAAAUUCAAAACUAUGCUAGAAUAUAUAAACUAGUAAAAGAGAAAAAAAAAAAACUAAAAGAGUUAGUAAAAUGAGAGAAAACUCACCAAACUUGUGAUGAAAACCACAAGUUCCAUGAAAUAAUAUCAAUAUGAAGUUGGCACCUUCCCCGACAACGAAGCCAUUUGAUUUGUGCCCAGUCGGUGUAUCAGCUGACUUAUGUCCAGCUGGUGCUCCUUGAUUGAGGUAGUAAUCAACAAAAUUUAUAACCUAUUACACCAUGAACUAGGGUAGCAGAGACAAAGCUACUAUAGUAUAGUGGCUCUAGGAUCAUUCACUGGGAAGGGUUUUCAACUCAUAAUUGAUACCAAUUCAAAGCUGAGUUGGUGCUUUUUCAUUUCAAGGUUAGCUUUAAAAGAAAACAUAAAGUUGUUUGAGUGAAAAGGGUUUGGUUUUAAACUAACCAAAAAGAAAGUAAUGGAAAUUACUUAUGAAGAAAAACAUUCCUUGAAGGUUUAGGUUCACAGGGGAGAUUCCUUAUACAAAAACAGAGCUCCGGUCAUUUGGUUUGUUUCCUCGCAUUAGAGAAUUAACAUAUAGUCAAUUCUCUAACCGGUGUUGUAUAGAUGUAACCUUUAAAUAGAUUCCAGCUCUAAUUCCCUCUCACUGAUGCAACUUGCAAUAACUCGUGCCUCUCAUCUAGCAUUUGCCAUUCAAGGUGAUCUUUAACUUUGGAUUUCCCUUCUCAAGCUCGCAAGAGAUAACUAAUGGAAGUCUCCUCGGAGUCCAAAAGCUUACUAAAUGUUGGUAAUUCUAGAAAAUCCUACCUCCAAGUCACUUCCCAAAAGCUUGCAAGAGAUAAACAAGUGCAUCUCCAUGGACGAAGAUCACGUGUCUUACCAAGUACUGGCUCAAGUGACUUGAAGGUGUUUUAAGUUAACUAAAAACAUAGAAAUCAUUAAAGGAUCAUACUUUCUCUUCAUUAAUCACUGAAACCACAAAGCUACUAAUUCUUGCACUUAGAACCUUUCCCUGCAACCUUAACUCCAAGGAAUUAAAAGUCUAGCCACUCAUUCUCUGAGGAAAUUUCCUCAGAGCUUGUUUGGCUAGUAAGAAAACUAACAAGAAAACAAAUAUAUGACAGAAAACCAAAGCAAGUGCUCUGGAAAUAUAUUUCUUGCUUUUCUUGAUUACAAUAUAGAUCGAUACUCUUUCGAUUCGAUAUCCUCUGUAAAGGAAAUUACAAACUAUUUAUAUGGGUUUAUUCACCCUUUUUACUUACUUAAAAACUAAGGAAUCCCAUGAUAGGUGGAUUACAAGGAGAGUUUGGGAAUUUAGACAACAAAUAUAUAAAGCAAAAUAUCCCAAAAUAUCUCAAAAAUAUCGGUCGAAAAUAUCAGGAAGGUUCAGGAGAACACCGCUGCACUGUACUGAGAUAAAAACUCUACAGGUAAGUGUUAUUAGAAGGUCCGAAUAUGUAUAUCCGGAGAAGUCGAAGCGUCCUCCUCUCCCAUCCGGCUAUAGGAUAUCCGGAUGUAAAAUUUCGGCGCACGGAACGUCCUCCUUUCCCAUCCGGAUGUGAGAUAUCCGGAUGAAAAAUGUCGGCGCACAGAACUCGUGAAAAUCACACUCGGCUGAUAGCAUGUCUUAUCCGAAUAUGUUGUCCGGAUGCCCUUCGAUGGUAUAUCCGGAUGCCCUUCGAUGGUAUAUCCGGACGCCCUGUCCGGGUAUACUCCUUGUAUGGAUUCCAAAGAACUCUCCUCAAUCUCAGAUUUGCUUUGGUGAUCAAAAAGCUAUCAAAACACCAAAACUUAACACAAUUUGAUUAGAAUUGAUUGCAAUGGUCCUUACUAUGUUAAUUGGGUUAAAAGGUGAUAACUACUACUCAAAAUUAUUUAAAAGAGUUAAUUACUGGCUAUCAAAUAACACUUUUUGAGUAGUAAUCAUGUCUACAUCCACGACUGAGAGAGAACGAUUCCACUAUACAAUAGAGAAUAUUAUAGAGGACAGAACUAGAUACAACUAUUGGGUUCCCGAAACAUCCCAUGUUUCCCCACUCCUUGUAUCCAUACCCUACUACGAGGUCUCUCGCUCCACCGAGUACCUCCCGUUCUUCCUCACAUCUCUAUCCACCUCGUAUAGUCUCUACAGGUCCAUCUCCAUCUCAUGACUUUUUCCUUUUCAUGACCUAGAAUACUUAUAGAGAUAUUUCCAACAACCUUCCUUAUUCUAUAAGGAAGUCUAAUAUUACAAUAAUAUAUCAACCUAGAAUUAUUCUAUAUAAUAUUCUUUAUAAAAAAAAGAAUCUAUACUAAUUAGGAAUUUGGGAUGCUUCCUAAUACCUAUGCCAUCGACGUCCCCAUUGUGGCCUCUUCUUGAAACUUCUUGAUGUGUUUCCAAAACCUUCUCAAGGCAUCUGCAUGUUCCCAGCUUACUUGCCUCUUAGGUAGUCUUUUCCAUCGAACUAGAUACUCUAUCACAGGAAGGACCCCUUAUCUCUUGGUAACUUGUUCAAAUAGGAUAUUCUUCACCUCUUUCUCUUGUGAGGCCUGAGAUGAAUGCAAACACUUGCAUUUUCGAUGCUUGGAGUGCUGCUUCCUAUUGCUUAUUGAGUUCACCUUUUCCUUAGUGACCUUGUCCAUGUGUGUGUGGGCUACCACAACUCGCUCCUCUUUUGCCUCUUUUACUUGCACCCUUGAUAGUAAGAAGGUCUUAGGAAUACUAGGCUUUGGGUUGGAGGGUACCUAGUAGCUGCAUCAAGCCCAUAUGUGCUUCGCCUUCCUAUUUCCUCUCUUCGAUCAUGGCCUGAGCGCCUUCCUCUUUGGGCAAUCCUAUGCCCAAUGUGGAUCGUCACACAGGAAGCAUUUGAUUCUAGGCGUAAACUCCUUCCUUUUCGCCUUACGUCUUCCUUCCCGGAUGCUAGGCAUCUUGCCUGAUCCCAUUUUAGGAGCAUUAUAGUCUCUUGAAACCCCGUCUCCCCCACCCGUGGCGUGGCUAUUCUCUAAAGACUCAACCUUGGAGGAGUCUUCCCUCUUGUAAUGCGUUAAAGACUCUGCUACUACCAUAGCAGUGGCUAAGUCUUGAACACCUUGGCACCUUAAUUCUUACUCGGCCCACCCUUGUAGGUUAUCCAUGAAGUUGAAUAGUAGAUCCUCUUUAGUCAUGUUAGGAAUCUCAAGCAUAAGCGAAGAGAAUUCCUUGGCAUAGUCGCGUAUCGAACCUGUGUGCUUGAGACACCUCAUGUUUUUCCUAGUCAAGUAAGCCACGACCUUGGGGUAGAAUUGCCUCUUGAUCUCCCUCUUAAAGUCCUCCCACGUCUCUAUGGUGCAAAUGUCUUUUUCCAUAUCGGCGAACCUCCGACUCUACCAUAGAGUAGCUGUGUUAGUAAGGUAGGGGGGUUACAGUCCUUACCUUAGUCGCCUCAUCAGAUAGUGCGAUGGCCUCGAAGUAUCGCUCCAUAUGCCAUAAGAAGUUGUCCAACUCCUUGACAUCCCGCUUGCCACUAAACCCUUGUGGCUUCGGCACCUCCACCCUAGAUGCCUCUUGGGUGGGCAUGACCCAUGCCGACACAACAGUCUUGUAGAUGGCCAACUCCUACCUAACCUCCUGGUCUUGGGACUCCAUUCGAGUGGCCAAAGCCUCCAUCCUUGACUCUAUACUAGCAAGCAUGCUCAAGACAUUUUCUUGGAAGGACACAAACUCCUCGUGCGACACUGUCUAAACCUAUGAGACUAGCAUCUCCUCACGAAGGUCUUGGAUCUGUUCCCUAAGAUCUUUCAUACCCUUCUCCAUGCCUUGCUCAAUCAAGUCCAACCCCUCCCGAGUGUCUGCCAUGGCUAGCUCCACCUUAGCUAACCUUGCCUCCAUGUUAGCAACGACAUCAUGAGAUUUAUCCUUCCUACCCCUGCCCCGUGCAGUAGGCUCGGUCUCCCUCCCACGGGUUUGUUCACUAGUCUCAUCCACGUUGGAGCCCGACAUGCUUCCUUUACUAUGCCCACUUCAUAGCUACGCUUUGAUACCACUUGUCACGGACUUAAUCUUUUCCUAAGCUCGUGUGGCACUUAGACAAGUCAAGACACUUUAUCUUGCUAAGUCAGCCUUACUCCCAAUGCUUAGCUUGCUAGGCUAAGAUGCUCACGACUCGGAACCUAUUUAUAGGCACCAAUGGAACUCUCUGGAACCUUGCAAGGUUCCUUAAAACUAAAGAAUAAUCUAGAAAUUCCUACACUAGUCUUAUGUACAAGGGUAUGUACAAGAUGACUUUGAAGUAUUCUAGAACACCCUACACAAUCCCAAUUCUCUCUUAGCCAAGUGUAGAGAUGUGUGGGCAUCUCUAGCCCUCUCCAAAAGCUUCCAUACUCUUCCACUUUGUAGCCAAGUGUAGUGUCUCCAAGGGUCUUUAGAAGCUUCCCACCUCCUAUAUAAGCCUAUGGGAAGGGUCAUUUGAAACAUCUUGUGACACUAAGCUCAACUUAUGUUGGGCCUAAGUCCAAGCCUAAUAGCAUGUUUUAUAAAACUUAAUAUUUAAUACUUAUUACUUAAUGACUUAUGUUGACUUUAAGUUAAAUUGUUUGAUAAAAUUAUUUUAAGUUAUUAAAUUAACAUAUUUACCCCAUUGGUUGUAAUUAAUAUUUAUUAUUAAAAUUUUAACUAAUAUUUAUUUUUAUUAAUUUUAAGUAAUAAAUUUUUUUAUUAAACAUCCAUACUUGAAAGUAUUGUAGAUUUAUGUAAUAACUUUAAAAUAUUUAUUAGAAAAAAUGUGUCAUGGAUUUGGUUGUUAAAUAUAUUUUCAUUAGAUAUGAGCAAAUAAGACAAUAAAAAUUUAGGAUUAAGAAUAAGUUAACUAUUUUAACUUAAUAUUUAAAUUUAUUUUUAAUUUUAGGUUGUGAUAUGAAGUUGUAUUUAAAAGACAUGUUUAAUCUACUUAAUAACUUAAAUUAAAUUAUUAUGUCACUUUAAGGCAUUAAGUUAAAUUACCAAUUAAACAUCCUAUAAGACCAAAAUAAGACUCUAAUCAAAUAUAUAUAUAUAUAUAUAUAUAUAUAUAUAUAGAGAGAGAGAGAGAGAGAGAGAGAGAGAUUAUCAUUUAUAUUUGAUUACUAUAUAUACAAUAAAAAAUCAAUUUAGUUAUAAUUUUGAGAAAUUCAUGCAUAGAUUAAGGUGAUGUUUGGUAAAACUUAAUACCUAUUACUUAAUCAUUUAAGUUGACUUUAACUUAAAUUAUACUUAAAUUGUUAACUUAAAACUUAUUAUUUAAGUUUUACUUUAAGUAUUAAGGUUAUUUGAUCAAAUUAACUUAAAACUUAUUCUAAAUUAUAAAAUUGACAUAUUUGUACUCAUAAAUUAAAACUAGGGCAAAAAAGAUCGAAUAAUAGCGGAUGUUGUAGAGUAGCAAAAGAGAUGGUCUAGUUAAUUAGGAUAAAUAAGAGUAAAAAAGCAAAAUAAAUAUACGAACUUAAUUAUUUUUACUUAUUACUUAAAGUUAUUUUUAACUUUAUAUCACACCAUUAAAUUAUUUUACUAAUAAAUAAGAGCAAAAAAGCAAAAUAAAGAUAUGAACUUAAGAAUAAGUUAAUUAUUUUUACUUAUUAUCUAAAACUGUUUUUUACUUUAUGUCACAUUAUUAAAUUAUUUUUCCAAAUAUAAUUAAUGUAGUUAAUGAAUUAAAUUAAGUUAUCAAGUUAUUUUAAGUUAUUAAAUUGAUUUAUGAAACACACACUAAAUAAAAAACUUAAAUUUAUUUAUUUAUUUUUUUGUUGUCUCUCAUGAAUAAUUAAAAGAAAAGAAAAAGUAAAAUAUCACAUUUCCCAAAAUAAAGAAAUAAACAUACACUCCAAUAUUUUUCUUUUCACUUCAAUAGGCCCUCAAUAUAUCUUAAUCAUAUUGUCCAUUGUCUACUCUCUUCAACCCUUUUGGGAUAAUAUGUGAUGUCGGACAAUUACAUGAGUUGGGUUUUCACCGGGCAAUCAACUAUUUUAUAAUGGCAAUAGACCUCUGUCUUAAUUGAGGACAAAGCCUUGCACUUGGGAUCUUUUCCAAGGGAUCCUUCUAAGAAUCCAAUGAUUUCUAAACCAUUAACUUUUAUUAUAAGGAUAACCCAGUUCAUGACAAUGGGAUAUGGGCUACUUGGAUGUCUAUUUUUUUUCCUAAUUUCCACAUGCAAACUGACAAAUAGAAUGUGAACAAAAUAAGGAUAACCCAGUCCACGACAAUGGGAUAUGGACCACAUGGAUGUCUAUUUUUUCCUAAUUUCCACAUGCAAACUGACAAAUAGAAUGUGAACAAAAUAAGGACAGCAUGGUAAUAAUGAUUGAAGAAUAACAAAUUUAGUAUUCGAUGGAAUAUAUUUUCUUUUUUUUUAAAAAAAUACAAUAAUUUCUAUGUAAAAUAUAAUAAUUUUUUUAUUUAUAAAAAGGUUUAAAUUGAAAAUGUAAUGAUUUUUAAAAAUUAAUUUAAAAAAGUGAAGUGUUAAAAGCUUUUUACUACUUUAAAUUUUGAAAAAAAUCAAGGAUAUAAAAGUUAAUAUUUUUUUAUUAGAGUUUUUAUUUUUUAAAAUAAAAAAUAAAAAAUUAUAUUUAAAGAAAGCUUUGCUUUAUAAAUUAUUAUAAAAAGCCUCAUUUUUUAAAUAAUAAGAUCAUCUGGUCAUUCCAAAGUGUAUAUGGAUUGUACGUUCUUGAUGGUUAUUCUUCUUGGAAGAUAUCAUCCAUACAAACCACUGCCAAUUUUUACAAUGGCUUCGAGUGAUAAAUGACAAAUACAAGAAUGACGAAUAAAACUAUGUUAUAUAUAUAUAUAUUAUUAUCAAAAUUUUGUUUUGUCAUUGCCAGCAUUUAUCUGCUGGUGGUAGAAACUAAGUAUACAAGUGCCUCUUUUCUUUGUCACGGCUUAAAAAUUUUUAAAAAUAUUUAAUUUUUUUUCGAAAACAUUUUUUUAAGUUAAAAACCUUUUCUAGAAUUACUAUUAAAUGACUCUUAAAGUCCAUUUAGUAAUGAUUUAAACAUUUGUAAUUAAAAAAUAAAAAUUUUCAAAUGUUAAAGGUAAUAAAAAUACUUUUUAAAAUUACUACUAAACGUAUUUUUGGAGUCUGUUUAACAGUAAUUUUAAAAAGUUUUUUUAUUUUAAAAAACAUUUUUGAAAAGAAAUUAAGUAUUUGAGAAAAUUUAGGAAACAAUUUUAAAAAUCUAAAAAAUUACUUAUAUUUCUAAUUUUAUAUUUACGGUUUCAAGAGAGCCUUAGGCAUCGUUUGUAGUAACCAAUGACAUAAGCAAAGAUGGUGGUGAUACUACGAAAUUUUUGGAAUACUGAGAAGUUGAAAAGCUAAUAUUGAUAGAGACCAUUUAAGACAUAGUGUACAGGCUUUGAAAUGAUAACACGUGUUCCUAUCGUGAGGCAAUAAAAAAGUGGUGUAUAUUUGCCGGCCAUUCCUCGCCAGUGCAUAGGAUAAGAAGUGAUGGGGCUACUCGUAUAAAUUGGUUCUCUCAACUAUGAAGUAAUUCAGAGGUCGCUCCUUGAAGUCUCUUCCAAAGCGGAAAUGAAGCUUAGCUCAGUUGCAAUCUCCUUUGUUUUUAUUACUCUCUUGAUAUAUGCAUGGAGGUUAUUGAAUUGGGUGUGGUUGAGACCAAAGAAGCUAGAGAGAUGCCUCAGGCAGCAAGGUCUGACUGGGAAUUCCUACAGCUGCUUGUAUGGGGACUUUAAAGAGAUGUCGAGAAUGAUUAACGAAGCAAAUUCCAGACCCAUCAGCUUCUCUGAUGAUAUUGUGCAGCGAGUUCUACCAUUUCACGAUCAUUCCAUCCAGAAAUAUGGUAUGAAAAUGAGCUACUCUUUAUCAUUGCACUAAAAUAUAUUUAUUUGUGGAAUUUUCCCCAAGGGAUUGUUGGUCUUUGGUUUUUUUUUUAUUAGUUAUUUUUCCUAUCCAUUUUUUUUCUUCUCUAAGAAGUUAUAGCCCAAUGGAAUUUCAAUGGUAUUUCAAAUUUCUUUUUUCUACGUCGGAGUGUAAUUUUUAAGGUUUAUUUGAUUAAAAAGAAUAAAAUAAUCCCAAGUUUAGAAAAAUAUCGUUAUGAUAAAAAAAAAAACUCAUUUUCUAAAAAUAAAAAUAAAAAUACUUAUUGUUUUUCUUUUCAACCUAAAAAAUGACCUUUUUUUUUUAAUAAAAUCAUACCCCAAAAAAAUGUGUUUUCAUAUGGUAAAAAAAAAAAAUUACAAAAUAGGAACUCAAAUUUAUAAAAUACAAAUUUCAAACAACUAUCUAAAAAUAAUUACCAUUUUAUGAACUUUUUUAUCUAAUGUGCUACCUUUGAUCAUCCUUAGUACUAUCUUUGAUAGGUAUAGAGGAUUCCUAUUUUAUAAUCAUUUUUGCCUGAGUGUGUAAAAACUCAUUUGUUCGAAUAUACUUAUUGUUUUUCUUAUAAAAAUAACAAUUUUUUUUUUAAAAAAAUGUACAAAUAAAUUAUCAAAAUAUUAAGAGAUGUUUAUAUAAAAAAUGAACUAAUUUUUAAGUUGAAAUAUGAGAGGUGUUAGAUUUACAAAUUUAGGAUUAUUUUAUCCCUUUUAAUUGUGUAAUUCAAUUUUUUUAUAAGCUAUAUGUAGGUAUAUAUAGAUGUCAACUUUGAUAAAUUGUUUAAUCAUUGGGAAAUGUGAAUAGUCUUUAAAUUUUUAUGCUAAUUGUUUCUCAUCUUUUCAAAUUUUGCAUGAACUUCUGACUUUUGAUAAUUAAUCACAUCAGUAUACUUUUCUUUAGAUAUUUGAGCUUCUUCAAUCAGAGAGCCUUGCAUUUGACUCCUUGAGUAUUCAGGUCCUUUAGAUCCUUUCUGACAUUUAUCCAACAAUGGGCAUUAAAAAUGCAGGUAAAAAUAGUUUUACAUGGUUGGGCCCAAAACCAGUGGUAAACAUUAUGGAGCCUGAGCUGAUAAGGGAUGUUUUCUUAAAGCACAAUGCCUUCCAAAAAGUACCGCCACACCCUCUCGGCAAGCUGCUGGCCACUGGUGUUGUUGCAUUGGAAGGUGAACAAUGGACUAAACGUAGAAAGAUCAUAAACCCAGCUUUCCAUCUAGAGAAGUUGAAGGUAGUUUUAAACUUUUGAGGCACUAUUUUUUUGGUUAUGCAGCCAGACCCCAACUUGUUGCCUGGUUUCUCUGCAUAGCCCUCUUCUUAUAGGAAAGAAAAUAAAUUUCUGAAUGUUCCAUAAUUUAGUAGACAUAUUCACAAUUUUACUGCCUCUUGUAAUCUUUUUUCUUAUGCAUGAUAAAUUUUUUCUAAAUUUAUUAUUUGUGUUUGAAUUUGUAUAGCACAUGGUAUCGGCAUUCCAAUUGAGUUGUAGUGAUAUGGUCAAUAAAUGGGAGAAGAAGCUCUCCCUGGACGGCUCAUGUGAAUUGGACGUUUGGCCCUAUCUUGAAAAUUUGGCGGGAGAUGUGAUUUCUAGAACUGCAUUUGGUAGUAGCUAUGAGGAAGGAAGAAGGAUAUUCCAACUUCAGAGAGAGCAAGCACAUCUUGCAAUCCAGGUUACUCGGUCAAUCUAUGUUCCCGGAUGGAGGUAGGCAUAAAAUAUUUCAAGGGAUUAAUCUGAACCUCAGUACUAAUACCCAAAUGCUAUAACUUUCACAGUAUCAUCAACAACAACAGUAAUAAUAAAAAUAAAAAUAAAAAAGAAGAAGAAGGAGGGUUUGAUCCAGCAUGGGACAAAAGCAAGAAUAAAAUUAAUAACUGUUAUAGCAUUUAAGAACUGUAUGAUGUUUCAUUUAUUUUGUUAAUAUGGCUCUCGACUAAUUUUUGUUUUCCUUUAAGAGCUUUCUUUUUGUACAAAUUAAAGAAUAUAGCUGUGUCUUCAAAACAAAAAUCAAGUUCAAGUAUCCCCUUUUCUUUUAUUGGCAGAACAUCUUAGCAAGAUGCAUGGUGAAAUACUACUAUAAAAUAUAUGUAGACUCAAUGAAGUCAUGGAUGAAAAUGCAUUAGUUGUUUCCUGUAUUUCAUUGAUCUUCAUUUACUUGGAUUACUUCCAAGCAGGUUUUUCCCAACAAAGACAAACAGGAGAAUGAGGCAAAUUAGCAAUGAAGUCAAUGCAUUGUUGAAGGGUAUCAUUGAGAAAAGAGAGAAGGCAAUGAAAGUUGGCGAAACUGCUAAUCAUGAUUUAUUAGGUCUACUAAUGGAAUCCAACUACAGAGAUAUGCAAGAAAAUGAUGAGAGGAAGAAUGUUGGAAUGAGCAUCAAAGAUGUCAUUGAGGAGUGUAAGCUAUUCUACCUUGCUGGCCAAGAGACUACCUCGGUUUUACUUCUGUGGACGAUGGUUCUAUUAAGCAAGCAUUCAAACUGGCAAACUCGCGCAAGGGAAGAGGUUUUACGGGUUUUUGGUAAUAAAAAACCAGAUGGUGAUGGCUUAAAUCACCUCAAAAUUGUGAGUAUCAAUCCAAAAUAUAUUCAAUUUAGUAACUCUUCUUGAAAAUAAUAUAUUACUCUUUUCUUUUUUUUUUCUUUUUUUUUCAAUCUUGAGGCAAAAUAUGUUUUGUUUCUGUAUCCUUUUUACUUUAAUUGAAAACUAUAUGCAGAUACUUGGUAUCCCCAAUGGAAUUUUUCUUUCCUUAUCUACGCGCACAAUGCAUCAGCACUGGCCAAUUGACUUUACUGAAGAAGGGGCGGACUAUUCUUUUCUUUGCGUGAAUUUUUUAUUUGCUUGUUAGGUUGUUUUGAGUGUGGUGAAAACUUUAUGCAAAUACUUAGUAUCAAUCAUUUACAAUACUUUAUGAUAAUCUUGAUAUUUCCUCUUGCCAAGCGUGUUUUCUUGAAAUUGGAACUCUGGGCUAUAAUAAAUUUUCCGGGGGUUCUUAGUUUGUAUUCACCAGUUACUGUAUGGCCCUAUAUGUACAUGAAAGUAUGUCAUGCAAAAAUUUAAACAAUCUCUCUCAUUACUAUAUUCGAAAAGUUCUUUCAUGGUUUGAUGUAUGCUUCUUAGUAAUCAUUUAGUGUAUUUCAGUAAUGAAUUUUCAUGAUAAAAAUAUUUUCUAUAUUGCAGGUUACUAUGAUUUUUCAUGAGGUCCUUAGGUUAUAUCCACCAGUGUCCAUGCUUCUUCGAACUGUUUUUGCCGACAGCCAAGUGGGAGGAUUGUAUUUACCAGAUGGAGUGCAGAUUGCUUUGCCAAUCCUCCUACUUCACCACGAUCAUGAAAUUUGGGGAGAGGAUGCAAAGGAAUUCAACCCGGGGAGAUUUUCAGAAGGAGUUUCUAAGGCAGCAAAGACCCAAGUUUCAUUUUUUCCAUUUGGUUAUGGUCCUCGGAUAUGCGUUGGACAAAAUUUUGCAAUGAUGGAAGCAAAAAUGGCUUUGGCAAUGAUCUUACAACGUUUCUCAUUUGAACUUUCCCCAUCCUAUGCUCAUGCACCUAUUAGUCUUAUAACUAUGCAACCCCAGUAUGGUGCACACCUGAUUUUACAUGGACUUUAGCAUCAGAGUUCUUGUUAUCAGUGAGAGUUAGCAAGACCUUUAAACCUAGAUAGUGUUGAAUUUAAAAUGCCCACACUUCCUUUCACUUGAAAUGAGUGCUCUUUAAAGCCAUUAUAUUAAUAAAAUUCUCUUUUGUAUGUUUGUAAGAGAUCAUAUAUAAAAAUGAUCACUUUACAAGGAGAUGCAUUUUUCUCUAUUCUUGUCCCCCCAAAAUGAAAAGAAAAGAAGAACUGCUGACAAUCUAUAUUUGGAGAAUGGACAUACAUUGAAAUUAUUUCUGAUGGGUGACCAUGCAUGUUGUGAUAUCUACAAGGAAACUACCAUUCCAAUAAUAGGAGAAAUAUUCUCAUUUGUUCUUAUCGUUAUAGAGUGGUGUCUCAUUCACUAUAAUUGGGUAGUAGACUCUUACGGAAUUUUAUGGCUAGGUAUCUGUAAAGAAGUUCGUACUAAAUUGGGUAGCAAGAUAAUACAAUUUUGGAGUUACUACCUCUAAGAAGUUGUCUGCGUACACUUGAUUCCAAUCCAUGUAAUGACAAAUUAUAAACCUCAGGGGCCCGGUCCACCCCCUAUUUUUAUUGGAUCUACAAUUUUGCCAUUCUCCAAGAGUUUUAGACAACUUCACAAUGUUCCACAACCUUAACGAACCUUUUGGAUGAGCUUGAUGUGGUUGCAGUAGCUUUACAUGAUUGCUAUAAUCCCAUAUUGGAAGCUUAAGAAAGAGGAACCUCUCCUAGUACCUAUAAAAAGAGGACCUUGUAAUUUAUUGUUGAUAAGAGAUCGUAUAGAGAAGUUUCUUAUUGUUAUUUCACUUGAUUUCUUCAAGUGUAGUAUUCUUAUUUUCUUCUAGUUUCACUUCUGCAGCAAGCCAAACUCACUGGGAUGCUCAGAGUUUUUAGGUGCUCAAACACUACAUGGAUUUUUAGGAGAGAUCUUGGUCUACCAAAAGUGGUGGACUUGUUAGAAAGCACUAGCAAAAUAAAAAUAAAAAUAGAAAGAAAGAAAGAAAAGCGAAGAAAUCAUUGAUAAUAAAAUAUUCACAACUGAUCUUGACAUGUGGAUAAAUGAUUUCAUAAUCAAGAAGUAUUCACAAUUGCAAAACCAUCCACAAGCUUACAUGCAUGCCCUUUUAGCUUUGUGCUAUAUAUUUAGAAUUUUGGGAGAAGCAAAGAAAGAAAAAUGAAGAAUAUUUUUUAACAAUUGAAUUUAAAAUCAUGAUGCACUUUCAUCUAUUUAUAGCUAGGCAUAACAAUAAAUUAUAACAUUUUAUAUAUUUUAACUUUACAAAGUCUACCAAUGACUUUACACCUAUUCUAACAUUACAAUUUAUUUGUGAAUUUAUAAUGUAACUUCACAAUUAAUUUGUAACUUUAGAACUUUUGUUUCUAACUUCAUAAUCGAUUAUAAAUUUACAACUUUUGCAACUUCACAAGUUAUUGGUGUCUAUCUACUACCUUUUGUAACUUUAUAAUUCAUUGUACAUUACAAUAUUUUAAUUUAUAAAGUAAAUGUCUAUGAUUAAUUAACUUAUUUGUAUGUUAUGAACCCUUUAUAUUUCAAAGUUAAUUGUCUCUUAUCAAUAAGUUAAGGUGAGGACAUAUGGUAUGGGACCUUUGUGGGAUCUUUAAUUACAUCCUUAGUAAGUUUGUUAUGUUUGUUCCAAAUAAAUUUAUUAAUUAUAAUUAUAUUUAAAACAUAUUAUAAUUUCACCCCAAGAAUAGGAGAUAUAUAAGUCAACUUCCCACUUAUAUAUAUACAUAUUAAUCCUUCCAUUAAUUAAUAUUCAUAACAAGUUUAUUAGGUUGAACCAAGAUGACUGUCAUUACCCAAAUUACAAGUGCAUCACCUCUUAUAAUUGGAUCUUUAAGAAAAACAAUUUAAAAAUUCCUAAUAAACAAUAUACUAUAUUAUAGAUAUGUACACUUGAUAGAAUACUUAUUCUAAAUUGACCAACUGAUAUUUUAAUAUAUUUUGUAAGUGACACAAUAUUGAAUAUUCUCUCAUAAUAUAGUCUAUUAUUAGACAUCAACAACUAACAACAUCAAAGCUAUAUUUACAUAACUUGAUGACAUCCUUAAGCCAAAGGACUUUAUGCAACACUAAACAAAACAAGUUUUUGUUGGAAUAUCUAGAUUACUCCAUUCCAAGCAUCGUCUCAUGGAGUGCAUACUACUACAAUCCUAAGGAUACUAGAUUUAAUGCAAUGGAAGCAACAAAAACAAAAAUGUUAGAUUUAGGUGCUCCAGAAAACAAUACUUAUGAUUUGAACAGUCCUAAAUCAACUCUAGUUGGUCAAUAGUAUGAUUUAGAUCUUGAAAACAUUGCAAUUUUUUUUCUAAUGGCUCUCUCCUAAACCUUACAUGUGAGAAUGGUGGAAUCCUUUCUAUGGAGAUGAAGGCUAAGGCUCUAUCUUGUUUAAAGGUUGAAUAAUUGAAGUUAUAAGCCUUAAACCCUCAAUAGGAUUUAUAUAGUCUUUGUCUAUGGGCUUAAGUGGCUUGUGCCCAUCUUGGGUUUAGGUCGGUUAAUCUAGCCUAUUGGUUCCUAAUUAAUUAAUUAGUCAUAUUGGGAUACAAUUAUGCAACCUUGUGUAUUUAUCAAAAUACCCUUAUACACACAUAUGAACAAAAAACACCCUAAUAUCCUUCAAAUAAUUAAUGUGCCACCAAGGAAUAUGAACUUGAGUAGGGACUAUAAGGACCUAUAGGAAAAUAAUGGCCUUUUCAUAAUCUAAUUAUGAAGUUAACUCAACACUGUCAUGCUUCCUUGCACCCUUCUAUACACAUAAGGUUCAUUCUUGUUUUGACCAAAAUCAAGGGUCUUAAUUUCAUGUUCUAAACAUUUGUUCCAUGAGCAAGAAGCUUGAAUUAAUCCAAAAAUAGACUUAUGCAAUUUGCAUACUAGAUGCUCUCUGCCCUUUGCUAUGAAAACAUCUGGUUGUAUCAUAUAAAUGCUCUCAUCAAGGUAGUCAUUUAAGAAUAUUGUCUUGACAUCCAUAUGACAUAUCUCAUAAUUGAGAUAAACUGCAAUGUAUAUGAGUACUUCGAUGGAUUUGAGUAUGGCUACCAUAGAAAAAGUUUCCCAUAGUCAAAACUAGGUUUCAAACUAUAAACCUUUAGCUAUAAGCUUAGCCACAAAAGUCUCAAUUGUUAGGAUAAAGCCUCAAAAGCAUGAGAAGAUGUCAUAAAAAAAGUUUCCAUUUCUAUCAUUGAUUGCAUUAAUUUUUACCCGAGCAUUCAAAGCUCGUAUGAUUACUAGUCAAAAAGUGUUAUUUCAUAGCUUGUAAUUAACUCUUUUAAACACUUUUGAGUAGUAGUUAUCACCUUUUAACCCAAUUAACAUAUUAAGGACCCUUGCAAUCAAUUCUAAUCAAAUUGUGUUAAGUUUUGGUGUUUUGAUAGCCUUUUGAUCACCAAAGCAAUCCAAGAUUGAGGAGAGUUCUUUAGGAAUCCAUGGCAAAAGAUGUCCGGACAGGGUGUCCGGACACACCAUUAGAGAGCGGCAGAACAUGGGCUGUAGCAAGGCUUGCUCACUUUAGUCAAUGUUUUCCAUCCGGACAACAUAUCCGGAUAGGAUAUGCUGUCAUCCGGGAGAGGGGUCCCUAUACCUUGCACACGCAGACGGUCCCCCUUGCGCAGCAUAGCUCAGUCCACCCGGGGAGGAAUUCCGUCCGUCGACAUUUCACAUUCGGAAUUCCAUGCGCCAACAUUUUACAUCCGGAUAUCUCACAGCCGGAUGGGAGAGGAGGACGUUUCAACUUCUCCGGUCAGACAUAUCCAGAUCCUCUGAUAGCGUUCACCCGGAGAGCAUCUGCGGUCGACAUUUCAGAUUACCCGGAUUUUGCACAAUGUUGCAGUGUUCUCCUGAAGCUUCCCGAUAUUUGCCACCGACUAAGAUUUUUUCUCUUAAGAUAUUUUGUGUAAAUUUCUAUUUUCUCCUUGUAAUCAGUCAAAGAUAUUAUUGGGAUAUUUCUUAGAAAAUAACUUCUCUAUAUAUAUCUUUGAACCAUUGUAAAGAGGAGAGAUAUUAUAUAUAUAUAUAUGAAACCGAUGAACAGAGCACUUGCUCUGUUUUUGUUCUUCAUAUUUUUGUUUUCUUGUUAGUUUUCUUUCUAGCCAAUCAAACUCUGAGGAUUUUUCCUUAGAGGAUGAGAGGCUAGGCUCUUUGUCUCUUGGAGUGAAGAAAGCCGGGUAAGUUUCCUCAUGCAUAAAUUGGAAGUUUUGUUGUUUUAGUUUUUAAUGAAGAGAAAGUGUGAUCCGUUAAUGGUUUUUAUCUUUUUAGUUAACUUAAAACGCCUUUAACUCACCUAGGCCAACACUUGAUAAGGCAAGUGAUCUCCAUCCAUUGAGAUGCACUUGUUUAUCUCUUGCGAGCCUUUGGGAGGUGGUUUAGAGGUAGGAUUUUCUAGAAUUGCCAACACUUGGUAAGCUUUUGGACUCUAAGGAGACAUCCAUUAGUUAUCUCUUGCGAGCUUGAGAAGGGAAGUCCAAAGUUAAAGAUCACCUUGAAUGGCAAAUGCUAGGUGAGAGGCAUGAGCCAUUGAAAGUUGCAUCAGUGAGAGGGAUUUAGUGUUUGAACCCAUUAAAGGGAAGCAUCUGUACCACACCGGUUAGAGAAUUAACUAUAUGUUAAUUCUCUAAUGCGAGGAAAAGAAACAAGUGACCGGAACUCUCCUUUUUGUAUGAGGAACCUGAGCCUAGUGAUCUAAACUCCAAGAAACACUUUUCUUUGUAGUUAAAAUUAGUUACUAUUUUUUGUUAGCUUAAAACCAAACCUUUUUCAUUCAAACAUCUUUAUGUUUUCUUUUAAAGCUGACUUUGAAAGGAAAAUGCACCAAUUCAUCUUUGAAAUAAUAUCAAUUGUGGAGUGAAAACCCAUCCCAGUGAACGACCCUAGAGCCACUAUGCUAUGCUAGCUAAGGCUAUCCUAGUAUGAUUCAUUCUCAAUUGGUGUCUCAGCUGAUUCAUGUCCAACUAGUGCUCCUUGACUGAGGAAGUGAUCAAUAAAAUUUAUAACCUAUAUCACCAUGCAUUAGGAUAGCUUUAGCUAAUAUAGCAUAGUGACUCUAGGAUCGUUCACUGGGAAGGGUUUUCAACUCACAACUGAUACCAAUUCAAAGCUGAGUUGGUGCUUUUUCAUUUCAAGGUUAGCUUUAAAAGAAAACAUAAAGAUGUUUGAGUGAAAAGGGUUUGGUCUUAAACUAACCAAAAAGAAAGUAAUGGAAAUUACUUAUGAAGAAAAACAUUCCUUGGAGGUUUAGGUUCACAGGGGAGGUUCCUUAUGCAAAAACAAAGCCCCGGUCAUUUGGUUCAUUUCCUCGCAUUAGAGAAUUAACAUAUAGUCAAUUCUCUAACCGGUGCUAUACAGAUAUAUCCUUUAAAUGGAUUUUAGCUCUAAUUCCCUCUCAUUGAUGCAACUUGCAAUGGCUCGUGCCUCUCACCUAGCAUUUGCCAUUCAAGGUGAUCAUUAACUUUGGACUUCCCUUCUUAAGCUCGCAAGAGAGAACUAAUGGAUGUCUCCUUGGAGUCCAAAAGCUUACCAAGUGUUGGCAAUUCUAGAAAAUCCUACCUUCAAGUCACUUCCCAAAAGCUCGCAAGAGAUAAACAAGUGCAUCUCCAUGAACGGAGAUCACUUGCUUUACCAAGUGUUGGCUCAAGUGAAUUGAAAGUGUUUUAAGCUAACUAAAAACAUAGAAAUCAUUAAAGGAUCACACUUUCUCUUCAUUAAUGAUUGAAACCACAAAGCUACUAAUUCUUGCACUUGGAACCUUUCCCGGCAACCUUAACUCCAAGGAACUAAAAGUCUAGCCACUCAUUCUCUAAGGAAACUUCCUCAGAGCUUGUUUGGCUAGUAAGAAAACUAACGAGAAAACAAUUAUAUGAAGGAAAAACAGAGCAAGUGCUCUGUGAAAUAUAUUUCUUUCUUCCGUCGAUUACAUAAUAGAUUGUAAAGAAAAUUACAAACUAUAUAUCAGGUUAUUCACCCUUUGUUCUUACUUAAAGACUAAGGAAUCCUAUGAUAGGUGGGUUACAAGGAGACUUUGGGGAUUUAGAAAACAAAUAUCUAAAGCAAAAUAUCUCAAGAUGUCGGUCGGAAAUAUCAAGAAGCUUCAAGAGAACACCGCGGCACUGUAUACUGAGAGAAAAACUCUCUUAGUAAGCGCUAUCAGAGGAUCCGGAUAAGUCUGACCGGAGAAGUUGAAACGUCCUCCUUUCUCAUCCGGCUGUGAGAUAUCCGGAUGUAAAAUGUCGGCGCACGGAAUUCCGGAUGUGAAAUGUCNNNNNNNNNNNNNNNNNNNNNNNNNNNNNNNNNNNNNNNNNNNNNNNNNNNNNNNNNNNNNNNNNNNNNNNNNNNNNNNNNNNNNNNNNNNNNNNNNNNNAAAGCUGAGUUGGUGCUUUUUCAUUUCAAGGUUAGCUUUAAAAGAAAACAUAAAGAUGUUUGAGUGAAAAGGGUUUGGUCUUAAACUAACCAAAAAGAAAGUAAUGGAAAUUACUUAUGAAGAAAAACAUUCCUUGGAGGUUUAGGUUCACAGGGGAGGUUCCUUAUGCAAAAACAAAGCCCCGGUCAUUUGGUUCAUUUCCUCGCAUUAGAGAAUUAACAUAUAGUCAAUUCUCUAACCGGUGCUAUACAGAUAUAUCCUUUAAAUGGAUUUUAGCUCUAAUUCCCUCUCAUUGAUGCAACUUGCAAUGGCUCGUGCCUCUCACCUAGCAUUUGCCAUUCAAGGUGAUCUUUAACUUUGGACUUCCCUUCUUAAGCUCGCAAGAGAUAACUAAUGGAUGUCUCCUUGGAGUCCAAAAGCUUACCAAGUGUUGGCAAUUCUAGAAAAUCCUACCUUCAAGUCACUUCCCAAAAGCUCGCAAGAGAUAAACAAGUGCAUCUCCAUGAACGGAGAUCACUUGCUUUACCAAGUGUUGGCUCAAGUGAAUUGAAAGUGUUUUAAGCUAACUAAAAACAUAGAAAUCAUUAAAGGAUCACACUUUCUCUUCAUUAAUGAUUGAAACCACAAAGCUACUAAUUCUUGCACUUGGAACCUUUCCCGGCAACCUUAACUCCAAGGAACUAAAAGUCUAGCCACUCAUUCUCUAAGGAAACUUCCUCAGAGCUUGUUUGGCUAGUAAGAAAACUAACGAGAAAACAAUUAUAUGAAGGAAAAACAGAGCAAGUGCUCUGUGAAAUAUAUUUCUUUCUUCCGUCGAUUACAUAAUAGAUUGUAAAGAAAAUUACAAACUAUAUAUCAGGUUAUUCACCCUUUGUUCUUACUUAAAGACUAAGGAAUCCUAUGAUAGGUGGGUUACAAGGAGACUUUGGGGAUUUAGAAAACAAAUAUCUAAAGCAAAAUAUCUCAAGAUGUCGGUCGGAAAUAUCAAGAAGCUUCAAGAGAACACCGCGGCACUGUAUACUGAGAGAAAAACUCUCUUAGUAAGCGCUAUCAGAGGAUCCGGAUAAGUCUGACCGGAGAAGUUGAAACGUCCUCCUUUCUCAUCCGGCUGUGAGAUAUCCGGAUGUAAAAUGUCGGCGCACGGAAUUCCGGAUGUGAAAUGUCGGAGCACGGAUUUCCAGAUGUGAAAUGUCGGCGCACGAAAUUCCUCCCGUGUUGGACUGAGCUAUGUUGCGCAAGGGGGACCGUCUGCGUGUGCAAGGUGUAGGGACUCCUUUCCCGGAUGACACAGAGUGCGCAAGGCUAUCCGGAUCAACUCCAUCUGGAUUCCCCAAGAAGACAUGUGGUGCGCUCCCCUAUCCGGACUCCCUCAGGGAGAAGCACACGACACUCAUGAAUAUCACACCCAGACGAUAGCAUAUCCUAUCCGGAUAUGUUGUCCGGAUGGAAAACAUUGACUAAAGUGAGCAUGCCUUGCUACAGCCCAUGUUCCGCCGCCCUCCGAUGGUGUGUCCGAACGCCCUAUCUGGACAUCUUUGCCAUGGAUUCCAAAGAACUCUCCUCAAUCUCUGAUUGCUUUGGUGAUCAAAAAGCUAUCAAAACACCAAAACUUAACACAAUUUGAUUAGAAUUGAUUGCAAGGGUCCUUAAUAUGUUAAUUGGGUUAAAAGGUGAUAACUACUACUCAAAAGUGUUUAAAAGAGUUUAUUUCAAGCUAUCAAAUAGCACUUUUUGAGUAGUAAUCAUAGUACAUGGUGUAAUAGGUUAUAAAUUUUGUUGAUUGCUCCCAUCUGAGGACUGAAAUCAAGACACCAGUUGGACACGAAUCAAAUGGCACCACUGUCAGGGACCAUUGAGAGGACACGAAUCAGCUGAGACACUAAUUGGGAAUGAAUCAAAUGGCGCCAUUGCCGGGGAUGGUGCCACUUUACAGUGAUAUCACCUUUCCAUAGUACUUGUGAUCUUCAUCACAAGUGUGGUGACUUUUCUUUUCUUUUUACUAACUCUUUUUAUUUGUUUUUGUUUUUUUUCUUUGUUCAUAUUUUAGUAUAUCUUUUAUUUAGUUUUUGGUUAAUAUUAAUAAUUUUCUUUUUUCUUUAGAUUUUUUUUUCUUUUAUUUUCUUUUGUUUUCUCUAUUUUUAAUUCACAAAUUGCUAGUUGUGCAUGUCAUAUUGAAUAUGAGAUAGCAGAGGAAGCCAUGAACUUCAUGAGUUAUGUGGCUGAAGUUUCAAGAGGAUGGGAUGAACCAAAUGCUCGAGAUAUGGGGAGAAUGACGUCUCAACCUAAUGCUAAGGGUGAGAUGUAUAUUUUGAAUGACGACAUACACAUGAAAGCAAAGAUUGCAGCUAUGGCAAGGAGAUUGGAAGAGCUAGAAAUGAAGAAGAUGCAAAAAGUGCAAGCCAUCUCUCAGACACCAUUGCAAGCUAUGCCUUGUGCCAUUUGUCUAUCUUAUGAGAACUUGGUGGAAGAGUGUCCUACCAUUCCAACGGUGAGAGAAAUGUUUGGUGAUUGCAACACCUAUAAUUCCAAUUGGAGGAAUCAUCCAAAUUUUUCAUGGAAGCCAAGAGCACCUCAGUACCAACAGCCGACUCAACCAUCUCAACCAUCCCAACAAGCUUCAAGUCUUGAACAAGAAAUAGUGAAUCUCAGCAAGGUUGUGGGAGAUUUUAUUAAAGAACAAAAAUCCAUCAACUCUCAACUCAGUCAAAGAAUUGACAGUGUAGAGAAUAGGAUGGAUGGGAUUCAAAAUGAUUUAUCUCAGAAGAUAGAUAAUCUCCAAUAUUCAAUCUCAAGGUUUGCCAACCUCAACAAAGUGCAAGAAAAAGGAAACUCUCCUUCUCAACCUCAUCAAAAUUCAAAGGGUAUCCAUGAAAUAGAGGCUAAGGAGAGAGAUAAAAAGGUUGAUCUGCCCACAUCCAAGCUAGAGCAUGAGGUAGAGAGUGAAACAGAGAAAGAAAAGAGGGAGGAAAUCAAAGGAAAGAGAGAGGGGAAAAGCAUAGAGAAAGAUGACUAUAUAGAUGAAGAACCACAGAGGAUAGUCAUCAAGGAAGAAAUAAAGAAACACAUGCCUCCACCUUUCCCCCAAGCUUUGUAUGGGAAAAACAUACAAACCAAGUCUCAAGUGAGAGACACAAACUUCAUAUGGGAUCCGGGCAAGCUAAAUCAGGAUCAAAUUUUUUGAUGGACUUAGUCUUUCUAAAGACUAGCUAGUCCAUACCUUUUUGUUUUACUUAUUACUUGUUUUAAUUUUGAUUUCAAUGCUUUAAUUCUAAUUUGUUUUGAUGUAAUAUAGGUUUUUGGAUGAUCAAAAUCAGAACGGAAAUGUUGCAUUUUGCUACUGUUGGACACAUUUUUGAAGGCCUUCAUGGAGCUCAAAUUAUGCAUACUAUAUCUCUUUUUUAAUCUUGGGAAGUCAGGAGUCCAUAGCUUCAAACGGUGCUCGAUUUGGAGUUGAAACGAAGAAGUUAUGGCCGUUUGAAGACGAUCGCGCAAAGCACCAACGGGAAUUUCGCAGCUGCAAAAUGGGCUACAAAAUUCCCAUUUUGUUGCAGGAAAGCCCUCUCACUGAGAUCACACACACAAAGCCUCUUAAUCCAUUUCUUACCUCCUUAAAACCAUCAGAGCCCAUAGCUCCAGUUGAGGAGACUACCAAAGCAGAGGCCAAAGUCCUGAUCCAACCCACUCAAGAGGCCACCACAGAUGCAUCAGCUCCACAAGACCUUACCAUUACUUGAUCAUCUCUUUACUUUUUGUCUUUACAUAUUAUAUUAAUAUAAAUAAUUCCAUAUUUUGAUGUCUUAUAUUCUGGGAUUGGAUGUAUUACUGAUGAUACAUCAUAUAUAGACAUCAUUUUUUGUUUAAACUUGGCAUUUGUCUAUUUCCUCUACUCACUAACUCUUUUGUUUUUUUUGAAACAUGUGGUUUCUCCUAUACGACUCAGACUCCAUGUCACUAAGGAGGUACCACUUCCUCCCUAUUUUUCAAUCGCUUUUGUCACAUUGAGGACAAUGUUCAACUUAGUUGGGGGGAGAGUUGAGGAAGGAAGUUUUUGUUAUUAAUGCUAAGUUAUUUUGGUAAUUUAGUUGCUUUUUGCUUAAUUUUAAAAUUUUUUAAGUUUUUAUUCUACUCUCCAUGGUUAUUAAGGAAAAAUUUUCAAAAUGAAAAGAGAGAAAUUGAAUUUUUGUCUUUUUCACUUGACUUAGAUUUUGUAUUAUGCUUACUAAAGUUGAUAAAUUGUUGAAACUUCUAUUGAAUUCAACCUUAGUUCUUCCACUUUAAACUAUUCACACAAUGUGCACAAUAGGUUCCGAUUAUAAGAUGAAAAACUAUUUCCCUCUUGACUUAGGAAAAUUUUAGACUUGGUACCUUUGACCUCAUUUUAAUAGUGUUGGGACACCUUAUAAAAGGCCAAUGAGCCUGUGAAAAAAAAAAAAGAAUAGAGAAAGAAAGAAAAAAAUGCUUGCUUGCCUUGAAACCCGAGCAAGGUCCGAGGGGUAUAUGGUGAAAAUCUUUAAAACCUGGUGCCCUAAGCCUUCAUUGGUUGGGAGUCACCGACCUCAAUGCUCGUUACAAGGGUGGAUAGGUGGAGUUUAACAUACUGUAGGUGCUUAGGUAUUAAAAUUCAUUCUCAAAAGUCCGGGUUAAAAUCCGAGGAGUUAGUGGUUGAAAGAUCCUUAAAACUUGAUGCCCUAAACCUUAAUUGGUUGGGAGUCAUCGAUGGACCCCCGUUACAUGGACAAUUUAGAAAAGAAUACCUUUAGCCUUGUACUCCUACAAGAAAAAAAUUGUGAAAUGAGAGGUGCGUUCUUAACCUAUUGGAGGUUGAUCAGUUUGCUAAGCUUUGAAAAAGAACUAGGUUUGGGGGAGAGAUUAGUUCAACAUACUUGUAAACUCCCAUUUGGGGCUCAUUCCUUUGCAUCUCUACAGGUUAUAAUUUUUUGCAAGUGGAGGGCUCUCAAGGAGCCACGUGCCCAUUCAUGGUUGGUUGCUGUGGAAUCAGCUUAGUGGAGUUGAUGGACGAAUGGGAAAGCAACACGUAUGAAAGGAUAUGCUGGGGAUUUUGCAAGCCGUUAGAGGGAGCAGGCCAGCGGUAGGAGAGGGGAGGCGUUUCUGUUGAGGGGCAGCAGGCCAGCUGCAGGUGGUGCGUUUUUCUGGAGGUGGAGUGCUUUUCAGGUGGGGCUUUUCCAUUAGAGGGAGGCUGCAGAGAUCUUUGAGAGGGAGCUUUUGGUUUGGUUGUUUCGGGGAAGAAAGCUGGUGGGAGAGAGGGGAGGCCUCCAUUGACGAUUGCGAGAGAUAUUUUUGGGGCCUCAGGGAAAUCUUGACAGGAGGGAGCUUUUUUUUAUUUGGUGGUUUUUGAGCUUAGGCUGCCGGAGAGAUAUUAGAGGGAGAGUGUUUUCCUUCUGCAGAAGGAGGAGUUUUUUUUUUAGAGAGGAGAACGAGAGAGAGAGAACAGGGAGGUUUAAGGUUGGAGCAGAGAGGUGAGUUUUGGAGAGCUUAGAGGAGAGUAGAGAGAAACCCAGAGCAAAAAGGAAAUGACAUUUUGGUGGUUGUUGUAGUACAAGGAUGUUUUUGAGGGUGUUCAUUGGGCUUGAGGGGCAAGUUUGAGGGGAAGAGAUGAAAGAAGAUGCUGGAGGCAAGUCUUGCUGAGGGUUAUUUUUGUGAGAGGAAAAAGUUUUGAGGUUAAGGAAGGAGCCAUAGUCUGGAGCAGAGAUCUUGAGGAAAGUAAAUGAGCAGAGGAAGGAUAUCUUCAGCUGUUUAGAGAGAGUUCAUGAAAGCUGUUUGAAGAAAGACACAUAGGAAUAGCCUUGGAAGAGGGUGAUACAGGUAUUGUUCUUGUAAUAUGAGGAUUCUUUUGUGUUCAUGGCAUUUUAUUAUGUUUACUGGUUAUCAUGAGAUUCUAUCUUGACAUAUGAAUGCAAGCAGGUGAAACUCCUACCUAUGUUCUCUCAAUAUUUGUGUUCGCUCACCCUCAUCCUGCGUUUGGUUUCUAACUUGUCAUCUGGACUCUGUUUUAUGAGUUGUCGGUCAUUUUGAUUUAAUUUCUCUUUGCAAACUAUUUGAAACCUAUUUUUUUUCUUUAUCCACCUCUGCGUCGUGAGCUCGUUAAUUGAAAUAUGAAACGCAGCUUUCAUGAGCCCCUUUUUGUUCCUGCUCUGUGCUCUGUUUUUGCCACCCUCCUCUGUUCUUGGUAUUUGAUCAUGGGAGGUUGCCCCUUAUGUGUGAAGAAGAGAGUAUUGGCUUGAUAGGUCUGGAUUCUCAAGUCGUCCAUAGUGGUAGAGGACGUAUUCUGGGGAUCAGAUCCAUGACUUUGUUGCGUUUUUGUUGAUUGGAGGAGUGACAAUUUCCCAAGGGCAUGUAACGCAUGUGCUGGUGACUAUGGCAGAUGACAAUGAUGACAUUAACGGACUAUGACCACUAUUUUGGAGCCAUGGCUUGACACAUGGCAUCGCGUAGUGGAUUGGUUGAUACUAUUGAGUGGCCCAUUAAUAUCGAUUAUCCUGAUCAAUAACAAAGGGAAACUGAGCAUAUCAACCAGCUUAUCUCUUCUCUGUCUGAUGAGAUACCUCAUAUACAGACCUUCAAAGGGAAAUGGGCAGUUAUCAGAGGCAAGCUGAGUGAUCUCAGGACCCAAGUGGCUGAUUUUGGUGACUUUCCUGGGUUCAAGUCCAAUCCUCUUUCUAUGGAACUCAUGCAGUCCAUUUCGCAGACCCUACAAGACGCCGUUUUGGUGGCUUCGAGGUGUAGAGAGUCUGAGUUGUCUCAGGGGAAGCUCAAGACCCAAAGCGAUAUAGACUCGAUUUCCGCGAAGCUGGACCGUUUGAUCAAAGAUGGUGAGAUCUUGAUAGGGAGUGGAGUGCUUCAAGAUGGGGUAUUAGUGGGUUCGAAGAAAGAAGUAGUGCGUCACUUACAUGAAGACAUGCCUCAAAUUGUUGACAUCUAGCUCAUUGGGGAGACUAUCCGAGUUUUUGAGACUUACCUAGCUGAGUAUUGAUGUUGAAACGGAGAUGCGGUUUAGUAGGAGCGGCAGUCAUGAUUAGCAAGAAGGUGUGGUAUUGUCAUGCAAGUUCCCUGGGUUUGAGUUUAUGCUUUCUGAAAGGUGGUUGUUUAAUUAUGAUACUGUUCCACCAUGGACUCUUAGAUCUGGUGCAGUGAUAUCUGCUGCUUUUCUUUGGUUGAGCUUUUAGCUCAAUUAUUCAAGGAGUGAGAUGGGAUUGGACUUUAAAUUCUGAUUUGACCUUCUAUCCAUCCCAAUCAUGCAUGCAUAUAGGGCCAUCCUCCAUAAUACCCGCAUUCCCAUUCUUCAAAUAUCCAUUAUUCCACCCUUCCCACUACCUAUUCCACCCAUGACGCCCAUUUCCUCCAUUCAUUACACCCAUCUGCUAUAACCCAUUCCACAUAGCCAUAUCCUUUAUGCCCACCUUCUCACUACCCGUAUAUAUGCUUCAUAGCCUUCAUCCCUAUUCCCAUGCAAAUGCCUCACUAACUCUCUAAUGCCCAUCUCACUCAUUCUUUUCAUCACCACCCCACCUUCAUUAUUUCAUACCCAUUUCUAUUAUCACCAUUCUCUCUCUACACCACCAUGCACCAUGUCAUUCCUCAUCUGCUCAUCAUAUCCAUGUACCAUAGCUAACCCUACAACCAUAUUCACGUCAAAUUUUCUUCCAUGCAAACCCAUUUUCUAUAAAUCCCAUGCGUGUUGCUACCCUUACUCACCUACAUCAAUCUCUCCCCCUCAUUGUCAACACUGGUCAUCUGGAGUCUGUUGGUCCAUGUUCUUAGGCAGCCUUUCAUCACCGGAGUGUCACGGGUCUGGAAGUUGUUUCCCUUAUCACUCACAUUUGGAAAGGUAUAUGUAUUGGGCUACUUCCAUCUUUGUUGCAUUGGGCCUGUGUUGCUUCUUCUAUAUUUUGGGCGCAUGGCAACGAUGUGGUUUCGGGAAGGGAGACAGCAUGGACAUUGAAGUCACCAAACAAGCGGACUGCCGUUUCUCUCCAAUUUGAAUUUUGAGACUCGUCAUGAAGAUGAAGCAGGAGAAUGAUUGCUGUCGUACAGGGUGAAGUAAGCUCCUAAAAUGAAUCCAGUGUUUUAGGAUAGAUAUUGUUGUUGACGGGGUGGCAAUUAGAUGUAGUUGCGGAACUAGCUGCUCCCAAAGAAGAUAUGAAUCUGACUUGUUUGUUGAAUCAGCAGCUUGUGUAGCAACAGAACAACCCCUUGCUUGCUCUAUUAGGUCCAACUGGAAACAAAUUGAAGAGUAAGGGUGCUACUUUAAUCCUCAAAGCAUUGGAAGGAUACCAAGCACAGUUCGGCAAGAUCAGUUGCAAGCAAUCAUGGAUUUGACCUACUAAACAUCAAUGGUGAUUCCGCCAAAGUGUCAUUGUGUGAAAUAUAGGGGGAUGACUUGAGUCAAUACCUGGGCAACCUAUUGUUAAUCCACCCUCACCCCAUGCAAGUCUGGGCUCGUCUUUUAAUCCUGAAUAUAUUUGGGUCAAUGGACGCCUCCAGGGUAUUUUGAUGUACCCAUUAAUGCGAGCUGAUCAUCCACUCAAAGUCUCGAGAUGGCGGGUCAAUUUCUGGAAAGGGUAAUUGAAGAGGAAACUUGUGCAUAUAUAGACAGAAUGGGACUCUGUUGCAAGGAAAUUUAAUGAGGACGUGAACGUUAAGUUCCUAGGCUUCAAAGGAUUUGGAAACUUAAGUUGUGCAGAGAUGACACCCCCUAUUUGCCAGCAUUUUGAGACCAGAGGCACAAAAUCAAGGCGGAAUUGGAAAGUCUUUUAUUAGUGCCCAAGUCAAGGACAGUUGACAGUUAUUUGAUAUUCCGAGAAGCUUGGGAUAGGAUUCUUCCCUCAUGAUCUUGAAUGGGUACAUGACAAUAGUACCAGUCUUCAACCCCAGGGUAUUCUUACCCUGGACCCACUCUUUAAGCUUCUUAGUUGCAUGGCCACCUUUGGCAUGCAAUUUUGGACCACUUGUCCUUGCUCCAUUUUUUCUCUUUUUGAUUUUAAAAAUAAUCUUCCUGGAAUCAAAUACCAUCUUGUAAAUAUUUUUUUCAAAUUCUGAUUUUCAAAUGAUCCAAAAUUUCCCAUUUUCCAUCCUUAGAAUUUUUGGAUACCGAAACCUCAUUUUCAAUAAAAAUUCGGUUGCCAUUUUUUCUUCCGGCAAGCCACUUUUGCAUUUUCUUUAUUUUUAAAAUAAGUAAGAAUUAAAUUCCGUAAUUCCAAGUGAUGGAAGUUAUGGAAUUGAUUCAUGCAAAAUAGAUCGGGCUUUGGUGGGGGCCCAACAUCAAAUAAUUUUUCUUUAAAAUAAAAAUGAAUUUUGAGUGAAGUGUUAUGCGUGCCUUUGAUGAUUUUGUGCUUGAUUUUGUGACAUGUGAGUUAUGUUUAUACUCUUUGUUUUGCACUAACCCUUUCUCUUGAUAGCGCAUAGUGGCUCGCUGCACAAGUACACACUCAUUCCCACUCUGAUUAGUUUAUAUGCAUUUUCUGACUCUCGUAUGUGCAUGUUUCGCUCUGAGUAUUCAUUGAUUUCCUCAUCAUCGCCAUGUUAGCUUCAUUCUAUUAGUAGAGACCCGACUUUAGGGACUUAGAGGGGUGCUACGGUCUUUACCGUACCUUCCCGAUAAGUAACCUGACCCCCGAACCCGAUCCGGUUUUCACAGACCCCCUUUUCCAAAAUAAGGAGUCGCACUUAGGGUUUUUCUUUCUUAUUUUGUUUACCCUUUAAAAAUAAAACAAAAAUAAGUGGCGACUCCAAGUCAUUUUUGAAUAAAUAAAAUCAAUUUUUUCAAAUAAAAAUCGAGCUCGCCAUUCGAGUGGGAAACGCAUUCGAGCGAUCUAAAUGCGGGGUCCACAAUACUAUAUUUGGAAACUAAUAAAUAACACUUAGAUUUUUGUGGAAGAGUAAGGUUUGACCCUUUGGGAGUGGAAACUCUUUUAAAGCUUAAAUUUGCAUAAUGCCUUCUCUUUAAGAAUUGUGAUUAGACAAGUUAUUUGAUAACUCUUGUUGAAGUUUGAGUUUUAUUUCUUUAAUGUUCCAUGUGAGAGUUAGAUCAUCAUGGCACUUGAAAAUUAUUUUUUGAUCAACAUGAUGUUGUAAAUUAUAGUACUGUUUAUUUUUAUUUUUCUAUCCUUCAUUGCUAAGGGAAUAGCAAUAUGUCGGUUGGGGGGAGUGACUACUACUCAAAAAGUGCUAUUUCAUAGCUUGUAAUUAACUUUUUUAAAUACUUUUGAGUAGUAGUUAUCACCUUUUAACCCAAUUAACAUAUUAAGGACCCUUGCAAUCAAUUCUAAUCAAAUUGUGUUAAGUUUUGGUGUUUUGAUAGCCUUUUGAUCACCAAAGCAAUCCGAGAUUGAGGAGAGUUUUUUAGGAAUCCAUGGCAAAAGAUGUCCGGACAGGGCGUCCGGACACACCAUUGGAGAGCGGCGGAACGUGGGCUGUAGCAAGGCUUGCUCACUUUAGUCAAUGUUUUCCAUCCGGACAACAUAUCCGGAUAGGAUAUGCUAUCAUCCGGGAGAGGGGUCCUUACACCUUGCACACGCAGACGGUCCCCCUUGCGUAGCAUAGCUCAGUCCAUCCGGGGAGGAAUUCCGUGCGCCGACAUUUUACAUCCGGAUAUCUCACAGCCGGAUAGGAGAGGAGGACGUUUCAACUUCUCCGGUCAGACAUAUCUAGAUCCUGUGAUAGCGUUCACCCAGAGAGCAUCCACGACCGACAUUUCAGAUUACCCGGAUUUUGCAUAGUGCCGCGGUGUUCUCUUGAAGCUUCCCAAUAUUUGCCACCAACUAAGUUAGAUUUUUUCUCUUAAGAUAUUUUGUGUAAAUUUCUAUUUUCUCCUUGUAAUCAGUCAAAGAUAUUAUUGGGAUAUUUCUUAGAAAAUAUCUUCUCUAUAUAUAUCUUUGAACCAUUGUAAAGAGGAGAGAUAUAUUAUAUAUAUAUGAAACCAACGAGCAGAGCACUUGCUCUAUUUUUGUUCUUCAUAUUUUUGUUUUCUCGUUAGUUUUCUUUCUAGCCAAUCAAACUCUGAGGAUUUUUCCUUAGAGGAUGAGAGGCUAGGCUCUUUGUCUCUUGGAGUGAAGAAAGCCGGGUAAGUUUCUUCAUGCAUAAAAUGAAAGUUUUGUUGUUUUAGUUUUUAAUGAAGAGAAAGUGUGACCCGUUAAUGGUUUUUAUCUUUUUAGUUAACUUAAAACGCCUUUAACUCACCUAGGCCAACACUUGAUAAGGCAAGUGAUCUCCAUCCAUUGAGAUGCACUUGUUUAUCUCUCGCGAGCCUUGGGGAGGUGGUUUAGAGGUAGGAUUUUCUAGAAUUGCCAACACUUGGUAAGCUUUUGGACUCUAAGGAGACAUCCAUUAGUUAUCUCUUGCGAGCUUGAGAAGGGAAGUCCAAAGUUAAAGAUCACCUUGAAUGGCAAAUGUUAGGUGAGAGACACGAGCCAUUGCAAGUUGCAUCAGUGAGAGGGAUUUAAUGUUUGAACCCAUUAAAGGGAAGCAUCUGUACCACACCGGUUAGAGAAUUAACUAUAUGUUAAUUCUCUAAUGCGAGGAAAAGAAACAAGUGACCAGAACUCUCCUUUUUGUAUGAGGAACCUGAGCCUAGUGAUCUAAAUUCUAAGAAACACUUUUGUUUGUAGUUAAAAUUAGUUACUAUUUUUGGUUAGCUUAAAACCAAACCUUUUUCAUUCAAACAUCUUUAUGUUUUCUUUUAAAGCUAACUUUGAAAUGAAAAGGCACCAAUUCAUCUUUGAAAUAAUAUCAAUUGUGGAGUGAAAACCCAUCCCAGUGAACGACCCUAGAGCCACUACGCUAUGCUAGCUAAGUGUCACAAGAUGCUUCAAAUGACCCUCCCCAUGGCUUAUAUAGGAGGUGAGAAGCUUCUAGAGACCCUUGGAGACAUCCACACGUAGCCACUAGUGGGAAGAGUGUGGAAGGUUCUAGAAAUGCCUAGAGAAGUCCACACAACUCUACACUAUGGUAGAAGGCAUGAGAAGGGUCCAAAGCUUUCUAGAGAAAUCUAGAAGUCUCUUGAAUAUUCUAGAAUAGUGUAGGACAUUCUAGAAGUCUCUUGAAUAUUCUAGAAUAGUGUAGGACAUUCUAGAAUAUUCAUGAAUUGUAAGGAACCCUCCAAGGUUCUAGAGAGUUCCAUUGGUGCCUAUAAAUAGGUGAGGGCCUCAUUUGGCCAAGGCACCAAGCAAGUGAGCAUCCAAGCACUUGUAAAGGCUUUCUUGAGAUAAUAAAGCUUCCAUUCUUUAAGGAGUUGCCUACUAAGCUCUUAAGCUUUCGAGUCGCUAGUGUCUUAGCCGAGCAAGCUAAGCAUUGGGGAUCAAGGCUGACUUAGCAAGAUCAAGCGUCUUGACUUGCCUAAGUGCCGCACGAGCUUAGUGAACGACUAAGUCCGUGACAAGUGGUAUCAGAGCACGGUUACAAGGUGGGCAUAGCAAAGGAAGCAUGUCGGGUUCCAACGUGGAGGAGACUAGCGAGCAAACCCGUUGGAGGGAGACCGAGCCUACUGCACGGGGCAGGGGCAGAGGUAAGAAGGAUACAUCUCGUGAUGUUGUUGCCAACAUGGAGGCAAGGUUAGCCAAGGUGGAGCUAGCCAUGGCAGACACCCGGGAAGGGGUGGACUUGAUCGAGCAAGGCAUGGAGAAGGGCUUAGAGGAUCUAAGGGAGCAGAUCCAAGACCUUCGCGAGGGGGUGCUGGUCUCGCAAGUUCAGUCGGUGUCACACAAGGAGUUCAUGUCCUUCCAAGACAAGGUCAUGAGCAUGUUCGCUAGUGUGGAGUCAAGGAUGGAGGCCUUGACUGCACGAGUGGAGGCCCGAGACCAAGAGAUUCGACAAGAGUUGGCCAUCUAUAAGACCGUUGUAUCAGCUCGGGUCAUGGCCACACAGGAGGCAUCUAGGGUGGAGGUGCCGAAGCCACAUAGGUUUAGUGGCAAGCGGGAUGCCAAGGAGUUGGAUAACUUCUUAUGGCAUAUGGAGCGAUACUUCGAAGCUAUCGCAUUGACGGAUGAGGCGGCUAAGGUGAGAACUGCGACCCUCUACCUUACUGACACAGCUACUCUAUGGUGGCGUCGAAGGUUUGCCGAUAUGGAGAAAGGCAUUUGCACCAUAGAGACGUGGGAGGACUUCAGGAGGGAGAUCAAGAGGUAGUUCUACCCGGAGGACGUGGCUUACCUGGCUAGGAAAAACAUGCGGCGUCUUAAGCACACAGGCUCAAUACGCGACUAUGUCAAGGAAUUCUCUUCGCUCAUGCUUGAGAUUCCUAACAUGACUCAGGAGGAGUUGCUAUUCAACUUCAUGGACAACCUGCAAGGGUGGGUCGAGCAGGAAUUAAGGCGCCGAGGCGUUCAAGACUUAGCCACUGCUAUGGCAAUAGCAGAAUCUUUAACGGAUUAUAAGAGGGGAGACUCCUCCAAGGAUGAGUCUUUAGAGGAUAGCCACGCCAUGGGUGGGGGAGACGAGGUUCCAAGGGACCACAAUGCUCCUAAAAAGGGAUCAAGCAAGACGUCUAACGUCUGAGAAGGAAGGGAUAAGGCGGAAAGGAGGGAGUUUACGCCUAAAAUCAAAUGCUUCCUGUGUGACGGUCCACAUUGGGCACGGGAUUAUCCAAAGCGGAAGGCGCUCAGUGCCAUGAUCGAGGAGAGGGAGCAGGAGGACGAAGCACAUAUGGGCUCAAUGCAGCUACUAGGUGCCCUCCAAUUCAACUCGAAGCCUAGUACGCCUGAGACCUCCUUAUUAGCAGGGGUGCAAGUAAAGGAGAGCGAGCUGAGGUAGCCCUUACACACAUGGAAGAGGUCACUAAGGGAAAGGUGAACUCAAUGGGUAAGAGGAAGCAACACUCUAAGCAUCGGAAACGCACGGGUCUGCAUCCAUCUGAAGCCUCACUGGAGAAGGAGGUGAAGAAUAUCCUGGCUGAACGGGUCACCAGGAGACAAGGGGUCCCUCUUGUGAUAGAGUAUCUAGUCCGAUGGAAAGAACUACCUAAGAGGCAGGUAAGCUGGGAACAUGCGGAUGCCUUGAGAAAAUUCUGGAAACACAUCGAGAAGUUUCAGAAUGAGGCAACGACGAGGAUGUCGACGGCUUAGGUGGGGGAGAGUGUCACAAGAUGCUUCAAAUGACCCUCCCCAUGGCUUAUAUAGGAGGUGAGAAGCUUCUAGAGACCCUUGGAGACAUCCACACGUAGCCACUAGUGGGAAGAGUGUGGAAGGUUCUAGAAAUGCCUAGAGAAGUCCACACAACUCUACACUAUGGUAGAAGGCAUGAGAAGGGUCCAAAGCUUUCUAGAGAAAUCUAGAAGUCUCUUGAAUAUUCUAGAAUAGUGUAGGACAUUCUAGAAUAUUCAUGAAUUGUAAGGAACCCUUCAAGGUUAAUAACCUAAACAUCUUACCUCAAUAUUCUUUUAUGAAAAUUUUCAACUAUUGCAGGGUGUCCUUCAUGUCAUUGGUCAUGUUCAGGUCUGAAUAAGUAUGAGUAGUGGUGACAUACUUAAGAUAAUGACCUAUGUAUUUCAAUACAACUUGAAGAAUAUACAAUAAACAAUUUAGCAACAAAUUAGAUUCUUACAAGUUUUAACACAUUAAAUUCAAUAAGCAUAUUAAUUUCAAAGAAGGUUGGUAGCCAAAGGUAGUAAAAUAAUUGAGAUAAAGAAACGAAGAAUGAAGAGAAAUUAAUUUCAACUAAAACAUUAUAAUUAAAUUGAUCUUUUAACUUGACAUGUUAUGAAUCCAUGAAAAAUAAUACAUUGGUAAUACUUUAUUGAUUAAAAGAGUAAAAUAACACCAAAGAUAGAAAAAACUACGUGAUAUGGACAAAGGGUUUAUUUUUGUAACAAUGACCAACAGACUAAAAGUAAAAGGGCCUUGGUGGAGGAAAAAACUAUUAUGUCAAAAUGACUAGUUUCUUUCCUUACAAUUGUAUUUAGAUUAAGGAGCUAGCAUUCAAGUUGAUACCCUGUUUUAGAAAAGGAGGCUUUAGAGGCCUAUAUUAGGGAGAAUGAGGUGCUAUUUUUUUUUCCGUAGGCUUAUUUGUAAGAAGUCUUAAUCUAACUUCCUAUUUUUUAAUGUCAAAGAAAAUACAAGUAUAAGAUAUUUUAAACUUUAAGCCCAUUAGUUUAGGAGGAGGCCUCUACAAAUUUAGAUUGAAAAAAGUUAUAAAGCAAGUGAUCUUAAGGGUCCAAAAUGGUUUUUUUGAGGAUAAACAUAUUCCUAAUGCAUGCACAUGUAACAAGACUAAAGACUUUACAAAAAAGAGUUCGAAAAUGCAUGAAUUUUCAUACCAUUACAACACUAGGAUUUCUACCAAUCUAACUAAUAAGGAUGUGUACAGGAAAUACACAAAGGUUGUGACACCUACCAUGUCUAAUAGUCUUCACCUCUCAAUUUUCCAAUUACACAUCCAUCAAAAUAGAGCAACCAUUGCAUGAUCCAUAUUGAAAACACUACCAACUAGAAGUACCAAGAUAUACAUUAACAAAUCAUGACUAAGAAUAAAUUAUACAAUUAACAUUAACAAAAUAUUCACUAGAUAUUUAGAAUAAUAUGAAGUUAUAUUAGACUACAAGUCAUACAAGGUACCGUCAAGCAUGAGUAAUGAUUAAUUGACUGUUAAUUAAGAUGAGAUUGUCAAUUUGUAAUAAAUAAUAUUUAUGAUUCAAUAAUGUCACUCUUCCUAAAUUAUAGACUAAUAAAUUUUAUUCAUAAUUAAUUUAUUAUUUUCCAAAUAAAAACAAUAUGAAAUAGAAUAAAGACAAAAAGAAAAUUAGGAUUGUUGUUUAAUGUAUAAUCUAGGUUAUUUUGUCAUUUAUAAUCAUUUUAGGAAAUAAGAAAUUUUUAGAAAAAAUAAUAUUUUUUUCAAAUUCGAUAUGAUGGUGACUUCACAAAGAAAGUCAUUCUAUAAAUUAAGGGAUGACUUUAAUAGCUAUUAAUUAUCCUAUUGAUGGCUGUCAUUUCAUCACGUUUUACUAAUGAUGAUCCUUGUAGGUUUAUUUUGUCUAACAUUAAGUAUAUUUUGACAAGUUGAAAACAAAACAUAUAUAUAUAUAUAUAUAUAUAUAUAUUUAAGAAUGUAGGCAGCAUAUUAAUUACCAUGAAAAAUUAAAACCUCCAGCUCACAUCACACUAAUACCUUCACCCAUAUCUUUUCACAUUAGUAAAUACAGUUCAAAUACAAUACCAAAAAACAUGUACAUGCAUGUACUUAGCCAAUAUAAGUCAAUCCCAUUAUUUUAUAUUUUGAUCUCAUUACUUAUAUUUGAUCUUAAUUUCAUUUUGAUUAUUUUAAUCUUAUUACCUAUACCAUCAUCCAACUGUUUACAUUUUAUCCAAAAUUUUUAAUGGUUGGGAUGUAAAAUUCAAUAUGUAUUUCUUUAAGAUUUUCCUAAUAAACGCAUAAUUUCAUAAUAGUAUAGUGGAACUAUAUAGGGAUAUAAACAGGUGGCUCAUUUAGGCUCACUUAGGCCCACUUAGGCACACUCAGCCCAUUUGGACACCCCUAGGCCCUAUAGGCACAUUUGGCUCAUCUAGACUCACUUAGGUCCAUUUAGGUACACUUGGCCUAUCUAGGCUCACUUAGGCCCACUUAAGCCCACUUAGGCCCACUUAGGUUUACUUAGGCCCACUUAAGCUCACUUAGGCCCACUUCGGCCCACUUAGGCUCACUUAGGCCCACUUAGGCACACUAAGCUCAUUUGGACACUCCUAGGCCCUUUUAGGCACAUUUGGCCCAUCUAAACUCACUUAGGCCCACUUAGGCACACUAAGCCCAUUUGGGCACCCCUAGCUUUAGGCACAUUUUUUAAAUGGAGAAAUUAAGUUUUAAAUCAAAAAAUCAGGAUAUUUUUUAAACAAAGGAGUUGACACUUGAAUGUUUAAAAAUAAAAAUAAAAGAUUAAGUUUUUAGAUUGGAAAAUCAUUUUUUUUUAAUAAUGGAAAGGAUAAAUUUCAAAAUAUGAAAAUGAAAUUUUGGAAAUUUGGGAGACUUUUUUGUGGAGGGGAUAUGGAAUUCUAAGAGAGGAGGACUCCUCCAAAGAUACAGGGUUGCCAAUUGCCAUAGAAAAUGGGGGUUGGUGGUUUUGGAGAGUGGAGGAAUUUCUUUUAAAAGGGACUUUCAACACGCACGGGAGGGGGGAAUAGAAAAAAAAGGAAAGAAAAGGAGUGAGAAGACACAGCCGGGAAGAAGGACAUCUUUAAGGGUGGAGAAAACACACAGCCUACCUUGGGAACUUUCCACUACUAGCCGCCACAAGAAAAAUAAAAAAAAGAUCAGAACAUAAGACUCUACAAAAUAAAUCUAAAACAAAUAUCUAGAAGUUAAUUUUUAUCCUGAAAAUUUUCAAAGAACAUCUCCUAUAUAUCUAGUUUACCAUCUAAGUGACCAAAUCAAUUAACCAACCCUCAUUUAGUACCAGAUUUCAUAAUAAUGAUAAAUAGGUCCAGAACUGGGCAUCUUUUUAAGGUGUUCAACAAUUGAUUUUUCUAACUAAAUUCAAGAUGUCCUAAAAUCAUAAAAAAAUUUACAUAGCUAUCUUAAUAUAUAUAUAUUGUAUGAAAAAUAAUCACAGGGCAAUAUCACAUUCAUAACAUACUUAAAAAUAAAUAAACAUCUCUCCACUCCAGAAGAGCAUAUGUGUAGUGGGUGCAAGAAGAAAGAAAUUAUAUCUCUCAUUUUAGAAAUUAUUUAUUGAUAUUUUAGGCAUAAACAAUUAAAUUAAGAAGUCUAGAUUAAAAUAAAAAUAUUCAAAUAAAUCAAAUAAACCAUUUAUUAAUUUAAUUUUUCAGAACAAUACUAAGUGUAAAAAAUAGAGUGAAAAUUGAACCUUCCGAAAGAUUGAUUUAUAUCUUCUAAUUGGAAAACCAUAUUUGACCCAAGAAAUAUUCAAAAAUCAAGCUCAAGGAUUCUAGAAUGUCAUAGAAUAAUUAUACAAAUUUUAAAGGGUUUUUAAGUUACCAAAUUCCAAUUUACGAAUGCAAAAGUACAGUGAAUUAUCCAUAAUUUCAAUAAAUAAAUACAAACUUUGUUUUGAAAAAGACUUAGUAUGUAGGGAUCUAUUAAAUCCCAUUUUAAUUUCCAUGAAUUUAUCCAUGAAGACUCCAUUGAUUGGAGUUAUGAAAUUUAAUUCACGUAUAUUCAAAACCAAAAUUCAUUUUAAAUUUUCUUUUUCAAACUAUGCAUACCAAAUAAAAUUGGUUGCAUGAAUUUUUAGAAAAUUGAAUUUUCAUAACCUAAGAAUGUCCAAGACAAAUUUGGAAAAUUGAGAAUUAAUUUUUAGAAAGGUAGCUUGAUAAGAAUUUUGAAAUUACUAGCAAACACAAAUAAUCACAUAAAGUCCCACAACCAAAAGAAGAAAAUUCUUAAGGAGACAAAGUGGUGUGUGCCAAGGGUGAGUGAAGCAUGUUGACUUGUGUGUGAUGACAAUGAAAGUGUGGCUGUUGUGUGUGUGUUCAUAGUAACAACCUGGUGGUCUACUUUUCUAUGCAGCUAUGCAUGCCUUUCUUUAUCAAUUUAGCUAACGUUUGUUCUCCAAAAUUCAACUAGCGGUGUUGGUCUUCACAAGCUUAUGCAAAUUCUCAAAAUUCAGCAAUCUGAUGUGUGCUUGGGCUAGCAAUCUGGUGGUUUCAAAAUCUAAUAGUGUGAUCAUGUGUGAUACGUUCCCAAUUGGUGUCUCAGCUGAUUCAUGUCCUCUUAAUGGUCCCUAACAAUGGAACCAUUUGAUUCGUGUCCACCUGGUGCUCCUUGAUUGUGGUCCUCAGAAGGGAGUAAUCAACAAAAUUUAUAACCUAUUACACCAUGUACUAGGAUAGCCUUAGCUAGCAUAGCAUAGUGGCUCUAGGGUUGUUCACUGGGAUGGAUUUUCACUCCACAAUUGAUAUUACUUCAAAGAUGAAUUGGUGCUUUUUCAUUUCAAGGUUAGCUUUAAAAGAAAACAUAAAGAUGUUUGAAUGAAAAAGGUUUGGAUUUAAACUAACCAAAAAUAGUAACUGAUUUUACUUACAAAGAAAAGUGUUUCUUGGAGUUUAGAUCACUAGGCUCAGGUUCCUCAUACAAAAAGGAGAGUUCCGGUCACUUGUUUCUUUUCCUCGCAUUAGAGAAUUAACAUAUAGUUAAUUCUCUAACCGGUGUGGUACAAAUGUUUCCUCUUAAUGGGUUCAAACACUAAUUCCCUCUCAUUGAUGCACCUUGCAAUGACUCAUGCCUCUCACCUAGCAUUUGCCAUUCAAGGUGAUCUUUAACCUUGGAUUACCUGUCAAAAGCUCGCAAGAGAUAACUAAUGGAUGUCUCCUUGGAGUCCAAAAGCUUACCAAGUGUUGGCUAUUCUAGAAAAUCCUACCUUCAAACCACCUCCUAAAGGCUCGCAAGAGAUAAACUAGUGCAUCUCAAUGGAUGGAGAUCACUUGCCUUACUAAGUGUUGGCCCAGGUGAUUUAAAGGUGUUUUAAGUUAACUAAAAACAUAAAAACCAUUAAUGGGUCACACUUUCUAUUCAUUAAUAAUUGAAACAACAAAACUUCAAAUUCUUGCAUUUGGAAACUUACCCGGCUUUCUUCACUCCAAGAGAUGAAGAGCCUAGCCUCUCAUCCUCUGAGGAAAAAUCCUCAGAGUUUGAUUGGCUAGAAAGAAAACUAACGAGAAAGCAAAAAUAUGAAGGAAAAAUAGAGCAAGUGCUCUGUAAAAUAUAUUUCUUCCUUCUGCCGAUUACAUGAUUUUUGUCUCUGAGAAAAAACUCCUGAGAUUCGAUUAUAUAUAAGGGGUUAUUCACCCUUUGUUCUUACUUAAAGACUAAGGAAUCCUAUGAUAAGUGGGUUACAAGGAGAUUUUGGGGAUUUAGACAUCAAAUAUCUAAAGCAAAAUAUCUCAAAAUGUCGGUCGCAAAUAUCAGGAAGCUUCAGGAGAACACCGUAGUUGUGCGUGCAAGAGGGCUGUGAAAUUUCGCAGCAAAAGGACAACAUUUUCGCAGCCCAAGGCUGAUUUCACAGUCGUGCAAAAUCUGCCUUCAGCUUGGAGUGAUUGGCUUCCAAUGGCUGUAACUCCUUCAUUUCAACUCCGAAUCAUGUACCAUUUGAAGUAUUAGAUUUUUGACUUCCUGAGAUUCGAAACGACAUAUAGCAUGCAUAAAUUGAACUCCAAGAAGUGCUCCAAAAGUGGCUGACAUGACUGUCAUCUAGAAUGCUUCAUGUUAUAUUUCUCUUUGCUUCCCCUCCUUGCAUUCUGGAUUUGCUUAUGGCAAAGGACUUCAAAGCUUCGGUUCUUCAUGUUUCUGAGUUCUUCAUUGCUUUGCCAUGGAUUCUAAAGAACUCUCCUCAAUCUUGGAUUGCUUUGGUUAUCAAAUUACUAACAAAAACACCAAAACUUACACAAUUUGAUUAGAAAUGAUUGCAAAGGUGCUUAAUAUGUUAAUUGGGUUAAAAGGUAAUAACUGCUACUCAAAAUUGUUUAAAAGAGUUAAUUACAAGAUAUAAAAUAGCACUUUUUGAGUAGUAAUCAAUGUGCUUGUUGCUUUUCUCCUCACAACCAUGCACUAUCAACUUACCUUUCUACCAUUAACAAUUCGUACACAAUCAGUUUGCCUUCCCAAAGUUCUAAAGACUUCCCUUUAAAAUUUCUAAUAAUUAUUUUAUUCCCAUCAAAUUUCAAAUAUGCCACUAACUGCUACCUCUCUAAUACCUUCUCAUCUUCUUCGCUUCAAGCCAAAACCAUGCACUAAAUUUAUGUGACUCUCUAGAACCUUUUGUCAAUUUUUUUUUUUUUACAAACUGUGCACCAAACGAUCUUCAUUCUAGAAAAAACCGGUGCUAACACCAAUCCCCACCAUGUCCACAAUCAACUCGGGCGUUCCCUAUGGUGUGUGUUUGGAGCCCUUUUCAAAGGUACAAAAUUGUUUCUCUUUUAUGGCAGUAUGCUAGCGUGAAUAGAGAUGCCCUCUAACAAUCAACAAGAGAAUAGUUCCUAAGCCUUCCUAUCAAGAGUUUUCUCAAUCUACAUAAAUGGUAAUUGUCUACACUAAUUUCUAAAUACUUAGCCCCUCUGAUUAUGGGUUGAUGAACACCCAUUUGAACAUAACGACCACUUUCCCUACCUUACGUACAAUUUUGCAGUUUCCUUUCUCUAUAAAUACUAGAUUUGGACCAGAUGUGACAUUUGGCAUGCCCAAGGGCAUGGACUAGAAGCAAAGGAAAGCAACAAAAAAUAGGGCAUGAAUGGGUAAAACAAAAUGAACUAACAAAAGCCACAUUUCAUACCUAAUCAACAAAUCAAGAAUAGGUAAUAAAAACUGAGAGAAGUAAUAUGAUUAUCAAAUACUAAACCUAAAGGUAAAUUUAUCGAUUUACAAAGGGAAAUCAAAGAAUCCAAAAUGUGACCAAAACAGAGCAUGUAUGUAGACAAUUAGAUUCAGUCAAACCAACCAAAUAACUUUUGAUGUCCACACCAAAUCAACAAGACAACACUCAUAAAUCUGCAUAAAAUAAAAUAAAAUAGUAUUGAAAAUGAGGAAGAAAUGAAGAUCUUACUUGGAAGGCUCCCUCCUUGAAGUUGUUGCAUGUUGAAGAUCUUAGAGUGAGCAGUGUUUCUUCUCCACUAUAGCCCCUAUAAUUAGGGCAUGAUUUUCAAGGGGAAACUCAACCAACAUCAAAGCACUUGCAAUAAAUGAGGAAUAUGGAGUUGAAAGAGUGGAGAAUCACUUGAUUUUUUGCUCAAUGGUGGAAUUUGUAAGAGAAGAAAGGAGUUUUAGUGCUUAUUCUCUAUUAUGAGAGUCACAAAAUGGAGAUUCAAAAAUGAUUUCCAGAUUUUUAUACUCAAGAUCUCACACUAGGGCUUGGAAACGCACCGUGUGACAAGAUUUCCAGUGUCAAGAGCCUCAUCUAGAGUCAUUGAUCGAUAUUGAUUGUAGUUAACUAGGCUCCAAGGGUUUGUCGGGGUUUUGAAAAAAUGGAGGGAAUGUUUGGCGUACUAUGAAGUCGUGGGUGAGAAUGGGAAAUAUGUGAGCCAUAUAUAAAGGUGUUAUUUUGAUGUCACUUUUAUAGAGCACCAAGGUAAAAAUAAAUAAUAAAGACACUUAUAGAAAACCUCGUGCUAUAGGAAGCAUCAUUAUCCCUCAGCAUAAAGCGCCAUGGUCUAACAUUUUCCUUUUAAGCGUCAACUUCGACCACUUAUUUACUCAAUUGCCCCUCUAAAAGCCAAGUGACGACAUUUUUUUUGAAGCGCCACAAAUUGUGUUUUUUGUAGUAGUGUGGAGGUCUUCCUAUACCCUAUUUAACAUAAUAUAACCUUGCGUACAUGCUUUAGAAAAAUAAGUAAAAGUUUAGAAAAGUAUUUACAUUUGAUUUGAGUUGAAUCAUUCCCUUAUUCGACCUAUUUUGGGUCUAAACUUUAACUUAUGUAAGCCUCGUGAUGCUUUCCUAAACCUUAUUUAGCAUGGUAGAACCCUAGAUACAUCAUUUACAAAAAUAAGUACAUUCUUAAGAAAAAGUACAUCAUUUACAAUAAUAAGUAUAUUCUUAAAAUAUCUAUAUAUACAUACAUUCAUAAGGAAAAUACAUACAUUUGAUUUGAGGUUAAUCAUGACCUAAUUCAACCUAAUUUGGAUCUAAGAUUUGACUUAUGAUGCCUCAGAAUGUAUUUUAUGCCUUCCAAAACUCCGUUCAACAUGAUAGAAGUAUAGGUACAUUCUUUAGAAAAAUAUGUUCGAAAUCUGAAUUUUCCUAUUUGAGGUCUCUUAUAUAUAUUUAUGUAAUAUAUAGUUGUAAAUUAGAUUAGAAAAAUGUGUAUAACUGUAAAUUAUAUUAGGAAGAACAAUCUUUGAUUUAUAAGGAUUUACUUGAUUUAUAAGGAUUAUUAGUUUUCUUUUCCUUUAAUUUUUUUUGUAAAUAUAAGAUAUAAAUUAAGAUCGUAACAAGUAAUUGAAUAAGAAUCUUUUACCAUUUUCUCUCACAUGGUAUUAGAGCCACUUUGACAUCCUUCAUUAGCCUUCAUUGUUGAUUUUAGUUCAAGUUUUUUAGCCUUCACUGUUGAAGAUUUCAAGCCUAAUUCUUUCAACCUUCAUUGUGUGUUUUGUUUAUUUCUUUUUACAUAUUUCAUCCAUUCUACCUGCAAUUUCUGGGAUUUCACCAUGUCUAAGAUGUAUGAUAUUUCUUUUAAAACUAAUUUCAUAAUUUAAAUUAAUGAUUUAAAAAAAUAAAAAUGUUACGAAAAUAAUUUUUAUUUAUUUUUAAUUCCAUUUAAAUAUGAUUUUUUUAAUCUCUACUAUUAUGUUUAUAAGAGCAAAAUAGUAAAAAUAUAUAUUCCAUUUAGUUUACUUGUAAUGAACAAUUCAAACAUGAUUAAUUUUAAUUUUAUUUCCUAUGAGUUAAUUUAGGUAGGGAAGGUCUUAAUGGCAUAGUUUGGUUUUUUUUUUUUUUUUUUUUUUUAAAAAUGUCAAGUUCAAGUUGUUUAAAAAUUGUACAAAACCUAUUAGGAGCCUUGUACACCCUUGUACACUUAACACAUUUCCUUUAUAAAAUUAGUGUAAUACCCUUGUACAGUAAUGCAAAUUCCAUAUCCCUCCUAAGUUAUGUGUCCAUAUAGGUGUGUUAACCAUAUUUUCAAUGGUUUGGUUGAGAAAAUGAUGGAUGACUUAGGGUCAAACAUCAUUAUUGGGGAAAACAUUGGAAUUCCAUGUGGGAUUUAAAUAAAGUACAUGACAUGGGUAUACAAUCCUUCGGCGACAAGGAAAAUAAAGGAGUGGCUCAAAAUUGAUUGAAAUCUUUCAUAAAGGGUAAUCUUGUACACCUUGUACACUUAGUAUAUUUCCCUUGUAUAGUUAGUGUAACACCCUUGUACAAUGACACAAAUUCCAUAUCUCUCCUAAUUUAUCUGUCAAAGUAGGUGUGUUAACCAUGUUUCCAAUGGUUUGAUUGAGAAAAUGUUGGAUGACUUAGGAUCAAAUUUUUUUCCCUAAACAUCAUUACUAGGGAAAGUAUUGAAAUUUCCAUGUGAAAGUUAAAUAAAGUGUAUGAUAUGAGUGUACAAUUCGUGGGUGAUAAGGAAAAUAAAAUGAGUGGUUCAGAAUUGAUUGAAAUCUUUUACAAAGGGUAGCCUUGUACACCCUUGUACACUUAGUGUAAUACCCUUGUACAGUUCGUGUAAUACCCUUGUACAGUAGCACAAGUUUCACAUCCCUCCUCUUAAGUUACACAUAAGUGUGUUAGCCAUGUUUCCAAUGGUUUGGUUGACAAAAUGGUGGAUGGCUUAGGGUCAAAAUCUUUAUCCCAAACAUCAUUAUUGGGGAAAGUACUAGAAUUUCCAUGUGGGAGUUAAAUAAAGUGCAUGACAUGGGUGCACAAUCCGUAAGUGAUAAAGAAAAUAAAUAAGUGGUUCAUAAUCGAUUAAAAUCUUCCACAAAGAGUAGCCUUGUGCACCCCUUAUACAGUUAGUGAAUGCCCUUAUAUAGUGACACAAAUUCCAUAUCCUUAUAGUGAAUGUGUGCUUAUAGGUGAAUUAAACAUGACUCUAGUAGUUUGGUUAAGAAAAUGGCAGAAAACUUAAAUUCAACUUUUUGUGUGAAUAUAUUAUAUUUUUGUGAAAAAAAAAAAUACACAAUUGGCCAAUUCCUUUGUUUAAUUGUGAACAAAUUAUAUUUUUAUUUUAUUAUUAAAAUAACUAAUAAAAAAAUAAAAAAGAAUAAUUAAUAAAUGAAAUUUAAUUCUUUUUAUUGUUUUCAUAUAAAAAUAGUACUAUACAAGGUUUUCAAUUUUCAAAUUUAAAAAUAGUUUUUGUUUUUUUAAUUAAAUGUAUUUUCAAAAAGAGACAAUAUAGAAAAUAAAAAAUUGUUUUAAAAAUAAAAAUUAGAAAAAUAUUUUAAAACCAAACUCAAACAUAAUCUAUAUAAUUUUUAACUACUUGUUUUCAUCUAAAAUGAGUAAAUAUAUCAUUCAACCCUUUUAUAUAAGAAAAAAAAUCAAUCUCUACUAUACUAUAUAUUGAUAUAAUUCACUUCUAAAAUUAGGUCAUAUGAAAACAUUUUAAUUAGAUAUUUAAAAUAAAAACUCUCCAUCCAUCCUCUUUCUUUCUUUUUCUUUUUCUUAUUUUGAUAAAUUUUCAAUUAAUUCAAAUUAUUAAAAAAAAAAUCCUUAGUAAACAAAUUUGCAACAUUUCAUAUAACUUAUUACCAAAAGUCAUCUUCAAAAAGUUAUUAAAAUAAGGAAGGAAGAAGAUUAAAAGAAAAUUUAAACUUUUUAUUUUAUAAUAGUAAAAAAUAAAUUUUAAAAUACUUUUUAGUAUAAAGGGAAAGAAAAUAGUGAAUAUUUUUAUUUUAAAUAGUAUUUUAAUCAUUAAAUUAUUUACUUCUAAAAUGUAAAAGAUAUUUUUUAUUUAUUUAAAUUAACAUUUUUUGAGAAAGUAUUUUCCAAAAUAGUUUUUGAAUCAUUAAUAUAAUUUUGGUUUAUUUAUAAUUUUAAAAUAGAAAAUAAUGUUGAUUUUUCAAUUAUUUAUAAAAGAGUUUAAAAAAAUAAUGAAAAAUAAAAAAAAUGGUUAAAUAAAGAUGAAUUUGUUAAUAGUAGCAUAUGGAGAGUUGUGGAAUGAAGACAAAAAUGAGUUAAAAUGAUAUUUUUGUCAAUUACUAUUUCAUAUCCUUGUAAUCAAUUAUAGGUGAGAGGAAUACCUUACAUCAAUUAUCAAACACCAGCACAAUUCUCCCCUAGAUCUAUAUUGCCCAUAGAUUUGUAUGCUAAUACUAAAUAAAAUGAAAAUAUAUUUAUCACAUAAUUUUUAUGUUUAUGUUAUAUUCUGUUUUAAAUUUUUGUUAAAAGAAAUCAUAUUAUGACAAUAGUAAUAGAUGAGAAAAAAACCAAACAUAAUACAUAUGGUUCACUCUCAAAUGUGGGAGACUUGUCACUUUGUUGUUCCAAAAUUUCCACUAUCAUAAAAAAAAAUAAAAAAUAAAAAAUGUGUGAUCUCACCUCUUACAUGCCUCCUCUAUCAUAAAAUCAAAAUAAUUGAAUGUGGUUCUGGCUUCACCAUGGUUCUAGUUUUUUUGCUUGAUUAAAAUUUUAAGUUUUCUGUUUAUAUCAAAAUAAAAUAGAAAUAUAUUUUUUCAUAAAAAAUUGUAUUAAAUAUUUUAUAUUAAUUUUCUUUUAGUUUUAAAAUAUUAUUACAACUCUCUACUCUUAAAAAAAUAAAAGACAAAAGAUUUAGUUUCAAUUUGGUAACUAUUUUAAAAAAUAAUUGUUUUUUUAAAAGAAAAACCAAGAAAACAUGUUUGACAACUAAAAAAAAUAUGAAACAAUUUUUUUUUUUUUAUCUUAAAAACAAAAAUAUGGUAUUUUUUGAAAACGUCUUUUAGUCGUUUUCACUUGGGUUUUUAGGGCUAUUUUUUUUAAAAUAAGUAUACAAAUAUGGAGAAUGAUUAAAAAUAAAACACUACAUAUAAAAUUUAUUGUUAAAAUGUAUUUAAAAACAUAGAAAACAAGUUAAAAAUAUUUCAGGUUUCAAAACAAGCUUUUAGUCUACAAAAUAUCAAAGACCAAAUUUCAAUAACUGUUCUUAAAAACUAUUUUUUAAAUUUUUUAAAAAAAAACACUUCCUAAACAAAGCUAAUAUAACUCAAUUUUGCUUCACCAAAAUUUGAAAAAAUAAAAUAAAAAUUUUAUAUUUCAUUAAUUUUAGUUCAAAAAAUAAAUAAUUGAUUUAUUAUUAAGGAAAAAGGUUUACUAGUAAUAUUAAAUGUUUAUAAAAUGUCAACCAUUAUAAGAUAAUGAAAUUAAUUAAAAAAAAAUAUACAUCUAAUAUGUAAUUCUAAUUUGUAGAAAAUAUUUUUUAAUCAACCCCCUCUCUAUUAUUAAUUUAAAUUUUUUAAAAUUGUGUAAAAUUAUUUUUAUAAAUAAUUUUUUUCUUUAACGUAAGGGUAAGGCCACCAAGUGUUUGUUUUUUUUAUUUAUUUAAUAUUUUAUGAUUUUUUUUUUCCUUUUAAAUUAAUGGUAAAUCUUUUUUUUUUUUUUUUUUUUUGAGGUGUUAUACUUUUUUAGGGUGAGUAGUAUGAGAAAAGAAGGUUGAUCUUAAUUAGGAAAACAUUUAAGAUGGGGGGAGCAAGGUUGAAUUGAGUUUUUAAAAUAUCCUUAUUUAAACACAACAAAUUCAAGAAAAGGAAGCACAAAUAUAAAGAGAUAAAGUUAGAGGAAGCAAACAUAGAUUUUAUAGUGGUUCGACACUCCUUGCCUACGUCCACUCCCCUCAAGCUCCUAACUGAGUGAGGGUUCCACUAUCCUUGAAGCUUCAACCAAGCUUCCAACGUCUUUACACUUGAUUCCGAUUCCAAUGGCUCUUACACAAUCCUUCAAGUAUUCACUAACUUGAAGCUUUCUAUUCACACAAUCUCACUUUAAAAUAAUGAAGGAAACUCUUAACCUAGCUUAAUAAAGGCUCAAAUACAAUCGAAAUGCUAGGAAGAAUGACAAGAGUGCACUAAAGAGUAUAAAAGUAAGGAUUUAAUGCAUCAAGGAGAGAAUGAGAUCUUUUAAGAGAAGAACAUGUAGUUAAACAAUUGAAUGCAGGUGUUCUCAUGUUCAUAAAUGAAGUAAAACUCUCAAUUUAUAAGUUUCUAACCACGGGAGCCAAAACUGCCAAAAUGUUAACCUCGACUGGUCAAGUUAGGGGUCAACUGGUUGACUAGUCGUUGGGCAAUAAAUGUAUGGUAGGUGACCGACAGGCCUCGACCACACCUUAACCAGACCUCAACUAGGAAAACCUAUCAUCGAUCGGGAAUGCAUAGCUACUGGAAGAGAGAGAAUACUUUUUGCAUCCCUCAAUCAAUCCUUAACUAGGAAGGCUUAAUCGAUUGACUGGUACCCUAACCAAUUGAGCCGGUUGGAUAGUCCCUUGAUUGAUACACCUAUUUUGGUCCGAAAACCUAUUUUUUUCUAUUCCUUUCAUUUUUAACACUUAGGCAAAGUCUUUAGGAGUAUUAAUAGAUUAAAUUUAAAGCAAUUUGCAUAAGGUUUGUAUAAGAAAACUCAAGGUUUAAUGGAAAUUUAAUUUUAAUUAAUAAACCAAGUUUUUAAAGAUGCAUAAAAAGAUAUGAAAAUCCUAAGUGUACAAAUGCAUUCAUCUUACAUAUGUUUCUUAAGAUUAGAAGGCCUUCUAUAUGUUUCAAUGAUUACUACUCAAAAAGUGCUAUUUGAUAGCUUGUAAUUAACUCUUUUAAACACUUUUGAGUAGUAGUUAUUACCUUUUAACCCAAUUAGCAUAUUAAGUACCUUUGCAAUCGUUUCUAAUCAAAUUGUGUAAGUUUUGGUGCUUUUGAUAGUAAUUUGAUCACCAAAGCAAUCCAAGAUUAAGGAGAGCUCUAUGGAAUCCAUGGCAAAGUAAUUGGAAACUCAUUUACAUGAAGAACCUAACCUUUGAAGCUUUAUAGUCCUUUGCCAUAAACAAAUCAUGAAUGCAAGGAUGAAAGCAAAGAGAGAAAUCUAACAUGAAGAAUUCAAGAGGACAUCAACUGUUUAACACUUUUGGAGAACUUUUUGGAGUCCAUUUGAUGUAUACUAUAUGUCGUUUCGAAGCAUGGGAAGUUAGCAAUCCAAUGCUUCAAACGGUGUGCGAAUCGAAGUUGAAAUGAAGAAGUUAGAGCCAUUGGAAUCCGAUCACACCAAGUUGAAGGCCAAUUUCGCAGGCUACGAAAUAAUUUUGCAGCCAUCUUGUACGUCUGCCAAAUUUCGCAGCCAUUUUGUGCGCCUGCGAAAUUCUCCUGAGUGCUUCCAGAUAUUUGUGACCGAUAUUUUUUGAUAUUUUGCUUCAGAUAUUUGAUGUCUAAAUCCCCAUUUUCUCCUUGUAAUCCACCAAUUAUAGGAUUCCUUAGUUAUUAAGCAAGAAAAAAGGGUGAAUAACCUGAUAUAUAUUGUUUUUGUAAUUUUCAUUGCAGACAUCUCGGGAGCUUGUUCUCAGAGACAACUUUUUGUAUAGUUUUUGAAAGGAAGUAAAAUAUAGAGCUUUGCUCUGCCUUACCUACUCAAUUUGAUUGUAUUUUUCAUUACUAGCCAAACAAGCUCUGAGGAUGUUUCCUCAGAGAAUGGGUUGCUAGACUUUUUGUCUCUUGGAGCUAAGGUAGCCGAGGGAGGUGCCGAAUGCAAGAAUUGAGAGUUUUGUUGUUUCAGCUGUUAAUGAAGAGAAAGUGUAACCCGUUUAUGGUUUCUAUGUUUUUAGUUAACUUAAAACGCCUUCAAUUCACCUGGGCCAACACUUGGUAAUGCAAGUGAUCUCCGUCCAUUGAGAUGCACUAGUUUACCUCUUGCGAGCCUUUGGGAGGUGACUUGAAGGUAGGAUUUUCUAGAAUUGCCAACACUUAGUAAGCUUUUGGACUCUAAGGAGACAUCCAUUAGUUAUCUCUUGCGAGCUUGAGAAGGGAAGUCCAAGGUUAAUGAUCACCUUGAAUGGCAAAUGCUAAGUGAGAGGCACGAGCCAUUGCAAGAUGCAUCAGUGAGAGGGAAUUAGUGUUGAAAUCCAUAAAAGGGGAGCAUUUGUACCACACCGGUUGGAGAAUGAACUAUAUGUUAAUUCUCCAAUGCGAGGAAAAGAACCAAAGUGACCGGAACUCUGUUUUUGCAUGAGGAGCCUGACCCCAGUGAUCCAAAAACUCCAAGAAACGUUUUUCUUUAUAAGUAAUUCCCAUUACUUUCUUUUUAGUUAGCUUGAAACCAAACCUUUUUCAACUAAAGUUUAUGUUUUCUUUUGAAGCUAACCUUGAAAUGAAAAGGCACCAAUUCAACUUUGAAUUGGUAUCAGUUGUAAGUUGAAAACCCUUCCCAGUGAACAAUCCUAGAGCCACUAUGCUAUACUAGCUUAUGCUAUCCUAGUGCAUGGUGAUAUAGGUUAUAAAUUUUGUUGAUUACUCCCAUCAGGGGACCAAAAUCAAGGUACACCAGCUGGGCACGAAUCAAAUGGCGUCAUUGCCAGGGAAGGUGACAACUUCACAGUGAUAUUAUUUCAGAGUACUUGUGAUUUUCAUCACAAGUUUAGUGACUUUUCUUUCAUUUUACUAAUUUUUAAUUAUUUCUUUUACUUGUUCAUAUUCUAAAUAUCUUUUAAUUAAGUUUUAUUUCAUUUUAGUCUUUUUUGUAGUCUUUUUUUUCUUUUGUUUUCUUUUGUUUUUGUUUUAGUUACAAUUGAAACUGGUUGUGUAUGCCAAAUUGGAUACGAGAUAGUGGAGGAAGGCUUGUUAAACGUGAUACACCUCAUAACAAGGAAUUGGAAUUGAGCUUGAAAAUCAUGGAAGCUACGCCUGAAGAUCAGCAUAGUCACCAUGGUCACCAGGACAAUCCCAAUGCUUUCAGAUCAAUGAGGGACCGUAUGCAUCCACCUCAUAUGAGUGCACCAUCAUGCAUAGUGCCCCCUACAGAGUAGCUAGUGAUCAGACCGCAUAUUGUUCCACUUCUACCAACUUUCCAUGGGAUGGAAAGUGAGAAUCCCUAUGCACAUAGAAUUUGAAGAUGUUUGUAAUACAUUCCAAGAAGGAGGAGCUUCAAUCAACUUGAUGAGGCUUAAGUUAUUUCCUUUCACUUUAAAGGAUAAGGCCAAGAUUUGGCUUAAUUCUUUAAGGCCAAGAAGUAUCCGUACUUGGACUGAUUUACAAGCUGAAUUCCUCAAAAAGUUUUUUCCAACUCACAGAACAAAUGGCUUGAAAAGGCAAAUUUCAAACUUCUUAGCUAAAGAGAAUGAGAAAUUCUAUGAGUGUUGGGAAAGAUACAUGGAAGCCAUCAAUGCUUGUCUUCACCAUGGUUUUGAUACAUGGCUAUUGGUGAGUUAUUUCUAUGAUGGGAUGUCUUCCUCAAUGAAGCAACUCCUCGAGACAAUGUGUGGAGGAGAUUUCAUGAGUAAGAAUCCGGAGGAAGCUAUGAAUUUCUUGAGUUAUGUGGCUGAAGUUUCAAGAGGAUGGGAUGAACCAAACAAAGGAGAAGUGGGGAAGAUGAAGUCUCAACCGAGUGCUUUUAAUGCUAAGGUUAGGAUGUACAUCUUGAAUGAAGAUGUUGAUAUGAAAGCAAAGUUUGCAGCUAUGACAAGAACAUUGGAGGAGCUAGAAUUGAAAAAGAUGCAUGAAGUACAAGCUGUUGUUGAAACACCAGUGCAAAUACAGUCGUGUCCUAUUUGUCACUCUUAUGAACACUUGGUGGAGGAGUGCCCUACAAUUCCAGCUGUAAAGGAAAUGUUUAGAGAUCAAGCAAAUGUUGUUGGACAAUUCAAGCCCAAUAACAAUGCUCCAUAUGGAAAUACUUACAACUCAAGUUGGAGGAAUCAUCCAAAUUUCUCAUGGAAGCCAAGAGCACCUCAGUACCAACAGCCGGCUCAACCAUCUCAACAAGCUUCAAGCCUUGAACAAGCAAUAGUGAAUCUCAGCAAGGUUGUGGGAGAUUUUGUUGGAGACCAAAAAGCCAUCAAUGCUCAACUCAGUCCAAGAAUUGACAGUGUAGAAAAUACUUUGAAUAAAAGGAUGGAUGGGAUGAAAAAUGAUUUAUCUCAAAAGAUAGAUAAUCUCCAAUACUCAAUCUCAAGGCUCACUAACUUGAACAUAGUGCAAGAGAAGGGUAGAUUUUCUUCUCAACCUCACCAAAACCCCAAGGGUAUCCAUGAAGUGGAAACUCAUGAGGGAGAAUCUUCACAGGUGAGAGAUGUUAAAGCCUUAAUCACUCUAAGGAGUGGUAAAAAAGUUGAGUUGCCAACACCCAAGCCACAUGUUGAAGAGGAAGAAGAAAAAGAGACAAAGAAGAGGGAGGAAAUCAAAGGAAAGAAGAAAGAUAUCAGUGAAGGGAAAGAGGACCAUGAUUCAAUAGUGAAUGCAAAUCCGGAGAAAAUACUUAUUAAGGAAGAAAUUGAAGAAACACACCUCUCCACCUUUUUCUCAAGCUUUGCAUGGGAAAAAGAGGAUAAAAAAUGCAUAAAAAAUUCUUGAAGUAUUGAGACAAGUGAAAGUCAAUAUUCCAUUGCUGGAUAUGAUUAAACAAGUUCCAACACAUGCAAAAUUCCUAAAGGACUUGUGUACUAUCAAAAGAGGGUUGAAUGUAAACAACAAAGCCUUCUUGACUGAGCAAGUAAGUGCUAUCAUACAAUGCAAGUCUCAUUUGAAGUACAAAGGUCCGGGAUGUCCUACCAUUUCAGUCAUGAUUGGAGGAAAGGUAGUGGAGAAAGCUUUGUUAGACUUGGGAGCAAGUGUGAAUUUGCUACCAUACUCUGUCUACAAGCAAUUGGGACUUGGUGAAUUGAAGCCAACAUCAAUCACUCUAUUUCUAGUAAAUAGAUCAGUGAAAUUUCCAAGGGAGGUAAUUGAAGAUGUCUUAGUUCAAGUUGAUAAUUUCUACUAUCCAGUAGAUUUUGUUGUUCUUGAUAUGGACCCUACUGUCAAGGAAGCUAAUUAUGUUCCUAUAAUCCUUAGAAGGCCAUUCCUUGCUACCUCAAAUGCAAUCAUCAACUAUAGGAAUGGACUCAUGCAACUCACUUUUGGCAACAUGACACUUGAGCUCAAUAUCUUUUAUAUGUCUAAAAAGCAAAUCACUCCGGAAGAAGAAGAAGGUUCAGAGGAGGUAUGCAUUAUUGACACUCUAGUGGAGGAGCACUGUAAUCAGAAUAUGCAAGACAAGUUGAAUGAAAGUCAUGGGGAUCUUGAAGAAGGGUUGCCUAAACCCUCUAAUGUGCUUGCUACUCUACAAGGUUGGAGGAGGAGAGAAGAGAUUCUACCUUUGUUCAAUAAAGAGGAGGCACAAGAAGUUUCUAAAGAAGAGAUCCCAAAGCUCAAUUUGAAGCCUUUGCCCAUGGAGUUGAAAUAAACAUACCUGGAAGAGAAUAAAAAAUGCCCUAUUGUUAUAUCUUCAUCUCUUACUAGUCCUCAGGAAAAGUGUCUACUUGAAGUUCUCAAGAGGUGUAAGAAAGCAAUAGGAUGACAAAUAUCUGACUUGAAAGGCAUUAGUCCUUGAUUCGACUCAUGGUAGCUUAGCUUUAAAGGCGUAUCAACAAAAUUUAUACCUUAAAUACUAUUACUAAAGUAGCCAAGCUACUAUAGCAUAGUGGUUCUAGGAUCGUUCACUGGGAAGGGUUUUCGCAAACACAAGUGAUAUUCAAAUUAGGAAAAUAAGUGAUUUUCUUAUGGAUGUUAGCUUUAAAAGAAGAUGUAAAUGUUUUAGAAAGAUUUAAACUAAUCUAAGCUAACAUUAAAGACUAAAAUGAAAGGGUGUAAAAACAAGUUUCUCAAAGAUAGGAUAGCUAUGCUCUGGCUCUUAUGCAAAUUGGAAAUCUCAGGAUAGGCUCCUCGCGUUGGGGUUGCAACUAUGGUGAUGCUUGCUUCCCGAACCGGUAUGGAUUUAGCAAAUCAAGUUUUAAUCCUUUAAAAUGACAAAACAGAUGGUAGUGAAUUUCAUCAAUGGUUAUUCACCUUAGACUUCCUUUGAAUGGCUCGUAAGAGAUAACUAAUGGUCUAAAGCCAAAAGCUUACCAAAUAUUGGCAACUCAAAGUCAUUCCAGGUGAUAAACUCACCUUUCAAUGGCCAUUGAAAUUGGUUCUAACGGAUUAAUGCAAAACUUGGAAUUGAAAACCUCACCUUCCAAUAGCUCGUAGGAGAUAACUAAUGGAUAGAAAUCCAAAAGCUUAUCAAGUAUUGGCCGUUGGAAGUUGUCCAAAGGAAAUAAAAACCAAACUUUGCAUUAAUGAACCUUUAAUGAAAAACGUCUACCUUACCUUCCAGGUGCGAGAAAUUUCCAUGGGAUUGCAUCCAAGCCAUCACAUAACCUCCAUACUUUGAGAAACUAAAAGUUUUAGCCAAUCAUCCUUUGAGGAAAAGCCCUCAGAGGCUGUUUGGCUACUAAGAAAAUAGAAAUAGUAAAGAGAAAAGAGAGACGAGAGAGCUCUGUAUAUCCCUCAGUGUAAAACGUAACACGCAUGUUCUUUAUCUUCCAAGAGGUGAUUUCCACCCCUUAUAUAGUCUUUACAAAAGCAAAAGCUUGUGAUUGGUUAGUUACAAGGAUAAGAAAGGAAAUUACAUCACAAAAUACAAAGGAAAAUAUCUAAAGUGGAGUCGGCAAAAACAGAGGAAAAUUCGCACCACGCAUGGGUUAUGCGAAUUUUGAAGGUGUUAUGCGAAUUUCGCAUAACACCUUGUGUUGUGCGAAAUUUUCGCACAACCUGGAGCAGUUGGCUUCCGAAGGCCAUAUCUUCCUUAUUUCAGCUCCAAAUCAUACACGGUUUAAAGCGUUGGAUUCUUGACUUCCUGAGCUUUGAAAUGGUAUAUAGUAUGUAGAAAAUGGACUUCGGAAAGUGCUCCAAAAGUGCGAAAGAAGACUGAAGAUGCUGUCCUCUUUGCUUCUCUUCAAUUUGCUUCACUCCUUGCAUACUUUGAACGACUUUGGCAAAGGGCUAUGGAGCUCCAAAGCUUGGUUCUUCAUGAAUUUGAUCUUCCAAAAGCUUUUCCAUAACUUGUCCAAGUAACUCCUCCAUCAUUUGGCAUGCUUGAAUUGAUUCAUAAGCUGAUAAAAACAUGUAAACUUGCCACAAAAUGGUUAAAACCAAUUACUAAGGACCUUAAUAAAUUAAUUGGGUUAAAUGAAUAUGAUUACUACUCAAAGGUGCUUAAAACCAUUAUAAUUAAGUCUACAAAAUAGCACUUUUUGGUAGUAAUCAGUCCUUUGGUUUGUACACAUCAUAUAUACAUGGAGGAAGAAGCUAAACCAAUUCGUCAGCCUCAAAGAAGAUUGAAUCCUCAUUUGCAAGAGGUGGUGCGAGUUGAAGUGCUGAAGCUACUUCAAGUAGGUAUUAUCUACCCCAUAUCUGACAGCCCUUGGGUGAGUCCUACUCAAGUGGUACCAAAGAAUUCAGGGAUUACUAUGGUUCAAAAUGAAAAAAGAGAAGAAAUUACUACACGCCUCACUUCAGGUUGGAGGGUGUGUAUAGAUUAUAGAAAAUUGAAUGUUGUGACAAGGAAAGAUCAUUUUCCAUUGCCAUUUAUUGAUCAAGUCUUGGAGAGAGUCUCUGGCCAUCCUUUCUAUUGUUUCUUGGACGGAUACUCCGGAUAUUUCCAAAUUGAAAUUGAUGUUGAAGAUCAAGAGAAGACCAUUUUCACAUGUCCACUUGGAGCAUAUGCCUAUAGAAGAAUGCCUUUUGGUUUAUGCAAUGCACCUGCAACAUUCCAAAGAUGUAUGCUAAGUAUCUUUAGUGAUAUGGUGGAGCGAAUUAUGGAGGUUUUCAUGGAUGACAUCACCAUAUAUGGAGGUACAUUUGAAAAAUGCUUAGUCAACUUGGAAGCGGUUCUUAAUAGAUGCAUUGAGAAGGACUUGGUGCUUAAUUGGGAGAAAUGUCAUUUUAUGGUACAUCAAGGAAUUGUCCUUGGCCAUAUCAUCUUCGAGAAAGGCAUUGAAGUUGAUAAAGCAAAGGUGGAACUUAUUGUCAAAUUGCCAUCCCCAACAACUGUAAAAGGAGUAAGGCAAUUCCUUGGCCAUGCAGGGUUCUAUAGGAGAUUUAUAAAAGAUUUCUCUAAGCUUUCAAAGCCUCUUUGUGAACUUUUAGCUAAAGAUGUUGAGUUUAUAUGGGAUGAAAGAUGUCAAAAGAGUUUUGAUCAACUGAAGCAAUUCUUGACAACAACUCCAAUAGUGAGGGCUCCUAACUGGCAACUGCCCUUUGAAGUAAUGUGUGAUGCCAGUGACUUUUCUAUAGGAUUUGUGCUUGGCCAAAGAGAAGAUGGAAAGCCCUAUGUGAUCUACUAUGCAAGCAAGACAUUGAACGAAGCUCAAAGGAACUACACAACUACAGAGAAAGAAUUGUUAGUUGUAGUGUUUGCCUUAGACAAGUUUUGUGCUUAUCUAGUAGGGUCUUUCAUCAUUGUUUUCACUGACCAUUCAGCCUUGAAGUAUUUAUUGACAAAACAAGAUGCAAAAGCAAGGUUGAUUAGAUGGAUUCUCUUAUUACAAGAGUUCGAUCUCCAAAUCAGAGAUAAGAAAGGAGUGGAGAAUGUGGUAGCUGACCACCUUUCAAGGUUAGUUAUAGCACACAAUUCCCAUGUCCUACCUAUUAAUGAUGAUUUUCCUGAGGAAUCACUCAUGUUGCUAGAAAAAACUCCUUGGUAUGCUCAUAUUGCUAACUAUUUAGUUACUGGUGAAGUUCCAAGUGAGUAGAAAGUACAAGACAGGAAGCACUUCUUUGCAAAGAUUCAUGCUUAUUAUUGGGAAGAGUCUUUCCUUUUCAAGUAUUGUGCAGAUCAAAUAAUAAGGAAGUGUGUCCCUGAAGAAGAGCAACAAGGAAUCCUCAGCCAUUGCCAUGAAAGUGCAUGUGGAGGCCACUUUGCCUCUCAAAAAACAGCCAUGAAGGUGUUGCAAUUAGGGUUUACUUGGCCAUCACUCUUCAAAGAUGCCCACAUCAUGUGUAGGAGCUGUGAUAGAUACCAAAGGCUCAGGAAGCUAACAAAAAGAAAUCAAAUGCCUAUGAACCCCAUUCUAAUAGUUGAUUUCUUUGAUGUUUGGGGCAUUGACUUCAUGGGACCUUUCCCAAUGUCUUUUGGUAACUCUUAUAUCUUGGUGGGGGUGGACUAUGUUUCUAAAUGGGUUGAGGCAAUCCCCUGUAAACACAAUGAUCACAAGGUGGUUCUCAAGUUUCUCAAAGAGAACAUCUUCUCAAGAUUUGGGGUGCCCAAGGCCAUAAUCAGUGAUAGAGGUACUCAUUUUUGCAAUAGACCCUUUGAAACCCUAUUAGCCAAGUAUGGAGUGAAGCAUAAGGUAGCUACACCUUAUCACCCUCAGACUUCCGGGUAAGUUGAGCUAGCAAACAGGGAAAUCAAGAAUAUAUUGAUAAAGCUGGUGAUUACGAGCAAAAGAGAUUGGUCUAUUAAGCUUUAUGAUUCACUAUGGGCAUAUAAAACAGCUUACAAGACUAUUCUUGGCAUGUCUCCAUAUCGCCUAGUCUAUGGCAAAGCAUGACAUCUCCCUGUGGAAGUUGAAUAUAAGGCUUGGUGGGUAAUCAAGAAGUUAAACAUGGACUUGAUCAGAGCCAGGGCAAAGAGGUGCUUAGACCUUAAUGAGAUGGAGGAAUUAAGAAAUGAUGCUUACAUCAAUUCCAAAGUUGCAAAACAGAGGAUGAAGAGGUGGCAUGAUCAAUUAAUCUCCAAUAAAGAAUUCCGGAAAGGACAAAGAGUCUUACUCUAUGAUUCAAGGCUCCAUAUCUUUCCUGGGAAGCUUAAGUCAAGGUGGAUAGGCCCUUUCAUUAUUCACCUAGUGCAUCCCAAUGGAGUGGUGGAAUUACUGAAUUCCAAUAGCACUGACACUUUUAAAGUCAAUGGUCAUCGUCUCAAGCCAUUCAUUGAGCCAUACAAGCAAGAAAAUGAGGAAAUCAACCUCCUUGAGCCAUAGAAAGCCUAAUCAGAAAAGGGUUAGAUGGGCUUGGUUUCACCAAAGUCCAUAUUUUUGUUAAAUUUUGUUAAUUUAAAAGCUUUAUUAAUUCUUUUGAUUUUAAUUUUGGUCUUAAGUUUUGUUAUUUAUAUGUAACUUAAUUUUUUUGAAUGAUCUAAUGUAGGAGGAAUUGCAAAGAAAAUGAAGAAAGGUCUCUUGGAGCUAAAAAGGAGUUCAAAACCAAGGGAAAAUUCAUGGCCUGCGAGAUUUCGCAGAAAAAUGAGGCCUCUGUGAAAAUGGCCCUUGCUGCGAAAUCAUUUCGCAGCCCCAUGCCCCCUUCUGCGAAAAUUUUCGCAGUUGCGAAACCCCCUCUUGGCACACGAGUGCCAUUUCGCAACACAGUACCCCCAUUUCGUAGCUGUGAAAUGGCUGCUGAUUCGACUCAUGGUAGCUUAGCUUUAAAGGCGUAUCAACAAAAUUUAUACCUUGAAUACUAUUACUAAAGUAGCCAAGCUACUAUAGCAUAGUGGUUCUAGGAUCGUUCACUGGGAAGGGUUUUCGCAAACACAAGUGAUAUUCAAAUUAGGAAAAUAGGUGAUUUUCUUAUGGAUGUUAGCUUUAAAAGAAGAUGUAAAUAUUUCAGAAAGAUUUAAACUAAUCUAAGCUAACAUUAAAGACUAAAAUGAAAAGGUGUAAAAACAAGUUUCUCAAAGAUAGGAUAGCUAUGCUCUGGCUCUUAUGCAAAUUGGAAAUCUCAGGAUAGGCUCCUCGCGUUGGGGUUGCAACUAUGGUGAUGCUUGCUUCCCGAACCGGUAUGGAUUUAGCAAAUCAAGUUUUAAUCCUUUAAAAUGGCAAAACAGAUGGUAGUGAAUUUCAUCAAUGGUUAUUCACCUUAGACUUCCUUUGAAUGGCUCGUAAGAGAUAACUAAUGGUCUAAAGCCAAAAGCUUACCAAAUAUUGGCAACUCAAAGUCAUUCCAAGUGAUAAACUCACCUUUCAAUGGCCAUUGAAAUUGGUUCUAAUGGAUUAAUGCAAAACUUGGAAUUGAAAACCUCACCUUCCAAUAGCUCGUAGGAGAUAACUAAUGGAUAGAAAUCCAAAAGCUUAUCAAGUAUUGGCCAUUGGAAGUUGUCCAAAGGAAAUAAAAACCAAACUUUGCCUUAAUGAACCUUUAAUGAAAAACGUAUACCUUACCUUCCGGGUGCAAGAAAUUUCCAUGGGAUUGCAUCCAAGCCAUCACAUAACAUCCAUACUUUGAGAAACUAAAAGUUUUAGCCAAUCAUCCUCUAAGGAAAAGCCCUUAGAGGCUGUUUGGCUACUAAGAAAAUAGAAACGGGAGAACAGGAGAAGAGAGAAAAACAGAGCAAGGCUCCGUCUGUAUAUAUGCGUCUAUGUCUUCAAGAGGUGAUUUCCACCCCUAAUAUAGUCUUUACAAAAGCAAAAGCUUGUGAUUGGUUAGUUACAAGGAUAAGAAAGGAAAUUACAUCACAAAAUACAAAGGAAAAUAUCUAAAGUGGAGUCGGAAAAGGCAGAGCAAAAUUCGCAACACGCAUGGGUUAUGCGAAUGUUAUGCGAAUUUCGCAUAACACCUUGUGGAAUGCGAAAUUUUCGCAUAACCUGGAGCAGUUGGAUUCCGAAGGCCAUAUCUUCCUCAUUUCAGCUCCAAAUCGUGCAUGGUUUGAAGCGUUAGAUUCUUGACUUCCAGAGAUUUGAAAUGGUAUAUAGUAUGCAAAAAAUGGACUUCGGGAAGUGCUCCAAAAGUGCGAAAGAAGACUGAAGCUGCUGUCCUCUUUGCUUCUCUUCACUUUGCUUGCUUUUCCUCUUUGCUUCUCUUUGCUUGUGCUCGUGUUUCCACUUGAAAUUCAAGCCUGUAAAUGUCCAAAAUCCUUGCUUUAACUUGUCCAAGUAGCUCCUCCAUCAUUUGGCAUGCUUGAAUCAAUUCAUAAGCUGAUAAAAACAUGUAAACUUGCCACAAAAUGGUUAAAACCAAUUACUAAGGACCUUAAUGAAUUAAUUGGGUUGAAUGAAUAUGAUUGCUACUUAAAGGUGCUUAAAACCAUUAUAAUUAGGUCUACAAAAUAGCACUUUUUGGUAGUAAUCAGCUGCAAAAUCCCCAAAGCGUGAAAUCUCCAAUUUUCGUAGCCAAAGCCCCAUUUCGCAAGGUGUUUCGCAGUUGCGAAAGACCCCCUUGGCACACGAGUGCCAUUUCGUAGCACAGUAGCCUCAUUUUGCAGUUGCGAAAUGGGCUGCGAAAAGGGCCCUCCGCUGCGAAAUCCACCCUCCUCUGCAAAAAUUAAAACGACCCUUGGCAUCCAAUUUUUUAACGGUAUAAAUUCCACAUUUCUAAUAAACCGGUCAUUUGAACUUCAAACAGGUGCCAGAGAAGAGCCAAAACAGAGCAACCUUCCAUUUUCUCCCUCCUAUAUGAGCCUAAGCUACGCGUGCCUCCGCCCAUCUCCUUCGGUCAGCCAUGGCAAGAACCCGAGGAGCUAAGUCUUCGUCUCUGUCAAGCCGCAAGAGAGCCGCAAAUGAGACCCCUGUUCAAGGCUCCAUGUUCGAGCCUCCGCGACCACGAGUCGUCCCACCUCCAGUUGAGGACGCACCGAUGAGUCCUCCGGUAAGGCGCUAUCAAACCAGGUCAAGUAGCCAUCCCCCGAAGAAGAAAGCUAGGGUAUCCGAGCCAAAGCUAAUUGACUUAUCAAAGCCGUCUUCAGAGCCUCUACAAGAGCCUCACCGUUCUCAGCCACCAUCCAAAGAGCCUCAACUGUCUCAGCCACCAGCUACAAAUUCUCAGAUUCCCUCAGGCAUGACUCCUGAGAUGCUUAUUAGGCGUCCCAUGCUCACUCAGCCGCCCAUUGAGGGUAAUUUGGAUUGCAGGGCUAAGCCAUUCCACUCUGAGAUCUGCUUCGACACAGCCACUUUCAGACUUCAGCUCGAGCUCAGGGACUCCUUCCAUCUGCUACAGAGGUACCAUAUGGAGCAUUUGCUAACUCCCAAGGAUUUUUUCUGUCCCCGUGUAGCAAUGGACUUCUAUCAGUCCAUGACCACACACCAGGUCUGAGAUCUUACUGUUAUCCACUUCACCAUAGACGGACAUCAUGGCAUUCUGGGAGCUAGUACAUAGUAGAGGCAUUGCGUAUUCCCUACGAGCCAGCCCAUCCAGAGGAUUAUCGAGUCUGGACUCAUCCUGCCCAGAGCGACAUAGUUCAUAUUCUGUCCAGAGGAGCAUCCUCGCGCCAGUAUCUAUUGAGGAAGGAGCUCCCUCAUAGCAUGUUUUUCAUAGAUGCACUCCUGCGCCAUAACAUCUUUCCACUUCUGCAUUGGGUGCAGAGGAGAGGAGUUUUGCUAGAGGCAUUGUUCAAGAUAUCUAAGGGAUUCUUCUUUGGCCCUCAUCAUCUCAUUAUGGCCGCUCUUCUGUACUUCGAAGAGAAAGUCCAUAGGAAGAAGCUGCUCAGAGCGGAUGCUAUUCCACUUCUCUUCCACAGAUUGCUAUGUCAGAUUCUGGAGCACUUGGGGUAUCCAUCUGACCCUCAGCUUGAGUGCAAACGUAUUUGCCGAGAGAUAUUCACUCUCAAAAAAUGGAUGAAUAUGACAGCCUAUAGUGCAGACCAGGGAGCCCCAACUGGAGCAGAGCAUCCAGAGCAGCCAGAGGAGCCACAGCCGGUUGAGAUACCAGCUGACAUGAGAGCACCUACCCUUGCAGUGCCCUCUACAAAGCCUAUACCAGAGGUUGCACCCUCUGCUCCUCCUACCACACCACGGACUCCCCCUGUUAUUCCAGCUACAUCAGAGCCCUCUCCUUCAUCUGAGCCUAGGAUUGCUAUAUUCAUUUCCGAGUACAGAGGUCUAUGUCACACUUUACAGGCAUUGACCACUUCUCAGAGCAUCCUUACUUAGGAGAUGACAGCUCUUCGUGCUCACCAAGAGCACAUUAUCGCCACUCAGACUAAGCAUACUACCAUCUUGAGGCAGAUUCAGCACCACCUGGGUAUUCCAUCAGCUCCUGAGCACCCCAUUCCUAUCUUCUCAAAGCCCACAAAGCCAUCACAGGCCCCUCUUUUCGUAAAGCAGGCUUUUCCCUCUGAGGAGCCGACUACAGGAGAUGCAGAGACAUCCACCUGAGCCAUCAUCAUCUUCCCUCUAUCUGAUCAUUUCCAUACUUUUCUUUAUGUAUUUGCAUUUGUAAUCCCAUGCUUUUGAUAUUUUAUAUAUUGGGAUUGGUUGUAUUACUUGUUUACCUUUAUAUUGUACUUUCAUGAAGUAAUACAAAUCUAUCAAUUUUUUAGCACUCUUAGCAUUGUUUUAUUUUAAUUCCUCUACUCAUAUCUUUUGUUGUUUUUGAAACAUGUGGUUUCUCCUAAUCUAAUCGAACUUCAUAUCACUCAGGAGCUACCACUUCCUCCCUGUAAUUUCAAUCGCUCAUGUCACAUUGAGGACAAUGUUCAGCUUGGUUGGGGGGAGAGUUGAGGAAGGAAGUUUUUUGUUGUUAAUACUAAGUAUUUUCGUAAUUUAUUUUAUUUUUGUUUAAUUUAAAAAUUUUUUUGUAAGUUUUUAUUCCACUCUCCAUGGUUAUUAAGGACAAAUUCUCAAAUUAAAAUAAGAGAAAUCGAAUUUUUGUUUUUACUUGACUUAGACUUUGUAUUAUGCUUAUUAAAGUUGAUGAAUUGUUGAAACUUCUAUUGAAUUCAACUUUAGUUCUUCCACUUUAAGCUAUUCACACACUGUGCAAAAUAGGUUCCGAGUAUAAGAUGAAAAACUAUUUCCCUCUUGACUUAGGAAAAUUUAGACUUGGUACCUUUGACCUCAUUUAAUAGUGUUGGGACACCUUAUAAAAGGCCAAUGAGCCUUUGAAAAAAAAAGAGAAAGAAAGAAAAAUGUUUGCUUGCCUUGAAACCCGAGCAAGGUCUGAGGGGUAUAUGGUGAAAAUCUUUAAAACCUGGUGCCCUAAGCCUUCAUUGGUUGGGAGUCACCGACCUCAAUGCUCGUUACAAGGGUGAAUAGGUGGAGUUUAACAUACUGUAGGUGCUUGGGUAUUAAAAUUCAUUCUCAAAAGUCCGAGGUAAAAUCCGAGGAGUUAGUGGUUGAAAGAUCCUUAAAGCUUGAUGCCCUAAACCUUAAUUGGUUGGGAGUCAUCGAUGGACCCCCGUUUCAUGGACAAUUUAGAAAAGAAUACCUUUAAGCCUUGUACUCCUACAAUGAAAAAAAAAUGUGAAAUAAAAGGGUGCAUUCUUAGCCUAUUGAAUUUGGUCAGUUUGCUAAGUGUUGAAAAAUAACUAGGUUAGGGGGAGAGACUAGUUUAGCAUACUAUAUUCGGAAGCUAUCAAGUAACACUUAGAUUUUUGUGGAAGAGUAAGGUUUGGUCCUUUGGAAGUGGAAAUGAUUUUAAAGCUUCAAUUUGCAUAAUACCUUCUCUUUAUGAAUUGUGAUUAAGUAAAGUAUUUGAUAACUCUUGCUGAAAUUUGAGUUUUAUAUCUUUAAUGUCCCAUGUGAGAGUUUGAUCAUCAUGCCACUUAAAAAUUUUUGAAGUGAUCAGCAUGAUUUUGUAAAGUAUAUUACUGUUUAGUUUAUUUUUUUCUCUCCUUUAUUGCUAAGAGACUAGCAAUAUGUCGGUUGGGGGGAGUGAUUACUACUCAAAAAGUGCUAUUCAAUAGCUUGUAAUUAACUCUUUUAAACACUUUUGAGUAGUAGUUAUUACCUUUUAACCCAAUUAGCAUAUUAAGUACCUUUGCAAUCGUUUCUAAUCAAAUUGUGUAAGUUUUGGUGCUUUUGAUAGUAAUUUGAUCACCAAAGCAAUCCAAGAUUAAGGAGAGCUCUAUGGAAUCCAUGGCAAAGCAAUUGGAAUCUCAUUUACAUGAAGAACCUAAGCUUUGAAGCUUUAUAGUCCUUUGUCAUAAACAAAUCAUGAAUGCAAGGAUGAAAGCGAAGAGAGAAAUCUAACAUGAAGAAUUCAAGAGGACAUCAACUAUUUGACACUUUUGGAGCACUUUUUGAAGUCCAUUUGAUGCAUACUAUAUGUCGUUUCGAAUCUCGGGAAGUCAGAAAUCCAAUGCUUUAAACAGUGUACAAAUCGGAGUUGAAAUGAAGAAGUUAGAGCCAUUGGAAGCCGAUCACACCAAGUUGAAGGCCAAUUUCGCAGGCUGUGAAAUAAUUUCGCAGCCAUCUUAUACGUCUGCGAAAUUUCGUAGCCAUUUUGUGCGCCUGCAAAAUUCUCCUGAGUGCUUCUAGAUAUUUGCGACCGACAUUUUUUGAUAUUUUGCAUCAGACAUUUGAUGUCUAAAUCCCCAUUUUCUCCUUGUAAUCCACCAAUUAUAGGAUUCCUUAGUUAUUAAGCAAGAAAAAAAGGUGAAUAACCUGAUAUAUAUUGUUUUUGUAAUUUUCAUUACAGACAUCUCGGGAGCUUGUUCUCAGAGACAACUUUUUGUAUAGUUUUUGAAAGGAAUUAAAAUAUAGAGCUUUGCUCUGCCUUACCUACUCAAUUUGAUUGUAUUUUUCAUUACUAGCCAAACAAGCUCUGAGGAUGUUUUCUCAGAGAAUGGGUUGCUAGACUUUUUGUCUCUUGGAGCUAAGGUAGCCGAGGGAGGUGUCAAAUGCAAGAAUUGAGAGUUUUGUUGUUUCAGCUGUUAAUGAAGAGAAAGUGUAACCUGUUUAUGGUUUCUAUAUUUUUAGUUAACUUAAAACGCCUUCAAUUCACCUGGGCCAACACUUGGUAAUGCAAGUGAUCUCCGUCCACUGAGAUGCACUAGUUUACCUCUUGUGAGCCUUUGGGAGGUGACUUGAAGGUAGGAUUUUCUAGAAUUGCCAACACUUGGUAAGCUUUUGGACUCUAAGGAGACAUCCAUUAGUUAUCUCUUGCGAGCUUGAGAAGGGAAGUCCAAGGUUAAUGAUCACCUUGAAUGGGAAAUGCUAAGUGAGAGGCACGAGCCAUUGCAAGAUGCAUCAGUGAGAGGGAAUUAGUACUGAAAUCCAUAAAAGGGGAGCAUCUGUACCACACCGGUUGGAGAAUGAACUAUAUGUUAAUUCUCCAAUGCGAGGAAAAGAACCAAAGUGACCGGAACUCUGUUUUUGCAUGAGGAGCCUGACCCCAGUGAUCCUAAAACUCCAAGAAACGUUUUUCUUUAUAAGUAAUUCCCAUUACUUUCUUUUUAGUUAGCUUGAAACCAAACCUUUUUCAACUAAAGUUUAUGUUUUCUUUUGAAGCUAACCUUGAAAUGAAAAGGCACCAAUUCAACUUUGAAUUGGUAUCAGUUGUAACUUGAAAACCCUUCCCAGUGAACGAUCCUAGAGCCACUAUGCUAUACUAGCUUAUGCUAUCCUAGUGCAUGUUGAUAUAGGUUAUAAAUUUUGUUGAUUACUCCCAUCAGGGGACCAAAAUCAAGGUACACCAGCUGGGCACGAAUCAUUUAAUCUUGUAUCCAUUGGGUCCUUUGAUAAGUUUCUUGGAUAUCCUUUUGAAUUUCCAAACUAAAACUUGAAAUUCUUUUAAUUUAAAAUAAUUAGCAACUUAACCAUGGUUUGUUAUCAUUAAAACACGAUUAGGAGAACCUUUGGGCUAACAUAGUAUGUUAAUGAGCCUAUUUAUUUUUCAAAUUUUUUAUAUGAUUAUUUAAUAAGAUUAUUGUUAAAUUACUAUGGAUGCAAUUUAGGGAAGACAAAGACCCUAAUUGUUUUUUUUAUUUUUAUUGUUUGCAAACUUAAUGAAUUAUUUUGAGUUAUGUUAUUUAAAUUGUUGGAUUAAUUUUACAUAAUAUAUUAUUGUGACAUUAUAAUAUAAAAAUAAGUAAUAUCAUUUAGUUACCUUCAAUUCUAUUACUAUAGCUAUUUGAUAGACAGUAUUAAUUUAGUAAUGUUAUUUUAAUAGUUUAAACCAUAGGAAAUAUAAUCUAAGCUUAAAAUAUUAAUAUUUAUGUUUUUUAAAUGAUAUAUAAUGUACUUAUUUUUCUAAGGAAUGUAUUUAUUUUUAAGUUAAGAUGUACUUAUUUUCAAAUAGGAUGCACUUAUUUUUUCCAAUGACGUACCUAGUAUCAAAGCAUGAUAGAUGAGAUGUGCGAACAUCAUAAAUGCAUGCCUAGACCUAUAAAAAUGGAUGAUCUUGUCCAAUAUCUUGUUCAAUAUGCUUUGAUAAAAGGUACAUCAUUGGCAAAAAUAAAUGUAUCCUAUUUGAAAAUAAGUACAUCUUGUUUAAAAAUAGGUACACCAUAUGUAUAUCAUGCAUGUGACUCAUUUGCUCUAAUUUGGACAUGAUCUUCCAUUUUUGUAGGCCUAGGCAUGCAUUUAUUGACAUAAGCUAUAUUGGACAAGGGCUUUCACUUUUAUGGGCCUUGGAAUGCAUUUGAAGCUUUUAGCCAUCCCAUUUUGCAUCCUAGAACCCUAGGUACAUCAAUUGGAAAAAUAGAUACAUGGCAUUGAAAAAUAAGCACAUCUUCACAAAAAAUAAGUACAUCUCAUUUAAACUAUAUACCUAACGCAUUUGUCCUAUUUUGGACAUGAGCUUUUACUUUUAUAGGCCUCAAAAUGUAUUUAGGGUCUUCCCACAUCCCAUUUUGUAUCCUAGAACCUUAGGUACAUCCCUUGGAAAAAUAGGUACAUUGUGUUAAAAAAUAUGUACAUCUUUUGAAAAAUAAGUACUUUGCAUUUAAAUUGUAUAACUGACUUAUUUGGCCAAUUCUAAGUAUGAUUUUUCACUUUUAUAGGUCUUGAGAUGCAUUUGAGGCCUUCACACAUCCCAUUUCACAUCGUAGAACUUUGGGUAUAUCCUUAGGAAAAAUAAAUACAUCAUAUUGCAAAAUAGUACAUUCCCUUAAAAAAUAAGUACAUAUUAUUUUCAUUCUAUGGGUGACUUGUUUGGCUUAUUCCUAUCAUGCACUUUCACUUUUAUAGGUCUCAUAAUGCUUUUGAGGCCCUCACACAUCUCAUUUCUCAUUCUAAAACCUUGGGUACAUCCCUUGAAAAAGUAGGUUCAUCUUGUUGAAAAAUAAGUAUAUCAUCUUAAAGCAUAAGCACAUCGAAUUUACAUUGUAUAACUGAUUCAUUUCACUUCUUAUACACAUUCAUUAUUUAUUUGAGUUAUAGGUUCAAGUGACUAAUUCUGGAACAAGCAUAAAGCAUAAUCAAGUUGCUUAACUUUACUUAUGUACUACUAGUUAAGCAUGACACAUUAUGGUAUAUCAUUCAUGAAUAUGAAUAGGUAUAAGACUCAUCAUUCAUUCUAUAGGAAAAAGGGAACAUUUUAUGAACACUAUGUACACAAGUCAUUUGAUAGUAAUUAAGACAACAUGUAUGUUCUUUGUCCUAUCACGCAUUAAAAAAAAAUUAGUUUAGUUUUUAAGAUCAAUUUCAUUAUUAUUUGGUUUCGAUGUUAUGUAGCUAUUUUUUUCCUAUGGAUGCACAAAAGGUUCCAUGAUAUACUAAUUUUUCCUUGUCCAAAAUAGGCCAAAUGAGUAUUUUAAUUUAAUGUAAAUGCAAUGUACUUAUUUUUUAAGUGAAUGUACUUAUUUUUUAACAUGAUGUACCUAAUUUUCCAAUGGAUGUAACUAUGGGUUCUAGGAUGUGGAACAAGAUAUGGGAAGACCUCAAAUGUAUCUUGAGGCCUGUAAAAGUACAAGCUCAUGUCCAAAAUAGACAAAUGAGUCACCUAUACAAUUUAAAUAUUUAAGAGGGUGUAAUUAAUUUUCAACACAACGUACCUAUUUUUCCAAGGGAUGUACCUAGGUUCUAGGAUGCAUAAUGAGAUAUGGGAAGACCUUAAAUGCAUCUUAAGGCCUAUAAAAAUAAAAGCCCAUGUCCAAAAUAAGCAGAAUGUCACCUUUACAAUGUAAAUGCAAUGUACUUAUUUUUUAAGUGGAUUCACUCAUUUUUCAAUGGGAUUUUUUAACUUUUGUAGCAAUUUUUAAAAAUAAUUAUUAAAAAAUGGUAGUUGGGAAAAUAUUAAUAGAUCUACGGCGGUUUUGGCCACGUGGAAGGUGUCUUUUGAAGAGACACCUUCCACAAUUUUCAAAAUCAUGAUACUAAUUUAAAAGAAUUGAAUUUAAGCUAAAGGUGUCUCUUCAAGAGACACCUUCUACAAUCCCAGAAAAUUGGAUUUAUAUUAAAGGUGUCUCUUGAAAAGACACUUUCCACGUGGCAAAAAAUCCAAUAUGAAUUAAAGGUGUCUCUUCAAGAGACACCUUCUACAAUUCCAAAAAAUUUUAAUUUAUACAAAAUGUGUCACUUAAAGAGACACUUUCCACAAUUCCACAAUUCCAUAAAUUCCAAUAUAUAUUAAAGGUGUCUCUUCAAGAUACACCUUCUACAAUUCCAAAAAAUUGGAUUUAUACUAAAGGUGUCUCUUGAAAAGACACUUUCCAUAAUUCCAUAAAAUCCAAUAUGUAUUAAAAAUUGUGGAAAUGAUUUUAAAGCUAAAGAUGUCUCUCUUCAACAUAAAUUCGAAAUUUUCCACUGUGUAUGGAAAUUGUGGACAAUGUCUCUUCAAAAGACACCUUUAGUAUAAUUCCAUUUUUUGAGAAUUGUGAAAGGUGUCUCUUCCACAAAUUUAAAAAAAAUUGGGUUUAUACUGAAGAGACACUUUCCAUAAUUUCAAUUCAAACAAUGGAAAAUUUUGAAUUUAUGCUAAAGGUGUCUCUUCAAGAGAUACCUUCCACAAUUCCCAAAAAAAUGGAAUUAUACUCAGACGCCUUUCAUAAUUUUUAAAAAAUUGGGUUUAUACUGAAAGUGUCUCUUCAGAAGAGACACUUUCCACAAUUUUCAUACACAGUGGAAAAUUUCGAAUUUUGAAAAGACAUAUUUUACAAUUCCCAAAAAAUGGAAUUAUACUAAAGGUGUCUCUUGAAGAGACACCUUCCAUAAUUUUAAAAAAAUUGGGUUUAUACUGAAAGUGUCUCUUCAAGAGACACUUUCCACAAUUUCAUACACAAUAGAAUAUUUCAAAUUUAUGCUAAAGGUGUUUCUUCAAGAGACACCUUCCACAAAAGGAAAAAAAAAUUAUAUCUCUUAAUUAGUAUUACCUGCUAUACAACCAAAUGUUUAAAGUUUAUCCCCUGUAUACAUUAUAAUCAAUAUUUUGACAUUCAAUCCAAAACCAAUGAAAAUAAGUAAACCAAAUGUCAAUUAAGUCAACACAUUUCCAAAAUAGUAACAAUACUAUUUUGUGUAAAAUAAAUCCAAAAUAGAUAGAAUACUAGAGAACUUACGUUAAUAAAAAGUUAGUUUAUCCAAAAUAUAACAAGUAUAAAUAUACAUCUUGAGUAUUUGUCAAAAAUAAUGAUAUGCAAAAUACUAACAGUAUCCAAAAUACAAGUCAUAUGUAGUAACAUCCUCAAUGUGUACCGCAUGAAGGAGCCUUCCUCUUCCAUUGUGGACAUCCAUGAUAUGCAUGCUCCACUAUUGGCUCUAUGGGGCUAACAUGUACCCCUCUAUGAGCUCGACAACCACGUCUCCUACCACGUCCUCAACCAUGUCCUCGACCAUGAUCAUUCUUUUGUCCUUGUUGAUCAUCAUUUGCUAUAUGAACUAACUUCUCAUCAACCAAUGUAACCUCUAUCGAUUGUGGUGAUGAUGCAACAAGUAGUACUAUAGGUGGGUUAGAUGGCACCUCCAUAUGUGUAAUACGAGUCUCCUCAACAGGUGGCGGGCUAAUGUCAGUCGAUGGUGCAUUUCUAAGAACAAAUGUAUGCUUAGUCACUCUCGUAUAAGCCCCUCUCCCUCUAGUCCGUACACCUCAUGAUCAAGUAAUGGAUGAUAUCAGUUGCUGAUGAGGUGGUGGAUUACAAUAAAGUGGACGUACCAUUAUGGGAAAUAGCACAUCUCAUUUGAAGAAGAGAGUCCUUUUGAUAUAAUCUAGGCAUUAAAGUUUAUCAUCGAGAUCAACUCAAAUGAAUCGCUACAUGAUUUGUACGCUCCCUUAAUUUUAUUUUCCUUAUAUUUUUUUCCUUCAUAUUAAUUCCACCACCAAAUCUGAUAAAAUCAAAAUUAAGUUUUAUAAGCCUCUAAGUGAUAAAUAAAAAAAAAAAAAAAAGCCUUCUAUCGAGAAAGGGGGUUAUUUCUGAACAUGGAGAGUCGGCAUAGAAGACCUUUAUUGAAAAUGGUGUUGAUGCUUUGAAAAGUUUGAAUGGACGAGACUCUAAGUUGAGUUGAUGGGAAGAGCAAGAGACGCAGUUUAUUGGGACUUUAAGAGAAAUAUUUUUCUCUUCCACACCAUCCUUUGACAUCAGUCACUUGUAACUCAUCAAUUGACCAACUUCGUUUAUAUGAUUUAUUAUUAUUUUUUUCCAGUUUUCUAAUGAAAAUAUUUCUUUGGUUUGAAGAAAUAUUCAUGUUAAUGGUUCGGAUAGAGAAAGAUAAGAUUGAAUCAAAUCAAAUUUAUUUUAAUUAAUCAAAUUCAAUUUAAUGUAUUCAUUUUAUACAAGAUAAACUAUUUAAUUUUAACAAAUAAAAAGAUAGUAUAUCCAUUUUUAUAUAUGAUAACUUGAUUUGAAUAUAUAUAAUUUUUUUUUUUGUAACCCCUGUUUGAUUCCAAAGAAAAUCCAUCCCCCAUUCGAUUUCCAAAAAAAUUCAUCCUCAUUUGAUUUAUGAGAAAAUCCAUGCAAAACCCCCAAGGAAAACCAAAAAAAUUGCUUUUUUUAUUUAUUUUUUUGCUCUCUAUGCUUUAUGGAUUUAUUCUAGGGGUCUCUGUGGAUGUACUCAACGUCUUAUGCAAUCAUGAAAUAACAUGAAUUGAGUGGAUGUUAUUGCAUAAUAACAUUGAUAGACAAGACUAUUAGAAAAGAGAGCACCACUUUUAUAUAUAUAAAGUAACAGUUAAGUGUGCUAAAAGUACCACCAUGCUAAAAGUGUAUUACACUUUUUAUGUACUACUUUUUCAUAAAAUAAAAUAAAUGGUACCCUCUUUUCUAAGGAUUGUGUCAAUUGGUGUUAUUGUGCAAAACACCCACUCAAUUCACAUUAUUUUAUCAUCACAUAUGACGUCGAGUAUGUAACAAGCGAUAAUAGAUCUUACCCUAAACCAAAUAAGAGAAGUACAUUCUUCCCACCACAAUGAAACUAAAAAAAGAGUGACAUAUUCUUCCCACCACAGUACUACUUUUAACAUAGUACAUUUUUCAUUCAUGAGUGGUACCAUUUUUUUUCAAAGGUUGUGUUGACUGUUGUUAUUGCACAAUAACAUCCACCCAAUUCAUGUUAUUCAAUCAUUACAUAAUACAUUAAGCAUGUAACGGGUGGUAACAUACCUUAAACCAAAGAAGAGUGAUACACUAUUUCCACCAUAGUGGUACAUUUAUCACACUUCAGUGGUAUUUUCUUUUUAUAAAUAAAUGGUAUGCACUUUUCCAAAGGUUGUAUUGAUCAAUGUUAUUAUGAAAUAACACUCAUUGAAUUCAUGUUAUUUCACCAUUAAUAAGACAUCUAGCAUGCAACGAAUGGUAACAUACCUUUGCUUAAACUAAAAAAGAGAGAUACAUCCUUCUUACCACAAUAUUACUUUUAGCAUUUUUAGCAGUACUUUUUUUCAUAAAGGAGUGGUACUAGGGAAAUGCAACUUAAGUUGCGCAAUGGUUUGAGGUGCACCAACUUAGUGUUUUAGGAGGGUACACUAUUUUUUUCUUAACACAUUUAAAAGGUAUGCAACUUCAAUAUACAAAAAUUUUAAUUUUUAAUAAAAUUAAGAGAAAAUCAAUAUAAACAAUUGAAUACAAACUUUUUAUGAAAAUACAUAUUUUUAUUUUAUAUAACUAAAAAUUAAAAAUUUGAACAAAACAAAACUUUAGAAUCACAACCAUGUUUUUAUUUUAUAUAAAUUAAAAAUAUUAAACAUUUCAACCAAGAAGAAAAUUAAAACUAUGGUCAAGUUACAUCCAUAAGAAAAAAGCUAAAACCAUGAUCAUCAAUUUUGAUUUUCACAUGAAAAUUUAAAAAUUUUUAAAAAUAUAAAAAAAUUAAAUAAUAUGACAAUAUAAGAAGAUUUAUAAAAUAAAUAAAUAUUUUAUUUAGGAGGAAUAUAAAAAGUCUUAUAUCCUAAACUUCUAAAUUUGUUAUUAUGUAUUUAUUUUUAUAUUAAAUUUGUUCUUAUUAAUUAUUUAUUAUAUAUUAUUAAUUUUUAUUUAAAUAUCUAUAAAUAAUUAAAAUCAAUAAAUAUGAACAAAUGAAAUAGUGAAAAAAAAUUAAAUUAUAAAAUUUUCAUGAAGCCAAUACAUUAAAAAUAAAUAAAAAAUAAAAAUAAAAAUAAAAAUAAAAGCAAAAAUGUGGAGAUAUUAUGGAGGGAAAAAAAAUCAUGUGACAUAGUAGAUUGUUACAUAUCAAAGUUUUUUUUUUUUUUUUAAACCAACCACGAUUAGCACUUUGACUUAUCAUGUCAAAGUAUAAAAAUAAAAAUUGUGAUAAUUAAUGUCAUGAUGAGAAAAGGGUUAGUCGUUUUGAAAAUACAUGUUUUCAAGACAUAUAUAUAUAUAUAUAUAUAUAUAUAUAUAUUGUGAAAAUAAAAAACCAAUCUCCCUUUUGAAACAGCAGAAACCUUUUGGCAAAAAACCGUGUCUUUCAUUCAUAUUUGCACGAGUAUAAAUACACACAUAUAGACUAGAUUCAAGAAGGAAUUACGACUAUAAUUGUGGGUCUGACUUUUUAUAUAUAGUAGGUACAAAUAUUAUAUGGUAUAACUGCAACUAUUAUAGGAUUGAAUCAGAGGAUGAGUUGGUCAAAGGAUACGAUAUAACUGCAACAAUCACGGGCUUGUCUCAAAGUAUGAGUUGGUCAACUAUUUUCCACAAAGACCACAUGCCGAGAAAUGAACAUUUUUGAGGUGGAUGGGUCAUAACAUCUAUAGGAAUUAUGUGAGAGAAUAGCCAAGGAAAACACAGGGUCGAGACUUGGGAUCCAAUUUAUGGCAUGUGUAGGGUUUUAGCUAGGGGUAACAAAGGCAACCAAAGAUUUUAAGUUCGAGAUAGUAGGGGGAAGGGUGAAAGAGGGUCUCAAAAGGAGAUUUGUUAUCUAAAAGUGGGAUUGGCAUCUGAUUAAUGAGGUAAAUUAUCGUUUGACAGGCAACAGGCCAAAAUUGAAGACGAAUGGAGGCUUGAUGAAGAAGAGUCAAUGUCAUCUCAAGAUUAUGUCUAUGUUGUCUUUCAGCAAUCCCUACAAUUUGUGAAGUGUAUGGAGGAGAAUAGGGGUGUUAAAUUCCAUGUUUUGGAGAGUGUGGGAUGAAGACCUGCAUAUUCCCAGGAUUGGGGUUUUGAAAUAUUUUUCUACUAGUUGCUUGAAGUUUUCAAAAAUACAAGUGGUAUCUGAUUUGUUUUUUAGAGGAUAAAGCCAUAUGUAUUUGGUGAAAUGGCCAACAAAAAUCACAUAAUAUAAAAAAUUAUCAAGGAUGUGAUAGGAGCAAGUCCCCAAAUAUAAUUAUAAAUAAGUUUAAGGGGUUUAGAGCUUAUAAGAGAAGAUGCACCAAAGGAAAGUCAAUGACUUUUAUUACAUAAGCAUGAGUUACAAGAGUCUAGAGACGACUUGGACAUUGAAAGUGAAUGACUUGAGAUGACAUGUCAGAGAAUACGUCGAUUGGGAUGAUCAAGACAACGAUAACAUUUAUUUAAGGAUGUUGGACUGGUGGUGGUGUUGUAGGCCUGAGGUGUGGAGCUUGAGUAGGGAAAAGAAGUCGGACACUCAUACAGAUUUCCCUUAAACGAGUGUUGCCCCCGUGCUCAAAUCCUUCACCAAAAAGUAAGUAGGGAAAAAUUCAAUUGAUGUACAAUUAUGUUUGCAAAACUGAGAAACAAAAAUUAAGUUUUUAUGAAUAGCUGGAGCACACAAAACAUUACCAAACAUAAAAUUUGAAUUUUUAAUAAUUAAAUUAGUAGAAUCGGUAUGAGUGAUAGAAAUACCAUUACCAUCACCAAUAAUUACAUGUCUGUACCACCAUAUUCAGAAUGAAUGGAAAGAUUCUGAAGAUCUGAAGUAAUGUGGUGUGAGGCUCCGGAGUCUAUUACCUAAUUGGCAUUAUGAGUUGGUGGUUCUCGAGCCAUGAAAUUUGCUUGUGGUGUGGAAUAGGAGGAUGGGCGAGACCUGCAGACCCUGGCAGUAUGUCUAGCUUUGUCACAUAGUUGACAAACAACACAGAUUUGAGGGGGAUUGAAUGGAGGACGCCCUUGUGGACCAAGAAAUCUAUUCCCUUGGUUAGGGAACAUGUGUCCAUGAUGAUUCUUGUUGCCUUGAUAAUUAUUUCCAAAUUGAGAACUUUGUCCUUUCUUAUUGUUUGAGUUGUUCCCCUUUUUGCCAAAGUUGUUUGAGCCCUUUUGAUUAAACUGAGUUGUAACAGUAACACUAUCCUUCUUGAAUUCUUCACGUUUUAGGAACAUUUCAUGAUCUGCUAGUUUGUCAUGUAGUUCUUCAAAGGAUAUGGAAGAAUCUCAAGCUCUUAUUGUUGCACUCAAUUCCUUGAACUCAGAUCCUAAACCUUUGAGAACACUUAUCACCAUUUCUUCUGCACCAAGAGGGGAUCCAACAAUAGCCAAUUCAUCAUCGCUCAUAGUUUUGAUUACUGUCAUAUAUUCAACAACAGAUUUAUUUUCUUUGAUGAGUUGGCUCAGCAUCUCUCGGAGUCCUAAGAUCCUAGUCUUCAAUUUGCUGGCAUAUGUGGUGUAUAGACGAGCCCAAGCCUCUUGAGCAAAUGUAGUGGAUGCAACAAGAGGGGCAAUGGUGGAAUCAACUGAUUCCAUGAUAGCAUGCAGAAGUAGGCUCUCUUGGCGUUUCCAAAUUUUGUGCUCCGGAUUGGGUGUGAAAGUGUCACCCAUUUUUAUCAUUUCUAGUGGACUUGGAUAUGUUCCAUCAACAUACCCAAUCAGAUCAUAGCCAUAAAGUAGUGUUGAGAACAUUGUUCUCCAAGAGGGAUAAAUGCUGCUACCGAUGAGUUUCAAGGGGAAGUUGUGUUGCUGCAUUAAUAGACACCAGUGCGGUUGAAGGAGUGUUUCCACAUGACAUGAUGACUCUGUGAUAUGGGAAGGGCCCGGAGGAGUAGGAGUCUUCAGCCAUAGGGAUAGGAAUAAAAGGUGGUUUCAAUGAAGAGACUACAAGAUUUGGGUGGCUGCUGGAAUAGUGACUGUGGAGUUUAUGGCUUUGAUACCAUGAAACAGCAGAAAGAUUUUGGCAAGAAACAAUAUCUUUCAUUCAUAUUUGCAUGAGUUUAUAUACACACAUAUUGACUAGAUUCAAGAGGGAAUUACAGUUAUAAUUGUGGGUCUGCCUUUUUAUAUACAGUCGGUACAAAUAUUAUAUGGUAUAACUGCAACUAUUGUGGGAUUGAGUCAGAGGAUGAGCUGAUCAAUGGAUAUGAUAUAACUGCAACAAUCACGGGGUUUUCUCAAAGUAUGAGUUGGUCACGUGAGCUGUCUAUCACCUUCUUGUUAGAAUAACUAGGGACUCACAUAAAUUAAUAAUUGUUUAUGACUGACUCAUGCCCAAUUGGUGUCUCAGCUGAUUUGUGUUCAGCUGGUGCUCCUUGAUUGAGGAAGUGAUCAACAAAAUUUAUACCUAUAACACCAUACACUAGGGUAGCAAAUACAAAGCUACUAUAGUAUAGUGGCUCUAAGGAUCGUUCACUGGGAAUGAUUUGCAAGCAAUCAAGGAUACCAAUUCCAAGUGAAUUGGUUUUGUUUCAUUUCACGGUUAGCUUAAGGAAUAAAACACAAACUUUGAUUUGUAAAGGUUGAGACUUAAACUAACUAACUUAACAGAAGUUUGGAAUAAUUUAGGAAGAAAAGCAUUCCUUGGAGAUUUAGGUUCACUGGGGUGGUUCCUCAUGCAAAAGACAUAGCUCCGGUCAGAUGGUUCAUUUCCUCGCAUUAGAGAUUCAACUUAUAGUCAAUUCUCUAACCGGUGAUGUACAGAGACUCCUUCAAUUAGAUUUCACUUUAAUUCUCUCACUGAUGUAACUUACAAUGGUUCAUGCCUCUCACGAGCACUUACCAUUCAAGGUGAUCUUUAACCUUGGAUUCCCCUUCACAAACUCGCAAGAGAUAACUAAUGGAUGCCUCCUAAGAGUCCAAAAGCUUACCAAGUGUUGGUAAUUCCAGAAAAUCCUACCUUGAAGUCACCUACCAAAGGCUCGCAAGGGGUAAACUAGUGCAUUUCCACGGUUGGAAAUCACUUGCCUUACCAAGUGUUGGCCCAGGUGACUCCAAAGUGUUUUAAGUUAACUAAAAACAUUGAAAUCACUAAAGGAUUUCACUUCCUCUUCAUUACUAGCUAAAACCACAGAGCUUUGCAUUCUUGCACUUGGAACCUUCCCCGGCAACCUUAGCUCCAAGGAAUUGGAGGUUUAGUUACUCAUUCUCUGGGGAAAACUCCUCAGAGAAUUCAUAACUUAGAAAUAAAAUGAAAAUACAAAGUGAUAAGGUAAGGCAGUAGAAAGAAAAGACCUUUACUUCCUUACCAAAUGGUUACAGAAGGAACUCCUCUCUGAGGACAGGCUCCCGAGAGGUAUUUAUAGCAAACUAAUAUAAAACUAAUUCUUACAAAGAUAUUUGGUCUUUUUACUAACUUAAAAACUAAGGAAUCAUGUAAUUGGUGGUUUACAAGGAGUAUUUUGGAAUUUAGACAACAAAAAUCUAAUGGAAAAUAUCUCCCAAUGUCGGUAGCAAGCUUCGGGAGGCUUCCGGAGCCAUUUCGCAGGAGAAAAGUGAGGUCUGCGAAAUUUCGCAGACACCCAAGAGGGCUGCGAAAUUAUUUCGCAAGACCAAGCUGUCUUCAUAGGGCUACGAAGUUGGCUUCCAUCUUGAAGUUUCCAGCUCCCUUCUCGCGGCAUGGUUCGUGCAUCGUCAGAAGGAGAAACACCUUGCUGUACAAAAGUGCUGCGAAAUUCUCGCAACAAAAGGCCGAUUCCGCAACACUUUAGAGUGACUGGCUUGUAAUGGCUGCAACUUCUUCGUUUCAACUCCAAAUUGCACACCGUUUGAAGCAUUGGAUUGUUGACUUCCUGAGCUUUGAAAUGGUAUAUAGCUUGCAUCAUUUGGACUUCAGAAAGUGCUCCAAAAGUGGCUGCUACGACUGUCAUCAAGAAUAUGCUCCAUGACUGAUCCUCUUUGCUUUUUCUCCUUGCAAUCCGGAUUCACUCUUGGCAAUUGAAUUCUAAGCUUUGCCCAUGAUUCCUCAUAGUUCUCCUCAUUCUUGACUUGCUUUGGUGAUCAAAAUACUAACAAAAACACCAAAACUUGCACAAAGUGAUCAAAAUUGCUUUAAAGGAUCCUUAACAUGCCAAUUGAGUUAAAAGGCCUAAACUACUACUCAAAAGUGUUAAAAAGGAUUAAUUAAAGGCUAUCAAAUAGCACUUUUUGAGUAGUAAUCACUCCCCCCAACCGACAUAUUGCUAGUCCCUUAGCAAUAUAGGAGAGAAAAAUGAAAAUAAAUAGCUAAUUAUACUAAAAUUUACAACAUCAUGCUAAACAAAAUCAAUUCUCAAGUGGCAUGAUGAUCUAUUUCUCACAUGAAUCAUUAAAGAAAUACAAACCCAAAUCUCAACAAGAGUCAUAACACCUAUGCUAACCACUGUCAAUCAAGGGAGUGCAUUAUGCAAACUGAAGUUUUAAAAUCAUUUCACUUUCUGAGAACUAAACUUCGAUCUUCCACAAAAAUCUAUGUGUAUUGGUUCCUUAGGUUCCGAGAAUAAUAUGCUACUAAUCUCACCCCCCAACCUAUCUCUUUUCAACACUUUAGCAAACUGACCAAAAUCAAUAAGAAAAGAACACACUUUCAUCCUUUUUUUUUUUUUUUUUUUUUUUUUUUUUUUUUUUUUUUCAAGGUAGCUUUAUGGGGUACUCUUUCUGACUUGUCCAUGUAAUGGGGGUCCAUCGAUGACUCCCAACCAAUUAAGGUUUAGGGCACCAAGUUUUAAGGAUCUUUCAACCACUAACUCCUCGGAUUUUUCCCCGGACUUUUAAGAAUGAGUUUCUAAUACCCAAGCAUCUACCAUAUGCUAGCUCUACUAUUCACCCUUGUAACGAGCAUUGAGGUCGGUGUCUCCCAACCAAUUAAGGCUUAGGGCACCAGGCUUUAAAGGCUUUCACCAUAUGCCCCUCAGACCUUGCUCGGGUUUCAAGGCAAGCAAACAACUUUCUUUAUUUCAAAGGCUCAUUGGCCUUUUGCAGGGUGUUUCAAUUUUUAUCAAAUGAGGUCAAAUAUACCAAGUCUCAAAAUUAUUCUAAGUCAAGAGGGAAAUAGUUUUUCAUCUUAUAAUCGGAAACUAAUGUGCACAGUGUGUGGAUAGCUUAAAGUAGAAGAACUCAAUUCAAUUUCAGUAGAAGUUUCAACAAUUGAACCACUUUAGUAAGCAUAAUCCAUACUCUAAGUCAAGUGAAAAACAACAGUUCAAUUUCUCUUGGUUUAAUUUGAAAAUUUUUCCUCAAAAUUCAUGGAGAAUAGAGUAACACUAGUAAAAAGUAAAAACUACAACUAAUUAACCAAUAUAAUUGCAAUACCAAAAAGGUUUAGAAUACUUCCUUCCUCAUACCCCCCAACCGAACUGAACAUUGUCCUCAAUGUGAUUUGAGUGACUGUAAUAAAAGGGAGGAAGUGGUACCUCCAUGCUGAUAUCAAAUUCGAAUAUUGAUUGGGGAAAACCACAUGUUUCAAAAAGAAUAGAAUAUGUGAGAAAAGGAAAUAAUAAUAACUUAAUGUUAACUUUUAACAAGAAAUAGUCAACUUGUAUUACUUUGAGUUCAUUUGAUUACAAUACUAAAGACAAGUAACACAAGGAAUCCCAUAUAUAGUACCAAAAUAUUGGGAUUUCAUUGCAACUAAAACAAAAUAAACAUGCAUAAAAACAUAAACAGCAAAUAUAUAUAAUGUCUGAUAAGUGGGGUGAUAGUUGCUAGGCAGAAGGAUCUGCCUCCUCAGUAGGUGGAUCAGCUGGUGCUUCGGGUUCUGGAGGAUGAGACUCUGAAGGCUGAGAGUGUGGCUCUGGUGGAGUAGGAAUGAAGGGCUCUACAGCUUGUGGCAGAUCGAAAUGGACUUGAAGCUGCCUUAGGAUGGCAGCUUGUUGAGCCUGAGAGGCUAACAUCUGCUCCUGGCAUGCUUUGAUGGCUGCCAACUCCUGAGCAAGAUUGCUCUGGGAAGCUGUAAGAGUCUCCAAUGCAUGGCACAGCUCUCGAUAUUCAGAUAUAGGGAUGGCCAUCCUAGGCUCAGCUGAUGUGGAUGGUUGUGAUGGAGCAGGUGCAGCUGGUGGAGCUCGAGGGAUGGCAGGAGUAGCAAGUGUGAUAUCUUCAGGUGCAUGUCUUGGGGAGGCUCUCCUUGCUGCUGGCUGAGGCUGCCCAGGCUGAUCAAUUUUGUAGGCCGUCAUAUUAUUCCAUUUAUCAAGGGUAAAUGGCUCACGGCAUAUUCUCUUUCUUUCCUGCUGAGGCUCAGAGGGGUAUCCGAGAUGUUCCAAAACUUGGCAUAGCAGCCGUGGGAAGAGGAGUGGAAUGCAAUCUGCUCUUUGAAGCUUCUUCUUAUGAACCUUCUCCUCAAAGUAAAGAAGGGCUGCCAUGAUCAGAUGAUGAGGCCCAAAGAAGAAUCCUUCAGACAUCUUGUAUAGAGCUUCCAAGAGAACUCCCCUUCUUUGGGUCCAAUGCUGCAAGGGAUAGAUAUUAUGCCUCAAAAAGGCAUCAAUCAAAAACAUCACUGGAGGUAGCUCCCCCCUCAGCAGGUGUGAUCGAUUUGCAGCUCCUCCAGUUAGGGUGCUAACCAUCUCUAACUCAGUAGGAUUUACCCAAGCUUUAAAAUUGUCAAAUUGGGUUGGCUCAAACGGAAUUUGCAGGGCUUCAGCAAUAUGUCUUGCUCCCAAAAUACCAUGUCUUCCAUCAAUUAUGAAAUGGAUCAGAGUUGGAUUUCUUACCUCUUUGGUUGUCAUGGUCUGGUAGAAGUCUGUGACUACCCGGGGAUAGAAAAAAUCCCUUGGAGCUAGCAGAUGCUCCAUAUGAUAUCUCCUCAGCAGUUGGAAUGAUUGGGCAAGCUCUGGCCUCACUCUAAAUGCUGCUAAAUCGAAGCACAAUUCAGAAUGGAAUGCCCGAGUUCGGCAAUCCAGGUUUCCUUCGAUUGGGGGCUGGGGCAGCAUUGGCCUUCGGAUCACUUCUUCCAGAGGUGCUUCAGCUGCAAUUUGGGGCUCUGGAAUUGGCGCUUGAGGCUCCUGAGCUUUUUCUUGGGGGGCCGGAGAUGGUACCGGCGAUGGAAUUGGAGUUGCUUCUGGUGAGGGAAUUGGCGAGGGAACCGGUGACGGCACUGGAAUUUGUACCGGUGAAGGAUUUGGUGAUUUCUCAGGGGAUUGCUCAGUCAAAUCAAUUGGUUCAGAGCUCUCAACCCUGGCUUUCUUCUUCAAUGGCUGACCACCUGACCUGGUUAAAUAUCGCCUUGCCGGCGGCUUUGGUGGCGCCGGCUUCACUGGAGAAGGUUGUGGUCUCGACGGCGAAGGCUUUGGAGCAGGUUCUGGAACAGAGCCUGAACUUGGCUCCUUUCGCAGACUCCUUUUGCGGUUCGAAGGGGAUGAAGACUUUGCCCCUCGCGUUCGUGCCAUUUUGGAAUAUCGAUCUUUGGCCGGCGCUGCUAAACGGAGAAGACGACCGGAGGUUCGGACGGCGUGGCUUGGCGAAGAAGAUGAAGGGGCUGCGAGAAUGGUGCUCUGAUUUUUGAAACCCUUUUCGCAGCACUUUUGACCGGUAUAAAUAGGAAAAACGGAAGCCCAGGGGUCAGAUUACGUUUCGCAACAAAACGCCAAUUUCGCAGCAACUUGCCAUUUUCGCAGCAACUUCGCAGUGAGUUUCGCAGCUGCGAAAUUGAUGUCACUGUGCUGCGAAGUGGCACUCGUGUGCCAAAUCCACUUUCACAAUUGCGAAAUGCCCUGCGGAAUGGGACUUUUGGUGCGAAAUCACGCUUUUUCAUUUCGCAACGCGUUUCGCAGCUGCGAAAUGGAUGCUACUGUUCUGCGAAGUGGCACUCGUGUGCCAAAUCCACUUUCGCAAUUGCGAAAUACACUCGCAGAGGCUUCUACAGUGCUGCGGAGCGGUUUGGCAACAAAAAUCACAUUUCGCAGAAGUUUCCUUCACUCUGCGAAAUUUCGCAGAGCUCUGUUUUUCCCCUGUUUUUGCUCUGUUUCGGCUCCAAUUUCGACCCGAUUUUUUUUCUUUUCAAUCCCCUUGAAAUUUCUUCCACCUGGGAUCAUAUAACAUGAUUAAAACACACCUAAAAACAUGAUUUAAGAUCAAAAACUAAGAUCAAAAGUAUGAAAACAACUUGAAAAUUUACAAAAUUUACAAAAAUUUUGGACUGUGGUAAAACCACGCCCAGCAAACCCUUUUCACUUAAGCUUUUUGAGGUUCAAGGAGGUUGAUUGCCUCCUUUUCUGAUUUGAAUGACUCCAUGAACGGCUUAAGACGAUAUCCAUUGACUCUAAAGCUAUCCUUGCCAUUGGAAUUCAAUAAGUCCACCACUCCAUUGGAAUAUACUCGGUGAAUAACAAAUGGACCAAUCCACCUUGACUUGAGCUUCCCAGGAAAGAUAUGGAGUCUUGUGUCAUACAUCAAAACUUUUUGCCCUUCCUGAUUCAGUUUGCCUGGAUCCCAUUUGAAGCUUGCAUCCUUCACUUGAGACUUGGUUUGAGAUGAAGAUAUUACGACAGGACAUUGAUUAUUUUCUUCAAGAUAUGUAUAAUUCAGCUCCACAGGUAAAGGCUUCAGAUUGAGUUUUGGAAUUUCUUUUUCAACAGCUGCCUCCUCUUCCUUAUUGAACAAAGGUAAAAUUCCUUCUAUCUUUCUCCAACUUUGUAGAGUAGCAAGCCUAAUAGGAGAUUCAGAAAAACCUUCCUCAAUAUCCUCAAGACUUUCAUUCAACUUGUCUUGCAUAUGUUGAUUGCAGUGCUCCUCCACCAAAGUAUCAAUUAUACAUAGCUCUUCUGGACCUUCUUCUUCUUCCGGAGUGAUUUGCUUUUUAGACAUAUAGAAAAUAUUUAGAUCCAGUGUCAUAUUACCAAAAGUGAGUUGCAUCAGCCCAUUUCUACAAUUGAUGAUUGCAUUUGAAGUUGCAAGAAAUGGCCUUCCAAGGAUGAUAGGAACUAAAUUAGCUUCCUUUACAGUUGGAUCAGUAUCAAGAACAACAAAAUCUACAGGAUAGUAGAAAUUAUCUACUUGAACCAAUACAUCCUCAAUUACUCCUCUUGGAAUUUUCACUGAUCUAUCUGCCAAAGAUAAAGUGAUUGCUGUUGGCUUCAACUCUCCAAGGCCCAGUUGCUUGUAGACAGAGUAUGGAAGCAAAUUCACACUUGCUCCCAAGUCUAGCAAGGCUUUCUCCACUACCUUUCCUCCAAUCAUGACUGAAAUGGUAGGACUUCCAGGGUCUUUAUACUUCAAAGGAGACUUACACUGUAAGAUUGCACUUACUUGCUCAGUCAAGAAGGCUUUCUUGUUUACAGUCAACCCUCUUUUGAUAGUACACAAGUCCUUUAGGAAUUUUGCAUAUGUUGGAACUUGUUUGAUCAUAUCCAGUAGUGGAAUAUUAACUUUCACUUGCCUCAAUACUUCUAGGAUUUCAGCUGCAUUUCUAACCCCCUUUUUCCCCUGUAAUGCUUGAGGAAAAGGUGGAAAAGUUGAUUUAUUCAGCAUUUCUUCCUUCAGAAGCUCCUUCUCUGGAAUUACUUCCCUUGUUGCAUCAGAGUCCUUCUUCUCUUCACUGAUCUCACUGCCUUUAUCUUCCAUUUCCUUCCCUUUCUUCAUCUCUUCUUCUUUCUCAACAUGUGGCUUGGGUGUUGGAUGCUCAAUUUUUUUACCACUCCUUAGAGUGAUCAAAGCUUUCACAUCUUUCACCUGUGAUGAUUCUCCCUCAUGGCUUUCCACUUCAUGGACACCUUUGGGAUUUUGGUUAGGUUGAGAAGGAAAUCUUCCUUUUUCUUGCAGUGUAUUCAAAUUUGUAAGCCUGGAGAUUGAAUAUUGGAUGUUAUCAAACUUUUGAUUCAUGUCAUUUUGCAUUCCAUCCAUUCUUUUGUUCAACAUACUCUCCAUUCUGUCCAUUCUUUGAUCCACUCGAGCAUUGGUGGCUUCUUGCUUUCCCACAAAAUCUCCCACUACCUUGUUGAGAUUGGCUAUUAUUUGUUCAAUACUUGAAGAUUGCUGAGAUGGUGGAUCCGGCUGUUGGUAUUGAGUUGCUCUGGCCUUCCAUGAGAAAUUUGGAUGAUUCCUCCAACUAGAAUUGUAGGUAUUUCCAUAAGGAGCAUUGUUAUUGGGCCUGAAUUGUCCAACAACAUUUGCUUGAUCUCUAUACAUUUCCCUUUCAACUGAAAUUGCAGGGCACUCCUCCACCAAAUGUUCAAAUGAUUGACAAUUGGGACACAGCUUCACUUGCACUGGUGCUUCAGCAACAGCUUGCACUUCAUGCAUUCUUUUCAGCUCCAGCUCCUCCAAUCUUCUUGUCAUAGCUGCCAACUUUGCUUUCAUGUCAUCAUCUUCUUUCAAAUUAUACAUCCCAGCCUUUGCAUUGUAAGCAUUCAACUGAGACUUCAUCUUUCCCACUUCUCCUUUGGUUGGUUCAUCCCAUCCCCUUGAAACAUCAGCUACAUAGCUCAAGAAAUCCAUAGCUUCCUCUGGAUUUUUGCUCAUGAAAUCUCCUCCACACAUUGUCUCGAGGAGUUNNNNNNNNNNNNNNNNNNNNNNNNNNNNNNNNNNNNNNNNNNNNNNNNNNNNNNNNNNNNNNNNNNNNNNNNNNNNNNNNNNNNNNNNNNNNNNNNNNNNAACUUAUAGUCAAUUCUCUAACCGGUGAUGUACAGAGACUCCUUCAAUUAGAUUUCACUUUAAUUCUCUCACUGAUGCAACUUACAAUGGUUCAUGCCUCUCACGAGCACUUAUCAUUCAAGGUGAUCUUUAACCUUGGAUUCCCCUUCACAAACUCGCAAGAGAUAACUAAUGGAUGCCUCCUAAGAGUCCAAAAGCUUACCAAGUGUUGGUAAUUCCAGAAAAUCCUACCUUGAAGUCACCUACCAAAGGCUCGCAAGGGGUAAACUAGUGCAUUUCCACGGUUGGAAAUCACUUGCCUUACCAAGUGUUGGCCCAGGUGACUCCAAAGUGUUUUAAGUUAACUAAAAACAUUGAAAUCACUAAAGGAUUUCACUUCCUCUUCAUUACUAGCUAAAACCACAGAGCUUUGCAUUCUUGCACUUGGAACCUUCCCCGGCAACCUUAGCUCCAAGGAAUUGGAGGUUUAGUUACUCAUUCUCUGGGGAAAACUCCUCAGAGAAUUCAUAACUUAGAAAUAAAAUGAAAAUACAAAGUGAUAAGGUAAGGCAGUAGAAAGAAAAGACCUUUACUUCCUUACCAAAUGGUUACAGAAGGAACUCCUCUCUGAGGACAGGCUCCCGAGAGGUAUUUAUAGCAAACUAAUAUAAAACUAAUUCUUACAAAGAUAUUUGGUCUUUUUACUAACUUAAAAACUAAGGAAUCAUGUAAUUGGUGGUUUACAAGGAGUAUUUUGGAAUUUAGACAACAAAAAUCUAAUGGAAAAUAUCUCCCAAUGUCGGUAGCAAGCUUCGGGAGGCUUCCGGAGCCAUUUCGCAGGAGAAAAGUGAGGUCUGCGAAAUUUCGCAGACACCCAAGAGGGCUGCGAAAUUAUUUCGCAAGACCAAGCUGUCUUCAUAGGGCUACGAAGUUGGCUUCCAUCUUGAAGUUUCCAGCUCCCUUCUCGCGGCAUGGUUCGUGCAUCGUCAGAAGGAGAAACACCUUGCUGUACAAAAGUGCUGCGAAAUUCUCGCAACAAAAGGCCGAUUCCGCAACACUUUAGAGUGACUGGCUUGUAAUGGCUGCAACUUCUUCGUUUCAACUCCAAAUUGCACACCGUUUGAAGCAUUGGAUUGUUGACUUCCUGAGCUUUGAAAUGGUAUAUAGCUUGCAUCAUUUGGACUUCAGAAAGUGCUCCAAAAGUGGCUGCUACGACUGUCAUCAAGAAUAUGCUCCAUGACUGAUCCUCUUUGCUUUUUCUCCUUGCAAUCCGGAUUCACUCUUGGCAAUUGAAUUCUAAGCUUUGCCCAUGAUUCCUCAUAGUUCUCCUCAUUCUUGACUUGCUUUGGUGAUCAAAAUACUAACAAAAACACCAAAACUUGCACAAAGUGAUCAAAAUUGCUUUAAAGGAUCCUUAACAUGCCAAUUGAGUUAAAAGGCCUAAACUACUACUCAAAAGUGUUAAAAAGGAUUAAUUAAAGGCUAUCAAAUAGCACUUUUUGAGUAGUAAUCAAUGACUAGGCUAUCUAUACAUAUUUCAAUUUAUAUUUAUUAAGUACGAGUCACCUUGUGAGUAGAGCCCAAGUCACAUGUCUUACAUGAUGGGCCUAAAACACAUGAUGGGCCUAAGACACAUGUGGCCCAACAGCCCAAUGGGUAUGCUCUCCAACCUCCCAUCACAAGAGAGAAAACAGAAAAGUGGUUUCCUCCUCUAUUGCCUUAGAAGAACCAUAUUUCUUCAAAAUCAACAAUGGAUUCGCGUUUGUCUACAUUCUCUAAUCUAAUCGACAUGUUUUUUUUAUUAUUUAACAUGAGAUUUCUGGUUUUGGGUUGAUAAAGAAUUUGGUAAUCUUUAAAAAUGUUUUACAACACUUCUAUCUAUGGGGCAUGAUAUCUUUAUAGACUACGCAUCUGAUCAACUUUGUGGCAUGUCUCAUCCAACUUAUUUUAAUGCUUGUUUAUGUGACAUGAUACAAUGGAAUGGUAGUUAAAAACUCUUUUAUUUCUUUAAUACAAGAACACGUCUCUAGUCCAAAACAAAAGAAAACAAAUUGGAAACAUGUCUUUCCAGCCCUCAGGAAGGGAUUUAAACCGGAAAUAUUAACGAUACAUUUUCAAAGCAUACUUAAAGCAAACACUCCUCUCAUAUUACCAAUGCAACACGAUUCAAAAGCCCUUUUAUUCUACACGAAACUUCUUUCUGAUCCACAAGACAAAGCCAUGGACCUUCUGUGGGUCUUCGAUGGGAAGACCCCCACACAUGAUGUUCCCCUUUUACUCUAUACCAAGCUUCUUCCUCAUCUCCAUGACAAAGCCAUGGACCUUCUGUGGGUCUUUCAGAGAAGACGACACACUCUCCUUUUCCUUGCACCUCUUGGUCCAAGCGAUCAACUUGGGGCACUCCACCUCUAUGCUGAAGUUACCAAAGCUCUCAUACGCAUAAAACAAGGUUGAGAAAGUCACCAGAGCCACAUCCACAAACCCAAAUUUCUCACCACCAAAGUAAGGCUUCUCUCCAAGCUCUCCUUCCAAAAUCUUAAGGUACUCUAUGAAUUCAUUCUUGGCUGUUUCCUGCUCUUCUCCUUUGGUUGACCAUAUCCUCCUUCCAAGUUCAUAGAGCUGUGGAAAGUAAUGGAGUCAAAGAGAGAAAAGGCUUGUUUUUUUUGGAGCAUUUCAUCAAGUUUCAAACUUUCUGUAUAGUUGGACAAGUUUAUUAACGACCCUUCAGCAUAGAAAUCUCGUAUCCUAGGAAAAAUAUCAGAAUCAGCUGAAAGAAUGUAUCAUUUGCUAAAGUUUUUCCCCUCAAUUUGGGUUAAAGAAAUGAGAAGAAAGAGAUCAAAAAGACAGAACACAUAUUAAAACAACUGUUGUGCAAAAUGUUGAACAGAAGGAUAACAAAAAACCAAAAUCUGUUCUUUAAAAUCUGGUUUAUGUAUCCCCUUUCUUGGGGGAAAACGUAUUCUUGAGAUCUGCUUUUUUGGAUGGAACGAACAGACUUCGGAUUCAACAGAACAAAGAAAUAAAAACCCAUAUCAGAAAUGCAGAGUGGAGUCUUGUUGAAGAAACAGCAAAGAGAAUCAGUAAAGUUCUAGUUUGGGACACCAAAGCCAACAAAACUAAAUAUCAGAAGAGAAUAUGUGAAGAACCAGAAUUUUGGAUAAAUCCCUCACCAUAAUCAAAAUGUGAGUCAAUCGCCAUGAAUCAAUGGAAAAGAAUGCUUUAAAUCAACAGAAAAGGCAUACCUUCUUGUCUAUGUAGUCCGCCCAGAACCUGGCCUGAGCUCUCUGGUAUGGGUCACUAGGCAACAAGGGAGAUUUUUCGUUCCAAACCUCAUCAAUAUACUGAACUAUUAUCAUAGACUCACAAAUGGGCUUUCCAUUGUGGAUCAGAACUGGGAUUUUCUUAUGAAUCGGGUUCAUCUCAAGAAGCAGAGGACUCUUGUUGCUCGUGUCCUCCUCUCUAUAUUCAUACUUGAGACCCUUCUCUGCCAGGGCAACUCUGACCCUCAUACCAAACGAGCUAGGCCAGAAAUCCAACAAGAUAAUCUCGUCUGCCAUUGCUACUACUGUGAUUGAUAAGAUUCAAACUCAAGCAUUGAUGAACUCAAGGGAAAUUGUUAAGUAUUUAUAGCAAACUUCAGAGACGUGGGUUAGAUACUUCUAGGAGGUGAUGAUGCUCAUUCCCUAGCUUUCAUUUUCAUUUUCCUUAAUUAUAUUCUUAUCUCCGAUUCGUAGCUCUCCAGGAUUCCCAUAUUUUGAGUUUAUUUAUUUAUAAGCCAAGUGUUUUUAAUUAAAUAUAAUGCUUUCGAAAUUCUUUGAAAAUUAGAAAAAAUAGUCAUAUUUGAUCAUUUUAAUUUUACUACUUACUUUUAAAUCCAAAAUAGAAAGAAAUUUAGUGUUAUUUUGAAAAUUUAGUGUCAUUGUUACAUUUUUUAUUGCCAUUUUAUGAUUCAAAUUAUCCAUUUCUUUGAUGUUGCUUCUCCCUAUCCAUUUUCGACAUUGGGAUUAAAACUAUUCACUAAAAAAUUGAUUGAUAUAAAAUUACAUUAAAUUUAAAUUAAAUUCAGAUUGACGGAUUAUUUGUCACUAUGCAUGUCAUGUUGCUUGCAAAAACUAUCCAUUCGAUCUCCUUUGCGGUGGUGAUCGCGACAACAAAAACAUGGAAGGAAAGGAAAAACCUUAAUGUUGUUAGCAAGAAAUGAAAGAAUUGGGAGGUUGUGAAGUCUACUUAUGAUCUUAUGAUCUUGUCAAAUAUGAUCAUCAUACAAUACUUGGUAACAUUUAAUUAAAAUAUAUAGUAUUUUUGAGUGACAUUCCCUGCUUAUUACCAACAUAUGGUAGUCACUAAAACCAAUGUCUUUAGUAUAUUUCUUAAUUUAAAACAAUAAAAAGUUAUAAAAAAAUAAUAAAAUGAAAAAUAAAUUUAAAUUCAAUUAACAUUUCUUACAUGUUUCAACAAGACUAUCUCUUUUCUUUUCUUUUUUUUCUAUUCUACAUAAAGAUUGAAAUUUUUUUAUUAUAUUUGAUUUUAUUUUAUACCUUUGAACUAAAGAGAAUUUAGAUUUCUUUCCAUCUCUAUUUUUUUUCUUCAUUUAGUACUUUUUGUAAUCCAAUGGGCUAAAUAUAUUUGUUGCUAGAAAAUUUUACAUUCUCCGUAUUAAAAUUAUGAUCAUCACUACUAGCACUCAAGUAAAAUCUCUCACAAGAAAUAUGUGUAUUAUAAGAAACUAUCGGUUGUAGGAAUUACUCACUAAUUGGUUAAUAAGUAUGGCAAUCUUAUCUUAACACUCAUGGUAGGAUUUUACAUUCCAGUAUGGAAAAAAAACAAGUGACAAGAAAGGAUCACGUACGGAAGAUGCCCAAGCAAGUUCUUGUUGUUUGGUCUAUAUUUUUGGAAUUUUCUUUUUUCUUCUUUCAUGAUUGUGGGCUGUAGUAUAAAAACAUUACUUCUCAACCCCUUUUUCUUCUUUCAUGAUUGUAGCAUAGUUAGAAUCUUAAGAAUCCUUGCUUUGUUGCCUUCUCAUUUGUGAAAAUUUUCAAUAGUAUUAAAAACGAAAGUCAAUGGGUAUUAACGGUGUUACGAUAUUCUUUCCUUUUUUUAAUGGGUAUUGAUUUUGUCCUAAAUCAAACUUCCAAUUCAGACCAUUCAAAUGCAUAAUGAAAUCUAGGUCAUUGGGUCGGGCCGCCCAUUCCGUGGCUCGACACGCCACAAGGUCAGGCGGGGCCAUUACAGGCCAACACUGUAGCAAGCUGGGCUAGCAUGACCCAAAGGAGCAGGCCAUGCUAGGCCUAAAGAAAUAGCCCAUCGGCCCAUCGUGUUGGCCCACUUGGCCCUUUUAAAUUUCACUUUUUACUUUUAACUUUUUAUUACAUGUCAAAUGUCUAUAAUACCCAUCUCAACAACUAUAUUACGACUAGUUUGAGGGGUAAAAAAAGUAAAUCAAUAACUAUUUUUACUUUUUUUAUGUCAAACUUUAGAGGAUGAACUUAAAGAAGCCUUCAAGAAAUUGCAUCUCAAUGCAAACAAUGAUGUUCAAGAGAUUUAUGAUGAUUGAAGAUGAAAAAAUAAGAAUGAAGAUUGAAUAAGAAGACAAAAGUGAAUAUGAUAAUUGAAAAAUUAUAUGUUGUUCGUUUCUUUUAAAUCUAUUAAAUGUAGUUAAUUUUUAAAGGUUAAGUAAUGCAUAUGAUUGAUAGUUGGGUGGGUGUCAACCUGGAUGGGAUGUACUCAAACUAUAAUGACGCAAUUCUCACUUUUGUUUUUUUUUUCUCCUUAUUUUUUCAUGUAAUUUGUUGAAAUAUAGAAUAAAAGAAUUAUUUUUUUAUAUUUCAUUUCCUUUUAUAUUCCAUUAUUUUAAAUUUAUUGUUAUUUUGAUUUUAAAAAAAAUAAACAAAUUCAAAUAUAAUUUUUUUACUAUUUUUAAAAACAAAAAACUAACAUUUCUAUAAAUUUUACAAUUACAAACUCAAUAAAUAUAAAUGUAAAAAAUAAAAAGUAUAAUUAUUAGAAGUGUAUAAAAAAUAAUAUAUAUAAUUAUUAGAGGUGUUUCAAGUAACAAAAAGAAAUUUUAUUUAAUAUUAAGGAAAAAACUUAAGAAAAAAUGACUUAAAAAAUUAAAUUAAAAUUUUUAACAAAGUGAGUGGCCCAUGGGCCAUGGCCCACCGGCACAGCACGGCCUGACCCAGCACGACACGAUUAGCCCACGGACUUAUGGGUCAUGCCAAGCCACCUAUUUGGCUUGCAUGGGUCGGCCCAACCCAACACAUUGGCCCGUAAUGGCCCGAUCAAUAUUAGGCCAUGUCGGCCCAACACGACCCAUUGGGCAUCUCUAUAUACAAGAUUGAAAACCCUUCUUAUCAUGAGAUUUUUCAAAUCCGUUAUUUAUCUUUCAAAGUAAGACUUGUUUGCUAAAAAAAUUGCUCUCUUAGUCUUUAUUUUUGAACUAUCCAUAUCCAAAUAGGGGUUUCCUCCUUAUCUAAGGAGGAGAGAGCCUGAAGGACCAUCCUAGGUAUGGUGUAGUAGCUUGGAGAAGCAUCUAUACCAAAAUCAAAAUGAUAGUUCCAAAUGAAUAAGAUUCUCAUUAGCAACAACCAAUUCAAAUAUAUAAUCUUGGAAAAAUCUUUUCAUGAAAAUUUACUAAGAAUACCAAAACAUUUUUCUUUAGGUUUGAAUACUUAUUUUGGUAACCUUCUUAAUUAUAAAUUAUCUAUUAUGAAUUUUCAAAAUUAACUUAUUUUCUUUAAAUCCAAACCUUGUGCAAAAUAAGAAAAAUAUUAUUUUAUAAAGAUUUGGAAAAACAAGAGUUUUUUUAUUAAAAGAAAGAUUUUAUUCUUAGAGAUCUCGAAGAUCUAAGAAAAUUUUAAAUAAAAUUAAAAUCAUUAAGAAUUAAUUUUUAAAAGGAAUGGAAACUCUUAAUUCUUUUCUAACUUAUCUUUUCUUAAAAUAAAUUUCCUAACAAUACACAUUCCAAUUUAAAUAAGUUUUCCUAUUUUGAAAAACUCCAUCAAAAUUUAUAUCUAAUUAAGAAUACCAAAUUAUCCUAUUUUAGGUCACAUAUGCAAGUAAUAAAGAUAACAUAAAAUAAAAACAAGGAAAUAAUUAAAUAAAUAUUUCUCAUGAACUUUAGGGAUCCUAUUGCAUAUUUGGUAAUUAAAAAUUGGAUAAAAUUCAAAUUAUCAAAAUAUUCUUGCAACCAAAGAUUAGUUAGUAAAAAUUGAAAAAACUCUAAAAAGUUGAAUUUCCACAAAAAAAAAAAAAAAAAAAAAAACCUAAAAAAGAAGCCCAAAAUCAAGCCCAAAUAACCGAAAACAAUUUGGCCUGAACUCAAUUCAGAAAUAGCAUGCUCUUUGCACAACCUUACUACAAUUGACUAUAUAUUCCUCAUUUCAACUCCGAAUAGAAAAUUGUUUGAAGCAUUGGAUUCCUGACUUCCUAAGCUUCAAAAUCAUAUAUGAUUUGUUCCAAUUUUGAGUCAAAUUAGGAUCUAAAUCAAGAACUUCCAAGAAUCUUUCUUUUUUCUUAAGUCACCAUAGGAUCUCAAAAAUGAAAAUUUAAGAAUUUUUCCUUUCCUUUUGGGUCACCAUAGAUGGAUGAAAAAAAACAAAUUUUUUUACAACCAAAAAAAUAAAAAUAAAAAUCUUAUACCCCUCAUGGGGUGUACAACCCAACCUAGAGAAUAAAAUAGCAAAGAUCAUAUCCAUUCAUAUUCAUUCAUUCAAUUGAAUUAAUAAAAGCAUUUCAUUGAUUCAUCCUUAGGGUCUAUGAGAUGAAUAAAAAAACAACCCUGCAAAAUAGAUGUGAGCGCAACUUAGAAUAAAUCUAGCAUGCAAGUGUAGACCUUCCAUUUGUUCCAUUAGCACAUGCCCUAUUAAGUGCUCUUUUCAUACUUUGCAAUAGUCUCCUUUGGUGGCCCAUUUUCUACUCACACAACUUACCUUUUUUAGCCAUCUCAAAGACUCUAGUUGAGAGAUUUAUCUAGCCCCUCAUUGUGAGUGACCCUUGGCAACCCCAAGUUAGAUCUAGGAUUUUCUUUUUCUCUUUUUAUAAUAGCUCCUUUUUAAGUGCUCCUUUAGGACAACAUACUUAGACAUAUUCAAGUACACUUCUUAGGUCACUUAAACACACCCUAGGUCACCUAAGCACCUUCUACCUUAUAUAGACUCACUCUAGGUCACUUAGGCACUUUAUAAACUCACAUUAGGUCAAUUAGGCACUUUUAUGAUCACCUUAGGCCACUUAGGCACUUUUCUUAUCACUUUGGGUCACUUAGCACUUUUUUUUAUCACCUUAGGUCACUUAGGCAUUUUUUUUUAUUAUCUUAGGUCACUCAAGCGCAUUUUUGAUCACCCUAAUCCACUUAAACACAUCCUAGGUUACUUAAGCACUUUUCUUAUCAUCCUAGGUCACUUAAGCCCAUCUAGACACAUCUAGCCCAUUAAGACACACUCUGACUUAUUUAGACAUGCCUUAGUUAAUCUAGGCACAUCUAACCUAUUUAGACAUACCUUGAUCCAUAUAAGCCUAUUUGGUUCAUCUAGGCACACUUAGCCCAUCUAGGCACACCUGACCCACUUAGGUACAUACAUACUCGUCUAAGCACACACCGGUCCAUCUAGGCACACACCAGCCCAUCUAGGCACACCUUGACCCAUCUAGACACACCCUGGCCCACCUAGGGUUACUUGAGCCCACCUAGGUCACCUUUUAGGUAAUUUUUGCUUGCAAGACAUCUUUUUCUAUUUAGUAAUUUAUUUUAUUUAUUAUUUUGUGUAUUUUCUUUCUUUGUUUUUUAGUUUUUUUUUUUUUUUUAUAUUAACAUUGUAACACCUUUUUAUUCAUUUAUUAAAUCUAAUAUUUUUUGUGCUUUUGUAGGGAAAAGUUUGGAUAGGAAAGGAUCCUCUUUUGGAGAGAGAGAACUAGCCAUCUUUGAAGAUCACAAACAACCUCCUGAUAAGAUGAAAAGUUUUAGCUAUAUAUAGGGACUAGUUUUGAAAACUUGAAGAUAUACAAAUAAUGAAAGAGGUGCAUCACAUUAAGAGUCUAGAGAAGAAAGGUUUUUUUACAUAAGAAUGUAAAAAGAUAUGGAGGUAAGAGGGAUUUGGAAUAUAGUUGGUUGCUACCUUGGUUUUGGAAAGAGAUACUCAGCCAUAAUGGGCUCUUAGAAAGUCCUUGAAAGGUUAGAAUUCCGCAUAGGGAUUUUGAGGUUUUUUUUAUUUUUUAUUUUUAGGGGAUUAUGCUGGUUUUCUAGAGGGAAUAUCCAACAAUGUAAAAAAGAGGAAUCAUGUAGCGGUUUUUUUGGGAAGGAAGAUUUUAACAUGCAAAAGGGAGGUUCAGUUGCGGUCUUUGAAAUAAAAUCAUUCAGAGCGUGUGACGAACGAAAAAAGGAGAUUCGGUCCGUGGUGAGGAUGAGAGAUACAGUCCGCGUUUUGAAGACGUUUCGGGAGGGUUUUGAAAGAAUAUGGAGAUAGAGAGAUAUUCAACUCAUUUUGGGAGCACAUUCAGGCCGUGUUCUGGGGAUAUUCAGAGCGUGUUUUGGAGUCACAUUCAAGCCGUGUCUGAGAGUAAGAGGGAGCGUGUUUUCGAGGGUCACAUUCAGUCUGUGUUUUGGGAUCAUUGAGAACACGUUUUGGUUCCCAUUAGUAUGCAUCUAGUACAAAUUGAACCUACCAAUUCGCCAAUUAUGAGUUGGGCGCUUUAACCAUUCAGCCAUGGAUGCUUAGUGGGGAUCCUCGUACAUGGUGAAUAACCAAAUUCUAAUUGAAAUGAAAUCUUUAGGAUAAAUCAAUGUAAUUUAGGAGGAAUAAUGAAAGGACAUCAAUUCAAAUCUUGGAUUUUCAAAUUGAGAGAUAUUGAGAGAGAUCAAUAAUUCUCACUAUUUCUUAGAUUCAUGGACCCAAUUCACUUCAGUGGGAUAUUUCAUUCAUAUUUUUUUCCACCAAGAGAGCACAUUCAGGCUGUGGUCUGAGGGGAAGAUAAGAGAAGGUAAGAAAGGUAUCAUUUGGACAUUGUUUCAUUUUGAAAAUUUGUUUUGACUUUGUUAGUUUUUUGCGGAAUUUUGGAAUUAGGAUUAGAGAUAAGGGUGAUUUCUUUGAAAGUUUGAAUGAUUUUAAUAUCUGGACCUUUUGCUUUUAUUCAUGUUAUUUCAUUAAAAGCUUCAUCUUGAAAAUUUUGGUUAUGCUUUAAAUUUUUUUGGUUCUGAUUCAUGUUAUUAGAAUGUUAUUUCAUUAAAAGUUUCAUCUUGAAAAUUUUGGUCAUGCUUUAAAAUUUUCUGUUUAUGAUUUAUGUUAUUAGAAUGUUAUUUUAUUAAAAAGUCCCAUCUUGAAAAGUUGGUUAUAUAAAAAUUUGGUUAGGUUUUAAAUUUUUCGGAACAUAUUUCAUGAUAUUAGAAUGCUAUUUCAUUGAAAGUCUCAUCUUGAACAUUUUGAUUAGGUUUUAAUUUUUCUAGUUACUAUUCAUCUUAUCAAAAUGCUAUUUUCUUAAAAGUCUUAUCUUGAAAAUUUUGGUUUGGUUUUAAAUUUUCUAGCUAUCAUUCAUGGUGUUAGAAUGCUAUUUUAUUAAAAAUCUUACCUUGCAAAGUUUGAUAAUUUUAACGUUUAUAGGUUAUUCCCAUACUAUCAAAAUUUUCAUGUUUCAAUGAUUAGUUCUUAGGGUUUUUUUAUAUUCUCUAUUUAUUAUGCAUGUUAGUUGAUUGGGUUAUUGGAUUAAAUUGGCAAUGGUAGUUUUUAGGGGUUUUAGAUUCUCUUGUUACUAUGCAUGUUAUUUGAUGGGUUUAUUAGAUUAAAAGUUCUUAUCUUUGGAAACGGUAGUUCUUAGGUUUUUAGAUUUUUCUUGUUAUUAUGCAUGAUUAUUUGAUUGGGUUGUUGAAUUAAAAGUUGUCAUAUUUAGAAAUGGUAGUUCUCAAGUUUCUAGAUUUUGAUGUUAUUAUGCAUAUAAUUUGAUUGGGUCGUUGAGUUAAAAGUUCUCAUCUUUGGAAGAACCAAAUGAAUCAACCCAAGCUCUAAAGAAAAAUCUAAUAAAAAAUUCUUUUGAACUUUAAAAUGGGUUGGAGUUUCCUAGGAAACAAACACACCCACUCUUUGAAUGGAAGAGGAACUCAAUGGAGUUUGUCUGACUGUUGUAGGGGAGGUGUUCCCCUAACCCUAAAAAUCAAUUUUUGGUUCAAAUAGGUAAGAAAACCCUUAGGAAAUGUAAAUUUACAACCACAUGAAGUAUCAUUCUUAAUGCUACUUCAAUUUUGAGUCAAAUAAAUUUGAGUAAAAAUAAGACCAAAAUACCUACCAUGUCCUUGACUAAUUCAAAGGUCAACCUAUUCCAUAUAUUAAUGAACAACAAAUAAAGAAUGCUUGCGAUUUCUCAAAUAAUUCAAAGGCAAGACUUGACUCAAAGGAGUCAAAUGACACAUUAUUUUCUCAUAUGCAUCAUGACAAUAUUUGACACACAGAGUCAAUUGGCAUGUCUAUAUCAAUUUUUUUUUUAGUGCAAAAUGGAAUGGUGGUUAAGAACUUUUUUACCUCUUUAAUACAACUAAUACAAACAAAGCAUAUAUCAAAGUCUCACAAGAAAAAGCAAGGUAAAGCUCAUAAGCUUAUUGUGUGAACAAGUUGACAAAACAUGAAGGCCAAAAGUUUUGGCAUUACGAGGUCCAUUGGGAGGGCCCUACAAAUGCACAUUACAUUUGACCCAAAUUCUUCAAAUUUGCUUUUGAAAAGUUUAUCCAGUUAAAAUGACUACUAGCAUUGAAUAUAAAUUAAAUCAUUUAAGAUUAUCUUUUGCCAAACAUAUUAAUUAUAAAAUAAAAAAUCGUUAUAAAAGUGAUUUAAAAACCAUGCCCUAUCACAUUCUAUUCAUGGAGAAUGAUGUAAUCAUGCAACAACUAAAAAAUCCAAAAAAAAAUUUAAAGUUUUAAAUUUAAAAUUUUAAAGUACAUAGAAAAAUUAAUUCUAGAAACAUGUAUUUCAAUAGUGAAAUUAUCAAAAUUUUAAAAUUACACUGUAACCCUCGAUCUCAUUUCGCAAUUAAUUACUGCAAAAAAAUUUUAUUUUUUUCUUUUUACUUUAAUGUGACAAGUUAAAGAGCAAGUCAUUGUUGUCUUUUAAAAAACGAAAAGAAAAAAAAAUUGACUCAUGGUAACCAACCAUGUCAUAUGAUUUUUCUUUUUUCUUUUUCCUCUCCUUCGUAAUAUCUUUACCUUUCUGUUUCUUAAUUUCUAAUGUGUUGACUUCAUGAAAUCUUUUUAAUUUCAUUUUUCAUUAUUUCAUCUUCUACAUUUAUCGAUUUCAAUUAUUUAUGGAUAUUCUAGACACAAAAUAAAAAUAUAUAAUAAAUAAUUAAUGAAAACAAAUUUAAUAUACAAAUAAAUUCAUAAUGAACAAAUUUAGAAGCUUAGGACAUAAGAUUUUCUAUAUUCCUCCUAAAUAAAAUAUCUAUUUAUUUUAUAAUCUUAUUGCAUUGUCAUAUUAUUUUAUUGUUUAUAUUUUUAAAAAAAUUGUUAAAUUUUUAUGUGAAAGCACCUUUGAGUAGUAAUCAUAUUCAUUUAACCCAAUUAAUUCAUUAAGGUCCUUGGUAAUUGGUUUUAACCAUUUUGUGGCAAGUUUACAUGUUUUUAUCAGCUUAUGAAUCAAUUCAAGCAUGCCAAAUGAUGGAGGAGCUACUUGGACAAGUUAUGGCAAAGCCUUUGGAAGCUCAAAUUCAUGAAGAACCAAGCUUUGGAGCUCCAUAGCCCUUUGCCAAAGUCGUUCAAAGUAUGCAAGGAAAGAACAAUGGAAAAGAGGAAAAGCAAGCAAAGUGAAGAGAAGUAAAGAGGACAGCAGCUGCAAUCUUCUUUCGCACUUUUGGAGUACUUCCCGAAGUCCAUUUUUUACAUAAUAUAUACCAUUUCAAAGCUCUGGAAGUCAAGAAUCCAACGCUUCAAACCGUGUACGAUUUGGAGCUGAAAUGAGGAAGAUAUGGCCUUCGAAAGCCAACUGCUCCAGGUUAUGCGAAAAUUUCGCAUAACACCUUCAAAAUUCGCAUAACCCAUGCGUGUUACGUUUUACACUGAGAAUAUAUACAGAGCUCUCUCGUUUCUCUUUUCUCUUUGCUAUUUUAUUUUCUUGGAAGCCAAACAGCCUCUGAGGGCUUUUCCUCAGAGGAUGAUUGGCUAAAACUUUUAGUUUCUCAAAGUAUGGAUGUUAUGUGAUGACUUGGAUGCAAUCACAUGGAAAUUUCUCGCACCCGGAAGGUAAGGUAGUCGUUUUUCAUUAAAGGUUAAUUAAUGCAAAGUUUGGUUUUUAUUUCCUUUGGACAACUUCCAACGGCCAAUACUUGAUAAGCUUUUGGAUUUCUAUCCAUUAGUUAUCUCCUACGAGCUAUUGGAAGGUGAGGUUUUCAAUUCCAAGUUUUGCAUUAAUCCGUUAGAACCAAUUUCAAUGGCCAUUGAAAGGUGAGUUUAUCACUUGGAAUGACUUUGAGUUGCCAAUAUUUGGUAAGCUUUUGGCUUUAGACCAUUAGUUAUCUCUUACGAGCCAUUCAAAGGAAGUCUAAGGUGAAUAACAAUUGAUGAAAUUCACUACCAUCUGUUUUGCCAUUUUAAAGGAUUAAAACUUGAUUUGCUAAAUCCAUACCGGUUCGGGAAGCAAGCAUCACCAUAGUUGCAACCCCAACUCGAGGAGCCUAUCCUAAGAUUUCCAAUUUGCAUAAGAGCCAGAGCAUAGCUCUCCUAUCUUUGAGAAACUUGUUUUUACACCCUUUCAUUUUAGUCUUUAAUGUUAGCUUAGAUUAGUUUAAAUCUUUCUAAAACAUUUACAUCUUCUUUUAAAGCUAACAUCCAUAAGAAAAUCACCUAUUUUCCUAAUUUGAAUAUCACUAGUGUUUGCGAAAACCCUUCCCAGUGAACGAUCCUAGAACCACUAUGCUAUAGUAGCUUGGCUACUUUAGUAAUAGUAUUCAAGGUAUAAAUUUUGUUGAUACGCCUUUAAAGCUAAGCUACCAUGAGUCGCAUCACAAAGCCCACAAAACUCAAUAUCAGAAGGGAACGUGUGAAGAAACCCAGCAUUUUGGACAACUCCCUCGCCAUAAUCAAAAUCUGAGUCAAUCGCCAUGAAUAAAUGGAAAAGAAUGCUUUCAAUCAACAGCAAAGGCAUACCUUCUUGUCUAUGUAGUCCGCCCAGAACCUGGCCUGAGCUCUCUGGUAUGGGUCACUAGGCAAAAGCGGAGAUUUAUCGCACCAAACCUCAUCAAUAUACUGAACUAUUAUCAGAGACUCACAAAUGGGCUUUCCAUUGUGGAUCAGAACUGGGAUUUUCUUAUGAACUGGGUUCAUCUCAAGAAGCAAAGGGCUCUUCUUCCACAGGUCCUCCUCUCUAUAUUCAUACUUGAGACCCUUCUCUGCCAGGGCAAGUCUGACCCUCAUACCAAACAUGCUAGGCCAGAAAUCCAACAAGAUAAUCUCGUCUGCCAUUGCUACUAAUGUGAUUGAUAAGAUUCAAACUCUUUAAGUAUUGAUGAACAGCACGGGAAAUUGCUGAGUAUUUAUAGCAAAUUUCAGAGAGUGGGUUAAACCCUUGGAUACUUCUAGGAGGUGGUGAUGCUCAUUCCUUAUCUCAGCUUUCAUUUUCAUUUUCCAUUCUAUCUCGGUUUCGUAUCUCUCCAGAAUUUGUGAAUUAUGGAAACGUUUGUUAUGGCAUGGUAAAAUAUAGAAGCGUCCCGAUAGUUGGUUGCUUCCACGUCAUCUCAUUGCUUUGAUCAUUCCACAUCAUCGCUUUCGCCAGCCCUGUCAAUUAAGUACACUGGUCCUCUGCAUAAUUUCCACCACAAAAAUGAUGUUGCAAGGAAAAGAAAUGAUAUUGUAGGGAAAAGAAAAUAGAACUUGUAUAUUUUUAGAUCGACAAGUCACUAUUGGUCCCUUCCUUAGUUCUUAGAUUCCUGAAAUUAAAUAAAUAUUUAAACUUUAUGUGUAUUAUAAAUAUUUAAAAUUUCAGUGGUGAUUGUAUUUUUAUCUAAGAUCUAUUUUUUUUUAAUUUGAAUAAAUUAAGUAUUGUUAAAUAUUUAAAUUUUUUAUAUUUUAAUUAUUAGUAAAUGUUAAUAAAUAUUAAAUAACUGAUCUUUUACAUUACAAAAAUAUUUAUAAAAUAUAAUAUUUUAUUUCUUGUUAAAUUAGUUUGCAAUCCAACACAUUUUUGAAUAUUUAAAUAUCAUAAUUCAUUAACAUAUUAAAAUUUUAUAAUAAAUAAUUAUGUAAUUGAUAAGAAAUUGGUAGUUUGAUAAUAAGUAUAAUUAUGGGGUAUUUGGUAAAACUCAAUAAUUAUUACUUAAUGACUUAAGUUGAUUUUAAGUAAAAUUAUAUUUAAGUUAUUGACUUAAAACUUAUUACUUAAUUUUUAAUUUAAAUAUUAAGGUUGUUUAAUAAAAUUAAUUUAAAAUUUAUUCUAAAUCAUCAAAUUGAUAUACUUACCCCCAUAAAUUAUAAUGAGGAUAAAUGAGAUCGAGUAACAAUGGAAGUUGUAUAAUAACAAAAAAAAUCGUGGAACUAAGAUAAAUGAGGGUAAAAAGAUAAAAUGAAAACAUGGAUUUAAGAAUAAAUUAAUUAUUUUUACUUAUUAGUUAAAGUUGUUUUUUACUUUAAGUCAUACCAUUAAAUUAUUUUACCAAUUAUAUUUAAUUUAUUUAAUAACUUGAAUUAAGUUAUUAAGUUGAUUUACCAAUACCCACUUAGACUUGUUAGAAACUAUUAGAACUUUUCUAAGUUAGUAUAUGUUUAGAUUUGAAGAUUUGUGAUUGAAAUAUGUAUUCUUUUUAAAAUUAAUUCAUUGAUUUUUGGAAUUUUAUCUCCAAAGGAGUAUCAACUUUUAAUUUAUAUUUUUUAAAAUUAUUAAUUCUAAUAAAUAUUUAGAUGAAUGUGAAUUAUGCUUUAGAAUUUUGAUUAAAAAAAAUCUUAUUAGAAUUGCUAACUAUUUUUAUUUUUUAUAAAGCUGAAUUUUUAUUAAAUAUUUUUCGAAUUUAAAUUUUAUGAUUUUUAGUAUAAUUUAUUUUUAUUUUUGAAUGAGUAAUCAAUAAUAAUUUGUGGAAUUCAAUUUUAUUGAGAAUGGGAUAAAUUAUGGGGUAAAAAUAAUGGAAACAUGUGGGGAUUUGAAAUUUUGUAAAUUUAUCUUUUAGCUAUCAAUUUAUGAGAAAAUUUUAAAUCUGAUUUUUCUUUAAAAAAAUGAAAAAUGAAAAUGAAAAAAAAAAACAAACAAAAAAUCAAAUAUAUUUGAUGCUUUUUGUAAAUGACAACUUUGUUAAUUUAUAAUAAAUUUAUUUCUCACUCAAAUUAUAUAAAAUUAACAUAGUUUAACUAUUUUUUAAAACAAGUUAUCUAUUCUUUUUUAAAGGAAUUUAGUUUAAAUUUUUGUGAAAAUUUGUAUUUAAGCAAGUACUCUUAAUUAAUGAUUAAAAGCUUUUUUAUUUUUUACUUUUUCCCCAUAAAUAAUUAAAUAUUAUAAUUAAUCCUAGUUUUUUCAAACUCUUAUAAAUAGGAGACUUGGGUCAAUGAAAUGGAUACCUCAAAGUUAUUUUAGAACUCUAUCUCUUCUCUAAUUCUAGUCUCUCCAAAAGAAAACUCUUAUUAUAAGUUUUUGUAUAAGAUUCAAACACUAAAAGGACAAACUUAUUCUCAUAAAAUAUCUUUUUUAUCAUCUAAAAGGUAUGUGAUAAACUUCUACUUUUAUAUUAUUUUCUAUUUAAUUUAUCCUUUCGAUGAAGAAACUAGAAAAUAUUUUUUUUUAUAGACAAAAAUUAUGAAAAAAAAAUUGCAACUAGAAGUUAUAAAAAAAAAAUGUAAAAUAUGUACAAUUGUAUAGCCAAAGGUUAUAUGAGAAAUUAUAAAGUUAUAAAAAUAUAAAGAAUGACUUACAUGUAAUUUCUAAUUUCUUUUAAUCAUAAUGAUAUAACCAAAUGUUACACAAAACAAAAUUGUAUUGUCAAAAGUUAAAUAAUGAAUAUUUCAUAGCCUAAAGAUGUAUACAAAUUUGCACAUUUUUGUUAUGAUAAAAAUAAUCCAUAGCCAAAAACUAUGUAAGCAAUCAAUUCGUACUUUUUAUUUUGUUAAUGCUACAUGAUGUUCAUGCAUUUUUUUUUUACCAUAUUUAUAAUAAUCCUUUAGCAAUAAAAUAUAACAAAAUCUUAAAUCAUUAUGCUUUUAUUAAUGAAUAUUAACCUGAUAAAAUAUUGUUAGAUAAUUUUAUUCAUUUAUUUUGGUAAAUUGAAAUAUUAUUCUAAUUAAAUUAUUUCAAAUAUAGUUUUCAAAUAAUGUCAAAUCUUACCAAGUUUGAGUUUGUUACAUUCCCUAUUUCGGGCAAAACUAUUUAUCUAGAUUCUAAAUGCUAAAAUUCACCUAAACGAUAUGAAUCUUGAAUAGACCAUUAAAGAAUAAAAUGAGGCAUCCUCACAAGAUCGCACUAGAGCAUUAAUAUUCCUUCAUUAUCACAUUGAUGAAGGAAUAAAAGGUGAAUUCCUUACAAUCAAAGAAUUUUCAUUCUUUGAAAUAAUCUAACGGAAUGAUACUUUGAUCCUUUGGAAUAAUAUAACAAAAUGAUAUGGCCACCACGAGAUUAUAAUCCUUCCAAAAGAACAUCAUGAUUGGAUGCACUUGAGAUUACAAAAUUUCAAGUUUGUCAAUGACCACAACUCGACUUUAUUCAAAAGUUGUUCACAAUUUAUAUGGAGAAAAAAUCAUUAAAGAAUAUAUCCUUGAAAAGACAUUUACUAUUUUCCAUGCCUCGAAUGUACUCCUAUGGCAACAAUAUCAAGAGCAUAAUUUCACUAAAUAGUUUGAAUUAGUUUAAUGUCUUCUUAUGGCUAAACAAAAUAAUGAACUUCUACUAAAGAAUCAUCAAUCUCAUACUAUUAGGUCUAUGUCAUUGCUUGAAGAAAAUGUCACAUCCGUCCAAGCUCCUAGACAUUGAGUUGGACUUGGACAUGAACAAGGCUAAGGACACAGUCAUGGUCGUGGUAAACAUAAUUCUUGGUACCAUGGUAAUUAUAGUCAUUAGAAUAGAAAAAACAAUUCAAACCAUUAGAAGUGGAAUAAUUCAAAGGUACAACCUAAAAAGGAUAUAUAUAUAUAUAUAUAUAUAUAUAUAUAUAUAUAAUCACAAAACAAACAUGAUAGUAAGAAUGAAUGCUAUAGAUAUGGUAUGAAAAGACACUAGUCAUGUACCUAUCAUAUUUCCAUAUGUUAAAAAAAUUGUACAUAGGUUUUAGAAAUGCCCAAUCGGGUAAGGGAAAGCCUCAAACAUUCCAACACUUCCUUAUGUUAAUAUUUAAAUCCUAAUAAGGAUGUAUAUUGUCAUGGUUCACCUUAAAAAAAUUGCAUGUAUGUUUCUUAAGGAUGUAUGUAGGAUUUAGAAAUGACCUACGACGAACAGGAAGGCCUCAAAUUCAUUAUGAGGCUUCUAUAAUUUAAUAUUUAGACCCAAAUAAGAAUGACUGGAACUAUGGUCCACCUUAAAAGAAAAGGUUUUUUUUUUUUUUUUUUUUAAGAAUUUACAUACUUUUCUUAAGAAUGUAUGUAUUUUUCUUAAGGAUGUACGUAGACUUUGAAAAUAACCAACGAGGAAUGGGCAGCCUCAAAAUUAUUACAAGGCUUCCAUAAAUUAAUAUUAAAACCUAAAUAAGGUGAAAUAAGGUCACAAUCUGCUUUUAAAAAAACGCACAUAUUUUGUUUUUUUAAGAAUGUACAUGUUUUCCAUAAAAAUAUAUGUAUUUUUUCUUAAGAAUGUUCUUAAGGUUUAGAAAAACCUAACAAGGUAAGGAAAGACCUCUAAUUCAUUCUCAGGCUUCCAUAAGUGAAUACCUAGACCUAAAUAAGGUCAAAUAGGAUUAUAGUCUUAAGAUAGAGUUCUUAAAAGCAUAACAUGGUGUAUUAAAUUUGAAAUUCAUUAUUUAUUUAAUGAUGUUCCCAUUUCACUUUUAUCUAUCUUUAUUCCAUGUAUUAUAUUUUAUGAGAAGUCUUGUCAGCAUCUUUUGCAUUGUACAUGACUUAGGUGCAUUAAGAGUUGCACAGAAGAUCUUUAAGCCAUGGGUUCCUUGCAAAUAAUUGACUUGUUCACAACCAGUUUAUGGGUCUAGGCAACCCAUUAGAAGUUGUAGUGCACCACCUCUUAAUUAGAGGGAUGGUUGGUCUCCGUUAUCGGGAUGAGUUUCCCAUGGUGAGUACACUACUGUGUAUGAUUUACACAUUAGACAAGACCUACGAUGAGUCAUGACUUAAUACUAUCAAGUAGUCAUGACCUCACCAAGCUACUUCAUUGUGUUAUCUCUCAACCUUGAGAGAAUAUCGAGAAAAUUAGCAAUGAAUUUUACCUAUGAGUGAGAUUGUAAGUUGAUCAUAUAUUCCCUAUGGAUUGGGUCACUGUUGAUGGAAGUCAGUAACAAUAGGUAUUCUUAAUAGACACCAUGAUAUCUCAUGGGAUUGAGACAACAUGUCCCCUUGGGUGAUCCUAAGGGGAUGUGUUCAUGGAAACUAUGGCCAUAAUAGUUCCUUAAGUAGAACUUGACAUAGGCUCUUUGAGAGCUAAGACAUGUCAAUUGAAUAUACAAUAGGAGGAUUCGUAACUCAAGGAUAGUAGAGGUAGUCUUGAAAGGUUGAUAGCUUUCACCUUGUUAGGCUAGAACACCAGUUCAUGGGGAGACUGAACACAAUGGAUACUAGGUCACAGACCCGAGCACGUAGUGUCUCGUUGUUAUUUACAUAAGAUAUUGGAGUUUAGUUUAUUCUUUGUAAUAAGAUGUUGAAUCAACUUCAUAAUUGGAUCCUGAGGGAGUUAGUACUCUUAUAGAUCCUAAUGGUCCCUGCUCUGAGCUUAUAUAUCUUUUUGGCAUAGUUAUGAGUGUCGAAUUGACUCUAGGUUCACUUUUGUGCAUAAGGGCAUUUUGGUAAUUAUGCAAGAUUGCAUAAGGGUAAGUGAACAAAGUCUCUAGAUUGAGCUAAUUAAUUAAUUAGUAGGCCCUAUUGGGUUAAUUAAUCAAUUAGGAUCCAUUUUGGGCUAAAUUAAGUUACCCAAACCCAUGUGGGCUCAAGUCACUUAAGCCUAGUUAGGAACCCUAUAAAUACCCCCUAGGGGUUAGAGUCUUCAUCACUUUUGUCUUCCACCAUUUAGAGAGAAAGAGGGCAAUAGCCUCCACCUUUCUUUCUUCCCUAUCGAAAGUGUGCCAAGAAUAAAGUUGAGUCAUUAGGCAAAAGACCAUGGGUUUACAAGACUUCCAACAACUUCAAUGUCAUCUUCAACACUUGGAAUUUAAGGUUUGAAAUAUCCAAACCUAAAGGUUGCACUUUAACCCUAAAGAUCAAUUUUAAAAAAUAAAUAAAUAAAUUGGUAUUGUUUCCAUUCCUUAGAUCUACUAUGCCAAUACACAAUUCGCUUGAAAAAAAUGUAAGUAUUUUCUUCAAAAUAUAUAUAUUUGUUAAGAAUGUAUGUAUUUUUGUAAAAGAUGUACCUUAGGUAGGGUUCCACCAUGUUAAAUGAGGUUUGGGAAGCUCUCAAAUACAUUUCGUAGAGUACAUAAGCCAAAUCUUAGACCCAAAUGAGUGUGAAUCUAUCAUGUUAAGUUGAAAUCAAAUGUACAUAUUUUUCUUAAGGUGUUAUAUUUUUCUAAAAAAUGAACUUGUGAGUGUUUAGCUAGGUUGGAAAUUCCAAAAAAAAUUCCAAAGGGUCCCCUAACUUGGUUUACCAAUCCCUCUUUGGACUACUUGACCUUUGAAGAUUAAGACUUUGCUAAGAGGUCGAGGUAUGUAGCUGAAUCUAUGGUGAUUGAAUGUGAAUCAACCCUAUUUUUUCAUUUUUAAAUGAGUAAAGAAAGCUAAGAGAAAUAUUGUUGGUGCAAGGCUUUUGUUCCCUUGUUUCUGGAUCGAUCCAGGUAUAGGGGCAAAUCGAUCCAACUAACCUGUUUUUCAGAUCAAUUUUCAACAUUUGGAUUAAGGUUUCACUCUCAUUUAAAAUCAAAUCUCCCCCAUUUUUGGAAGUGGUGACUGUAGUAUCCGUGAGAGAGUUUUUUCUUUCCUCACUAUUUAGAGGGUGUUUACCUAUGAAGAAAAUCCAUCCAAGUUUUCCAAGAAUUUUUUUUUAAAAUGGAUUUUCUGAAAAUGAACAUGGGUUGAUUUCUAAAACAUUCAUAUCUCGUUCUCUUGGUUUUGUGCAAAAACCCAUUUUCUUCUUGUCUAAAUUCAAGAGGAAAUCGAGCUUGGUGCCAAACUCCAAGUGUGCCCCGAAAGAAGAAGCUAAGAAGCUGAAAAUGAAUGUACUAGUCAAGUGGUUUGGGAAAGAUUGGUUGGUUUGAGCAAGGUAAAACUUUGUAUUCAGAUUUUAUUUUUCAUAGUGGAUGUUUUCAAUCAGUAAUAGGCCCAUGGUUUUUUAUCUCUUCGGAGAUUUUUCAUGUAAAUUUAUGGUGUCUCAUUGUCUCUCUUUCUCUUCUUAGCAUCAGUUUUCAGUUUCAACAAUUUAUUAUAAUUUUGAUUGUCUACUAUUUGAUUGAAUGAUGAAGAGAAAUGACUAUGAAUCAUCUUUGAAGCUGUUUCUAAUUGUUAAUCAUUGAUAUUUUGAGGUAUAUUGAUCUUGCUUUUAUCAGAAUUUAGUUUAAGUUGAUUUGGGUUUGGGAGCGUUAGAUCAUGUGCAUGUGAAUUACAUUUGAAUAUUGUUGGGGAGUGUUGUUGCAUUCAUAUAUGCAUGUGAUUUAUAAUUUGUGUUUUUGAGAUUGUGUGAAGAGAAGAAAAAUAUUAAAAAAGUUUUAAGGUUUUCUAAUUUGAGUUGAGAUUUUGUUUAAUUAGUCAAAACACCUAUUCAACCUCCCUUAGGUGUAUUCUAUUGAGAUUCACCUUUUCAAUUGGUAUGAGAGAGGGUUUUUAAAGCAAAAAUCAUUUUCAAUCCUUAAAUCUCAAUCAUGGAAUCUCAUUAAGAGGGAGCUUCCAUUAGGAGACCACCAUUCUUAACCAGUGAAAAUUAUUCUCAUUGAAAAGUGAGAAUGCAAUAUUUUCUCAAAAUGCAAAGUGACAAAAUUUGGAAUGUCGUUGAAUUUGGUUAGUCUCCACCUAAGGUGUUAGAUAGAGAAGGUAAACUAACAAAUGUUAUCAAGCCAAAAUUGGAAUGUGAUAGAAGUGAAAAUGAAGCAAGUGAGAAUAAAGCUAGAGCCAUGUACUCCAUCUUCAAUGCCAUUAGUACGAAUGAAUUUUGUAGGAUUGCCACAUGCACUUUGGUUAAAGAAGGCUUAGGAUAUCCUCCAACUGACUCAUGAAGGAACUAAUGUUGUGAAAAUGUCCAAGCUUCAAAUGUUGACAUCUAGGUUUGAGACCAUUAGGAUGAAUGAUCAUGAAACUUUUGGAGAAUUUCAUGCAAAAUUGAUGGAUAUAGUGAAUUCUAACUUCAAUCUAGGUGAAUCCAUCUCUAACUGUAAGGUGGUUAGAAAAAUUUUAAGAUCUCUUCCAGAUAGAUUUAGAGCUAAGGUUACCGCCAUUGAAGAGUCUAAGGAUGUGGAUUCCUUGAAGAUAGAUGAACUUGUAGGUUCUCUCCAAACCUUUGAGAUGAUGCUUGUAUCACCUAGAAAAGCUAAGGGAAUUGCUUUAAAAGCUAUUAAAGAAGAGUCCCUAAGUUCCGAAAGUGAGGAUGAUGAGAAAAUGUCAAAGGGUGAGCUUACUAAGUUUACUAAAAAAAUUAAGAAGUACAUGAAAUUCAAAAAAUUCAAGAAAGAAUCAAAUGAUGGUAAAAAUGGAGGAACUCUAUUAGAAAAAAAAAAAAGAAUAUGGAGAAAUGUGUGAAAAAAGAGUUGGAGAUUGAGUGCUUUAAAUGUGGAGGAAAUGGGCAUUAUGCCGCCAAAUGUCCCUCAAAGAAAAAAAAAAUGAAAGAAGGUCAUGCAAGUCACUAGAAGCAACAUAGAAUCUUGGCAAUCAAGUGAAAAAGAAUCCAAUGGAAGUGAAGAAUACACUAACUUCAUAGCCUUUGCUGCAAGUGUCAAUGAGAAACCACUUAAGAAAGAGGUCUUAAGUGAGUCGUGAGUCAAGUGACUCCAAUGAUGAUGACAUGAAUUUUGACACAGCAUAUGAGACUUUGUAUAAGGAGUGCUUGAGCCUUAAACAAGACCAAGUCAAGUGGAAGGCUUCUAAGAAUAUUCUAAUCAAUGAGAUUGAUGUCUUGAAGGGAGAAAAGAAGGCUUUGCUUGACAAAAUUGGAUUUCUUGCAAAUGAACACUUGGAAGUGAAAAAAAAAAUAUUAUGUAUUGAAAAGUGAAUCAAAUGUUCAAGGAUGAGUUUAAGUCUUAAGAAGGAAGAAUCACAUCCUAGCUCUAAGAGACUUAAUGAGUUUAUCAAUUUAGGGCGUAAAUCUUUUGAUAAACAAGGCUUAGGAUUUGUUGAUGCAAAUACUACUCCAAGUAGUGGUAAAACAAUUUUUGUUAAGCCUUGUGAAAAAUAAUAUCCUAAGAAAACUCAUUCUCAAAUCAAGUUUCAUUGCAAUCAUUGUGGCAAAAUGGGGCACACUUUUGAUAGAUGUUGUGCAAGAUUGUUUGAUAAUUUUCAAAGGAAGUUGACCAACCUAAUGAAUGAAUGUUAUUCUUUGAAGAAUAGGUUAUUGAAUGAGAACAAGAGAGUGUCCAAGAAGUGCUCAAAGAUCCCUCAUAAUGGUGAGUUGAAAGGAAGCACUUUGAAUGAAAAGACAAGUCUCAAAUGUUAAACAAAUUUGGGUGUGAAUGAAUGAGUUGAAGUGUUUUGUUGUCCAUACCGCACUUAGAGCUAGUGAGUCACACUCAUGGCAUCUUGAUAGUAGAUGUUCACAUCAUAUGACUAGAAAUAAAUCUUUGUUCACUUCAUUCAUUGAAUUUCAUGGAGGAAAUGUGACAUUUAGAGAUGGUAAUGUGGCUAGGGUGAAAGACAAAGGUACCAUUUGUGCCCCUAACAUUCCUAAUCUUGAAGAGGUCUUAUAUGAAGGUUUAAAGGCUAACUUAAUUAGCACAAGCCAAAUGUGUGGGAAUGAGUUCAAUGUAAAAUUUUCACAAACUUUUUGCAAGGUGUUUGACUUGAAUGAUGUAUGUGUGAUAAUUGGCUUGAGAACUUGUGAUAAUUGCUAUGUUGUUAGUAAAAAAUCUCCUUCAUCCUCUUCUCUCGUGUGUAGAAGUUCUAAAAUUGCAUAUGUUAAUCACUUGUUGCAACAUAGAUUGUUGCAAAAUGAAAAAGAGCAUCCCAUUGUAAAAGUUAGGAUUGGUGGGGGGGAUUUGAUGAUGCCAAUGUUAUUGAUAGGCUAAAGAACCAUGUUCUUCAUUAUAGACAAAAAUAUGUGGACAUUAAGCAUCACUGCAUUCAAGACUUGGUAGAAGACAAGGUUGUUUACAAGAGGUUUACCCUAUAGAGAGUCAAAUUGCUAACAAUGUUACUAAACCUUUGGACAUUUCUAGGUUUGAAUCACUUAGGAACCCCAUAGGUUUAUAUACUCUCUGUUUAACUACCUCUAGAACUUGUCUAGGACUCCUCUUGCAUAUCCUUGAGUCCUAGUUGUCUUCCUAAGUUCCCAAAUAUCAUCAACUUGAUGUUCUUUUUGUUUUGGUUCAAUAUUUUCUCCAUUUUUCAUAAAUUUUCAACAAUUGUUGAGUUCAUGAGAGUGAUAUGCUUAUUCAUUUUGUUUAAAAGUUAAAUUAAAUCAUAAUGAUCUUAAAAGCUUCAAGAUGUAUUUAUCUUCAUGGCUUGUUUGAUAAACAUGAUAUUGAAUCCUUGCUAUUUUGAUUUGGUUAGAUAAACUACAAAUGAUUAGCUUCAUUUCUAUUAAGUGAGUAAGAGCUCAUUGUUGGACCUUGUGUUUGCAUAAUGGUGAAUAAUGCACUUUAAAGUCUAAAUGUAAACUUAUACCCAUUUAAUGAGCUUUAAAGAGUGAGUAAAGACACCUGGAAUAUCCUUGAGAGGUUGAGAUGAUCAAUCCUUGAUUGUUUGUCCUCUCUUUGAAAUUAAAUUUGUUUAAAAAUGAAAAAGAAAAGAAAAAGAAAAUAUGAAGUUUCCCGAAAUGGAUAUGGCUAUGUGGAAAUGUUUCAAGAAUUAAAAAGCCUCAAUUGCAAGAGUGGGACAUCCCUUAUGUUGUUAUGUUGUAAAGGCAUCCUUCGAGAUCCUCAAGUCAAAAAUUGAUCUUAAGGGUAAAACAUAAAGCUUUGUAUUACUUUCAAUGCUAAAUGUGAAAAGCAAAUAGUGUAUGAAUUUUAUUAAAGGGAUGUGAUUAGGUCAUGUUAAACAGAAAUCUAGCCAAGAGAGAUGCAAAUUGACUUUGAUUACUAAUCAAAAAGUACUCUUUUAUAGCUUGAAACUAACUGUUUUAAACACUUUUUGAGUAGUAGUUAAUACCGUUUAACUCAAUUGGCACAUUAAGGAACCUAGCAAGGGUUACUAAUAAGUUUUUCGCAAGUUUUGGUGUUUUUUGUAGCUAUUUGAUCAUUGAAACAAGCCAAGAAUGAGGAAGAAUUUUGUGAAAUCCAUGGCAAUGUAAGUUAAAGCUCAAAUACAUGAGGAAUCCAAGCUUUAGAGCACUUCAUAGCCCUUUGCCAAGCCAAUCAAAGAUGUAAAGAAGAAAACCAGAGGAAGAAAUCCAACAACCAGCAUUUCCGCAUGGUUGUGCGAAAUUUCGCACACCAUGCAAAACCACUUGAGGCAGCCAAAGAAUUUCGCACAACAUGCGAAAUUUCGCAUGGUAUGCGAAAUCUUCCUGUGCACCGACUCCGUUAGAUUUUUAUCUCUAGAUAUUUUGUGUAAUUUCCUAUUUUCUCCUUGUAAUCAACUUCGAUAUUUUCAUAUAUAUUUUUUUAUAUAUUUGGUGUGUGUAACAUCUUUUGAUAUAGACACACAGGGAUGUAAUCAGAGAACACUUGUAAAUUCCCCUUUAUAAGAAAUAUACAGAGCUUUUGCUCUACCUUUUCAUCUCAUUUUGUUUUCACUCUUCUUUCUAGCCAAACAACCUCUGAGGAUGAUUUAUCAAGGGAUGAGUGGCUAGGUUUUACGUUUCUUGGAGUGAUGGAAGCUAGGUGAAGGACCCGAAUGCAAAGAUGGGAGUUGUCCUUGCUUUAAAUGAAAGUAGUUGUUAACCAUUAAUGGUUUUUAUUUUAAGAUUUAGCUUUAAAUCCCUUAAAAGCACCUUGAAUGGCCAAUACUUGGUAAGCUUUUUGGAUUCUAUGGAUGCUUAUUGCUAGAUCCAUGGAUGUCUAUUAGUUAUCAUUUAUGAGCCAUUGGAAGGUGGUUCAAAGUGAGAGUCUUUAGUGUUUCAAGCCAUUAAUGGGAAGCAACUAUUAUUUUUCAUGAACCCUUUGGAUCAAAUCUUAAUAUCUAAAUAUAAAACCGGUUCGGGAAAUAACCAUCCUUUAUAUUAUUGUCCCCAAUGUGAUGAGAAGAUCCGGAAUCUCCCCCUUUGUCUAAGGAACCCGAUCCUAGUGACCUAAAGCUCUAAGAGACCUUUUCUUUGUAGUUAACUUCACUUAUUAUUUUUGCUUAACUUAAAAUCGAUCUUUGCAAUCACAAUUCCAUUUUCUUUAAAAGCUAAUUUUCAUAACGAAAAAUAUUAUUUUAUUUCCUUCACUAAAGUCAAUUGUACAAUGAAAACCCAUCCCUGUGGACGAUCCUAGAGCCACUAUACUAUGUUAGUUAUGCUACCCCAGUGUGAGGUGAUUUAGGUUUUAUAAAUUUUGUUGAUAACACCUAUCUGAGCCAGAGUCAAAUGGCAUGACUACAAUGGGGAUGAAUCAAAUGGCACCGUUGCCAGGGAGAUGAUGCCAAAGUACAUUGACAUGACUUUUGGUGAACACUUGUGAUCUUCAUCACAAGUUUGGUGAUUUUUCUUUUACUAAUUCUUUUUCUUUAUCUCUAUUUUAGCUUAUCUUUUAUUUAGUUUUCAGCUAACCUUAACUUUUUCCUACAAUUGUAUUUCUUUUGUUUUCUGUGUUUUUGUUUCAGUAAUUUUUAGUUGUGCAUGCCUUAUUGGAUAAGAGAUAUUGAGGGAAGACUUGUGAAGAUUGAAACUCCUCAAGAAACUGAGUUGGAAGUGUGCUUGAACAUCAUGAAUGUUCCACCUAAAGACCAAAAUAGCCAACAUGGUCAAGAGGAUAAUUUCAACGCAUACCGAUCCAUGAGGGAUCACAUGCAUCCACCUCGUAUGAGUGCACCAUCAUGCAUAGUGCCUCCCAUUGAGCGACUAGUAGUCCGACCUCACAUUGUGCCACUCUUACCUCCUUUCCAUGGGAUGGAAAGUGAGAAUCCCUACUCGCAUAUUAAGGAAUUCGAGGAGGUUUGUAAUACAUUCCAAGAAGGAAGAGCUUCAAUUAACUUGAUGAGGCUCAAGCUAUUUCCUUUCACCUUGAAGGAUCAGGCCAAGAUUUGGCUUAAUUCUCUAAGGCCAAGGAGUAUCCAAACUUGGACUGAUUUGCAAGCCGAGUUUCUCAAGAAGUUCUUCCCUACUCAUAGGACUAAUGGUUUGAAAAGGAAAAUUUCAAAUUUCUCGACUAAGGAGAAUGAGAAAUUCUAUGAGUGUUGGGAGAGGUACAUAGAACCUAUUAAUGCUUGUUCUCACCAUGGCUUUGACACAUGGCUCUUAGUGAGCUAUUUUUACGAUGGUAUGUCUUCUUCAAUGAAGCAACUCCUAGAAACUAUGUGUGGAGGAGACUUCAUGAGUAAGAAUCCGGAGGAAGCCAUGGACUUUUUGAGUUAUGUGGCUGAAGUUUCAAGAUGAUGGGAUAACCAAACGCUAGAGAAGUGGGAAGAAUGAAGUCUCAACCUAAUGCUAAGGGUGGGAUGUAUGUUUUGAAUGAAGACAUUGACAUGAAGGCAAAGGUUGCAGCUAUGGCAAGGAGAUUGGAAGAGCUAGAAAUGAAGAAGAUAUAAGAAGUGCAAGCUAUUUCUGAGACACCAGUGCAAGCUAUGCCUUGUUCCAUUUUUCAAUCUUAUGAGCACUUGUUGGAGGAGUGUCCUACAAUUCCAGCAAUGAGAGAAAUGUUUGGAGAUCAAUCAAAUGUUAUUGGUCAAUUCAAGCCCAAUAACAAUACUUCAUAUGGCAACACCUACAAUUCAAAUUGGAAGAACCAUCCAAAUUUCUCUUGGAAACCAAAGCCACCGCAGUACACACAACCUGCUCAAGCACCUCGGCAAGCCUCGAAUCUUGAACAAGUUAUUGUGAACCUUUGCAAGGUUGUGGGAGACUUUGUGGAAGAUCAGAAGUCCAUCAAUGCUCAACUAAAUCAGAGAAUUGACAGUGUGGAGAGUACAUUGAACAAAAUGAUGGAUGGGAUGCAAAAUGAUCUGUCUCAGAAGAUAGACAAUGUCUAAUACGCAAUCUCAAGGCUUACCAACCUCAACACAGUGCAAGAGAAAUUAAAGUUUCCUUCUCAACCUCAUCAAAAUCCCAAGGAUAUCCAUGAUGUGGAGGCUCAAGAGGGAGAAUCUUCAAAGGUAAGGGAAGUCAAAGCAGUUAUCACCUUAAGAAGUGGUAAAGAGGUUGAUCUGCCCACAUCCAAGCCAAAGCAUGACGAAGAGAGUGUAGCAGAAAAAGAAAAGAGUGGAGAAAAUAAAGGAAAGAGAAAAGGGAAAAGUACAAAGAAAGAUGACCAUGAGUCUAGUGUGGAUGAAGAACUCGAGAAGAAAGUGAUCAAGGAAGAUAUGAUGAAGAAACACAUGCCUCCAUCUUUCUCCUAAGCUUUGCAUGGCAUAAAGGGAACCAAUAAUGCAUCAGAAAUUUUUGAAGUGGUGAGGCAAGUGAAGGUCAAUAUCCCUUUGCUAGACAUGAUCAAACAAGUGCCGACAUAUGCAAAAUUCUUGAAGGACUUGUGCACUAUAAAGAGAGGGUUAAAUGUGAACAAGAAGCCUUCUUGAUUGAGCAAGUGCCAUCAUACAGUGCAAGUCUCCAGUGAAGUACAAAGAUCCGGGCUGCCCUACCAUCUCAGUGAGUAUUGGAGGGACUUGCGUGCAGAAAGCUUUGUUGGACUUAGGAGCAAGUGUAAAUUUGCUACCCUACUCUGUCUAUAAGAAGUUGGGACUUGGAAAGUUGAAGCCAACAUCCAUCGCUCUAUCUCUAGCAAAUAGAUCAAUGAAGAUUCCAAGAGGGAUGAUCGAAGAUGUCUUGGUUCAAGUUGACAAAUUCUACUAUCCAGUGGAUUUUGUUGUUCUUGAUAUGGAUCCAAUUGUCAAAGAAACUAAUUAUGUUCCUAUCAUACUUGGAAAACCAUUCCUAGCUACAUCAAAUGCAAUCAUCAAUUGUAGGAAUGGAGUCAUGCAACUCACGUUUGGCAACAUGACAUUGGAGCUCAACAUCUUCCAUUUGUGCCAGAAACAUAUCCAUCCGAAAGAAGAAGAAGGGUUAGAGGAAGUAUGCAUGAUUGACGCUUUAGUGGAGGAGCAUUAUGAUCAGAGAAUGCAGGAGGAUUUGAUUGAGAGUUUUAGGGAUCUUGAUGAAGGGUUACCUGAACCCUUAGAUUUGCUUGCUACCCUGCUCCCUUAGAGGAGAAGAGAAGAAAUUCUACCCUUAUUCAAUGAGGAGGAAACGCAAAGAACUGCUAAGGAGGAGUUCUCAAAGCUUAUUCUUAAGCCACUACCCACAGAGUUGAAGUAUGCAUACUUGGAAGAAGACAAGCAGUGUCUUGUUGUUAUAUCUUCAGAUCUUACCAUUCAUCAAGAGGAUUGUCUACUUGAAGUCCUUAGAAGAUGUAAGAAAGCAAUAGGCUGGCAAAUUUUUUAUUUGAAAUGGAUCAUCCCUUUAGUCUGCACCCAUCAUAUUUACAUGGAGAAUGAAGCUAAGCCAAUUUGUCAACCUCAGAGAAGGUUGAACCCUCACAUGCAAGAGGUGGUGCGAGUUGAAGUCUUAAGCUACUUUAGGCCAGUAUUAUUUACCCUAUAUCAGAUAGCCCAUGGGUGAUUCCUACUCAAGUUGUGCCAAAGAAGUCUGGGAUCACGGUGGUGCAAAAUGAUAAGAGAGAAGAUGUCUCUACGCGCCUCACUAUAGGUUGAAGGGUGUGUAUCGAUUACAGGAGGUUGAAUGUAGUGACAAGAAAGGACCAUUUCCCAUUGCCCUUUAUUGAUCAGGUACUUGAAAGGGUCUCUGGGCAUCCUUUUUAUUGUUUCUUGGAUGGCUACUCCAAGUACUUUAAGAUAGAAAUUGAUGUUGAAGACCAAGAGAAGACCACUUUCACGUGCCCAUUUGGCACCUAUGCAUAUAGGAGAAUGCCUUUCGGCCUAUGCAAUGCACCUGCAACUUUCCAAUGAUGCAUGUUAAGCAUUUUCAGUGAUAUGGUGGAGCAUAUUAUGGAAGUCUUUAUGGAUGACAUCUUCAUAUAUGGAAGUGCAUUUGAUUAAUGCUUAGUCAACUUAGAAGUUGUUAUGAACCGAUGCAUUGAGAAAGACUUAGUGCUUAACUGGGAGAAGUGUCAUUUCAUAGUACAAUAAGGGAUUGUCCUUGGGCACAUCAUCUCCAAGCAAGGCAUUGAAGUUGACAAAGCAAAGGUUGAACUCAUUGUCAAGUUGCCAUCCCUAACAAAUGUCAAAGGAGUAAGGCAAUUCCUUGACCAUGUCGGGUUCUAUAGGAGGUUUAUCAAGGAUUUCUCUAAGCUUGCAAGGCCUCUUUGUGAAGUAUUGGUGAAGGAUGCUAAAUUCAUAUGGGAUGAUAGAUGCCAAAGGAGUUUUGAAGAAUUGAAGUUAUUUCUAACAACCGCACCAAUAGUGAGGGCUCCCAACUGGAAACUGCCCUUUGAGGUAAUGUGUGAUGCCAGUGACUUUGGAAUAGGAGCUGUUCUUGGGCAAAGAGAAGAUGGAAAACCCUAUGUGAUCUACUACGCGAGCAAGACAUUGAAUGAGGCGCAAAGAAACUACACAACCACCAAGAAAGAAUUGUUAGCUGUAGUUUUUGCUUUGGAUAAGUUUCGUGCUUACUUGGUGGGGUCCUUCAUUGUGGUUUUCACUGAUCACUCUGCUUUGAAGUAUUUGUUGACUAAGCAAGAUGCUAAAGCAAGGCCAAUUAGAUGGAUCCUCUUGCUUCAAGAGUUCAAUCUCCAUAUCAAAGACAAGAAAUGAGUGGAGAAUGUGGUAGUAGACCACCUUUCAAGGCUAGCUAUCGCACAUAAUUCCCAUGGUUUGCCCAUCAAUGAUGAUUUUCCAAAGGAGUCUCUCAUGUUGGUGGAAGUUGCUCCUUGGUAUGCUCACAUUGCUAACUACCUAGUCAUAGGAAAAGUUCCAAGUGAGUGGAAAACACAAGAUAAGAAGCACUUCUUUGCAAAAAUUCAUGCCUACUAUUGAAAAUAGUCAUUUCUAUUCAAGUAUUGUUUCGAUCAAAUAAUAAGAAAGUGUGUUCUUGAAAAAGAGCAACAAGGGAUCCUCAGUCAUUGCCAUGAAAAUGCAUGUGGAGGCCACUUUGCUUCUCAGAAGACAACCAUGAGAGUAUUGCAAUCGGGUUUCUGUUGGCCAUCACUUUUCAAAGAUGCCCACACCAUGUGCAAGAGUUGUAAUCGAUGUCAGAGGCUUGGGAAGUUGACACGCAAGAACAUGAUGCCUUUGAACCCCUUUUUGAUAGUUGAUCUUUUUUAUGUUUGGGGCAUUGACUUCAUGAAACCUUUCCCUAUGCCUUUUGGCUACUCUUACAUCUUGGUGGGAGUAGAUUAUGUUUCUAAGUGGGUUGAGGCAGUCCCAUGCAAACACAAUGACCAUAGAGUGGUUCUCAAGUUUCUCAAGGAGAACAUCUCCUCAAGAUUUGGGGUGCCCAAAGCCAUAAUUAGUGAUGGGAGUACUCAUUUUUGCAACAAGUCUUGUGAAACUCUCCUAGCCAAGUAUGGGGUGAAGCAUAAGGUAGCUACACCUUACCACCCUCAAACUAGUGGGCAAGUUGAGUUAGCAAACAGGGAGAUUAAAAACAUAUUGAUAAAGGUGGUGAACACAAAUAUAAAAGAUUGGUUAGUCAAGCUCCUCGAUUCACUAUAGGUAUAUAGAACAACUUACAAGACCAUUCUCGGGAUGUCUCCUUAUCGCCUAGUCUAUGGUAAAACAUGUCAUCUCCCUGUGGAAUUGGAAUACAAGGCUUGGUGGGCAAUCAAGAAGCUCAACAUGGAUUUAAGCAGUGUUGGGUUGAAAAGGUUCUUAGACCUUAAUGAGAUGGAGGAAUUGAGAAAUGAUGCCUACAUCAAUUCAACAAUUGUAAAAGAGAAAUUAAAGAGGUGGCAUGAUCAGUUGAUUUCCCGCAAGGAUUUUAAAAAGGGAAAAAGAGUCUUGCUCUAUGACUCUAAGCUCCCCAUCUUUCCAAGCAAGCUAAAAUCAAAGUGGAUAGGUCCUUUUACCAUUCACCAAGUUCAUUCAAAUGGAGUAGUGGAACUACUCAACUCCAAUGGCACCAGGAGCUUUAAAGUGAAUGGCCAUCAUCUCAACCCCUUUGUGGAGCCUUUUUCUCGCGACAAGGAGGAAUUCAUCCUCCUUGAUGCACAUCAAGCUUGACAAGACCAGUUUUCUUAACGGACUUAGUCUUUCUAAAGACUAUUGAGUCCAUAUCUUUUUAUUUUAUUUUUUAUUUAAGAGUUUUCCUAUAUUAUUACUUGUUUUGAUUUUGAUUUCUCGUUUUAAUUUUAUUUUAGUUUGAUUUAACUUAGGUUUUUGAUGAUCAAUUGCAAAAGGGGCCUCAAAGCAGUUGGGUGUGUCCUUAAAGACUUCAAACAGAGGAAAAACCAAGAUAAUUCAAGCACCCUGCGAAAUUUUUGCAGGGCAUGCGAAAUUAAUGAAUCAUUUUGCAUGGGGUGAGAAAAUUUCGCACACCCUGCGAAUCAAUUUCACACACUAUACGAAAAUGAAAAGACCUUGCUAAAUCAUUUCAAACACUUUGCGAAAUUUUCGCAGAGCAUGCGAAAAAUUUUGCACACCCAACACCGUUUCGAAUGCUGUGCGAAACCCUAAGGGGUCUACAAAACCAUUUCGCACCUCCAAAGCCAUUUCGCACGCUGUGCAAAAAUCAAGAGGCGUUGUGCGAAAACGAAAAGUAGCCUUACUAUCCCUUUUUAAACCCCGAGCUCUAACUUCUCCAUUUCGCAAACACCAAACACCCUGCAAAUCCCUCAUUUUCCUCUACCACCUUGUGACCUCGUCCCUCUCCAUUCAACACCCCGUCCCGCACAUCUCAUUUUGAAGACUCGCACUCUGCGGCCCCUUCGAGCACGGCUCACUUUCCAUUUUCUACAUGGCGCUAACUCGAGGAGCCCUUCCCGCCCCUUCACCGAGACACACUCCGAGGCAGAGAGCCUCCUCUACUUAAGUGCCUAGUGAUUCUCCAUCUUAGGCCGCAGAGGCCUCGUGGAUUCCACCUCCUGAGAAUGGAGUAGCCAUUGGUCCUUCCUCUCCUGCUCCUCAGCGCAAAUAUGAGACAAAGAGACCACCUAUUACACCAAGGGCAACUACUUCGCUCCUUGAGAGUUCAGUAUGAUGUCCUCCUGCCAAGAGAGCCAAGACUUCAGGCCCAAGCGAGUCAUCCAGAGUUUCAUAGCCUAAGGCUCUUGCAGAUUCUGAGGUUCCUUCUGACUUAUCACCGGAGUCUAUUAUCUGACGCCCGAUGCUCACAGCACCACCCAUUAAGGGCAACUCAGAUUGCAGAGCAAGACCUUUCCUCUUGAAGCUAUAUUUUGAUCAAGAGGCCAUGCAACAGCAGCUUGAGCUCCGAGACUCUUACGGCCUACUGUAGAGGUACCACCUUGAGCACCUUAUAACUCUUUGUGAGUUCUUUUAUCCUAGAGUAGCACUAGACUUCUACCAGUCCAUGACUACUCUUGGCGUCCCGAGUCUUACUGUGAUUUACUUCACCAUUGAUGGACAUCAUGGUAUCCUCAAGGCUAGACAUAUUGUAGAGGCUUUACAAAUUCCUUUCAAGCCAGUGGAUCCAUCUGCUUUCCGCCAGUGGUCCUAGUAUCUCAGAGGGACAUGGUCCGCAUUUUAUCCAGGAAGACCUCUACAGAUUCGAUCCUUCUACGGAAGGAGCUUCCACCUAGGAUGCUCCUUGUAGAUAUGGUGCUACGCUCCAACCUCUUUCCCUUACAGCAUUUAGUACAGAGGCGAUGAGCUAUUUUGGACGCUUUAUUCUGUAUAUCGGAGGGCUUCUACUUUGGCCUGUUCCACUUGAUCAUGGCCUCCCUCAUCCACUUUGAGGAGAAGGUCCAUAGGAAGAAGCUUCAAAGGGCGGACACCAUUCCAUUACUAUUCCCGAGGUUGUUGUGCCAAAUCUUGGAGUAUAUGAGCUUUUCUAUUGAGCCUCGGCUCGAGCGUCACCGCCUUUGUCGAGAGUGAUUCACUCUGGACAAAUGGAAUCAAUUGACGGGCUAUUAUGCACCUCUAGGAGCCUUUCCUAUGGUAGCACCUCCAGUGCUCCUAGAACCAGAGCAAGGCGAGCUCCCGACAAAGACUGCACCACCAGUGCCCACACCUGAGGCUACUUCUACUGCUCCGCCUACGACUCUUACUGUUACACCAGUCGCGCCUACUACAUCCGAGCCUUCCAUCACCAUAUCGGCUUUAGAGUUUCGCUCCCGUGUGCAUACUUUUUAGACACUUACCACCACACAUGCUACUCUCUUUCAGCAAAUGGCUGAGAUGCGUGCCCAUCAGGACCAGCAGACUGCUAUACUUCGCCAGAUUCAGCAGCACUUGGGACAUCUACCUCUGCCUCAACCUGACCUUUCUGCAUCAUUAGAGCCUUUAGCUCCAGCUAAGGAUACUAUUCCACCUGAGGACACUACCACAGUAGAGGUCCGGAUUUCGCCACCUCAGAAGGCCACCACAGCUACACCAGAGGAUUCUUCAUUUCUACCUGAGGCUCCCACUACUUGAUCAUAAGAAAUCUCUUUAUCUUAUUGUAUUUACAUAUUAUAUUACUAAAGAUUUGUCCUUGUUUUGAUGCUUUAUAUUCAGGGUUGGAUGUAUUACCUGAUCAUAUCUCAUAUUGUACUUUCUCAUAUUAAUAUAUAGACAUCACAUUUUUUUAUUAUAUUUAAAAUUUUUCUAUUUAUUCUACUUGUCACUCUUUUGUUUUUUGACUCAUGUGGUUUCUCCUAUACGAAUCAGACUCCAUUUCAUUCAGGAGGUACCACUUCCUCCUUUUAUUUUCAAUUGCUCUUGAAACAUUGAGGGCAAUGUUGAUCUCAGUUGGGGGGAGAGUUAAGGAAGGAAUUUUUGUUAAUAAUGCUAGAUUAAUUUGUUAAUUUAGUUACUUUUUGCUUAAUUUUAAAAGUUUUUUACCCUACUCUUCAUGGUUAUUAAGGAAAAGUUCUCAAAAUGAAAUGGGAGAAAUCGAAUUCUUGCAUUUUUACUUGAAUCUUAGAGUUUGUAUUAUGCUUAUUAAAGUUGAUGAAUUAUUGAAACUCCUAUGGAAUUCAACCUUAUUUCUUCCACUUUAAUCUUAUCACACUAUGCACAUUAAGUUCCGAUUAUAAGACGAAAAACUAUCUCACCCCCUAAACUUAGGAAAAUUUCAACUUGGUACAUUUGACUUCAUUUUAAUAGUGUUGGGACACCUUAUAAAAGGCCAAUGAGCCUUCGAAAAAAAAAAAAAGAACAAAGUGUUUCGCUUGCCUUGAAACCCGAGCAAAGUCCGAGGGGUAUACGACGAAAGUCUUUAAAACCCGGUGCCCUAAGCCUUUAUUGGUUGGGAGUCACUGGCCUCAAUGCUCGUUACAAGAGUGAAUAGGUAGAGUUUAACAUAUUGUAGGUGCUUGGGUAUUGAAUUUCAAUCUCAAAAAUCCGGGGAAAAAUAUGAGGAGUUAGAGGUUGAAAAAUCCUUAAAGCUUGAUGCCCUAAACCUUGAUUGGUUGGGAGUCAUCAAUGGAUCCCCAUUACAUGGACACUUUAGAAAACAAUACCUUUAGCAUUGCACUCCUACAAUGAAAAAAAUUGUGAAAUAAAAGAGGUGUGUUCUUAGCCUAUUGGAGGUUGGUCAAGUUGCUAAGGUUUGAGAAAAAACUAGGUUGGGGGAGAGAAUAGUUUGACAUACUAUAAUCAGAAGCUAAUAAGCUUAACACUUAGAUUUUUGUGAAAAAAUAAGGUUUGAAUCUUUGGGAGUGGAAAUUCUUUUGUUGCUUAAAUUUGCAUAAUGCCUACUCUUUAUAAAUUGUAAUUUGGCAGGAGAUUUGAUAACUCUUGUUGAAGGUUGGGUUUUGCAUCUUUGAUGUUCCAUGAGAGAGUAUAAUCUGCAUCAUGCCACUUGAAAAUUUUUUGGAGUGAUUAGCAUGAUUUUGUAAAUUAUUUUACUAUUUAUUUUUCUUUAUCUCUCCUUCAUUGCUAAGGAACUAGCAAUAUGUUGGUUGGGGGGAGUGAUUACUGCUCAAAAAGUACUCUUUUAUAGUUUGAAACUAACUGUUUUAAACACUUUUGAGUAGUAGUUAAUACAUUUUAAUUCAAUUGGCACAUUAAGGAACCUAGCAAGGGUUACUAAUCAAUUUUUCGCAAGUUUUGGUGUUUUUGGUAGCUAUUUGAUCAUUGAAACAAGCCAAGAAUGAGGGAGGAUUUUGUGAAAUCCAUGGCAAUGUAAGUUAAAGCUUAAAUACAUGAAUAAUCCAAGCUUUUGAGCACUUCAUAGCCCUUUGCCAAGCCAAUCAAAGAUGCAAGGAAGAAAACCAGAGGAAGAAAUCCAACAUCCAGCAUUUCCGCAUGGCUGUGCGAAAUUUCGCACACCAUGCAAAACCACUUGAGGCAGCUAAAGAAUUUCGCACAACAUGCGAAAUUUCGCAGGGUAUGAGAAAUCUUCCUGUGCACUGACUCCGUUAGAUUUUUAUCUCUAGAUAUUUUGUGUAAUUUCCUAUUUUCUCCUUGUAAUCAACUUAGAUAUUUUCAUAUAUAUUUUUGUAUAUAUUUGGUGUGUGUAACAUCUUUUGAUAUAGACACACAGGGAUGUAAUCAGAGAACACUUGUAAAUUCCCUGUAGUAAAAAAUAUACAGAGUUUUUGCUCUGCCUUUUCUUCUCAUUUUGUUUUCACUCUUCUUUCUAGUCAAACAACCUCUAAGGAUGAUUUAUCAAGGGAUGGGUGGCUAGGUUUUACGUUUCUUGGAGUGAUGGAAGCUAGGUGAAGGACCCGAAUGCAAAUAUGGGAGUUGUCCUUGCUUUAAAUGAAAGUAGUUGUUAACCAUUAAUGGUUUUUAUUUUAAGAUUUAGCUUUAAAUCCUUAAAAGCACCUUGAAUGGCCAAUACUUGGUAAGCUUUUCAGAUUCUAUGGAUGCUUAUUGCUAGAUCCAUGGAUGUCUAUUAGUUAUCAUUUAUGAGCCAGUGGAAGGUGGUUCAAGGUGAGAGUCUUUAGUAUUUCAAGCCAUUAAUGGGAAGCAACUAUUAUUUUUCAUGAACCCUUUGGAUCAAAUCUUAAUUGCUAAAUAUAAAACCGGUUCAGGAGAUAACCAUCCUUUAUGUUAUUGUCCCCAAAGCGAGGAGAAGAUCCGGAAUCUCCCCCUUUGUCUAAGGAACCUGAUCCUAGUGACCUAAAGCUCUAAGAGACCUUUUCUUUGUAGUUAACUUCACUUAUUAUUUAUGCUUAACUUAAAAUCAAUCUUUGCAACCACAAUUCCAUUUUCUUUAAAAGCUAAUUUUCAUAAGGAGAAACACCAUUUUAUUUCAUUCACUAAAGUCAACUAUACGAUGAAAACCCAUCCCUGUGGACGAUCCUAGAGCCACUAUACUAUGUUAGCUAUGCUACCCUAGUGUGAGGUGAUUUAGGUUUUAUAAAUUUUGUUGAUAACACCCGUCUGAGACAGAAUCAAAUGGCAUGACUGCAAUGGGGAUGAAUCAGACUUAUUGGAACAUUAUCUUGAAUUUCUUUAGGAAGGAAGAGUAUCUUGAAAAUGAUUUUUGGCUCAUAAAUGAAUAUAGGUUUCUAAGUGGAAAUUAUUUAACAUUCUCACCGUUUUAUGGUGUCAUGAGUGAGUUUUUUUUAGCUUAAGCUUCCUUGUUAGAGUGUUGAUAAUCAUUUGUUUUUUACCUAUUCAUUUGAUAAAUUUGGAAAGUACUUCAAUCUCUAUGUUUAUUAAUUUUGUCUAUUGUUAAGUUCUUGGAAGCAUUUUUGUUCAAUGUGAAUCAAUUCUAACUCAUUAAUUGAAAGAUAAGUAUGUCAUCCUAUUGUAUCUCAUCUUUGGUCGAUCAAUUUUCAGUUUUUGGAAAGCUUAUUGGUGUAUUUCUUGUGAUUUUUCGAUAGUUUUUGCCUAAGUCAUUUUUCAAUUGGGUGUCGAUCGAUCUACUGAAUUUGUGGAUCGAUCCAUUGUGUGCACAAUGUAGUGACCGAGAGCCCUUGAAUGAAUCUUGGAUCGAUCCACCAAGAUCGAUACCACCUAGUCCUUGUCUCUCACACACUUAGCCAUUUUUUUCAAAUUUGGUCUAUUCAAACCUAUGUGACUAUGUAUCAUCGAGAGCACAAUUGAAAGCUGGAUCGAUCCACCCAGAUCGAUACCACUUAUGCAUUUGUGAAAAAUUCCAUUUUUGCCCCCAACUAGUUAUACUCAUAUGGUUUAAUGGAUAAGGGGUAUUUUCAUAAUUAAAAGUAAAAAAUUGAAAAUUUGAAAAAGUCAAAAUCCCUAAAUCAGUUUUUCCCAAUUCAUUUCUUUCAAAAACCCUAGGUUUUUUGUUCCAAAGAAGAGAACUUCUCUACUCUAAGCUUCUCUUUAGCCAUCAUUGUCAGUCCAUCAUUCCUACCACUACCAUCAAAAGUCUCUACCACUGGAAACCUUUAUCGUUAGACUUCCCUAUCUGGUGAGCGUUUCAAGUCUGGCCAAUCCCACUAGACAGCCUCGUCAAAUAGCCUAGAAUUGUUGUGUUGCUCAGCUCAUGUCGUCGGCCUGUGUGUCUUUUCUUAAUGCGUCGAUGUUUUAGAAAAUUGUCUUCUACAUAGUAUGUGUUGGCUAGGACCUCCUGUGUGCAUCACUAGAUUGUAUCUUGUGCAAUUAGGAUUUUGUUCCAACAGUUGGAAAUUCCAAUCUGCCCUUAGGACUGUGUUUUUCACCGCACAAUCAACACAACGCAAUCUACACUUCUGGAAAUUGUGUUCUACAUAGCCCAUUUCUCUUGUUUUUUGCUCUACUAUUUUCCAAUGUUCGUGUCUUUAAUGCAACUUAUUUGCAAGAGUUCUCAUUUUUGGCAACCAUUAUUGUUUGAUUUAUCCAUUCUUCUCUCUUCUAUUAGUCUCAUUUGGAUUUUUUAUUUUUUAUUUUUUUAUUUUUUUUAUAGAGUCCUCUCACAAUAGUUUUAAUAGUUUGAGAUUUCAUUUUUGCCUUGGAGUGUUCCUAGUUUCUAGGAAUGCUAAUCCUAGGCUUUGGUUAUUCAUUUUGAGUGGUCUUCAUACAUUUUCAUGCUUGAAAUCUAUUUUCAUGGUGAUAAAGCAUUUUUUGAAAGUUUUUAAUUGAAACCAUGUGAUAGGAUUUAGGAGGAGAUUCUUAUAUCCUGUGAUGGGAGUCAAGGGGAGAUUCUUGUAUCCUAUAUUUUUUUUUUCUAGAAUGUUGAUAUGGAUACUUGGUGAUAUGUGAAUAUUUGAUUUUUGGGUAUUUGACAUUUUUGUUGAAAAGUAGAUGUUUGUUGAUUUGGAUGUGAGAUAUUCUGCUAUUGAAUUCUCAUCCAUUUAUCUUUUUUAUUGGAUAGAAAAUGGGAGAUUAUGACUUUUUGUCUCCUAUUGGGACAAAAAGGAGAAAACAUUUUACAUGGAUGUUGAUAUGACAUGUAGUUGAUCAUGACGGUUUCUUUGUGUUUUGUUGCUUUGGAUAUUUGAUAUGUUGAUCAUGAUCACCUUUUUUGUAUAUCGAUGGAUAUUUGACACGUUUUUGAACUCAUGAAUGCAUAUUAACUAUCUUUAGACAAGUUAUUUUUGUGGAUAUAUGUGGAUAUUUGUGUGUCAAUUCAUUUGAAACUUAUGGAAUUGUCUUGGUAAUAUGUGCAAGUGCUACUAAUGUUUUUUCUUGAGAUUUAUUUACAGGAUUGGUAGUACCUUUGGUUAGGUUUUGAGUGAGUGAGUGAGUGGCCUUGUAUGAGAGUUGGGUGGGACUUACUUGUAUUCAUUCGUGUUGUAAAGGGUUUUGUCCCAGAAUUUCCAAAUGGGGAGAUUGUGAGUGUUUAGCUACGUUGGUAAUUCCAAACAAAAUUCCUAAGUGUCCCUUAACUCGGUUUACAAAUCCCUCUUCAAACUACUUGACCUUUGAAGAUUAAAACUUUGCUAAGAGACCGAGGUAUGUAGCCGAGUGUGUGGUGAUUGAAUGUGAAUCAACCCUAUUUUUUCAUCUUUAAAUGAGUUAAGAAAAUAGGGAGAAAUAUUGUUAGUGCAAGGCUUUUGUUCCCCUUAUUAUGGAUUGAUCUAGGUGCAGGGGCAAAUUGAUCCAACUAACCCACUUUUAAGAUCAAUUUUCAACCCUUAGAUUAAGGGUUUCUUUCUCAUUUAAAAUCAAAUCUCUCCCAUCUCUAGAAGUGGUGACUACAACAACUGUGAGAGAGUUUUUUCUUUCUUCACCAUUUUAAGGGUGUUUACCUACGAAGAAAAUCUAUUCAAGUUUUCUAAGAAAAAAUUUUUAAAAUGGAUUUUCUGAAAAAGAGCAUAGGUUGAUUUUUGAAACAUUCAUAUCUAAUUCUCUUGGUUUUGCGCAAAAACCCAUUUUUUUUCUUAUGUGAAUUCAAGAAGAGGCCGAGAUCGACCUUGGUGUAAACUCCAAGCGUGCUCUAAAAUAAGAAUGUGAGAAAGUGAAAGUGAAGGUACUAGUCAAGUGGUCUGGGAAGGAUUGGUUGGUUUGAGCUAGGUAAAACCUUGUAUUUAGUUUUUAUUCUUCAUAGUGGAUGUUUUCAAUUGGUAGUAGGGCCAUGGUUUUUGAUCUCUUCGAAAAAAUUUCAUGUAAAUUUAUGGUGUCUCAUUGUCUCAUUUUCUCUUCUUAGCAUCAUUUUUUAGUUUCAACAAUUUAUUAUAAUUUUGAUUGUAUAGUAUUUGAUUGAAUGAUAAGGAGAAAUGGCUAUGAAUCAUCUUUGAAGUUGUUUCUAAUUGUUAAUCACUGAUAUUUUGAGGUAUAUUGAUCUUGUUUUUAUCAUAAUUUAGUUUAAGUUGAUUUGGGUUUGGGAGUAUUAGAUCAUGUGCAUGUGAAUUUCAUUUGAGUAUUGUUGGGGAGUGUUGUUGCAUUCAUAUAUUCAUGUGAUUUAUAAUUUGUUUUUGAGACUGUGUGAAGAGAAGAAAAUAUUCAAGAAGUUUUAAGGUUUACUAAUUUGAGUUGAGAUUUUGUUUAAUUGGUCAAAACACCUAUUCAACCCCCCCUUUAGGUGUAUAUUCCACUAUUGAGAUUCACUUUUUCAGAACCUAUACUUCUACCGAGCUACAUGAAGUUUUGUAAGGCAUAAAAUACAUUUUGAGGCAUAUAUAAGUCAAAUCUUAUAUCCAAAUUAGGUUGAAUUGGGUCAUGGUUAACCUCAAAUCAAAUAUAUGCAUUUUUCUUACAAAUGUUUAUAUAUAUAUAUGCAUUUAAGAAUAUAGUUAUUAUUGUAAAGGAUGUACUUUUUCUUAAGAAUAUACUUAUUUUUGUAACAGAUGUACCUAGGGUUCUACCAUGCCAAAUUGGGUUUGGGAAUGCAUCAUGAGGUAUAUAGAAGUUAAAAUUUAGACUCAAAAUGAAUAAGGGAAUGAUUCAACUCAAAUCAGAUGUAAAUACUUUUCUAAACUUUUAUGCAUUUUUUUAAAGCAUGUACGCAAAGUUAUAUCAUGUUGAAUAGGGUAUAAGAAGACCUCAAAUGCAUUCCGAGACCUACAUAAGUGAAAUCCCACACCCGAAUUAGGUUGAAUGAGGAUAAGAAUCCCCAAUGAAAUGAAAUGUACAUGUUUUUAUACUAGAUGUACCUAUUUUUCUAAAUGAUGUACUUAUUUUUUUUAAAAGAUAUAUGUAUUUUAAGAAAUAUAAAAAUUAAUUAAAGAAAUGUUAAUACAAUUUUUAUGAAAAUAAUUUUUUUUCUAUUUUAUGUUUAUAAAAAAGUUAAAGAUUUUAACCUAGUAAAAAGUUAGAACCAUGAUCAAUUUUAAAUCAUAUGAAAAAUUAAAACAAAUGUUAAUAUGAAAGUUCAAAUUUUUACAUGCCCUUAUCAAUGUCUCAUCAAAUUUUUUUAGUACAAAAUGGAAUAGUAAGUGAAUACUCUUUUAUUUCUUUAAUACAAAAAAUACAAACCAAGCAUCUCUCAAAAUCUUGUUCCUUGCUCUUGAAUAUAAAGUAAGAUAAGCUCGUGAACUUAUUCACAGUAAAAGUUUUGCUAACCUACAGUCACGCAACACAUGAAGGCAUUAUUCGACUUUAUUUAGGCAUCGAACACAAUUCGGUGAAGCUACUAUAUGCCUUUUGAAGUGAUUUUCAUUUGUCAGCAACUUGUUGUGCAAAGCCAGCCACAAAAAGGAUCUAAUCCUUUGGGGACCCCUUCAUUUCCACAAGGCCAUCCAAUUCUUAUUCAGCUUUGUCCAGCAACUCUCUUCAAUCAGUUCGUAAGCCGACUUGGUAGUUGACAACGUUGACAUAAAGGCCAAAAAUAGUGGAGGAUUGUACAAGAGCACAUAGCACUAACCCAAAUUCUCAAAAUUUGCUAUUGAAAAGUUUUUAGCCUAUUUGGCCAUUUCAUUAAAAAAUAAUUUUUGUUUUUAAAAAUUAAAAAAAAACUAUUUUUAAAAAUUCAUAAAAUUGUUUGUUAGUUGUUUUCUAUUUGUAAUUUUUAAAAAUAAAGUGAAAUAAAAAACAUAUUUUAUAAAACAAAUAAAAAUUGUUUUCACCAAUUUUAAAAACAAAAGAAAAAUAUAGAGGAAUUAAAAAACUAUAAAAAGAAAAUUGAAGAUGAUAUCAUUCUUCUUUACCUCUUUCUACGAUCUAAUAUCGAUACUGAAAAUCUUCAAAUAUAAUAUUCUUUUAAAUUACAUGUGUUUUUAUCAAUUUCAUUUAAUUUAAGAAAAUUUUCAUUGAUAAAAUAAAUUCUAAAUCAAAUUAUACUUUAUACAUAAAAUUUACUAAUUUUUAAAAAUAACUUAAAAGUUAAAAACUGAUUUAGUUAGUACUAUAAAGUCAUGAAACUCACUAACAUUAGAAUGACAUACACCAAAAUUCAUUUGAAUGUCUUGGCUAGUUUUUUCUUUGCAUAUAAUCAUAUUUUUACAAUUUUUUUCACUUAGUAAAUAAUCACCAAAUCAAGUAUGACUUAAUGCGUUGAAUUUAUUAACAAGUCUAAGUAAUUCUAAAAAAUAAAUUGAAAUGCAAAUAGUGAUCCAAUUAAUACCAUAAAUUUAUGGACAAAAAUUGAACUUGAAUGACUUUAUUGUUUCCAAUUUUGUUUCAUUGGACAAAUAAACUUAAAAUUAAACCAAACUUAAUGUGUUGAAUUCAUUAAUAAAUUUAGUAAUUUCUAAAAAUAACUUAAAACUCAAAUAAUGAUGUAAUUAAUAUUAAAAAAUUUAUGGAUGAAAAUUGGUCUAAAACAACUUUAUUAUUUUUCUUCUACAUGGAAUCAUAUAUUCCCAAUUUUAUUUUACUAUAUAAAUAAACUCAAAAUUAAACAAGACUUAACAGUCUAGUAAUUUUUAAAUUAGAAUAAUAUUUGAAAUAAUUUAAUUAGAAUAAUAUUUUAAUUUAUUAAAAUAAAUCAUAAAUAAAUGAAUAAAAUUAUCUAACAAUAUUUUAUCAAGUUAAUAUUUGUUAAUAAUAAGGAUUUAAGAUUUUGUUAGAUUUUAUCGCUAUAGGAUUAUUAUAAAUAUGGUUUUAAAAAAAUGCAUGAACAUCAUGUAAUAUUAACAAAAUAAAAAUUACGAAUUGAUCGCUUUCAUAGUUUUUGACUAUGGAUUAUUUUUAUCAUAACAAAAAUGCGUAAAAUUGUAUACACCUUUUAGGCUAUGAAAUAUUCAUUAUUUAACUUAUGAGUGUACAAUUUUGUUUUGUCCAAUAGUAGUGCAAUUAAUAUUAAAAAUUUAUGGAUAAAAAUUGGGUUUUAAUGAGUCUACUUUUUUUCUAUACAUACUUAUUUAUUUAUAAAUUUUUUUAUUAAAGAAUGAACUUCAAAUCAAGUAAUUGAAUUUACUAAUAGGUUAAUUUUUUAGUUUUUUUAAAGUUACAACCUAGUAAAUAGAUCUAAUCACUAUAAGAAAUAAUAUAUGAAAACUAAUUGUAGACCCCAAAAUUUGUCAUAAUUUUAUUUUUACAUUGAUAUUGAGUUCAAUUUUAUCCUUAGAUUUAAAUUUCGAUUACAUCUUAAUUGUUUAACCCACUUACACUAUUUUUUUAUUUUUUUUAUUUUUUCUCUCCUCUCUCCUCUCUCUUCUCUCUUCCUCUUUCUCCUCAUUCUACCUAUUCCACCUACUUCCCUUACCCAUUUCCUUCUCGUCUAAGCCACUCCCCAUACCCCCUCCAAGUUUUUUUUUUUAAAUUUUUUAUCAUCUUUCUCUACUCUCCUCUCUUCACUUUUUUUUUCUCUCCAUCAUUUCUUCUUCGGGUUCCCUUCCAACACCACAACCACUCCACAACCCACAUACCAGACACGGUCGACUCCCCCAUCUCCUCUUUUUUUUUUUUUUCCUUUCCCCCAACUCUCACACACGACGGUCCCCAUUUUCUCUUCCAUUUUUUUUCUCUUUCCCACAGUCCUUCCCUCUACACUGCCAUUUUCCAAAGACUCCCAUUAUCACACGCUCCCCAUCUUCCUUCAUUUUCUUUUUUUUCUUUUUUUUUUCUCUUCCUUUUUCUUUUCUUUUCCCCUCCCCACACUCCAUAGCCACUACCGGCCCUCCACUGCCCGCCACUACCAGCAGCCACUGCCAACAACCACCACCCGCUACUAUCUGCCAGUCAUUGCCGGCUAGCAAUCCUACCAUCCAUAGUUCUAAAAAAAAUGGGUAAAUUUCCUUUUUACUUUAUUUUAUUUUCAUUUUUUUUAUCUUUAUAUUUUUAUUUUCAUUUGCAUAGUAAUUUAUUUAGACUUGGAUCUAUUGCUUAUUGGUUAUUUAUUUGGACUUAUUGGAUUGGGUUUGAGACAUUAUUUUCUUUGGUCAUGUAUAUUAUUAAUGUGGGUUUGUUAAUUGAUAUGAAUUUUUGACCCAUAAUGUGAGUAUGAAUUUUGGGCCCACAAUGUUGGUGGAAUUUGAUUGAUGACUUGAAUAUUUGAUAUGAGUUUGACCAAUUUGAACUAUUUAAUUUGGAUAUGGGACAAUUAUGAUGUAUAUUAAAUUAGGCUUGGAUUAUGAGAUAUUAAAUUUAGGCCUAAUUGAAUUUAUUUUAUUUUGUGAUAUUUUGGGCUUGGCUAAUUGUGUUGUAUUUUGGUUAUUAAUUUGAAAAUUUUGGAUUAAGAUUUAUAGCAUGUGAGAUGUUUUUGUUAGGUUAUAUUUGUUAAUUUAUGCCCAUUUUGAUUGACAAAAUUUAUCAGACUAAUUUGAAAUUUGAAUUUGAGUUUGAAUAUUUGUUUGGGAUUUUGUACAUCUUUGGAUAUUUACAUUUGAGCUAUUUUGUUUUUGCAUGGGUUUAUUUUGCAAAUUCUGUUGGCUGAAUACAAAUUUAUGACACGUGGAGCACGAAAUUUUAUGGAAGAAAGUGAGAAUCAAAAGGUUGUAGGAACACAUUAAACUUGUUAUAAGCUUAUUUUGGUACACAUUUUAUUUCCCACUUUUAUUUGAUUUUAUUUCUAUUAGUUCUUGUAAAUAUUCAUUUGUAUAUAUUUAUUGAGUGUGUACAGAAUUGAAUAUUUAACAAAUCAAAAUUUUCAUUUAAAUAAGAGGAAUAAUUCAGUAAAUAUGUUCUAAUAAAAUAAUAAUUUUAAAAUAUUCUUCUUCAUAAAAGAAAGUUUUUUUAUUAAUAAAAAUUCAUAAAAAUGCUUUUAAAAAAAUUCAAAAAAAAUUGUUUUUAAUAGAAUUUGAUAAAUUAUUUUUAAUAAUAAUUGUCCAAAAAUGUCUUUGUUUAAUAAAAAUUGUCCAAAAAUUGUUUUGUAAAUAAAGUUGUCCCAAAAAUUCUUUUGCAAAUAAAGUUAUAUUCUUUUUAAUAAUUUGUACAAGUCACUUUUCUUAAAUGAAAACAAAUUGAAAUACUUUUGUAAAUAAAAUUGUAAUUUUUUUGUAAAAGCGAGUAAAAAUCAUUUUUGUUACCAAAUUGAAAUUUUGUAAUAAAUUAUUUUGAUAUAAUAAGUGAAAAUAACUUUUUUGGAAAAUUAACUACAAAUUAAAUUGAAUUAAAUCAUUAAUUAAAAAUAAAUUGAAACUUCUUUUCUGUAAAUAAAAAAAAUUAAAAUCAUUAAUUUAAAAUCAUUUUUAAUAAAAUCCUUUGAAAUUUCUUGAAAAUUAUUUUUUUAAUAUUUUUUUAUUUAGUUCAAUAAAUCAUUUUGCAUAAUUCUCUUGUUAUUUAUUUUGUAUAUUCUUGUAAUUAGAUUUCAUCAUUAUUUUUAUGUAUAUUGAUUUUCAUCAUGACUUGCACAUACUCAUUUGCAUAAUUAUUUUUCUUGGUAUCCAUAAUUAAUUAAUUAAUCAUCGCAAUUUCCUUAAUUCAUUUAGUAGAGGUCGUAUGUAUACGAGCUUAGAGGGGUGUUACAACUCAUUACCAUACCUUCCCAAUAUGUAACGGAGGACUCAAACUCGAUUUUUCACAAACUUGUUUUUACUUCAAGAGUCACACUUAAGGUUUUUCUUUUUUAUUUUGUUUUUCCCUUAAAAAAUAAAACAAAAAUCAGUUGACUUCAAGUCUUUUUUUUAAAAUCAUAUUUUUCACCAAAUAAAUAAAAAAUGAGUCUCGCUGUCGAGUGGAGACGCACAUAAAAAACGUAGGUCCACACCAAUAUAUUAUACUAUUUUUUAAUUUAUUUAUAAUUUAAAACUAAUUUCAUUUUUUAUAAGACCUUAAUUAAAUUUCUAUUAAUUAAAUUUAGAAUAUUUUUACAAAAUCAACAUAGAAAAAUUAUUUAAAAAAAAAACCAACUUUAAAAUAACUUGCCAAACAUCCUUAUUUUAUAAAAUUUUUAAAACAUAUUUUUAUUUGUUUAACAUAAAAGCAACUUUCAAAAACAAACAUUAUGGAACGUGAUUGAACUUUUCUCUUAUUUCUUUUUCAUUUUCUUGUUACUUAAAAUGACCGACAAAGGAAGAUGAAUUAAAUUAUUGAAGAACAUCUUUUGCCAAACAUAUUAGUUAAAAAAAGUGAUUUAAAAAGCGGGCCCUAACCUAUUCUGGAGCCCAUGAUAUCUUUGUACGUUACCAUAAAAGGCCACACGCCACACGCCUCAGCAAACCCACCAACCCUCAGAAAGGGGUUUCAACUGCAAAUAGUAACCAUACAAUUUCAAAGCAAAAAGCCAAACACUCACAUAAAUCUAAUAUUACCACAGCAACACUACUAAAUAGUUAAUAGCCCGUGAUGUUUCCUUUUUAUUCUAUGCCAAGCUUCUUUCUCAUCCCCAUAACAAAGCCAUGGACCUUGUGUGGGUCUUCCAGAGAAGACGACACGCUCUCCUUUUCCAUGCACCUCUUGGUCCAAGCUAUCAACUUGGGACACUCCGCCUCUAUGCUGAAGUUUCCAAAGCUCUCAUAUGCAUGAAACCAGCAAGAGAAGGUCACCAGAGCCACAUCCACAAACCCAAUUUUUUCACCGCCGAAGUAAGGCUUCUCUCCAAGCUCUCCUUCCAGAAGCUUGAGGCACUCUAUGAAUUCCUUCUUGGCUGUUUCCUGCUCUUCUCCUUUGGUUGACCAUAUCUUCCUUCCAAGUUCAUAGAGCUGUGGAAAACAAUAAAGUCAAAGAGAGAAAAGGGUUAUUUUUUUGGAGCAUUUCAUCAAGUUUCAACUUUCUGUAUAGUUGGACAAGUUUAUUAAGGACCCUUCAGCAUAGAAAUCUCAUAUACUAGGAACAAUUUAAAUGAAGGGCCGGUGGAAGAAAAAUAUCAGAAUCAGUUGAAAGAAUGUAUCAUUUGCUAAAGCUUUUCCCCUCAGUGUGGGUUUUAGAAAAUGAGAAGAAAGAGAUCAAAGCAACAAAACAUGUAUUAAAAGAACUGCUCUGCAAAAUGUUGAACAUCAGGAUAACAAAAAAAAACCAAACACUGCUUUAAAAACUGGUUUUUGGAUCCCCUUUCUUGAGGGAAAAGGCAUUCUUGAGAUCUGCUUUUUUGGGUGGAAAGAACGGACUGAAAACCCACAUCAGAAAUGCAAAGUGGAGUCUUGUUGGACACACAGCAAGGAGAAUCAGUAAAGUUCUAGUUUGAGACCCCAAGGCCCGCAAAACUCAAUGUCAGAAGAGAAUGUGUGAAGAAGAACCCAGCAUUUUGGACAAAUCCCUCAUCAUUAUCAAAAUCUGAGCCAAGCGCCAUGAAUCAAUGGCAAAAAAAUGCUUUAAAUCAACAGCAAAGACAUACCUUCUUGUCUACGUAGUCCACCCAGAACCUGGCCUGAGCUCUCUGGUAUGGGUCACUAGGCAAAAGCGGAGAUUUA